Molecule: long non-coding RNA, 317231 nt
Filed under: Malus domestica (apple)
Lineage: Eukaryota; Viridiplantae; Streptophyta; Magnoliopsida; Rosales; Rosaceae
Description: long non-coding RNA (MDOM_LNC009937)
Rfam family: tRNA (bases 264917-264987)
Source: RNAcentral
GGUCAUUACUAAACAACUUGAAAAAGAUUAAAUUACUUGGAUGCCACAAAUGUGAAGGAGUCCCACCAUUGAGUUUAUGGGCCUCUCUCCAGAAUUUGAGUAUAGAGAAUUGCAAUGGAUUAUCAGGCCCGUUGAGUUUAGGGGCCUCUCUCGUGGAAGUGAUUUUACGGAAUUGCAAUGGAUUAUCUGGCUCAUUGAGUUUAGGGGCCUCUCUUGUGGAAUUGACAAUAGAGGGUUGCAAUAAUCUGACAUCAAUUGAAAUGAAAGGCAGCGGGUCCCUCACCGCCUCUCUUCAGAAAUUGAGAAUCUGGUUUUGUAAUGAAUUAUCAAGCAUACCUGCUCUUCCACAACAAUGUCCCUCUCUUCAAAAAUUGAGUAUAUUGGGAUGCCCAAAGCUAUCAUGGUUUGGUGUCAAAAGUAGUAGAGUUGAGAAGGAGGAGAAGUGCAUUAGUCUACAAUCUACUUCAGAUUUGCGCACCAUGACCUCCCUUCGACGUAUGUGGAUUGAAAGAUGUGAAAGAUUAGAAAGUUGGGUGAGCAGCCUGCAAUUCCCACUCUCUCUUGAGUAUCUGAUAAUAGUCAAAAUCCCUAAUUUAGAGAUUCUUCCAAGUUUAGACCAUCUUAAUUCUCUCAGGUAUUUGGAAAUCGGUGGGUUCUGGGAGGAGCUCGAUUCCUUCCCUGAUUUUGAAGUUGGAUCAUUAAUGCAUCUCACAAGCUUACAGUUGAAUGGUUGGCCUAAGCUCAAGUCUCUGCCUCAACAAAUUCAACACCUCACUUCUCUAACAGAUUUGUGGAUAGUUAACUUUGAGGGAGUGGAGACUUUGCCAGAAUGGUUGGGUAGCCUUACAUCCCUUACAUAUCUGAGGAUUCAAGGUUGCAAGAAUCUGAUGAAUUUACCAAGUGUCCAAGCUAUGCAACGCCUCACCAAAUUACAAACUCUAAGGAUUUAUAAUUGUCAUCCCCUUCUAAAUGAAAGAUGCAGGAGGGACAGCGGCACAGAUUGGCCUAAGAUUUCUCACAUUCCAUAUUUCAGAAGUAAGUUUUUUAAAUUAUUGAAAUCAAAUUUCUAAGCUGAUGUUAUAUGUUUAUCAUUUUUCUUAUUUUAUUCCGUGUCUCCACUAGUACUACACUCAAAUGUAAACUAGUAUAACAUAAUUUGUUUAUGCUUCUCCCUCUUCUUUUAAAUCAGUUCGGGGCAGAGACUUGUGAGACAAGAGUUGGAUUGAAGCUAUGCAACGCCUUGCGAUACUACAACAAAUGUGUAUUGGGAAAACCAAAUAUCAUGGUGUGCAAGGCCACACUUCUCCGAGAUUACUUGUAUUCCAGUUUUAUGUACAAACGACUCCAAAUGGCUCAAACUUUCGCAUUGAAAUUAAGUCAUGUAAGAUUUUCAAACCCACACCUCCUCUUCUCUUCUACUUCUAAUUGAUCAAUACAUUCUACUGUUGACUUCUGACUUACUAAGUUACUAUAUAUGUUGUGUGUUUCCCAGUGCCAUCUAUAUUUCUUUUGCUAUGCUUUGGCGGUUUUCAUGAUGCUCAAUAGCUAUAAACUGACUCCAGGUACUGAUGCGCACGAUAUUAAUUCUCUCGCUCUACCUUCAUUUCUCAAUAAUAUACCUCUUUUUAUAGUCCUUGGGCAUUCUCCUUUACAUGUUAUCUUUCUUAAUUCCGGCAACAUCAAUCAAUAUUUUAACUUUCUUUAGUUCAUCUGUAUGAGUGCUGAACCACUAGCUUGAUCACCCAUCAUGGUAUUGAAUCUUGUUUAAUCACACACUGCCAGCACCCAAGUAGUGUUAGAUGAGUAAUGCCAAGAAUUGCCAUCAAGCAUGUUCAUAUAAUAUUUAGAACUACUGCAAUUACUUUCUGUUUGUUAUUGUUAUCCUUAUGAAGAUUUUGGACUGAUAUUUUUAUGGUUACUUGUGAUUUAUGACCAGAUUUUUGUUGGAUGUAUGUCAACAAUCUGUGAUAAUUUAUAUAUGCUAAUAAAUAAUAAAUGCAAUAGGAAUUAACAGAAUAUAAAAAACAAACAACUUGAAGAUCGAGGCUUGCGUACCGCAAUGUCCUUAAAACAGAAAUUUCGCCCCUACUUAGUGCUUGUAGUUCUACGGACGUCUGUUCCACCAGGAUUCAACGAUCUAAGUCAGAAAUUCCAGCACCGAAAAAUUGACUUCUGGCGAAUAUUAAUGUGGUUCUCUCAGAAAGGAUGUUUAUGAUUGCAGGAGAAGAUUUAUGAUUUUUCUGUAUUUAAAAUGCCAUGCAGAUGGAUGUAUAUAUAAUGUGAUUAUACCUGUUCACAACAUGUAUGAGGAAUGGAUGUAUCUGUUGGGAGACAUCUGCUGAAAAUGGUGUUUUUGUUUCUGCGUUUUCACACUUCAGACUUCAUCUGAAAAGAUGAGUCUAUUGGUAAAAAUAAUUAAUUAAUUAAUUUAAAUUCGAAAUUUAAAAAAUAAUUAAUUAUAUAUUAAUUACCAAUUAACUAGUACACCCCAAAGCCCAACCCAAGGGUGAGCCCAAUUUUAGUCUCCAGGCCUAUUACUCCAAUCAUUUUCUAUAAAGUACAAAGCCUUAUAAAGUGAUAAAAUCUUUUGAGAAUGACUAAUGUGGGACAAAGAAAUUUCUACUCAAACUACUCAAAUUUCCAACAAUUUUCGAAUCGUAUAAACAGGGAUUUGAAUUUGGACAACUGUGGAUAUGGAGUUGCCCAAAGCUAGCGUCCUUUUGUGCCCAAAGUAGCAGAGUUGACAAGGAGGAGUGCAUUAGUGUACAAUCUACUUCAGAUUUGCGCACCAUGACCUCCCUUCGACAACUGAGUAUUGAAAAGUGGUAAAGAUAAGAAAGUUGGGUGAGCAGCCUGCAAUUCCCACUCUCUCUUGAGACUGUCAAUACAUGGCAUCUCUAAUUUAGAGAUUCUUCCAAGUUUAGACAGCCUCAAUUCUCUCCAUCAUUUGGAAAUCGGUGGGUUCUGGGAGGAGCUCGAUUCCUUCCCCUUCCCUAAUUUUCAAGUUGGAUCAUUAAUGCAUCUUACAAACUUAAUCUUGGUGGGUUGGCCUAAGCUCAAGUCUCUGCCGCAACAUAUUCAACACCUCACUUUUUUAACAUCUUUGAUAAUCUUGUCAAUUGAUGGAGUGGAGACUUUGCCAGAAUGGUUGGGUAGCCUUACAUCCCUUACAUGGCUGAAGAUUUCGUCUUGCAAGAAUCUGAUGAAUUUACCAAGUGUCCAUGCUAUGCAACGCCUCACCAAAUUACAAUCUCUCCAUAUUUCUGGAUGCCAUCCCCUUUUAGAGCAAAGAUGCACCAAGGACAGCGGCACAGAUUGGCCUAAGAUUUCUCACAUUCCAAAUAUCGACAGUAAGUUUUUAAAUUAUUGAAAUCAAAUUACAGAGCUGACGUUAUAUGUUUAUCACAUUUCUUCUUUUAUUCCGAGUCUCCAGUAGUACUACACUCAAAUUUAAACUAGUAUAACAUAUUUUGUUUAUCCUUCUCCCUUUUCUUUUAAAUGAUCAGUUGAGGUCUGAGACAAUACUUGGAUUGGAACUACGCAACUGGAACGAUGUAGUGCAGUUGGUGCAAACAGAGUCCAGGUACUGAUGCAUAAGAUAUUGUUUUUUUUUUCCAGAAAUGUGGUGUUUGUUGUUUAAGAUAUUGUUUCAUCCUUUCAACCAUUGCAUGCUAAUGACUUUUUAUCCUGAUCACAAUGGUAGUGGUGGAUUUACCACAUUUGUUGCUUUGAUCUCUUACAGUUUGCGUAUUUCAUUGAUUCCUACACAAUGAGGAAAUUUGUCUAUAACUCUAUAUUAUCUCAAGACUUGUUUUCAGGAUAACGAUGUUGAUAUAAUAAAUAGAACUGCUGUAAUUGCUUUCUUAUGAAGAUUUUGGACUGAUAGUUUUGGGUUUACUUGUAAUAUCUGGAUUGUAUGCAGAGUGAUUUGAAUACUAUUGAUUUUGUGUCUGUAGUUGAUAUUGCUCGAGUAACUUGAUGAACUGUUGAGUACCCAAAUUAUUUAGAGCGAUAUUAUUGUUGAUUUUUGUGUCUUUCCUAGCAGAACAUUUAAGAUCUUGGGACUUUUUGGGAUUCUAUGAGAAAGUUAGUUGAAAUGCAAUUAUCGAGAGAUAUUAUUGUUGGUGUGUUCCAAUGAGAUUAAAAUUAUGGACUACAGACUUUUUAUCCCGAUGAAAAUUGUAGCACUUCCCUUAGUCAUUUGAUUCUUGGAUAAUGAGGAAAGUGGAGCAAAUGUUAUUCCAAGACUUGUUAGCUGAUAAAACCAUGUUCAUAUUAUGUAAAAUUGCUGUAAUUGCUUUCACUCUGAAUCUUUGUUAUUUUUAUGAUCACUUGUUUCUUUUGAACAGAUAUUUAAAUUGUAUGCAGAGGGAUUUGGAUUGAGUUGACUUUUGUCUCUGUGAACUUGAUGAACAGAAUGGACCCAUACUAUUGCAGAAAUUAGGUAAAUGAAUCUUCAGGUCCAAGCCUUUUACUAUCAGUUGCAAAGUUGAAAUUUGUUUAUAUUUUUAUUAAGUUGUUUUGGUGUGUUAUCUUUGUACAGGCAGAAUUGGAGUCCGAUCAAAACUCAUGCAUGUAUCAAUAUCAUUCUUCAACUUCAAUCAUGUUUCCUUAUCAUCAAACCUUAAUUUGGAUACUGGAUCAAUAUCCUUUGUUUGAUACUCGUCGCCAAAUCGAAAUGCAUCCUUAUGUGUUUGCACAGAGAUUUGAAUUCAGUUGAUUUUUUGUGUUGUGUGGAUCUUUAGAAGCUUGGGCUUCCUAGCGUCCUUUGUGCCCUGCAUUGCUGUGAAAGGAUAGUGCAAGAAGCAGCCAGCUGUUGAAUAAGGUAGAGUUUGAGAUUUGAAAUUGAAAAACUAUUGUACUAUCCUAAUUGUAACUCUCUUUCUCUCUUCACUUGCCACCUAAAAGACUCUCUCAUGCUCCUUUUGAGAUGUAACUUACAAUAUUAUAGUAAAAACGGGAGAAACUACUAAGCAUGGGUGUAGCCGAGCUCGCAUGUAUGGAAGGUUCGCAAGAUGUCAUAUGGACUUGGUGCUUUCUUUAAUGAAAGAAACUCUGGAUGCUUUAUUGGGGAUGAGCGUCUGUAAAAUCAGCUCCAGUAUCUAAGGUGUUUUUUUCUCCUUUUAUUUUACAUUGAACAAUCUAAGCACACAUUUUUUUCCCCUCAUUUUAAGGUUUUCUCCAUUUCAUAUUCACCAUGUACUUAUUAGUCAUUAUGCCAUGAUGAUAACGAUGUCGGUGUAGGUCCUUAUUGGGUACUUUGGGUCACCCGUCCUGUUACCAUUGUUUCAACACCACAGUAUUUUACAGAUUCUUCGGGCUGUGAAGGUAAUACUGUCUCUUUUGAGCCACUUUCUUAUGCCAUUAUAAAGGAUUAACAUUUUUAUCAUUGAGAAUUAAUCGUGUUUAUAAUAAAUUGUGCAUUGCGGAUAUGAAGGAAGUAGCCUCUGUUAUUUUAAGCAGAAAAUUCAAGCUGCAAACAAGUUACUUCUACAAACACAUGUGCAUUCUCUACCCCAACUUUCUAGGAUAAAAAAUAACGUCUUUCAUUUUUCUGCAGUUGUGUUGUGGCCGAGGACAUCGGCAUAGGCCUUGCAGCAGACAGUUGAUGGAAUGAAGUGUAUCAUAACCAAAAGUGGGUAACUUACUUUCCUAUAUGAACGAAAGAAGAGUGCUUCCAUAUAUGUAUGCCACCUUCCUGAUAUCACCGAUUAUACUUCAAAUAUGAUAAACAUGUUCACUUCAUCUCUUAAAACUCCGGUUUCAGGUACACAGCUGAAGAAGACUUCCAUAAUGCAGAUUUAGUCUUUGACUUCAUUGGAGAUCUCCCGGAGGAGCGAAAUUUCAUUCAGUGCUGGUCCUCCAUCUACAAUACCUUUGGAUGGUGAUUAGGGUUUCAGCUAAGAUAAUAGACAAAUGAGUCUGCGUUCGAUAGUAAUCCUGCUGUAGAUAUUGCUGUUGAAGUAGUAUUUCGAUUGUAUACAAGUUUUUAUCGUUAUUCAUGAUUGUAUGUAGAGUCAAAGGAUUAUAUACAACUUUUUUCUUUCUUUUGAAAAUGAUGACUCAAUGUUAUUUAUUCCUCCUCCUUACAGACAUAAACAGUGCCUUGAUUUUUAUUUAAUUAAAGGGACCCCUCCAUGUGUUAAGCUCUUACAAAGUGGAGAGUUUACAAAGAAAUUAGACCAAAUUGUAAUUACAAACUUCAAUUAGGAAUACAUCAUUCUUGUUAGAUUUCAUGGUUCCUGGCACAUCUUCAAUGAGGUCACCCUACCACAUAUAUAGGAGAACAGUCGAGUACAUUAUUAUUAUUAUCGUGAUUUUUUAUAUCAAUGAUAUAAAAUUAUGUGUAUGUUUAUGUAUAGACUAUAGUUUAUGUAUAAUGUUGUACAAUUCGCAUGAGGAUAACCUUCUGGGACUGAGCUUGUCCAUUUUAUUGCAUGCAUUCAACUCUCUCCUCUCCCUCUCUGCCUCUUCACACAUUCCAUGCUCCAUUGUGAACACUUUACUUACUUGAAUUGAGAAAGUCAUGAAUUGAAAUGGUACAUUAUUGUUUAGGUAAACAUUUGAAACUUGAAUUAAUACUUAAUUUUUUUAUUCUUUAUAUGUUAGUAAACGUUUGAAAAUUCAACAAUUGAAAUGGUAUGGAUUUCUUGAGUACUCAUUAAUAGUAAGUCAACAUGUCAUAAGUUAAAAGAAAAACUAAUGAAAAGGGUUUGAAAACUUUGAGUUUUAAUGAUAAGGAUAAAAUAAAGGGUAAGGUGAAUAGUACCAGGAUUGAUUUUUUAGUGUAAAAAUGUGGUUUUUCGUUAAAGUGAACAGUACCAGAAGCUUUUCGUUAAAGUUCCCUAAGUUAAAAAGGCAAAUUUAUUAGGAGAAAUCAUGAAUCAGGAUGAUACCUUGUUGUUUAUGUAUAGUUGAUCUCAAACCUGAAUUGAAUUUGAUGGAUGUACCCCACCUAGGAUUUAUUAUUAUUAUUUGUGUAUUAGCAAACAUGAGAAGUUAGAAGUCAGAAUGAUACCAAUUUCUUAAUAUUCUUUCGUAACAAGUGAACAUAUAAAGAUGAAACAUUUUCCAAAGUUGAAAGCUUCAAGACAUAUAACAUAAGGCUGACAUUAAUUGUACAUGAUUAGCUGCUAGAUCAUGAUUAAAAUGGGUUGUCUGCCAAGUUGGGAGAAUGAGAGACUAAAUACAAGUGGAUACUUUAAAACAAUGUUUAAUCUUAUGACCAAAUAUUAAAGUAAAAUUCAUGUGCUAUUGUCUAUUCUAUUGUGUUUUUAGUACGUUAUAAUACACCUUUGAAUAUUCCAUGUAAAACCAACUUUCACAAACAUAAUAAAUACAAAGCAACUAGGUUAACGAUGUUUUAGGAGACUGAUCUAGAAAAUUCUUCUUUCACACCCAAACUAGGCAGAACUGUUUACUUGUAGGGUAUACAUUUUGUGUGUAUUUCACUCAUCACGUUUUAUUUCAACUCUCACGUGUUAUAGGCACGAAAAUGAUACAUCUCAUUUAAGGUAUAAAAAUCCUUCUCCAACUCACGAGGUACAUAUGGUUAUGUAUGUUUAAUUAUGAAACCUUUGAAAAGUGCUGCUACUAAGACAUCAUGAUCGUGAGUGGGGUUCCAAACCUUGCCUCACGGCUCUACCAGGACUAAAAUCAUCAGUUAGCUCACCUGAAAGUUCUUGCUCUUCCACUGGUUACCAGCUUAUGACCUGUGGGUAACGAAGGCAUAGGCUACGAUUGGUAAAUCUAUCUUGUGCCUUCUGCCCGCGAGGAAAGAAAGAAGAGCAACAAGGUUUAGUUCAGAUUUGACUUUUUGCAGCAUGGGAGCGGAUCGCCCAAAAAAUCCCUGGGAACAAUGAAAAAAAAAAUAUCUCGGUAACAAAAACUAUAGGGGGCUGGAAAACUCGCCAGAAACUGGAUAAACUUUGAACGUUUAUAACUUCUUCAAUACUCAAUGAAAUCAAGUGAUUCAAAAACUAAAAUCAUACUUAUCGACGAUACAAAGAGAAUGAUACCAUUUUUGAUGGCUAACUCGCCAUGGUUUGGCCGGAAAAUGGCUCGAAAGUGGCUAACUCAACGACCAAGACAGCCACUUUCAAGGAAUUUUCCGGUCAAACCACGGCUAUUUAGCCUUUGAGAAAUAUACCAUUCUUUUCAUCUUGUCGAGAAGUAUGAUUUUUGUUUUUGAAUCACUCGAUUUCGUUGAGUAUUGAAGAAGUUAUGAAUGUUUAAAGCUUACUCAGUUUCCAGCGAGUUUUCCAGUUUUCCCACGGACCAGCCACCUUUCAGGCUAUUUUCCGGCCAUCUCUGCUGACCAUUGGGCUUUCAAAUGGUAUAAUCUUAUUCUACACUUUCUUAUCUCAUUUUGAUAUAUUAUGGGUCGAAUUUGGUUAAAAAACGAUUAGGUUACGAAGUUUUGAAAAUUACCCAAACUUCCGGCCAAAAGCUCCAGGACACUUAACGGAGUUAUUAACGGAAUGACCAAAAUAAUGGAUGGUGGACAAUCUCAGAGACCAUUUAUAUUGAUUUUCAAUCUCAGAGACCAAAGUUAUGUGUUAUACAAAUCUCAGAGAUCAUUUUAGAUAAAAAAAACCUUUAAUUAGUGAGAAGGUAAAUUAUCUUUUUUUCAUGUGAUGAGCUAAGAAUCUAUUUUUGGAAUUUUUGCAUUUGGCAUGGGGUGUUGAUGAGCUUGCAGAUGAUGGAGCAGAUCUAAAAUGUAAUAAUGGUAGGUUGAGGGUGGUUGGCAAUAAAAUUAAAAAGGAGGGGGAUGGUUGGAACUUGGAUCCCUCCCUUCAGUCCACAACUCUUCCAUCAGAGAUCCCAUGUCUCAUUAGCUUCAACCUUCAAUUAAAUUGGUCACUUCUUGUCUUAAUUUAAGUCAUAUCAUCAUCAUCAUCACUUUAACACAUAACCCAAUGGGUUAGAUGGGUAGGAAACUUGGGAGUGUUGUAAUAGCAGCCACUCAAGUUCGAUUUUCAAUCAACUCAAACAUGAUCAGUUUUUAAAAUAGACAUAUUGGUCUCGAUUUAACUAUUGCAUGAAUUGUGAGGCCUGUUCUUGAAACCUGGGUUUUGCUUUUGUUUCUCUCUCGUGUAUACCAACUUCGUAGUUGAACACUUAAGUAAUCUUUGAGAGCAAACAUAAAGAUACAUACAUUACGUGUGAAAUUCAUAGGAAGCUAGCCAUUUUUGUGACCUAUUUAGAGUCACCAUUGCUUAUUUAUAUCCACAUUCUCCGUCAGAGAUCUGACUAUAUGCAAUGGGAAAUGGUAUUAUUGAUGAAGCUUGACAUUAUAACUUUUCACAUGUACGUGUUUUUGCGGGUUCAAAAUUUUGAAAACCCUCUCGCAAUCCUCUGCAGCAUGAAACCUCAUUGACCCAAAAAGCACCCUUACCACAGGAACCGAAGGAAGCUGAGGGAGCUACUGCCACUGCUCGUUUAGCCUACCAAUGGAGUAGGAUUCUCUCCUCUUUUUUUUUCCUCCCCUUCCAUCCUUUUCUAUUUGGAAGGUCACGGUUAAGUCACGUCAAUAUCUUAUAUUAAUUUUACAUUGAAAGAGAAAGACAAUUUAGAAAAUGUGAGAGAAGGGGAAGAAGGGAGAUGAAAAGAGGAGGGCAGAGAAUCCUAGUCCCCUACGAAUAUGGGAAUUUGAAAAGGAUUAGGAUUCUCUCUCCUCCUCUCACACUCUCUAUUUUGUCUUUUUCUUUCUAUAAAAAAUUAAUAUAAGAUGUUAAUGUGGCUUAACUGUGACCGUUCAAAUAUGAAGAGAGGGAAGGGGAGGGAAAAAAGAGAGGAGAGAGUCUCUUUCUCCAUUUGAAAAUUGAAUGUUGAAAUAAAGAGAUUUUUUGUUGUACCGGAACACUGCCUAGGAUUACUAUGUCACUAUAAUUAUGACAUAUGCAAUUAUUAUUAUUUAUAUAUAAACUUGAAGUUGGAAAUAUUAAUCAUAUCACUUAUCUAUAUUAUAAUACGCAAAGUGAUACACAAUCAAAGUCUAAAAUAUCGAUAAUAUCCCGAUAUUUUCAUCGAAAUUUCCGUAUUUUUGGACUACCGAUAUUUCUGAUAUCAUCGAUAUUUUAGACCUUGAUAGGAACUCUAUGUGGUACUUGAAACAUCCCAACCCCAUUUUUAUUUAAAAUUUGUUUUAAAGCCUUAAUUGGUGAGCCCGUGGGGCCCACCUUGUUUUAUUUUUUUGUGUUUUCUGGUCUCCCUCUCUCCUCUCUCAAUUCUCUCUCCCUUCCUCUCACCCGAGCUCUCUCUCCCUCGUCUCUCUCCUUCUCGUCCUCCCAUGAGCUCAUACCCAUCACCACACCACCCUCUCCGACGUCAACGGCGUCAUCAUCAUCAUCAUCAUUUCGUUCUCUCUCUCUCAGUUGCUGCGAGGACAGCAAAAACCCGGACAGCUCCGACGCAGACCGCCCCUUUCGAGGUCAUUUCCGGCCAAACCACGGCGAGUUGGCCAGGAAUCAAUCUCUUCGUCUCGCUGAGAACUACAACUUUCCUUUUUGUUUCACUCAAUUUCGUUGAGUAUUGAAUAAGUUAUACUCAUUUGAAUCUUACCCAGUUUUCGGCGACCUCCGAGGCUUUCGAGUCAUUUUCCGGCUAAACCACGGCGAGUUAGACAUCGUGUAAAGUACCAUUCUCUUCGUCUCUUCAAGGGAUACAACUUUCGUUUUUGAAUCACUCGAUUUUGUGGAGUUUUGACAAAGUUAUGGCCGUUUAAAGGUUGUGCAGUUUCCGGCCGAUUUCCGGCUUUCUCUCCCAUUGGGUCCGGCGACCCACCAAAACCCAAGCCCUUUGGGCCUUCCUUGCCGAGCCCAACCCUUUUGGUUGUGAGGCCUUUGGGCCGUGAGUGUGGUAUGUGUGUGUGUGUGUGUAUGUGUGUGCGCCGUAUGUGUGGCCUUUGGGCCGUGAGUGUGGUAUGUGUGUGUGUGUGUGUGUGUGUGUGUGUGUAUGUGUGUGCGCCGUAUGUGUGUGUUGUGUGUGGAUUUGGGCUUAAGCCCAAACCACCCCUUUAAACCCUAACCCCUUUUAACCCCAUUACCCUAAACCCUUAACCCUAACCGGUUCAAACCCUUUAUGGGAAAUAUUCUGUUAGCGAAUAUUCCCUGACGGAAUAUUCUAGGAAUAUUCUAUCAACGUUUACGAAAUUUAUCCAGGACUCUUCUUAGAGUAAUUCGACGUUCUGAAUCCGUUUUCCUAAAUUCAAUCGUUUAAGUAGAGUUUGACUAAAUGUGCUAUUUAUGUGCUUAAGGGCAAUUAUUGUGACGUUUUCGUCUUUGCUGGUGGCGCAGCUUUUGGCAACUAAGUACUGUGAGUGGACCAUUUCUAAAAUUACAUGAUUUUAUAGUUAAUUGCAUAAAUGAAUAGCAUGCCUUAUGAGUUUAUGUUUUGAUUUUAUGUUAAGCAUGUUUAUUGAAUAUGUUGAUUUUCGUCUCGUGUUUUUGGUGAGGAAUUAAUUGUUGGCCUAUAUUGAGCUAUAUUUUAAUAUAUCGUAUUUUCUAUAAAAGCCAUGAACUGGUAGACUAUCUGAUGGAUGACGAUAGGAUGCUAGAACAUGUUUUAGAAACCCUUCUUUAUAGUAUAGACGAUGAAUGACUUUAUACUAUGAAGUGAUUAUUUUUUAGAGACGUAACUAUUUGUGCGUACCUAAUGGACACUAUGCCGCCUGGGGCGAGGAUCUGGUGUUGGCAUUUAGGCCGGGAGAAAUAAUCCCUAGCUAUGGGCUAAGGGACAUGGAGCAGGCAUUAGGCCGAGAGUUGGUAAUUUCUGGCUACGGGCACAGAGACCACGGAUCAGACAUUGGGCCGGGAGUUAUAUUUAUUCAGUGAUCUUACUAGCAGCACACCGCGCUUACGAGACGAUCUACGAAAUGAUACACGCGAUGAUUUAUAUGAUGUUUUUUCGCGUUAUACCUGUCGAGAUAUUUUAUGGCAUGCUAGAGUUUCAAAAAAACCUAUCACUUAUUAUGUUAGUAAUUUUCAUUAUAUAUAAACCUGGGGGUUAGUAUAUUCAUAACUGUUUUUGUAUUAUGUAUAUAUAUGAACUUGGUCCACUCACCCUUGUUUUGCGCUCCCUUUCAGGAUUUAGAAUCGAGGCAUACAAUCCCGACGUCAACAUCUUCGCUUUGGCAUAUUCGAAUCCUCUCGAUGUAGGACCCAUUUCUUUAUUCAUUCAAUUUUAUCUUAAUUCUUUUUAGUGAUUAUGUUUAGUUGUAUGCUCUGAACACGUUCGUAAAAUUUUCUUAAUUCAUUGUAUUUUAAAUUCAUAACCCUUAUUUAUUUCUUAUUCUUAGCUUUUGUAUCAAUUAAUGGCUUUCGUCACCUUCGGGUGUCGACCAACACAUGUCUAUUCUGGUAUUCGGGGAAUAUCAGGGUCGGGACGUGUCAGUAUUAAGUCACUCAUGUAUCUUACUAUGCAAUGUAUAAAGUGUAAAAUAUUGUACUAAUUCAUUAUAUAUAAAUGAUUAUGGUGUGUUUAAACUUCUUUCAUUAAUUACUACAUAUUUUCUACACUCACAAUGUUUGCCAGCUCGCUAUAUAAUCAACUUAAAUCAGUUAAAUCCAUCAUGCAAUGCAUUUCCUUUCAAUUUUUUGUGAUAAACUAAUAGAUAAUUGACUAAAUGAACAUCCUGCAAAGUUUCAAUAAAAAUUUCCAAGUUUUUUUUAUAAUUUUCGUGGUUUUUAUUCAAUUUUUAUCGAUAUCGAUAAUAUCCUGAUAUUUCCGUGUUUUUGGACUACCGAUAUUUCCGAUAUCAUCGAUAUUUUAGACCUUGUACACAACGUAACGUUUCAAAAACAUAGGUAAACAUUUUUCGUUGAAAUGAAACAAUAGCUACUUUUUCGGCCACAAUAAGUCAUUUUGGUACAAUUAAAUGAUAGUUAGCCAGCCCAUGCAUGCAAUUGCAUCUACUCAAGUUUCCCUACCUAAUUGACCAUAAAAAGUUACCCCUGCCGAGUCGAUAUGAGUACAGUGAAGGAAAAGGUUUCUAGACGUACAAACACUGACGUGUAUUACCUUAACAAUUUUCUCAAAAGAGCGUAGGAGAAAACAACCAAGGUAACGGCUAGGAAGACUUCGAGUAACGUCUCAAUUCUUCAAAUUGAAAACCAAAUCGGUUCAAUAUUUUACCAUGUACUAUGAUACUAUUUUAGAGCAACGCUAAUGAGAUUCUCAAAAUAUGACUAUUCAUAUAUUUCAUGUUAUCUCACAGUUUAGUGUUAAUUAUUAUGUUAAUAUUAUAAAAUAUUGUGCUAAAAAUAUAGGGUGACAAAAAAUCUAUGGAGAGUCCCAUUUUUUUUUUAGAAAGUCUCCUUAAUAUUUCUCAUGUGAAGAAGAUGUAGGUUAAGUCAACUAACUAAAUAUUUAAGACAUUGUAGCCAUUCUUUUAUAUCCAUGUUUAAAUAUCACUUUUCAAAGAUUAAAGUAAUUUAAGAAAAAAGUGCUUCAACUCUUAUGUAGUUGAGUUUGAAUAUAUACAUAUUUUUUUAAUUAGAGUUGUUUAAAUUGUUGUUUUACAAAAAAAAUAAAUUAGUGUUAAGCCAAAACAAAAAAACAGUAGUGCUUUGAGCUGGGCUUUGUCUCUCUCAGUUUACUCACGAAGUGAGAGAGAUGGGCACACAGCUCACACACACAAAGGCAGUGCAGUCCUCUUCAUCUCCCUUUUCUUUUAUCCCUCUAAUUUACUCAUUCCUUCAUCUUCUUUCCCCUUCCCUUCUCCUUUCUCCCCUUCCACUUUUUCAAUUCAAACACUAAAUUUUCCUUUUCUCAAUCUCCAAAACCAAGCUUUGAAAUUUCCCUUUUGCUCAAUUGUCUGGUAAGAAAAUUUGAAGCACUUUUUCCUGCUUAAAAUCCCACCAAAUUCUCAAAAGUCUCAGACUUUUGUGCUUUUAUUGCACCCACAUUUCUGCUGAGUGAGUGGUUAUCUCAGAAGAAACCUGUGGCUGUAAUGCCUGGAUUGGAUCUGAAGCUUUUCACUUCAAGGAAGGAGCUUUACCCUAUGCUGUUCAGCUCAGGCAGCUCCUCGGCUCUCACUGCAUUCUCUGCCGCAAACUGCAGGUAAAAGAGAGCUUAUAGAUCUGAACUUGCUAUGCCUGCCAUUGUGAAAAGUGCUUUCUUUUGUGCUACCUCCUUGCAUGAAUGCCUUACUGCUUGUUCUUCCACUUAAUUUCUAAUCAACCCACGAAUGAUUUUUUCAGUUUCAUUCAUUUUACUAUAAUUAAAAUGUUGAAUUUGGUCAAUGUGGUUGCUUUGGACUAAACCCACUUUUCUUGUGACUGUUGGAUUAAGUUUUAAUUUGGUCAAAUUACUUAAUGUAAAUGCUUUGCAUUAUUGACUACCUAAUCUUCAUUUGUUCGUUUUCCUGCUGAACCAGGAGAUUGUGAGCCCUCCAGAGGUUGCAUUUUGAUUUUUCUCUUGUCACUUUCGUAGACUUUGAUCGAAACAGCUCCCCAUGAAGUCCUGUCCCUUUUUAGUUAUUCCCUCCCUUUUUGGCAUUGCCAUUCUUCUUCCCCUGGUUUUCUCUGACCUGACUUCCGAUAGGCAAGCGCUUCUUGACUUCGCCGAUGCUGUUCCCCAUCGUCGAAAGCUUAGUUGGAACCCUGCUACCCCUGUCUGCACAUCCUGGGUUGGCAUCACUUGCACUCCAAAUGGCACCCGGGUUACUUCCCUCCGACUUCCUGGAGUUGGACUGGUGGGCUCUGUCCCACCAAACACCCUUGGUAGGCUAGAUGCCCUCCGAAUUCUUAGCCUUCGGUCUAAUCUUCUCCGCGGUGUCCUUCCUUCUGAUAUUACCUCCCUUCCUGCACUCCAGCGCUUAUACCUGCAACGUAACAACUUCUCUGGUGACAUUCCUACCUCCUUUUCACCUCAACUCAAUGUAUUGGAUUUAUCAUUUAAUUCCUUCACAGGCAACAUUCCACAAACAAUGCGUAAUUUGACACAACUCACAGAAUUGAGCCUCCAGAACAACACCCUUUCCGGACCUAUACCUGAUCUCGACCUACCUAAGCUCAAGCGUCUAAAUUUAAGUUACAACCGUAUUAAUGGCUCUAUACCAUCAUCCCUUCAAAGGUUCCCCUAUUCAUCCUUUGUGGGAAAUUCACGUUUAUGUGGAGGGCCUCUUAAGCCUUGCUCCCUCGUCCUUCCUCCGCCACCUCCUACUUCCAAUCGACCACCACCAGUAGCUCCUCAUAAAAAAAGCUCCCAGAAAAAGCUGAAGUUGGGAUACAUCAUUGCUAUUGCAGUUGGAGGGUCUGUUCUGCUGUUGCUGUUAGGCCUAAUUAUAGUUCUCUGCUGUUUAAAGAAGAAGGACAACAGAGGAACUAGUGUAUUGAAAGGGAAGUCUUCUACCGGCGGAAGGAGUGAGAAGCCCAAAGAGGAGUUUGGGAGUGGGGUGCAGGAACCCGAGAAGAACAAACUGGUUUUCUUUGAAGGUUGUUCUUACAAUUUUGAUCUUGAUGAUUUGUUGAGGGCUUCAGCUGAAGUCUUAGGAAAGGGAAGUUAUGGUACUGCGUACAAGGCGGUCUUAGAGGAGGCAACAACAGUGGUAGUUAAAAGGUUGAAGGAAGUGGUCGUUGGGCAGAGGGAUUUUGAACAGAAAAUGGAGAUUGUGGGAAGAGUUGGACAGCACGCAAAUGUUGUUCCACUCCGUGCUUAUUAUUACUCAAAAGACGAGAAGCUUCUAGUUUAUGAUUGUAUCUCAAAUGGGAGCUUAUCUGCGCUUUUACAUGGUAUGCAUGUCACUACUCUAUUUCUUUCUUUUUUAUCUCUUUCAUAAAAAUAAACACACCAUUUGUAAGUGAGAACUUGUGUGCAUAUCUAAGAGAAAAUGCAGGUAAUUACCGUGAAGAGUAUAUAGUUUCUGUAGAAUACUUGUAGAGAAACAUCAUUUUAAAUUAAGGAGUUUUCAUCAACGUAGUCGAGCAGCAUACUCGAUAAUGAUGGUGUUAUGUUGGGAUUUCAGAGUUAUAAUUACGUGCUUUGCAACUCGGAUGCAUUUCAUCUGCAUGAAUCCCACGAGUAUUUGAAUUUUGGUUUGACCUCCGUAUGCCUAAUGGUUUUCUAGUCCUCAUUGGAGGAGGCAUUGUGAUACCCCAUUCUUCAACCAGUGUCACCUAUUACUUUUCCCAACUAUUUCUGUUUCCUUUUUGCUUGAUGGUAAAACAUGCUCAUCUGUUAUGCGUAAUAAAAGAUCAGGUUACCGUUCUACUUUCCAUCCCCAUAUCCAAUACGAAAGAUACAUCAUACUUCCGAGUUCAGCAACUGCUUUCAGUUUACUGAAGUGUGCAAAGGAGCUUGCUAUCUUCAAUUUUUCUUCUCUGUAUUGGCAAUCACUUUUAGUUCUUGUUUCGAAAGUCUGUAAUGGAUCUAUUCAGGACAGGCUAUUUAGAUCAACUUUUUAGAAAAUUCAGCUGUUUGUUGAAGCCACUGUCUUGUGCACCACACUCAAUUUUUAUUGAAUCUUAUGGCAGGAAACCGAGGAAGCGGAAGAACUGCAUUAGACUGGGACUCGAGGGUAAAGAUUUCCCUUGGCACCGCGAGGGGAAUUGCUCAUAUCCAUUCUGUGGGUGGUCCAAAAUUGACUCAUGGAAAUAUCAAGUCCACAAAUGUCCUUCUUAGCCAAGACCUCAAUGGGUGCAUCUCCGAUGUUGGCCUGACUCCUCUCAUGAAUGUUCCUGCCACUGCUCGGAGUGCAGGCUAUCGUGCUCCAGAGGUGAUUGAAACCCGCAGGCACUCUCAUAAAUCAGAUGUGUAUAGCUUUGGCGUCGUCCUCCUUGAGAUGCUGACUGGAAAAGCUCCACUCCGGUCGCCGGGGCGUGAUGAUAUGGUUGAUCUUCCUCGGUGGGUCCAGUCCGUGGUCAGGGAGGAGUGGACCGCAGAGGUAUUUGACGUUGAACUGAUGAGGUACCAAAACAUUGAAGAAGAAAUGGUUCAAAUGUUGCAAAUUGCAAUGGCGUGCGUGGCAAAGGUUCCGGAUAUGCGACCGAGCAUGGAAGAAGUUGUUAGAAUGAUUGAAGAAAUCCGGCAAUCAGACUCAGAGAACCGGCCAUCUUCCGAAGAGAAUAAAUCAAAGGACUCAACUGUGCAGACUCCUUGACCGCUCAAACUUGUUGCUGUUUUCAUUUAGUAGGAUCUGAGAAAUUCAUGAUAGAAACUGUACAUUUUUUGUACAUGCCUCGUAAGGUUUUCCCAAGCAUUAUUCAAUUACAUGCAAGGCUUUGUAGAGUGGCAAUUUAUCAGUCCAAUUGUGAAAUUUUUCCAAGUAGUUUAGGUGGGGUUUUUUGUUUUCUUGAUUUGUUGUAAUAUUGAAUUUUAACAUAAUGAAUUAAUCGACGAUCUUCAAUAAUUCAAUAGUUUUGUCUGAUUUUUGUUUUAGAGAAGUGAUUUCCGCACAUUCAUGUUUAUUUCUGACAUUUGGAUUGAAUAAAUCAUAUAGAUAUUCAAGUGACAUAAAUAAACAUUGGCAUGCGGAAAUUAUUUCCUAUUCCUAUAGUCACAUUUUAAUCACUAUAAAAUUGACGUUGAAAGUACACACCAUCACAUUAUGAGACAGCUAAUGUGGUUAGAAAUGUUGGUCACUUGGUCUAAAGCUACUCUUACGGAGAUGCACGUUCUAGGCCCUUGAAAAUAGGAGGGUAUAUAUAUGUAUUUAGGGGUUGCAUUUCCGUUGUAGGUCAGUUUCUCUCCAAGUCUGGCGAUUCCAAUUUCCUUUGCAUGCCAACUCCGAUUUUCCGUACAUAGAUUGUGGUCCUCGGUUUCCAGCCAAGAAAAGUACUAUGUUCAUAGAUUGUGGUCCUCGGUUUCCAGCCAAGAAAAGUACUAUGUUUCUCUAAACACAUGAAAGAUCCUUCAAAAAACUCGUCACCUUUAUCGUCGAUUGCUAUCCUCCGUGAUCUGGCAAGGAGGUGCUAGCUAGAGUUCCAACAAUGGCAGACGGUUCAUCCUUGCCUCCACCUCCUGGCCGCAACCAAUCAAAGGCCAGCAGUGCGCGGCAUGUUGCCUUUUCCGAAACUGCCUCAGCUCCCAGCAAGGUCCGCGAACAGCCCUAUCCGGUUCCCGACCUUGACCAUGAGCGCCCCAAGCGUAUUCGUCCAGGCUGCUACGCUUGCUGCGCAUGGUGCUGCUUGGUCUUCUUCGCCAUUGUGAUUCUCGCUCUCAUUAUUGGUUUCAUUUGCGUGGCCAUCUUCCAUUCGUAUCUCCCAACAAUCUACAUCCGAAGAUUCAACGCCACCAGCCUCAACUUUACUAAAAACCACAAUAACAUUGUCUUGAAGGGAAAUGUAGAUUUUCUUGUGGAGUUCUUUAACAAGAAUGACAAAACUGAGCUCAAGUAUGGCGCCUUCAAGAUCAAAGUUACGUCUGCGCACAUCCCGCUAGGUAGCACCCAGUUUUCUCAGUUUACUCAGGGCCACAAGAACACCAAGUUCUUGAAUGGAACUGUUAGGGUUAAUAAAUCCAAGAUUGACAAAGACGACGCAGACCAACUCAAGAUCGACAUGAAAAAUAGGGACAUGACACUGAAUUUAGGCAUGACCGGAAGCGUUAGCUUCCCCAUUGGAGGAAUUCAGUUUAAUGACAUUCCGAUCAUUUCAAACUGCGAUGCCAAGCAAAGGGAAAUUGAUUUCGGAAACAAGGCUAAAUGUGAUUAUAAGAUUAUCCCCAUAUAAUGAAAUCCUCGAUGAUCUCCAUCCGCGUUCUCUAUGUUACGGAUAAUAGUUUAGAUCCUGCGUUUUUCCUCAACUCUCUGACAUGAUCGUGGGAUUACUUUAGACGAGACGAGAGAUUCAAAGUGGUGCAGGAAAAACAGCUACCAAUAGUGAUGAGGGAAGAAUGGUUUGAGCCAUCAUAUAUCAUACGUCGAUUGGAUAUGUAAGGUUUGGUUGUUUUGUUAUGUAUUAGCCUAUCAGGUCUAAUCUUAAAAGCUUUUCCUUCUUUUUGUGGUGCUGGAUCUUUCAUUAGUGUUGAGAAACUUGUGUAGAAUCAUUAAACGUGUUUAAGGUUUUAAAUACUAGUCUUAUAUCGUGAUCAAAUGUAUUACAUUUCGUGUAAGGGGGUGCAAUCUGCAGAUGAAUGUCUAUAUGUUGCUUUUGUUUUGAUUUCUUUCCUCAUCACCUUAUGAGUUAUGGCCUUAAUACGCAGAAGAAUUAUAUGUUGACUAAUCAAUAGUUGACACUGCGUAGUGAAAUCUAUUUCUUACGUUGAAAGAUGUCUUAAAUUUGAAUCUCUUUCUCUUUCGUUGAUAAAAGUUGUUUGAAACACAACCAAGUAACAAGUGAUAUAUAAUAUUGUUUCUAAGGAUAAAUCUUGGAUGUACUUUUUUUUUUUUUUGUAGAGACGGAUUAGGUGAGAUUAGCUCUACGUCAACAGUCGCGUGCAAGGCACCAACCCUCUCCCAAAGGAGAAAGGACCGUUGCACCCAGAAACCCCCUGCCCAAAACAAGUUUAUAAUUCAUCUUCAUUCCUGCCUCGAAAGCUUAUGUUUGGACGAGAGAUUUUAUGACAGUGUCAAGAAAUUGAAGCCGAGUUAGCGAAGAAUGAGUCACAAAAUAUUAGACAAGGGAGAUUAUGAAUGCAUGACAUUAGAGGUGUGUAAAAAUGAUUUACAAUUCAACAAUAAAAAAAAUUGAUCUUUAAAAUUACCAUGACAAAGAUUAGGGCGGGCAACGCCACCAAAAUAAUUUUGCGUCCGUUUCUCAGGUGAGGCAGUGGGCGGGUCUCAAUCCUGAGUCCCAUCCUAACUGCCGGGGUGCCAAUGAGGUUCCAGGUCCGAGUGUCGAAUUAGGUUUUUGAAAAAUGGAUGCACAUAACACCCAAUCGAUAAAAAUUGAAAGGUCAGAAGAAUCCAACCCUAUACAGUCAAGUGAAUGACUCACUAUUAACAAUACUGUAUUGAGGUAAUUUUGUUACAAUAUUGAUAAUAUUGACAUGAUGCUUAUAUUGUAUUGAGAUUACGCUAAUAUUGUUGAUACAAUGUCUAUAAUGUGAGUAUAUUGUCUCCACGUCAUACAUACAUACAUACAUACAUAUAUAUAUAUGCUCUUUAUGCAAAGGGAUCUCCAUUUUUUUCAAAAAAUUGGGAUUAGGUGUGGGGCUCAUUCCAUAUUAAACUUUAACGAUCCGAAUCGUCUAUUUUGUAAGUCUCGAUUCAUAGAUCAUUCUUGUAAAAAUUCAAUUCAAUCCGAAACAAUUUGCUUAUUUAAUUCUCAAAAUAAAUUUUCAUUAUUUAUUAUUUAACAAAAUAUUCGUUCAUUUAUUUAAACCCAAUUAGAUGUGUUAAACAUUUCCGAUUUGGCUAAUAUUUUGCAAGGAUGGUAUAUGAGGUGCAACUUAAAAAAUAGACAGUUCGAAUCGUUAAAAUUCGAUGUGAUGUUUCAUUUUUAUAAAUAAAUGAGUGGGCUAAACCUCAUAAUGGGCGAGCCACAAUAAUGUUUCAAAUUCGCCUUUGGCGAGAAUCGAACCUAAGACCUCUCACUUACAAGUGAAGAUGAAUGUCACUAGACCGUAGUAUUAAGUGACCAAUUCUACAUGUUGGACAUGUAAUUUCUAACAUAACCUAUUAAACCAACACGAAACGACACAACCCGUUAAUGAGUAUGGUCGUUAUCAGAUAACAAGUUUGACAAGACAUGACUCGUUUGUCAGGUCAGAAAGGGACUAGAUUGCAACUAACAAAGGGUGCCGUGGCAAAACAGUUAAAGUACAUCCAGGAGGAUAUCCUCUUUAUGAGGAUCCUGGAGAUCCUCAAAUUGUGUCCGUUUAUCGUAUAUCGUGCGACCAGUUUUCAUCAGAUAAUAUUCAUGUUUAAUUUAAAAUAAAAGUAUUUGAAAUAAUUUAUGACCGUACAAUGUGAAGAUUCCCAGAAUCCUCACAAAGAGGAUCCUCAUUCAAAGUACAUUGUUCAGUAUUAAAUUGUUAUCAGUUCGAGCUACUUUUGUUUCUAAUUGUUCGUGGCUUCACUAACUCCCCAUGUAACAAGUGCAUAGCCUACUCUCUGAGGGCGAUCCAACCACAUCCAUGUUACUCAUAGAUCCGUCACAAAAUAAGUUAAAACUUGAAAUAUCACUUCUAAUAUACAAUCAUACUAAAAUUGAGUUAAAACUAAUUUAAUGUGUGCCAUGAUUGCCUUAUUGAUCCACUUAUAGAAGAUUUAGAUGGUCAAACACGAGUGACUUUCGAAUAUACUUGUGCUUCAAUAUUUUAGGCAAUAAUGUGAAAAUUUUGAAAGGUUGUGCCUGAUUAGAAACAAAAUAAAAUGUGAGGGAUGUAUUUUGCAAUGAGUAUAUUUUUGCUCAUCAUUCGUAAGUGGUGAUAAUGCUCGUCAAUCUACUUAUAAUUAUUAGAUGAGUUUAAAUUUUGAAAUUUAUAUUUACCUAUUACACAAAUUUUAAGAUUUAAACUCAUUAAAAAGUAAUAAUACGGUGAUAAGCAUCAACAUCACUAGAAAGGUGGAGGAAAAUAUCUUCUUUUGUAAUUAGCUUUAAGUGGAGGGUACGAAGGAUGUUGUAAUAUGGAGGAGGACAUGGAUCCCACGCCAAGUUGGAAUAUAAACAUAGAAAAUUCUAGGAAAGUCUUUUUUCUUUCUUAUCUUUUUCUAUAUAUGUGAAAAUACAAAAUAUAUUUCCCCAAUUUUUGCCCUUCUCAUCUUCUUUCAAUCUCGGCUUCUGUCAAAUCCCAAUCGCGCAAUCUCCUGGUAUUCUUCCCCUUCUCAUCCAAUUCUCAAGUACUCUGACAUUUUUGUUUUUGCUUUUAAUUUAUAUGAAAUAAAGGUAUCCGCUUUAAUCUGUGAUUUUGUGGGAAAUUAGGGUUUGGAUUUUGGGAAAUUUGGGUUUGUUUGGGCUCGUGAUCUGGUUUUGAUUAGGUUUUUUUUUUCUGGGUUUUUCAGGUUGUGUUUUGUGUGAUUGUGUGUGUUUGUAGGUGUUGUCAUGGCAUCUAAACGCAUCUUGAAGGAGCUCAAGGAUUUGCAGAAGGACCCCCCUACCUCAUGCAGUGCUGGUAUUUGCUCCUUUUCCUUGGACAAAUCCCUUGUCUUUUUGUUAAAAUUUUUUUUUUUGUCAUUAGUUAAGCUUGGGGGUGGGAGAAAUCGAACUUGGGUGAGGUGGGAGUUUCUUUUUGUUAAAUUUAGAUCCCAUAUAUAAAAUUGUCUUAGAAAUGUAGAUGGAAGUUCCUAUUGCAGCGGAUUAGCGGGGUUUUUUCGAUGAUUUCUACUGUUUCCAGCUUCUUCGAUUUUUGGCAAAAAAUUGGCCCCUUUUCAUCAAUUGGACAGAAAAGAAAAAAACUGAAAUUUUAACCCUUUGCUUUAUCGAUUAGGAAAUAAAGAUGUAUCAAAUUUGAGGAUGGUCCAUUUGGGAGCGAAACCAUCCUCCUUUAAUGGUUUAGCUGAUGUAAAAAGGUGAUGGUAGGAUAUUCUGGCAUUGUAGUGAGUUUUGUAUAGGUCUCGUAUGCUGGCUCAUGCUUCUUGUGUUUCUUGGGUAUAUGCAUAUUUUGAUCGCUUUACUGAACUUGGCAUACUAACUUCUUGUGGGUUUCUCUUUCAUGGAUUAUAGGUCCUGUGGCCGAGGACAUGUUCCAUUGGCAAGCGACAAUUAUGGGACCUGGUGAUAGUCCAUACACGGGUGGUGUUUUUCUAGUUUCAAUUCAUUUCCCUCCAGAUUAUCCAUUCAAGCCUCCAAAGGUACAAAUAGAAAAACCGGGUCCUCAUGUUUCUAUAUGUUGUUGUGGUCAUGUUCCACCAUAGAGUAUCAUUAUUGAAACAUGAGCUUUCGUGAGUCAUAUAAUGGGUGAAAUGGGUACCUGCACAAAGUCUUUAGUUAUCUAUUCGUACACGCAGGUGAUUCAUUACAAUGUUCUCUGCAGUUUAUGUGAGGGGAACUUCAUGUGUAUCAUAUCUGGAAUUUUAUUUUAGCCAUAAGCUGCAGAUGCAUUUAUUGGACACAGUUCAUUUUUAAGUAGUUGUCAUUCAUGAUGUACCAGGCCACAUUACAAUUAUAUUCAAGCUUUUUUCUUCUCCUGUAUUUUGUUUUGGAAGGGGUUGGGAGGGAUGUGUCAGUGCGAGAGAGACAUUGCAUUUUGAAGUAGUGUUGGUUACUAAUAUCGCAUUUCGAUUUUAUGUCUGUUAGCGGGAGUGUUAUAUAAUACUAAGUUGAAAUUGUCUACAAACUGAUUACUCCUUUAGGCUUUAGAUUCUUCUGCCAUCAACAUUCAGUCAGCCAAAAUAUCCUGUAUAUCAGCUGUAUCUUUGUUUAAAGUGAUUCUUCUUUUUAUUUGAUUUUAAUGUUAAAAUGUUCUUUUUGUUCACAAUUGAUAUUUGGGAUAUUCAAGGAUGUGUUUUCGAAUUCAAUAAAGUGGCAAGGUGUUUCUCUGUUCCCUCAGUUUUUCAUGAAUCGUGUUUAUCUUAGAAUACUUUUAAAAUUGUACGACAAAAGCUCAUUAUUGUAAAAUCAUGUUAUCUAUAGCAGGUGCCCAUUUUAUGUUUUUGGCUUCUUAGUUAUCUCUGGUAGAAUUUUAGAGGCUAACUCAAGUUGCGUGUGUAGUCUAAGGCUUUUGGUCUACUUGUGAUUGUCUCAGAAUUUGUCUCUUGAUAGUCUAGAAUGUAGAGUCUAACAACUCAAGUUCCAUUUCAGGUUGCAUUUAGGACCAAGGUAUUCCACCCAAACAUUAAUAGCAAUGGAAGCAUAUGUCUUGAUAUUCUCAAAGAACAAUGGAGCCCGGCACUAACCAUUUCCAAGGUUUGUGUAAUUAUUUUGUUCUUGUCAGAAUUCGUUUUGUGUGUGGGACUACAACAGCUGUGGCUUAUGUCCCCUUAUCAGAUUAAAAGGAGAUGUCCUGUGGCUGCAUCCUAAUGAACCUACAUCUCAUUCCAAGCCCUGUUGCAACAUGUGACUUGCAACUGGUGCUGUGAGACGUAUUCAUCAUGUGCGAUCCUACUUUUCACUCCAUGUCCUGUUGUAUCACUUGAGAUGGGAUGAGUGAUACGGCUCAAGCAUGUGGGUGUGCCUAAAAAGGAUGAGAUGUCAUCAUUUUACGGGAUGAAGUUAAAAUACAGAGCAAGUAACAUGGUAUACUCAACAUAGGAUGAGAUGUUGUCAUUUUGUGGGAUGGAUUUAACGUUGAUUCCUUUUAAUCUGAUAAGGGCACUAAAUUCAGUUCUAACCUCUUGUGAUAUGGGUUAUAAUGUGUAUCAAAUGAACUUGUGUUUCAGGUGCUGCUGUCCAUAUGCUCUCUGUUGACGGACCCCAACCCCGACGACCCGCUUGUCCCCGAAAUUGCACACAUGUACAAGACGGACAGGGCAAAGUAUGAAGCCACUGCUCGCAGUUGGACUCAGAAGUACGCGAUGGGGUAAAACCAAAGGUUCCGGCAUUUGUUAAAAGGCUUGCAAAUGCACGAACUCCAUCUCCUUUAAAGUGAACAUUGGAAAUAUUGAAAAUUUAUCUUUUCUGUGAGACUUAAAGUUGAUCAAGGAACAAGUUCACAUUUGUGAAUAUUCAUUUGAAGGCAUUCGAGAUGGAAGGAAAAAACAAGUGUAAUGUAUCGUUACUAUGAUAUUUAAGUGAAUGGUUUGUUUGUUGAAGAAAUAAUGCUUUUUAAGAGCACGAUUGCUUUAGAGUGCCUGGUUUAACACCGUCCAAAUGAAAGCAAUUUUUGUGUUCAGGUUGAUGAACCCGUUUGGAAGUGAUCCUCGGAGGGAUAGAAUCACUUCUUGGAAGAAGCACAUGAGAGGCGCUUCUCCAUAAAACUACCGCCCCUCGUGCUUUCCGAAGAGUGUCACUUCUAUCCCUCCUAGAAUCACUUCCAAAGAUGAAACGAUGUGUUACGCCGAAUCCAUUUGUAUGUGUUACUUGACGUGGGUUAGGCCAAGUGGCCAUAAAGUUUCCCGCUUCCUGGCUGGCUCCCAAGUUCCAGUCCCUUUCCCUGAGUUUAGAGCAACGAGAACUAUUCCUUACGUGCGUAUAUUGUGAUGCUUCUGAAGCUCUUUUACGAUGAAGGGAACGUCGUAUAUAUCUAUGAUAUAGAAUAAUGUACACAUAUUUCUUUUGUUUUUUUUUAUCAUUGGUAGCUAUAAAGCGCAGAACUUGUGAAUUGGAUGCGAACGAGUCACACCGAUGGGCACUUGUGGUUGUGGUGGUGCAAGGUUUGGCACCGAAUGAUGUGCUCCGUUUGAAUUUUUCAUGUCUAGAAGCCACGUGGCAUCAUGGGUUCUUCUCUUUCCAAGUUCCAAUAUCAAUCUUCUAGAUUUCCUUCUAUUAGGUGAAAAGUUUUCUAGAUUAACUUUAAUACAUCCGAUGCUGAACGAAAGAUUUAAAACACGAUAUCUUGGAUGCAUGAAAAAAAUUAUAGGUCGGUUGGAGUAAAGAGGUAGCCAAAGCAUACACCCCCAUCCUAGCUCCCGUAAUUCGCCCCUUGCCAUUUCGCGACCCUUUCUGAAGAAUUUGUCAAAAAUUUUGCUCCCAUACUAGUUAAACUUUAGGGUGAGUAAGGGCAAUAACCUUCGUUCAACGUUACGUGUAUCCACCCCUUAAUAUGCGAGUUAUAGAUUCUCGAUGCCUAGGUAACAUGGACAGUCCUAGAUUCUUAAACUAAUAAUACAAGGAGUUAGGUCAUGCAUGAUUUAAAAGAAACGUCAUCACAAACUGCUGGAAAAAAUUAACCCUAUUUUAAUUCCCCAUUAAAUUUAAGUGUGCACUUUGAGGGGGCAAAUUAAGAUAUCUUUGAUUAACUUAUCGCUUGGUUGACAAGCAACGAACCUCCAUCUCCAGUCUCUUUGUCCCAACCCUAAUCAUGCAUGAUUGCUCACUUUUCUCACGUGCUGGCUGAUGGAUUGGGGGUCUAUCGUUGCCUUUGCUUCCUCCCGAAGCAUAAACCAACCCUAUCAACUUUUCGACGUUUUUCAGUGGUUUUCAUUUAAUUUAAUUUAAUUUUGAACCCAUCUCUAUGUAUGUAAUGCCGCCACAAGGUGUGAUAGGUUGAAGAGAAAAGUAGGAUUACAUAUACAAUUAUUAAUAGGUUUUGACAAAUUUACUCUCUACCUAUGUUAUUUUGACUCAAUCCAACUCUUGAUUAAAAUAAUUCAAUGGUGUCUUCUUUUCAUGGCUCGACCUCUUGUAUAUAACGAGCCGUUUAUUUUUAUGUAAAAUCACAAUUUGACACUAUACAAUAAAAUAAAGAGAAUCUUAAAUAGUGGAGUCACAUGAUUAGACUUGUGUGACCGUCCAAUAACAAGUAAUUAAGUGUUACAACUAAUAUCAGUGUGUGGCUAGAUGAAGAAAAACACAAAAAUAUUAUAAGUGUAAAACAAAGUGAGAUCAAACAGAACCAGUUGCCGUACUGAAGAUUUUUAACCCAGAAUAGGGCUUUUUUUUCAGUAAAGGGAUUAGGUUUGAUGGGGUCAAAGAAAAUUAAAAUUGGGUCCAUAAGCUGAUAUUUGUAUACGAUGAUCGUGAUGUAUAUGGCCUGGCAUGCACCUAUCAUUCCAUCACCCAUGCGUUGAAGAAGAAAAAAGACACCGUUUGAGUCUCAAUUUUUAGCACACAAACUAAACAGUUUCAUAUACGCUGCAGAAGCUGUGGACAGUAAAAAGUUAAAGCCACAGCUUCCCGAUUAGGUGGAAAAAAGAGUCUAAAGAGAAGCAUGCUUUUGGAGACGCACCAACAUACCAAACGGAAAGGAUCCUCUACGGAUCCCUUCCAUCAAAUCCACCAAAUCUAUUAAUUUGGAUAUUUAAAAUUUGAUUCAACGGCUAUUAUAACUUUUAAAGAAGACUCAUAUUUUUAACUCUUGGAUCAAAUUUUAAGAGCUCGGAUUAGUGGAUUUGGUGGAAGAGAUCCAAAGAGGAUCCCUUUCCAUACCAAACACAGUAAAAGGCAGAGAAAAAGAGCUGCAUGCUAACUAGAGAAACCGCGUGGUCGGUUUCAAACAUGUAAAACGUGAAUUAGCAUUGUGUCUCCAAUUGUAUAUCUCUUUGUAUUCAUCACUCUCGUUAUGUGUACGUCAGACACAAUGCAAGUUACUUUCUCUCAUUUAGCAAAACUUAUUGUGCUAUCUUAAGCAGAAUACAAGUACAUCCUCUCAUUUAGUAAGACACAUAUAGGUCUCAUAUGAAAACACAUUACUAGAGCAUAACUAUCAUUUACGAUGUACGUGUAAACUAUUUACACUAAUAUUAUUGUAUAUAGACACCACCUGGAGUUCAGAAAAUAGACAUACGAGGUGUUUUGAGAACUUUCCGAAUGUUUUGCACGGUUCUUUUUCUAUCAACCAAGUGUUUGAUGUAAUACCUGCUAAGCAUUAUCUCGACAGAUUGCGUGAACAACACUGAUCAACAAAUUAUCUUGAUAUCACUCAUCAAAUGUUCGACGAAGUACCUAAGUGAAUAAACUGAUUUUUUUUUUGCGCUGCAUACUCUAUUUCUAUCUAAAAAACUUGAACCUUUAAUAUGGGAAGACCCAAGAUUUGAAUCUUGUACACAAUAUAAAAACGAGAACUUUAACGAAAACCUCCCAAUAUUGUUCACGUUAACGAAAAACCAUAUUUUACACUAAAAAGUCAAUUCUGAUACUAUUCACUUUACCCUUUAUUUUGUCCUUAUAGUUAAAACUCAAAGUUUUCAAAUCAUUUUCAUUAGUUUUCCUUAUAAAAACAGUUUGUUGUUAAGGAUUUUUUAGAGAAAAGUUAUGCAUCGACCGACCCUAUAUAUACACAGAUGUGUUGGCUGAGGAAACUCUACUUUGCUAUAGAAUUUCAAUAUUAAAUUGGAGAAGGAAAAAAUCAGAGAGGGAGGACUAAUUGGAGGAAAAGUUAGGCAAUUUGUGAGCGUGAGUAGUGGGGUUGUUUUUGUUUGUGGAAUGAAAACGAGAGGUAAGAGGAACCGAGGAAGAGGCCAACUGACACGCGUCAACAGAGAGGUUUGUUUUCCCGCUUAACACUCCAGACCAUGACUAAUGACCCAUGGCCCAUGACUAAUGACCCAUGGCCCAUGACCCGCUCACAUACGUACUCCCCCAGUCCCCCUCACUCACGAUAUAAUUUACAACCAUUCCCUAAGUCAAAGUAAAUAUAAAUUAAAUUAAACAAAAGAAAACACCAGACAUAUAAAGGGAGUUUUAACGAAAAGCCCGUGGUACUGUUCACUUUAACGAAAAAUCAUAUUUUUACACUAAAAAGUCAAACAUGGUACUAUUCACUUUACCCUUUAUUUUAUCUUUAUCGUUAAAACUCAAAGUUUUCAGUCAUUUUCAUUAAUUUUCCUAAAUAUAAAACAUAACAAACAGGGGUCACAGUGGGUAAUUUCACAAGAAAGCAAUACAUUUUCGUUACGACUUAGUUUUAUUGGUUUUGAAAAUAGUAUGUAGCUUAAUUAAUUAAGAGUAUUUAUUUAUGCACUUGAAAUUAUGAGUACAACUUUUCACUUGCCCAACAUCACUUGUAGAAAAAUAGAAGGAAACUUUAACGAAAAAAUCAAUCAUUAUAUUAUUUAUUUUACUCUUUAUUUUGUCUUUUUCGUUAAAACUCAAAGUUUUCAAGCCAUUUUCAUUAGUUUCCUCAAAAUAGAAUUGGUAUUCACACUUUACAUUCAUUCUCUGUGCACCUCUAUUUAUUUUGAGAGUUGUUAUUGACAUUAAAAAGAUUAUUCUCCUUCCUAAACAUGUGGAAAAAAAAACAAAGGAGAACAUGUAUUUUCAAAAGUAUGAAUACAGACUUUUAAUCAAAAGUAAAAUCGGACGAGACUAAACACACAAUAAGUGGCGGAUAAAUUAAUUUUCUAAAGUUUAUGCAGGCGUUGUAUAUUUUCUUAAAAAUAAUACUGAGAAUACCAAAUUUGGAAACCAAACCAUUUCCACAUUUGUGUAUUCUAUUCCUAUCCUAUCCAUGACUUCCAUGCACUAUAAAUACACUUUACCCUUCCCAUUUUUCUCCGUUUUCCUUCUCUCCCAAACCUGCAAAGGGGUUUUAUCAGUAGCUCACUCUCUGCCAAAAGCCUCCAUACAGCUCCCCUUUGCAGUUCCUCCCUCUUCUCUUUUGCUCCUUCUUCUUCCUUCCACUCCAAAAAGCUUCUCACUUUUACCCUCUCUCUCUGUCUCUCUGUCUCUCUGUCUCAACCUUCUACAAAUUCAAAACCUCACUCACUUCAUCUCAGUCGUACUAACUUUUCUACAUGCUCUCGCCGUCGAUUCUUCAUGUUGCUGCUUCCGACCAAACCCACAUCUCCGAUUUCAUUUCCUCCGCCUCUAAAUCCAUGACAACCUUCCAACCCACCUCGUCCGCACACUCAGCGGUCAAAUUUUCAGAGCAAAUCACCACCGUGACAAAACCCAUGAUCCAGGAACCCGAUAACCCGAUCCGAGUCCCGCCAAAGCUCGUCCGGAUCAUCCUCACGGACGCCGACGCCACCGACUCCUCCAGCGACGACGAAGACAGCGGCGUACGCAGAGUCAAACGACAUGUCAGACAGAUCAGCCUCGAGCUCUCCUCGCCUUCCUCUUCCUCGCCUUCAUCUUCGUCGUCGUUUUCUUCGGGUCAGUCGAAGCGGGCCAGGAAAGACCCGAAACCCGUAAAGCGAACCGGGUCGAAAUCGCCGGCAAUGGAUGCAUCGCGCCAGAAAAAGUUCAGAGGCGUACGCCGGCGGCCUUGGGGUCGAUGGGCUGCGGAGAUCCGAGAUCCGACUCGUAAAAAACGGGUCUGGCUCGGAACCUUCGACACAGCGGAGGAAGCCGCCAGUGUUUACGACAGAGCUGCCAUCCUUCUCAAGGGUCCAGAUGCCAUCACCAACUUUUCUAACGCCGUUACAACGGAAGAGAAAGUCGUUGCCGAUGUGGUGGUCCCAGCUCCUCCGCAGCGAUGCGGGUGCGUAUCUCCGCCGUCCAGCGAGGCUCUCUCGUCGCCUACCUCGGUCCUCCGUUACGAGGAGCAAACGCCGUUUGAUGGUUUCAUAUACGGAGAUGUUGACGACUUCGUGUUUGAUAUCGACUUGCCGUUAAGCUUUCCAGAUAUUAUGUUGUCGAGUAACAACUUUGUGCGCGACGAGUUCGGCGAGUUUAACGUUGACGAUUUCUUAGCUGACGUCGUAAGUUGAACCCAGCAGUACUCUACACGUGUAACUACAAGUAGGCAGGAUUAUUUUAGUUUGGGACUGUGCUGCAAUUUGCAAGUGAAGUGAGUUUUGUUAAGUGGCGCAAGCAGUACAUGGAAUACCGAAAAUGUCCUCCGGAGUGUGAUGUACAAUCACUACGAGUAUAGCCGAUUAUCUCUAAUAUAUACGGCGGUUUUGUGAGAACUCGUUUUUGUAGUUUUAUUUUAUUUUAAAUUAUUUGUGUUUAAUUGUAAUUAAAGACGGAUUAUUAUAAAUUUUUAUUGAUAUUUGUCAAUUGAGAAUAGAAGCUUGGAGACUAUUGGAGUGGGAAAGGAAUAAAAUUAAAAAUCAUAAAUGAAAUGGUGCUUUUGAUUUCUUGGACAUGAAGCUCAUUGUUGAAAAUUAUAGAAGUGUGAUAUUCAUACUCUAUUUUACUUCUUACACACCUUUUUAAUUUUCAGUCAUCGAAUUGAAUAAACUGAAGAAGAUCAACGAAUAUAAAUUAUUAAGGGACAUGUGAGCAGUUUAUAUUCUUUUCUAUAUUAAAUAUUACAUUUCGCUUAUUUUAAAAAGAAAUAUAUUAACCUAUAUUUACAAUGCUUUGAAUUUUAAUUACGUUAUAGUGAUUUGUAGCGAGUCAUUCACUCGUUUUUCUAACAUUGGGCUCGUUUGAAAGUCUUUUUGAAAUGAUUGAAAAAAAUUUAGGUGAAAUUUCUUUGGAAAUGAUCCUUAACAAAAGUUCAAGUGGAUCCUAAAAAACACUUUAAAUACCUUUUGCAAAAAAUAAAUAUCUGGUGCUUCUUUCUACGCACUUUUGAAACUCAAAAUCAAUUCACAUAAUACGUUUUCAAUAAUUUUAAAAGUAUUUUCAAAUGAGUCUAUUGAUGCUAACAACAAAAGUGUAAUACCACAACGAUAGUCCAUUAUAAAUACGUAUUACUAUUAACAUCUACAUGAAUCAAACAUUUUGUUAUACAUACAUGAAUCGAACCUAAAAUUUUCAUAAUUAAAUAUCGAAAACUUUACUGAAUUAAAGACUAUAAUUGGUCCUAUAAUAUUCAAUUGAACCGAAAUCUAAAUAAAAUACUAUUGUUAGUGGCACACUUGGAAGCCUCAACAGUCAGGACACGUGUUUUUCAAAAUUUUCAGGUCAAUUGCUUUCGGAAUUGAGACAUAGCAAAUAGUAGUCUUUUUCUUUAGAGUUUGGCUUUUGUCGGAUAUUCUUGAUGGCUCCAUCAAAUAUUAGAAAUAUCAAAAUUAAACGACAAAACCUAAUUGCUUUUUCUUUUAUUUUCUUUUCAAGCAAUCUAGUUGCUUUGUUUUUGUGGAUUUUAGUGAGUAAAAGUAGAAGUUUGGUGAGUAAUUCAUAGGAGAACAAAAAUAUCGAGUAGUAUCAAUUUUGGCUGUAAUAAUUCUCGAAUUCAGGUUCUUGGAACUAAAUAUGCGCAUCGUUAUGGGUGGUGGAGAUGUCUAAUCCCGUUUACCUGUUAAAGAACAUACAACUGUGAGUAAGCUAAAGAUCGGGAUGUGACAGUCUAAGGUUCUCUGAUGAUCAAGUUAGUAAGUGAUAUUAAGAGUGGGCAAGAGAAUGAAUAUGUAAAUAUUAUGUUACCAGAGAUGAACUCUAAAAGAGUAUAUUUAUAUUGGUCGAAGAGAUAAUCUUUUAUGAUAGUAUAAUUCUUAUUAAACCAAAAUAAUCCCAUAUGAUAUCUAGGAAGUAGAUAUUGCAUCAUUUUAGGACUUAAGAGCGAGAUUAAUUGCAAGCACACCAAUCCUUAGAUGGUAAGGACUCCAAGAUUAUAGGAAACCUACUUAUUUCUUACAGAACAAGCACGGUCAAUUUUAGCAAAGUCAUCAGACUUUGCUCAUUGAUUCCAGAAUAGUACGAUAGUGGCAUCAUUUGCCUGUUUAGUCAAUUCUGCAUCGGAAAUUGUUGAGCCUAUGACUGGACUUCUGAGAUAUGCCUAUCCAAUCUUCUUUACUCCGACACUGAAAAAUUAUGACCCCACACAGGUUAACUACUGCUAACUUUUGAAAGAAGUCGCAUUCUCAUCAUUUACCAAACACUUUAGACGUUAAAACAAGUUGAUUAUCAUUAACCCUAAUCAAUUCAUUCUUUGUUGUUUGAGAUUUGCAUCAUUGCAUGUAUAAACAUUUUAUGAAAGUGAUUUUCCGCACAAUCAUUUUCUUCUUCUCCACGUCCAAAGGAAAAAAGGGUGUGAAAAUUAUUCCCCGUAUCCCAACUUGUAGAACGGCUAAAACAAAGAGAAAUAAGAGCCAAGUAGGCUAGUGUGUGGGGCAUAGGGUCCACAGUGAAUGGGUGGCUAGUCACUAGUGGCAAAAUAAUAGCCUAUUGGCUAUUGGCUUGGGGUCACACUAAUGCAUGAUGGGAUGUCAAAUGGACUUGGUACCAUUCCAAUACAUGAAUAAAGCUGGCUACCGGCGGCUACAAGGUUGGAAUCGUAAUGGAUAUUUUGAUUGGGGACUGUUUGCGGAGCGGCAAAUAAAUUGGUUUUUUUGCGUGCUUUAAAAGGCACAAUAAGCAGAGAACCAGUCUCAUGAGCAGGAAUUUGGUGGGUCCUACUGGUUGGUGACCAAACGGAUACGAAAGUGACAAAAGCCCAAAUCUGGCCCAUCCAUCCACAGCCGCCCCCCACUAAUAGCGAUUAAUUAAAAUUUUUAAUUCAAUAUUAAUCCCAUUAUAUGAGAUGUAGUUGCCUUAUUGCCAACAGAUUUUGGUCUUAAUUGUUCAGGUUUUUCCUUUGAUGUGCACUAAAGUCCGCUCCACAUGCUAUUUAUAAAAAUGGUUGACGUAAUAUUGUACUAGUUCUAUAAGUUAAUUUCUGCAUAUCUUUGUCAUAAUUCGUCACUAUUUGGUUCCUAAUUACUCUUCUGUCUCUCUAAUGAAUUUUAUAUGUAGCCAAACCGCAGCACAGUAUACACAGCAUAACCAUGGAUACUAAGUUCCGAUUUUCCAGUGGGACAAUUUUGUACCUAGGUCAAGGUGUAGCGUGGUUAGAAUAGUUAAAUCGACUAUAGUUUAAUAGUUAUAUUGACGGUUUAUUAUCCUCUAUUUAUAUAGGUUGGUCAUAAUUUCGUUAAUCGCUCUUCACCAUGAAGUCAUUAAAGAAAGUUGAGGUUUCACCAUAAAACUAAUUGGCAAUAUAGAGAAUAGCUCAACUUUUUAUAAGUUCUUGCAUGAUUUGUUCCUCCGCCGAUGUGGAACUUUGUCCUCACAUUCUCACGCACCUCUCACGUAUGACGAAUUUUCAAGGCAAACACGUGGGCAACAUGAAUUGGAGGACGUGGAGCACUUGUGUUAGUUGGGCUUCACACUUGGACCAACUUGCUCUGUUACUAUCAAGAAAUUUGAGGUUCCACCAUAAAACCAAUUAUGAAGAGUAGUUAAAUUACUUAUAAUGUGGAAUAAAUACCCUUAAUAGACUGCGUCACGUGUGGCGAAUUUUCAAACCUAGCGCGAUAACAACACAAAUAAAGUGACAUGGAUCACGUGUGGCCAUUAGGCUUCACAUGAGAUAACUUGCUUUGAUAUUAUGAUGAAAAUUGAGGUUCCACUAUAAAAUCAAUUAACAAUACGAAGAGUAUUAGAAACCCUUGUAUUAUUUGAUCCCUCACUGAUAUGAGACUUUGUCCUCACAUAUUCCCACAAUCAUAAGGUAUCCAUAUUAUAUUCAAAUCGGAUAGAGUAUUGUAUUUACCAAUUUACCAUUAAGUACGAGUUUGUUCUGAAGAUCCACCCCUCGUAAUCAUUUUCGUAGAAAAAUCAUUUGCUCGCUUAGAAAGACAUCUGGUUGUAUAGAUAUGGAGAUCAAGAUUUGUCGGCAGGAUUAUAUAUAUAUAUAUAUAUAUAUGUUUUCUUCUAAUCAAACAAUUGAGGUGGAACGCACGAGACCACUCUCUAAUUAUGUAUGCUAUAGUACCUUCGUUUUGGUUAGUGACGGAGUAAGAUUUUUUGUGUGGGAAGGCUAUUGACAUAUAUAAUUAAGUAAUUUGAAGUCAGAAUAUGAGAGAUUGAAGUAGUUUGCAUAAAACUUAAAAGACCCUAAAUUCAAUAGAGAGAAAUAAAAACAUUACAAACCCAAAACCCAAAUAUCAGGUAAAGAGUAAACAAGAAUUAAAAAAAAAAAAAGUUAACUAACGCCAAAGAAAAGUUGACAAAAUAAGGAGGAGGAGUGAAGACUGCAUUGUAAUAAGAGGGAUGGAGAGAGAAAUGAGACUGGCCUGGAACAGAGAAGAGUUUGGAUUGAAAGCACACUGAAAUUUUAAGAGUGUUAGACUGAUAUACAAUAAUAACAUCUAUAUUAUAAUAGCAAGAGGAAAAAGAGGCAGAAUAGCCCAGAGACCAUUCUGGUCACUUAGUGGCUCCGCCGCUGGUUCUAGUUUAUAGAAAAUUAUUACAUAUACGUUUCACUGCCCCUAAAGAUUUAAGUAUGCAAAAAAAGGAAAAAACUUGCAUAUAUCAGGGUGCACAUUGUGUAAUGUUUCUAUAAAUCUCUUUUCACACACAAAAUGAAGAAAACAAUAAGUUCAAAUUCAAAGGUUAAUAUUGUAUUUUUGCUCGCCACUCUAAAAUCCCUAUUAAAUACUAUUAGAUUACUUCAAAUUUCUAAAUUUGCGUAGUAUAUAGAUUAAACCAACUCUUUGUAUUGUUUCAUAAUUUAGCUUACCUAUGUAGUAUUUGGAUAUGUUAACCAUGCAUUAAUUAACCCGUGAAAAAAAAAAUGACUCUUGGAGUGAACUCUUGGAAUGUUAUCAGAAACCCUAAAUUGAGAUCUCGACAUUAGUACAGUCUACAAAAAAGUGUGACAAGAGACAGUAUUGGACCGAGUCUUGAGUGGCAUGCAUAAACAUAAAAGAAGCCACAAAAUUCAAAAUUUUAAGAUAUUUAAGCCGAUUUCCGUGACGACCCACCUGCAAAAUAUAGAUGAGAACAAGGACAUAUAAUAUAUAUAUAUAUAUAUAUAUAUAUAUAUAUAUAUAUAUAUAUAUAUUGCAUGAUGUUUCCUAGAGUGGAGGGUAAUGCUGGUGUAGGGUACUUCAGUCCGAUAAAUGUUUCGAUUUUUCAAAAUUUAUGGCUCCAAUUGUUGAAGGAGCUACGAAUAUACUAAUUUAAAUAUAUAGAGUAAUUUGUAUUAAAAUCGAAUAGUAUGCAUUACAGUUGACUAUUGCAGACCUUCUUACGUACCGGAGUUGGUAGUUUAAUUAGGGUUAGGGUUUUCUGAGUUAGUAGCUGACUUGUUCAAGAAGCAAUGCCUCAGCAAAAACCUAGUUGUAACGGGUUUCAGAAAUUCAUACCAUAUCACCGCGACAUUUCUAUCAAGCCAGUAUGAAAUCCGUACAAUACAUAAGUUGCUAAAAUAUAGAAAGAUAGUGUAUUAAAGUCAUUACAUUUAAGUUUUUUUUCCGCACAUUAUAUUGCCAUAUAUAUUUUGUAACCUAGUGCCCUAUAUAUUGCCAUGUAUGAAAGAAAUUUUAGGAUCCGUCAAACAGAUCACGUGUCUGUAUAGAAGCAGACUUAAAAAACCCUCCUUAACCCACUUCUUCUAAUUUCUCAUGCUAACUUUGACUCACUUUUAGUCUCACUCCCUAUCACACAAACCCCAAUCCAAGUGAUGUACCCAAGAACCUCUCUACAUGAAUUCCCCAUGUAUGGUACUUGCAUAGUACUUUACUGUAUAUUCACUUACAAUAUUAUUGGGUUAUCUUGGUUUACUGGUUGGACCGUUCUAGGGUUCCAAAAUUCCAUGGAAUUUCGAUUAUUUCAACUCCGAACCACAUGUGUAAUAAUUUUUGCUUGGAAAUCGAAGACAACGAAAAAGAGGUGGAAGGUUCGGCGAAGUUGAAGGCAUGUCGUAAAAUUGCUAUUGACUUUUCCAAGCUACUGAUUUUUUGUGAAAACAAAAGCUCUUCUCCCUACCACUAACACACUAUUGGACUAAACAAAGACCGACCAUUGAUCAGGUCGUUCACGUUUAAACAAAAUAAUUGAAGGAAGGUCGGCGAGAAAUUUCCAACGAGUGGUGGAGGAAAAGGCCAAAUUGGAAAGUGAAAACGCUGUUGGAAAAAGCAGAAAAACAAAGGAGGAAACAAGCAGCUUUGACCUCGAAUCGAUUGAAAGAAAGGUGGAUGUUCAAGGUUCUUAGAACUUUCCCAGUCCAUUUUGCAUCAAAAUAAUCGACGCAGCAAGCUCCAGUGUUGGUGUCGUCCUUUUACCAAGUUUUCGGUCGUAUAAACAUAUCUAUUGGUGGGAAAAAAUUUUGAUUUAUUCAGAUUUUUCAACCUUCAAACUUCAACAGUAAAAGAAGGGUCACUGGGUAACUAAUCACUACGUUGUCAUCGAUUGCACUAUUUCACCUUAUACAUGUGAGAUUGUAGAAGUUCUACAAAAUUUUGACACAUCGCGGUUAAAUCUGGAUUUGGGGGAAAAUGGAGUAAUCAAGCCGAAUCUCUGAAAAACACAAAAUAUUGGGAAAGAGAAAAAACAAAGGUGAAUUUGAAAAUAAACACUUACGGUUAGAAAAAGCACAUUUUAUGUGUUUCUCCAUCAUCGAAAAAACAUACAAUUAGAAUAUUAUAUUGGUGAUGAGUUGACGGUUCCGUAUAAUAACCUUGCCAGUGUUUGUCUUGAUGAUGUGAAUUAUGACGGAACAUAAACACAUAUAAACUGUACUGAUUUAAGACGUGCUUUAUUUUCCUUAGAACUAGUCUCAUAUAUAUAUAUAUAUAUAUAUAUAUAUAUAUAUAUAUAUAAGAACCUUGGUAUGCUUCAUGUAGUAUAUAAAAGGGUCCAAUUUGGUGGUAAAUUGAACCCUGUGCUCUAAAUGUGUAUACUCCACUUCUAGCAUUUGCAAAAUUUUCAUUAACAUUUACGACCCUUAAAGUAAAAGAAAAGACAUGAUUCUAGGCUCGAACAUACAGUUUGAAAUGCCUUUCUUGUGAUGUUUCAUAUGAAAAUAAUUGAAGAAGUUCAAUAGGUGAUGGUGGCUUUUGGGGAUUUUUUUUUGGGGGGGGGGGUGGGUAGUGGGCAACUUAGUCUUCCCAUUCACGCAACAUAAGUUCUUAGAUUUGAGAUGAAAGAAAUUGGUUUUACGAUAUAACCUCUCAAUCAAGUUCUGGUCGGAAGAUAUUUUCAAGCUUGAACUUGAUUUCCCUUAGCUCAUUCGUGGACCGACCUUUAGCUAAUGGUUGACUCAAUUCAACUCAUUAUUUUUAAGAUGUACACUCCUGAGAGGAUUGCGAUCAAUUUGAAGAUUUUCAGUAAGAACUCUAACCUUUACGUACGAAUCUAGCUUAAUGAACUAGUCCAGUUUAAACCAAACUCACAAAAAGAAAUGAGUUGCCCGCGAACUUUAAACCAAAACUUAAGCUCGACUCAUUUUUCUAGCAAACCUAAUGUUUGUUGUUUAAUUCGUUCCUUUACAAACAGAGCUUAAACAAGCGAAUACACAGAGGACUCCAUCGAGCUGGACUAGGCUUACAAAAAGGUGGGUCUAUGUGACAUCAGCCCAAACCUUGAGCAAAGAAGUCUUCCAAUUUGGGCUUACAAGAAGCGACAAUGGAGAGGCCAGAUUGCCACAACAAUCUUCUUAUUUUAUUUUUUAAAAAUUUACUCAAGUGACUCGUUUAGAUGUACUUUUAAAAUAACCGAAAAUAUUUUUGGUGAAAUUAUUUUGGAUCUCCAAAAGCACUUGAAAUGAUUUCUACAAGAAGCACCAGUUAUGUGCUUCUUGCAGGAAGCACUUCAAAUGUUUUUUUAUUACUCACUUGUAUUUUUGCUAAGAAUUAGUUUCAAAAGCACUUUCAUCAAACUUGUUUUCAGUUAUUUUAAAAACACGAGCCCUUACAUUAAUGAGAGCAGUAAAGAAUACAAAUAGAGGAAGUAAGAAAUGAGAAUCGGAUCGACUCAUUCCUCGGUAGAUCUGAAUCCUGAUUUUCUACCAUUAGAUUCCAUAUGUAUUUAGUAAACACAAGAAAGAAAGCCCAAAAUUGCUUUGAAUCUUUGAAUGCAGAAGGAUUAAAGAAGUAGUUUUUGGGUGGCGGCCGAAGAAUAGUAAACCCAGAGCCCAAGGCUCAAUGGGCCUUUAGCUUUCUAGGUAUAAAUACCAUUUCCAACUCCCUACCAAACAGGGAAACACUCACAGUCGCAGCCACACCCGCAGCGGAAGAGGGAAACCAGCUCUCCGGCACAUGUCAGUAGUUCCUCUCUCCAAUCGCCGCCGUCUUUACUUUUUCUAGGGUUUCAAAAAUCCCCAAAUUUUCUUCGUUUUUUUCUCUUGGUACCGCGCGGGGGUUUCAAUUUGGGAUGUCUGCUAGGUUUUUCUUUCCUCUUGAAAUUGUUGGGUUCGGGAUUGAAUUAGAUUUUGUUUUGCUUUUUUUUUUUUUUUUUUUUUUUUUUUUGCAGCAAACAUUAUGGCGGACGACAAUCAGAAUGAGGUGAAGGACGAGGUGGUAGCAGAUGUAUGUUCAGAUUCUUGCAAUAAUAAAUGAAUUUGCACUGCCUGCCCUGAUUUUGCAGUAUUUGUCUUUUCAAUAGCAGUAUCGUAUAUAGUUCAGAUGGUGUUUUACCGUAGUGGCGGAAAACAAUAAUGCAUGUGCACCCCUAUCAUUGAACAAUUUAACCCGCUAACGCUAUCCUUUGUCCCAAAAUAAAAUAAUUCGAUUCCCUACCUGUCGUGCAUUGUGUUUAUGUGGGAAUUUGAGAUAGAUAUGGUAUUGUUCUGGUUUUUGUUCAAGACUUGCUGAAUUGUUAAUCUGAGUAUUCUGAUAAUAAAUUCGGCUUCAAUGCCUUAUUAUUGAAUAUUGUAUAAGUUUUUCGCAAUACGAAAGUUGGAUUAGAUUUUGCCCUUUUCUUUGAAAGGUUCACCUGAGAAUUAUAUAAAAGAUUUCCUUUGGUAGCAACUAAUUGUAGUACAAUACCGAUCUUAUCUAUUUCCUUUGUAUAGAAAUAGUCGAAAAGCAGGUUGGAGUUUAUUGCAAUAAAUUUAACAGAAGCUGAAAAUGUAUUGAUGUAAUAAAGAUUAUGUUGUGGUAGCAGCUCCACGAAGUGUGCCUUUAGUAUAAAAAUGCAAUGGAAAAAAGCGGUGCUGAUUCAUCUUAGACUUAGAGAGGAAAAAGUUAUCCACAUUGUUUUGCAUUCUCUAAAGGUUGCUGCCAUUCCCUGUCUAGAAGUUGGUGGUUCUGAAUGGUAGAGCUAACUAUUGUGAUCUUCAUCCUCUUGUGCAGAUUGCUCCCUUUGAUCCUACUAAAAAGAAGAAAAAGAAGAAGGUUGUUAUUCAGGAUACUACUGAUGAUUCUGUGGACAAGUUGGCCGAGAAAACGGAAACCUUGACAGGUGGUUCAAUUGAACAACCAUUUUUUAUUUUUGCUGUAUUGUUUUACAAGUACAUUCAUUGAGACUUGUAUUUUUUGUCAUUGCAGUUUCUGAGGGGCAGGAGAGUACGUUUACUGGUUUGAAAAAGAAGAAGAAGAAGCCAGUAAGUUACCAAGAUUUUCCAUUGUUUACAAUCCAAAUAUUUUUUCUGAGUAUUGAUUUUUAGUGGUGCUGUGAUUAUAGGUUGAGACCAGUAUCUUGAAUGAAGAGAGUGGUGACCCAGUGGAAGAUGUGAAUGGUAAGACUUUUAACUAAUAAGUUUUUUAGGCUUAUGAAAGGCCUGCAACCUUUAUGUCUUAAAAAAAAUUGAUUGAGAUUUUAUAUAUUUGGCCUUUUAGAGCACACUGGUGAGGAUGAGGAAGGAGAAGGGAUUGUUCUAGAGACUCCAUCAUAUCCUUGGGAAGGGAGUGAUCGUGAUUACACUUAUGAAGAAGUGUGUAAAUUAUAUCAUUUAAAUUACAACUCUCUCAUAGUACAGUGAUGGUUCCUUGACGUCUACACAUGUAUGCUUUAUUAAUUUUACCCAUGUAAUGCAUGCAGCUUCUUGAUAGGGUGUUUAACAUUCUUCGCGAAAAUAACCCGGAUCUGGCUGGAGACAGGCGUAGGACAGUGAUGAGGCCUCCACAAGUUCUUCGUGAGGGCACAAAGAAAACCGUUUUUGUGAAUUUCAUGGAUCUAUGCAAGACGUAGGUUUCAGUUCCCUGAACCAAAACCAUUGUUUAUAUCUCAUUUGCUUUGAUCUGUUUUGUUCUUCUUAUUUAAGUUAUUGUCCAUUAAUCUCUUUCUAUUGUUUCUUUGCUUUUCUUUUUAUGUACUAAUCCGAGGAAAGGUCUCCGAAACAAUUAAGUGGCAAAGAACAUAUGUGUAUACAACUGCUUUGUGUUUUCAUAAUCAAAUGUGCUUACUGUUUGACAUAUGGACUGCGCAUUGUUAGUUGAUGAGCCUAAUGUUAGAUAUUACCAAAUUAUUACCUAAAGCUAUGGUUGAUUUCAUCUGUUUAGUUAAAAGGAGUAAACCCUUCUAUCUUGAAAUUACAGGAUGCAUAGGCAACCAGAUCAUGUCAUGGCUUUCUUGCUUGCCGAACUGGGAACUAGUGGAUCACUUGAUGGACAGCAGAGGUUGGUUGUUAAGGGAAGAUUUGCCCCAAAAAAUUUCGAAGGAAUACUGCGGCGAUAUGUCAGUAAGUACCUCGUUCUGUGGUUUGAUUAUUUAUUUUAGAUGGGAAAAAGGAUUUACACAUGGUCUUUAUAGAUUUGGAAAAAGCGUAUGAUAGGGUCCCAAGAGACAUUCUUUGGAGGAUUUUAGAGAAGAAAGGAGUACGAGUAGCAUAUAUCCAAGCUAUAAAGGAUAUGUAUGAAGGAGCAAAGACUGCCGUAAGAACUCAUGAAGGACAAACCGAAAGCUUUCCCAUAACUGUAGGAUUACAUCAAGGCUCAUCCUUAAGUCCUUACCUUUUUGCGUUGGUAAUGGAUGAGUUAACACGACAUAUUCAAGAUGAUAUUCCUUGGUGUAUGCUUUUCGCAGACGAUAUAGUGUUGAUAGAUGAAACUCAAGAAGGGGUAAAUGCAAAGCUUAACCUUUGGAGAGAAGUGUUGGAAUCUAAAGGUCUUCGCCUAAGCCGAUCAAAGACAGAAUAUAUGGAGUGCAAGUUCAGUGCAAAUGGAGGCCAAAACGAGUUAGGGGUGAGGAUCGGAGAUCAAGAAAUACCAAAGAGCGACCGUUUUCGUUACCUAGGAUCUAUCUUGCAAAAAGAACGGAGAAUUAGAUGGAGAUCUCAACCAUAGAAUACAAGCUGGAUGGAUGAAGUGGAAGAGUGCAUCCGGCGUGUUGUGUGACCGCCGUAUGCCACUGAAGCUCAAGGGAAAAUUUUAUAGGACGGCAAUAAGGCCGGCGAUGCUGUAUGGCACAGAAUGUUGGGCGGUGAAACAUCAACACGUACACAAAAUGGGUGUAGCGGAGAUGAGGAUGCUUCGUUGGAUGUGUGGGCACACGAGAAAGGAUAAGAUUAGGAAUGAGGAUAUCCGGGGUAAAGUAGGAGUAGCCGAAAUUGAAGGAAAGAUGAGAGAAAAUCGGUUACGGUGGUUUUGGACAUGUGCAAAGAAGGCCUACUGACGUUCCGAUUAGAAGAUGCGACUAUGGGACAGAGGUUCAGGGCCGAAGGGGUAGAGGAAGACCUAGGAAAACUUUGGAAGAGACUCUAAGAAAAGACUUAGAGUACUUGGAUCUAACGAAGGACAUGACACAGGAUCGAGCACAAUGGCGUUCUAAGAUUCAUAUAGCCGAUCCCACUCAGUGACUUGGAUUUUCCAAGUCUCCAACCGAGAAGUUUUCCUCACUCGGGAAAUUAAGGGAACACUACCCCAACCUACAUGCUCCACUCAGAAAGCUUCAACAUACAAGCUUUAACAAAAGAAAAUUCAAAGAACUUAGCGAAGAAGGCUUUGGUGUAUUUAACACAAUACGUUGAAAUGAAGGAAAAGCUUAUUUAUUGAUAUCCCCGAUAAGCUACAAAUAUGUACAUAUACAUGAGUCAAAAUAAGCACACACAAGAGGGAGCCUUCACAAAGGUUGCUUAGGAGAAGUCUCAGCAGUCGGUAGAGCCCCAGAAAGAGAAGACACCGGAGGGGGAUCAUUUGGAGCCUCAGUACUGGACAGAACCCUAGAAGGAGGAGGCAUCAGAGGUUGAUCAUUUGGAGCUUCAUUACGCGGUACAGCCCCAGAAGACGAAGACAAUAAAUGCCUUUGGAACAAACCUACAAAUCUCUGAUGAUCAAGUAAAACCUGACCAUCAGUUUCCUUCAUCUGGUCAAGCUUCCUCUUCAUGUUUGUAGCAUAGUCAUGUGCGAGCCGGUGCAACUGUUUAUUCUCAUGCUUGAGCCCUCUAAUCUCCUGUUUGAGACUCAUCACUUCAGCCGCCAAUGAUUCAACUUGGCGGGUUCGAGCAAAUAGGCGUUGGGCCAUAUUAGACACAGAACCUGCAUACUGAACACUGAGAGCCAGCGAAUCCUUAACAGCUAACUCAUCAGACCGUUUGGAAAGUAGUCUGUUAUCUUUGGGAGUGAGAAGGUUCCUGGCCACCACCGCAGCGGUCAUAUCAUUCUUCAUCACGGAAUCCCCAACGGUAAGAGGACCAGUAGGGGAGAUGAAGGAUGGGCGCCAUAUGUUGUCUGGAGAAGGCGGGGUUGCCUCUUCAACAAGGUUCAAGUCAAAACGACGGUCGGAGGGGCCAGACAUUUUCAAAGGUGUUGAAGAGAGAAGAGGUCGGACAAAAUCAAGAUCUUAGAAGUGCAAGAAUGAAGCUUCUACUGGUGGAGAUUCAAGUGUGCUUUGGAACUUAAUGCCAGCUCCUAUAAAAAUCUGCACUCGACGAAGCUUCAGAAAUCGAAGAGGCGCCUGCUCAGAAAAUCGAAGAGGCGUUUGCUUUCUCAAAAGCUGGGCUGCUUAGAGAUCACGAGGGUUGAUCUCAGAAAUCGAAGAGGCGUUUGCUUUCUCAAAAGUUGGGCUGCUCAAAGACCACGAAGGCCGAUCUCAAAAAUCGAAGAUGCGCUCGCUUUCUCAAAAGCUGGGCUCCCCAGGAGACCACGAGGGCCGAUCUCAGAAAUCGAAGAGGCACCUACUUUUCCAGCCUUUUCCAGCCUUGUCAACACCUGUCACACACGCACACUCAGUUUUGCGGAAAUUAUGGGCAUUCUGUCAAAGACUUCUGGGGAAGUAGAAAACACAUGAAAUCUUACUGUUCAAUCACCCACUUCCCCACACGCAACAAUAGUUUCAUGGGUACCACAGAUAACUUUGCCAAAGUUCUCUGCCAAAGUUGAGCACGUGAAGCUUGCAGCUCCCACUACAUCGCUCUGACCAAGAAGGGUAAAAGAAUAGCAAAGAAACAGCACUAACAAAGUUUAGACCCAUAAAUUUUGAAGGUCUAGCUACCAUAUUAUUACCCACAAGGGUAAAGGAACAGUACCACUGCUGGAUAAUUGGAAAGUCCCUGUGUGUGUCAACCUCUGUGCUUCGUGGCAAGGUAGACUAGCAAACAUGCCCAACCUUUACUCACAUUCGAGAAAACACUCCCAAUAAGAUUGCUUGCUCCAAAAUCCUCUGAAUCUCGAGAGCCAGACUCCCAACAUGACUACUUUCUUAAAAAUCGAAGAGAGGGUAAAGGAACAGUACCAUUGCUGGAUAAUUGGAAAGUCCCUGUGUGUCAACCUCUGUGUUCUUCGUGGCAAGGUAGACUAGCAAACAUGCCCAACCUUUACUCACAUUCGAGAAAACACUCCCAACAAGAUUGCUUGCUCCAAAAUCGAAGAGGCACCGCCCUCCGAAUCUCGAGAGCCAGACUCCCAACAUGAUUACUUUCUCAAAAAUCGAAGAGACACUGCUCCCCGAAUCUCGAGAGCCAGACCCCCAGCAUGAUUGCUUUCUCAAAAAUCGAUGAGGCAUCGUUCUCCGAAUCAAUCGAAGAGGCGCUCGCUUUCUCAAAAGCUGGGCUGCUCAGAGACCACGAGGGCCGAUCUCAGAAAUCGAAAGAGGCACCUACUUUUCUAGCCUUGUCAGCACCUGUCACACGCACACUCAGCACACUCAGCUUGCAGAAAUUAUGGGCAUUCUGUCGAAGACUUCUGGUGAAGUAGAAAGCACAUGAAUCUUACUGUUCAAUCACCCACUUCCCACACGCAACAAUAGCUCAUGGGUACCACAAAUAACUUUGUCAAAGUUCUCUGCCAAAGUUGAGCACGUGAAGCUUGCAGCUCCCACUACAUCGCUCUGACCAAGAAAGGUAAAAGAAUAGCAAAGAAACAGCACUAACAAAAGUUUAGACACAUAAAUUUUGAAGGUCUAGCUACCAUAUUAUUACCCACAACUGUAAAGGAACAGUACCACUGCUGGAUAAUUGGAAAGUCCCUGUGUGUCAACCUCUGUGCUUCGUGGCAAGGUAGACUAGCAAACAUGCCCAACCUUUACUCACAUUCGAGAAAACACUCCCAAUAAGAUUGGUUGCUCCAAAAUCGAAGAGGCACCGUCCUCCGAAUCUCGAGAGCCAAACUCCCAACAUGACUACUUUCUCAAAAUCGAAGAGAGGGUAAAAGGAACAGUACCAUUGCUGGAUAAUUGGAAAGUCCCUGUGUGUCAACCUUUGUGCUUCGUGGCAAGGUAGACUAGCAAACAUGCCCAACCUUUACUCACAUUCGAGACAACACUCCCAACAAGAUUGCUUGCUCCAAAAUCGAAGAGGCACCGCCCUCCGAAUCUCGAGAACCAGACUCCCAACAUGAUUACUUCCUCAAAAAUCGAAGAGACACUGCUCUCCGAAUCUCGAGAGUCAUACCCCCAGCAUGAUUGCUUUCUCAAAAAUCGAAGAGGCAUCGUUCUCCGAAUCUCGAGAGCCAGAUACCACAGACCACUUUUUCAAAGUGCUCUGACAGAGUUAAAACAUGUGAAACUGGCAGCUCCCACUACCGUGCUAUGACCAAGCAGGGUAAAGGAAUAGCAUUACUACUUGUUGUUAGGGAGACUCCUAUAUAUGUCGACCUCCAUCCCCAACGGACAGGCAGACCUGCAAAAAUGCUCAACCCUUCAUCAUAUCUGAGAGGGCACUCCCAACGAAGCCUUUCGAAAUAUUCAGCUUUCUUUCCCCCCGAUAAUACCUCUGCAAACAAGCUAUACUAGAGCAAGAAUAUCUCAUAUCAUCAGGGUUAAAAGCAAGAGUAUCCCAUAUCAUGCUUUUUCCCUGUCUUUUCUUUUGGCCUUGUUUUUUACCUGCAAGACAAGGAGAAAGAGAGCAAUCAGUCAGCACUUGGAAUCAAGCUUCCAGCCAGGAACUGACUGCCUGGAACCCCUUACCUGAUUACUUACCUGGCAUUGCUCUCGAGUACUCAUCUUCAACAUCUUAUGUUUCCAGGGAAGAUUCCGCAUCUGCUUGAGGAACAGAUAGGGCAAGUGCGAAGGAUACAAGGAAGCAUGUGGAGACAAGCGUAACAGCACACGUGCCGAUACAUUCAUUACUCUGUCAAAAGCAAAAGUAUCCCAUAUCAGCAAGGUGGAACGUACUCUCUAGAUUUGAUGGACUUGUUUUGACCCUCAAAAUUCUUCAGUCGGCCUUAUACUCUGGAGGAAACCAGAAAAACCCUCCAGCUCAGUUCAAGAAUAAGCCUGUGGAAAGUUAGUACUUCUUCAAAAGCAAAAGUAUCUCAUAUCAUCUCUUCUCAUUUUUCUUCUCUUUAUCCUUCAUGCUGCUGCAAGAUGGGGAGAAGGUGAACAAUCAGUCGGAGCUCUGAUUGCUUACCUUGUCUGUCACCUCUUUCAGCAGACCCCCUAGCUCGGCGACUUGGGGGACUCCUACUACAUGGUUUGUAUCGCGCUUGACCAAGCCUGAAACUACAAGUAAGCUUCAAGUGAAAUUGAUACAUUACCUUGUGCAUCUCCACCAGUUAAUGAUACCACCCCUGGAUGGAGGAAGAGUACUUCCAGAGAAGAUGCCACAUCUACCUAUGAGACAGAUAAGGCAAGUCAAGACGACACCAACACUCCGAUACUUAGAAGUUUCGUGAUUACGAGAUCAUUCUCCCACAAUAUUUCCUAAUGUCAUUUGUACUAAAUCAUUCACUUGUACUCACUAAAUGAGAGCUUGAACCUAUGUACUUGUGUAAACCCUUCACAAUUAAUGAGAACUCUUCUAUUCCGUGGACGUAGCCAAUCUGGGUGAACCACGUACAUCUUGUGUUUGCUUUCCUAUCUCUAUCCAUUUAUAUACUUUCCACACUAAUUACCGGAGAGAGCAAUCUAGCGAAGAUCACAAAAAAGCGAUCGUUUUUCGCUACCUAGGAUCUAUCUUGCAAGAGAACGGAGAAUUAGAUGGAGAUUCUCAAACCAUAGAAUACGAGCUGGAUGGAAAGAGUGCAUCCGGCGUGUUGUGUGACCGUCGUAGGCCACUGAAGCUCAAGGGAAAAUUUUAUAGGACGGCAAUAAGGCUAGCGAUGUUGUAUGGCACAGAAUGUUGGGUGGUGAAGCAUCAACACGUACACAAAAUGGGUGUAGCAGAGAUGAGGAUGCUUCGUGGGAUUGUGUGGGCACACGAGAAAGGAUAAGAUUGGGAAUGAGGAUAUCCGAGGUAAAGUAGGAGUAGCCGAAAUUGUAGGAAAUAUGAGAGAAAAUCGGCUCCGGUGAUUUUGAACAUGUGUAAAGAAGGCCGACUGACGCUCCGGUUCGAAGAUGUGACUACGGGACAGAGGUUCAGGGCCGAAGGGGGUAGAGGAAAGGAAGACCUAGGACAACUUUGGAAGAGACUCUAAGAAAAGACUUAGAGUACUUGGAUCUAACGGAGGACAUGACACAAAACCGAGCGCAAUGGCGUUCUAGGAUUCAUAUAGCCGACCCCACUUCGUGGGAAAAGGCUUUGUUGUUGUUGUUGUUGUUGUUGUUGUAUUACAAUUGUUAAUCUGGAGUCGUUUGAUGGGAGAGUGUUCUGCAUACGCCCAUGCAUCCUUAGCUGUUAUGUCUCUUUUUGUAUGUGCUCGGUUGUUUGUUCACACAUUUAAUUAUUCUUUCAUUUGUACUCAUGCAACUUCUUUUCUUUCAGAUGAAUAUGUCAUUUGCCUCGGGUGCAAAAGUCCAGACACUAUACUUUCAAAGGAGAAUCGUCUCUUCUUUCUCAGAUGCGAGAAGGUAACAAUCAUAUUACUAUAGCCUUUUCUAACGUUAAUGGUUACGACAAUCUGGCAUCCCCCUGGAUUCUAAUUUAUACAAAGUUGGUCGUCCACAACAUAAAAGAAAAUAAAGAAGGUUUUCAGUGUUUUUAUGCUGCUGCAUAAUAUAUUGUUGUAGAGGCCUAUGAUGAUCUAAGAAUUGCCUACAUUGUCAGAUUAUUUGUCAUGAUAGAGUAACCUAAAUUAUUUCUGAGGCCUCGCGGAAAAGUGUUAUGUUUAUUAAGGGGUGGUGGAACUAAACCCUUGGGGUUUCGGGUGAAGUAUUUUUUUCUUCUUCAGGGGGUUUUCGUUAUACUCUUAAAAUAUAUAGCUAUGGCGUUUAAGUUCAUCCGCCCGUAGUUUCAACCCUAAUAAAAUAGGGAUAUGCUACUGAUCGUUCCAGUUUUACAAUUCUUGAACUGGAGAUAUAUCGCCGUGCUUUCAAUUGAUAAUUUAUUUGAUAAUUCUUUCUGUUGCAGUGUGGUUCUGGACGAUCAGUUGCUCCAAUUAAAGCUGGUUUUAUGGCUCGUGUUGGGCGAAGGAACGCCGGGACAUAAAUUUAGCCUGUUGUCGACUCGUUUACUAGCUGUUAUUGAGUUUCGAGUUGCAUGUUUGCUAUCUACAACACUAACAAUUUUCCUGUGACAUUCGGAUGUUGAGAAUUUUCGAGCACUGUUUCAUAUUUAUAUAUUUUCUUAGUGCUUAGUGACCUUCCUAAACUUAGCUUUUGCUGAUAAUUGUUUGCUGUUUAGCAAUCACUUCGAUAUAUCUUCUCCAAUCCCUCAUUGUUCUUUCUUCUCCAUCUCUCUCGAAAUUUAGUCGGUCACUCCCAUGUCGAAAUUUAGACGGCACGGGACGGGACAGGGAGUAGGAUGCAAGACGAGUGCUCAAAGAGCUCUUGGCAUUCUUAUUUAGGGAGCACAGUGGAAAAUUGGUUCUCCAUUCUGGAAACAUGAAUUCAUCUUUGGUCAGGUUCGUCUGCCAAUUCGGUAUCCGUCGAGCGUCGCGGUCAAUUUGUUCUGUAAAUUACAAAAGUCCGGCAGAAAAAUGAACGUCCCGUUACCACUAAAACGGCAUUUUUUUUCCAUGAACUCGAAAGUACAUGGACGCCCCUGCGGCGGCUUCGUGAAUUUCUCUAACCUGGACGGUGGUUAAACUCGAAGGAUCACUUGCGAAGGAGGGAUGGCGGCAUCCCACUAUAAGCAGGAAGCGAUCUAGUUCGCAAGAAACUGCUGAUCUGACUUGAUUAAGAGCUGGUCAGUGGGAUGUAACCUGUAAAAUUCGAAUCGGUUUAUUCUUAAUCCAUAUUUGCAUCUAGUUAUAAUUGGAUUACGUACUAGGAUCAUUAGAUUUGACUUGUCGAUCCAUAUCCAAUAAGCAUCAAAUCACAUCGGAUUAGAUCAUUAAUAUAUAAUCCAAGACACAAAAAAGGUUAAUUAUCAUUGGUAACUUCAUUUUUAUUAUAUUCACCUUUUUUUAAUUUGAACUUUUCAUAUUAUAUAUAUAUAUAUAUAUAUAAUAAAUAAAUAAAUAAAAAACGUGCGUGCAUUUCGAAUGCAUUAAAAACUUAAUUUAUUGCUAUGCACAAGUAUAAUAUAUUCUUAUAAAAAUUUAUUUAUAAUCAAACUUAUCGAAUUCAUAUCGUAAUUAGAAUACUCAGUCCAUAUUCUAUUAAUUCCAUCAGAUGCAGAUUAAAAUUCAAUUCAUUGACAUGCCAUUUUUCUUUCUUUUUUUGGUCACAAUCCACUGGCAGGUCUAGGGAUGUCCAUAUUAUUGAAGUUGGGUGCCUCUUUUGUAUCUCACCAAGUGAUUAAAGUUGCAUAGCCUACCUAACAAAUGGUAUGUAAUUCUUAGUUUUUUCCGGAUUCACAGUUUGAAAAGAGAACGGACAUUUCACCACUCUCGCAAUAUAUCUUGACGAUGUUGAUCGCUUCGCUAGAUACCUGUUGAAAUAUUACUGUAACUUCCAUCAAUGAUGGUGUUGCUGAGGAGAUGCAGUGGCUUUGUUAGCAAACCAGAAGUCCGAUUUGCAGAGGUAGAUGCAACCGAAGCACUUCCAAGGCGUGUCUUUGUGCACCCUGAGUUGCAGUAUCCACUGUUCCUUCCAUAGUUGGCCCUUUGCCAAAGCAAAUGAGCAGGUGCCUAAUUAAUAAUUAAAGAGUAAUGCUACACUUACUAUCUAUUUGUACUAUCUCUCUAAUUGAGGUAGCCUCCACCAACGCAUGUGGAUUCUAUCUCUAUUAAAGAUAUGGUACAAUUGGAUGGUAAGAAUAAUAUUUUUUAUAAUUAAAACAUGCACCCAUCAAGUGGUUAUAAUUUUUAUGCUUUCUAUUUAAUAGUUGUAAUUUGAGAGCUUUAUUAAAAAGGGUUUGCGCUAAAUUUAUUUUAACUAGAGUCAUCAUAUUACUUUGUUUAAUGAAAACAACUUAAACUUUAAUAAAAAAAAAGACUUAAAUUUUAAUGAAAUGGAUAGAAGUUGAAUAUAAUAAAAAUAAAAUAGAAAAAUGUAAUAAAAACUGACAUGCGGGGACUAGUGCAUCCAUCAACACAUUAUUUCUACUACACUAUUCUGAAACUGAACACUCUUUAUGAAAUUGAACACUAAUUAUUUCUGAAACUAAACACAAGUAAUACAUUUCUUAAACUGAAUAUGGUAUCUCUCCCAAAAGUCUAACAACUAUUCAUCUCUCUUAUCUUCUUGAAUUUUCUCAGCACUUUAUCACUUUCCAGACACCUUUUCUUCUAAUUUUCUUCGAUUCUCAUCAAAUUUUCUCUGAAUCUCUGAAUUUUCUUAGCUUUCUUCAACUUAAGCUGCCUCCUUUGGUUUCAACGUUUCAAUGUUCCAUACGUUUUUCAUCUUUUAUGUAUUUUUGUUAAUUCAAUUGAUUUUAUAUAUAAUUUUUUAUAAAUAUCUUUCUCUACUACUACAACUUGCUGCAACUGGUAUUUUCCGUAUAUUGUUUAGUGCGAUUAUCCCAUCGUUCUGCAUGUUCGUCUUCCUUCAUUUUAUGAAGAACUAAAAGGGGUCUCCUUGAGAAAUUGAAGAUUUUUCAGUUGAAGGAUUAUGCUGUGCGCAUCUUCAAGAUUUUUCAGUUGAAAGGAUUUUUAACUUCAGGAUCAAUUCUUCAGCAGUGUUGUUAUAUUAGAUUAGAGUGAUCGACUUGAGUUUAGUGUUCAAUUAAAGGGAUCAACGUCAAGGUUGGUCCAGAGAUAUUUGAGGUCCGGGACGACGCCCAAAAAUAUGCCCUAACUUCAUAUAAGAAAAUUAUUUAUUUUCACACGUAAGACAUCAAUAAAAUUAUAAUUAGAAAAGUAGUUCAAACUCAAUAAUUUAGAAAUACAUAAAGACUAAUAUAUUUUGUAUCUAAAGAAGGAAACCAAAAAACUCCGAGCUUACAUGUAGAUAGACGAUGAGUUUUGUUUUUCAUCUAAACUUUUAAAGUGUUUUUGUAUAAAUCGUGAUGUGUUUUUUCUUAUUUACUAACCUUGUCAAUAUGACUCAAAACAUAAUGAUGCUUUUGAGUCUUUAAUUAAUAUGUAUAAGUAAUGAAUGAGCACUAAAUUAAACCUUUUGAUGACAUUUCAUAUGAUUUACAAAUUUGCUCUAAAGAUUUGGUCUACUUAUUAGUUUUUGUAGAAGAUUAGACUUGAAUUCAAACGAAUAUUUAAAAAUAGCAACCCACAUAGCUACUAGUCUAUAACUAAAAAUAAAUUAACAACCAAACAAAUUUUCGUAAAAAUUAAAAAGAAUAAAUACGCAUAUAGCAUUUCGAACUUCGGAAAUCUUGUUAAUUUUAAACAACAAAAAUCAUUGCUUCUAAUUAAACAUCUUGAUCCUUUAACCAAAUUUUAUAAAUUUAUACUCUUAUGAAAAAAAAAAUUGUAAAAAUUGGAAAGUAAAUAAGCACAUGUAGUGUUUUGAACCCAAGACCUCUUCAUUAUUUUCAAAUGACAAAGCACACCACAUCUAGUUAAAUUUCUUUGUUAUUAAACCAAAUGUUAUAAAUUUACACUCUUAUGAAAAUAUAUAAAAAUAUACCACCCUAAUAAUUUUAGUGUCCCAAAUUUUUUUAGACCCCUGAUGGUCGCCCUGCCAACAUUGGGCUUGGGCUAGGCCUGAUCAACGUUUGCAGUUGUUGCAAUGCACAAGUUCAUUCUCUGCUAGGUUGGGUAGCUUUCCACACGCUUCAUUAGGGGGUUAUUUUUUUACUUUUCUCUUUAUCAUUAAAUAGAGUUAUAAGAUGUUUUUUUAUUAAAAUUCAAAGUUUUGAAGCCGUUUUCAUUAGUUUUUCUUUAUAAUUUCUUCCUUAUGGUAAUAAGUUAAUAAAAUUAAACAUCCCAAAGGGGUAAAAAUGUAAAUCACUCUUCUGAACUAUCAAAAGGGAAAAUGAUAAACUUGGAUUUUGUAAAUAUGAUUUGAGAGUAUGCUUGUAUUUUCUACGUAGAAUGUUCUACUAAAUAUAUAUUUUGCUCAAUGGCGGAGCCAUGAAUUAUUUGGUGGUGGGCUAAGCUAAAAUUAUAACUAUGAAAUCAAAUUCUCAAUUUUUUUUUUGUUGCCUACAUAAAGUUAUAUAAUAGUAAACCUAAAAGUCAUAAUUUGAAGCAAGAAAUUUAUAAUUUGUUUUUUAGGCUUUUAACCUUAGAACUUUCAAAUGAAUAAAAUAAAGAAUCGUGUGUGGUAUGGAAAUUUUAAUUUCUUACUAUUAAAUUUUAGUAUUACUUAAAGUGAUGAGUUUAUUUAACAUUUACUAACUCGUAUUUUACCUAAAAACAGCUCUAAGAUUCAAAAUUUUCAUUUUUAGGUAGGGUAUGACAAUUAAAAAUCAUAAAUAGCUCAAUAAUUAAUAUUUUUAAGCUUAAAGAAUUUCUCACUAUGCUACAGUCCACCGAAACCUUAUACUUGGCUCUGUCGAUGACUUUGCUGAUUCUCAAAAUAAAAAAUAAAAAAAGUAUUUUUGCUGAGGAGGCCUAUGAAGAUUUAUGUCGACAUCGGCUGAGAUUUGUCUCGUGUAUGAAAGAGUAAUACCUAUAUGAGGCUUCCUCGUUAAAUUUAUUUAUUUUUCUUUCUCUUGUCCUUAUUAUUAAAUAAAGUUAUUAAAUGAUUUUUAGUUAAAAUUCAAUGUUUUAAAAUCAUUUUUAUUAGUUUUCAUUUGUAAUUUCUUCCUUUUAAUAAUAAGUUAACAAAAUCAAAACACACAAUAGGAUAAACUUGGCUUUUCUAAAUAUGAUUUAGGAGUAGACUUGUAUUUUCUACAUAGCAUGUUCUACUAAAUAUGUAGUUUGCUCAAUGGAGGAGCCACGAAUUAUUCAAUGGGUAGGCUAAGCUAAAAUUAUUAUUAAGAAAUCAAAUUCCCAAUUUGUUUUGUUGCCUACAUAAAGUUAUAUAAUAGUAAACCUAAAAGUUAUAAUUUGAAGCAAGAAAUAUAUAGUCUAUUUUAGGCUUCUACUUUCAAAUGAAUAAAAUAAAGAAACAUUUGUGGUAUGGAAGUUUAAAUUUAUUACUAUUAAAUUUUAGUAUCAGUUAAAGUGAUGAGUUUAUUUAACCUUUAUUAACUCUUAUUUCCCUGAAAACAACUCUAAGAUUCAAAAUUUUCAUUUGUUAGGUAGGCUAUGAAAAUUGAAAAGCAUAAAAUAGCCCAAAUAAUUAAUACUUUUAAGCUUAAAGAACUAAAACUCUCUCGUGGGUGAUUUUGCUGGUUCUCAAAAAAAAUAAAAAUAAAAAAAAUAUUUUUGCUGAGGAGGCCUAUGAAGAUUUAUGCCGACAUCGGCAAAGAUUUUGUCUCGUCUAUGAAAGAGUAAUACCGAUCUGAGGCAUCCUCGAUAAUCGAUUUUCAUAAUUUGAUUUACUUAUAUUUUUAUAUUCUACACUACCCAAAAAAAUAUUAUCCAUUUUUACGGGAAAGAGCUGAGAGGGAACUGGACGAAACUUACAUGCAAGGAGACUUUAAUUGGAUCGCAAGGGGAAAGAUAUAUAAAUAAUUUUCUAUAUGCCUUGUUAUGUAAUUAGUUCUCUUAUGUUUGCUUAUGGCUUUGUAAACAUGUAAAGGUUUUGAUAAAAUAAAUGUUCACCAAUAAAUUAAAUUUUGACCCGUUAUGGCUUAGUGGCACACGCCAAGGUUCUUACUAAAUUGCACACAUGGUAUGUGACUCGUCAAAAUUGGAUGAGUUAACAAGAGUGACACGUGUAAACAUUUAAAACUUCCGUAAAACAAAUCAAAUUAAGAGCAAAAGGGGACAAAUUACCCUAAUAUAGUCGAAGUAUAUCAAUUAGGGUUUAAUUCCCUAAUUCAAUGAUUAUGAUUUAAUUAAGAGCUAAAUUAAAUCAUUAGCUCAAAUUAAAUCAAAUUAGAAAGUCAAUCACAUAAGUUACGGAAUUCAAAUCAAGAAUUCUAAACUAAUAUUUUAUCUCUCUAACCAAGACAAACACUAAAAUACUCACAUUUGUGUUCUUUAUCAAGCUUAUGGAGAAUCAACAAUCACAUCAAACAUACAUGAUGAUUUGUCCACCACCGAAGCUGUAAAUCAUCCACCACGUGACACUACUUGCGGUCCAGUUUCAUUCAAAAUUAAGUCUUGAGUGUCAUUGAAAGGAACCUCAACCCGAUUCAAGAUUGGAUCAAAUCUCUAGGUUGAAGAUUGAUUCAAAUUAAGGAAUAUUCUUGUAAAGAAUAGACCACUUAAAUUAUAACCUAAACAGUAAUCAAUACAAAUUAUUGUAUACAAAUAUUUUUCAGUUAUUCGUUAUAAGAAUUUCUGUGUUUAUAAGCUCUUCAUUGGUUUCUUUUCUUGAGAUGGACAAGUCACUUAUAUAUAUCGGGGUGUAAAAGUCCAUAUACCAUACCUUCAAAGCAAAAUGUUCUCUUUCUUCUCAUUUGCAUUGGUUUUUUUUUUUUUUUUUUUUUUCAUAUCAAUUGGGAGGAGGAGCUUUAAACUUUGAAUUUCGAAAUGAAGUAACACUCAACUAAAAGCAGCUGGUUGGUGAAAUGUUUCUAAUAUGUUGAACUUCUCUGCCUCUUCUGUAUCUCAUCAAGUGAUAUGUGUGUGUGUGCAGUGGCGGAUCCACAGUAGGAUCAAUGGGGUCGCACGACCCCUUGGAAGCCAUGGAAACAACCUUAGAGACCCCUUGGAGCUGCUGGUGUGACCCCUUGGCUGCACACCAAGUGUUCGACGAAGGGUCUGAAAGAACUCCUCAGCUGGGCUGGUUGAAGACAAAGGCGCGCGCGCCUGUUUUUUUUUUUAAAACAACCUGGGCAAAACAACGUCGUUUUGGGCCAGGUCUGAACAAAAAAAAAAAGCCCAGCGUGUCAUUUUCAGCCCUAUUUCACACAGAUCCGAAGCCAUUCAUUCCAAAACCUCCAAAUUUCUUUUGUUUUCUCCUCCUCCAACCCUAAGUUCCAAACUCAAUCCCCCCCAAACCCUCAACUCCAUCUCCUCCCUUGCUGCCGCCAUUAAGGUGCCUUUGUGUUGCCGUCGUCGUCACUGUGGUGGUGGUGCCACCAGCUUUGCUCUUUGUAUUUGCUCAUUGUUAUUGUGAAAUUUCACAAUUCAAGUAAGUUCUAAACCCUAUGUAUGAUAUAUUUAAUUUAAUUGAAACCUAAUUCAUAUUUAUUUUGAUUAUAUUGGUGGUUUGUUUAUAUUGUGAGUAUUUAUUUUGAAUAUUUUGUAUAUGUAGAAUAUAUUUAAUUUAAUUGAAAUUCAAUUCAUAUUUAUUUUGAUUAUAUUGAUGGUUUGUUUAUAUUGUGAGUUUUUAUUUUCAUUAUUUUGUAUAUGUAGAAUGCAAGAUGAGAUAUUUAAUUUAAUUGAAAUCCAAUUCAUACUUAUUUUGAGUAUGUUGAUGGUUUGUUUAUAUUGUGAGUAUUUAUUUUGAAUAUUUUGUAUAUGUAGAAUAUAUUUAAUUUAAUUGAAAUUCAAUUCAUAUUUAUUUUGAUUAUAUUGAUGGUUUGUUUAUAUUGUGAGUUUUUAUUUUCAUUAUUUUGUAUAUGUAGAAUGCAAGAUGAGAUAUUUAAUUUAAUUGAAAUCAAUUCAUAUUUAUUUUGAUUAUGUUGAUGGUUUGUUUAUAUUGUGAGUAUUUAUUUUGAAUAUUUUGUAUAUGUAGAAUUAUUAUGGAACAGUUUUUUUAAGAGAAAGUCAUCAUCGGGUUCGGGUAGUUCGAAUAAUGUUGAUAGUUCAAAUACUGUUGGUUGUUCAAGAACUCCAAGUUCAAGACAAAGUCAGUUAGAUGGUGUUUUGGGUAAUCUUGAAGCGGAUCUUGGAUUGAGAACUCGAAUAAUAGAUUAUGAUGUUAAUAUGAGAGAUGAGGUCCGAAGAUCAUAUCUACAAAAAGGACCUUGUCAACCUAGAGGUCAUAAUUUCCCAAUAACUAAUAUGUCGGGACUUAAUCGACGCUUCAUUCCCAAAUGGUUUGAUGAGUUUGAUUGGUUGGAGUAUAGUAUAUCUAAAGAUGCGGCAUUUUGUCUCUAUUGCUAUCUCUUUAAAACCAAUUUUGCACAAGUGGGUAGUGAAGCUUUCACUGGAGAUGGAUUUAAGACUUGGAAGAAAGGGAGAGAAAGAUUUAAGAUGCAUGUUGGACCGGUUGGGAAUGUUCAUAAUAAAGCUAGAGAAGCUGCUACAAAUUUGAUGAAUCAAGCUACACAUAUUGAAACGGCAGUGAGCAAACACUCCGACCAAGCUCGUAAGGCUUAUCGCACAUGCUUGAAUGCAUCAAUCAAGUGCACUAAAUUUUUAUUGAGACAACGUCUUCCUUUUCGUGGCCAUGAUGAAAGUGCCACUUCAAGCAAUAGGGGGAAUUACUUGGAGCUAUUGCAAUUCCUUGCAGAUAAUAAUGAUAAAGUUAGAGAAGUUGUGAUGGAAAAUGCUCCGGGGAAUCUCAAAUUACUAGCUCCUACAUUCAAAAAGAAAUUGUGAAUUCAUGUGGGUGUUGCGUUAUGUGGAUGACAACGGGCAUAUAAUUGAAAGAUUUGUGGGUAUCCAACAUGUUACCAACACUAUUUCAAGUUCACUAAAUGAUGUUAUUGACACAUUAUUUUCUCACAACAGUUUGAGCAUUUCCAAGCUACGAGGACAAGGUUAUGAUGCUGCUAGCAAUAUGAGAGGUGAGUUGAAUGGCCUUAAAACAAAGAUAUUGAGAGAACAAUCUUGUGCAUAUUAUGUUCAUUGUUUUGCUCAUCAACUUCAACUAGCUCUUGUUGCCGUAGCAAAGAAGAAUAUAGACUUUGCCUCUUUUUUUGCAACGGCUAAUAUUAUGAUUGCCUCUUUUUUUGCAACGGCUAAUAUUGUGGUUAAUCAUGUUGGAGCAUCUUGUAAGCGGCGUGAUUUACUUAGAGGGCAACUUCAAGAAGAGCUUGUGAUAGCUUUUGAAAAUGAUUGUCUUAUAACGGGGCGAGGCUUAAAUCUAGAAACAAGUCUCAAACGUGCCGGUGACACACGAUGGAACUCACACUAUGGUACCUUGAUUAGCAUCAUUUCCAUGUUUUCAUCCGUGGUUCAUGUGCUUCAAAUGGUUAUUGAUGAUAAUCCCAAUGAAAGUGCGGGUGAAGCAAAUAAGUUAAUGAGAGAAAUACGUACUUUUGAGUUUGUGUUUCACCUUUUCUUGAUGAAAGUCAUAUUGGGACUCACAAAUGAUUUGUCACAAGCAUUGCAAAUGAAAGAUCAAGAAAUUGUGAAUGCAAUGGCUUUAGUGAAAUCAUGCAAGGAAAAGCUACAUUGGAUGAGGAAUAAUGGGUUCGAUGCAUUGGUUGAUGAAGUAUCUUCUUUUUGUGAAAAACAUUAUAUUGAUGUUCUUAACAUGGAAGAUGCAUUUAUACUUCCAGGGAGGUCAAGGCGUAAUGCUCCAAUAAAGACAAAUCGUCAUCAUUAUCGUGUGGAGCUCUUUAUUUAUAUCAUUGAUGAACAAAUUACGGAGUUAGAGGAUCGCUUUAAUGAGGUAAAUACCGAGUUGCUUAUUUGUUUGGCAUGUUUGAGUCCGAAAGAUUCAUUUGUAGCUUUUGAUAAACCAAAAUUACUUCGUCUUGCUCAAUUUUAUCUUCAAGACUUUUCGGAUGAGGAUCGUUUGGCACUUGAAGAUCAACUUGAGAUUUAUAUUCAUUAUGUGCGUUCCAGUAAUGAUUUCUCUCAAUUGGAAGGGAUUGGUGAUCUUGCAAAAAAAAUGGUGGAGACAAGGAUGCAUCAAGUAUUCAAUUAUGUAUAUCUACUCAUUACAUUGUCUUUAGUUUUACCAGUUGCAACUGCUUCAGUGGAGAGAGCAUUUUUUUUGUUAUGAAUAUUGUUAAGGGUCCACUUAGGAACAAAAUGGGAGAUCAAUGGUUGAGUGAUAGCUUGCUUGUUUAUAUUGAGAGAGAUAUUUUUGCUUGUAUUGAAAAUGAAGCUAUAAUGCUUCGUUUUCAAAAUAUGAAACCUCGUUGUGGACAAUUAUAGCUUGUAAUAUUGUUUCCAUUAUGAAUUAUGAAUGAAAGUACUAUGAUUUCAUUUUCAACAUGUUUUUCCAUCCUAAAUUUUUUUUUGGACUUUUACACUACGACCCCUUGUGGUAAGAUUCCUUGCUCCGCCACUGUGUGUGUGUGUAUAUAUAAAAUUUGAAUGUCACACAGAGUAUAUAUAAAAUUUGAAUGUCACACAGAUAAACUUUUAUGGGUUUAUUGAUCUUUAAUCGCGAUUAUAUUACAAGAAUUGAAAUAAGUAGAAACAAAAAAAGUCUCUGAGACAGUUGCAGAAGUAAUUAAGUGUUUGUUGAUCCUUAUUGAGAUGGCCGUGCCUCUGUCUCCAUGUCCAUGCAUGCAAGGAAAAGCUCUUCACAUGAUGUUGGACGUCGCUAUGAAGGCCAAGGUUGAGAGUGAUGCAACAAAUGGUACGUGCAUCUUUUGGAACACCUUCAUGCCACUGCUUUUGUAAUCCACUGUCGAAAUAGCUGCAUUUUCAACAGUUCCCAAUUAUAAUGUUCUCUUUUACAGUACUAUAUUGUCAAACUAUGAAUCGAAACUACACAUUUAAUUAAGGCAACAUUAAUUUGAUUAAUGGUUCAAAUUCACAUUCGGGUAAGAUAAUGUUUCUGUCUCUCUUGAUAUAUCUUGUGUAAGUUGAUAUAUAGCUAGAAAAGAAUACCUGAAUUAUUAUUCUUACAUCCCUCAGUGAUGGUUGUGUUGAGGACAUGCACAGUGGCAUUGUUAUGAAACCAGAAGUCCCUUUUGCAGAGGUAGAUACAUUUAAGAACCUCCAAGGCGUGUGCUGAGCAACCUGAGCUGCAGUAUUCUCUGGACUCAUUUGCGGCCACGUCCACUAUUCCUGAGAAUGUCAGCUGCCCCUUUGCCGAACAUUGAGAAGGUGCCUAAUUAAAACACCCAUCAAACAGGUCAAAUUUUUUGUUCUAGGUUGCUUCAUUUAGGUGAAAAGAGUAUAAGAUUCUCAACCCUCCAAAUCCUCUUCCCUCUCCUCCCCUCCUCUCUCACUUUCCUCUCUGUCUUUUCAAAGAAGACAACACAAGAUGCUCUUUUGGUCACACGGAAACUACGGUCACCAUAAGUAGAUGUGCUUUAAUUGUUUAAAUUUCUACCAUUGCUAUCACAUUUAAGGAUGACUGACCAUAAAUUUUUGUUGAUCAAAUAAACAAUAAAUAGAACUUCGAAUGUGUGUGUCUAUGUAUAUAUGCAUGUUAAUAAAACUUCGUAGAUGUAAUACAUGCAUGUCUGUGUGUACGUGAGCUUACUGUUCUGUUCAUGCAGUAGUAAGCACUUUCCCAAGCAUAGAAUGGACUUAGAUUUACAUUGUCUGUAGGGUCUGUUUUAUCUGAAAAUUAAACCAAACAUUUCAUCAGUACAAAUAAUUCAGAGUUUGCGUUUUGCAUGCAUGCUACUUAGUUACAAUCCAAAUAUAAAUUAUAAAUAUAUAUCUCUUUUUUCACAAUUUUAUUUUUCAGAUCAUUUGCAAAAUAACGAUGAACUAGAAGAGAAUUAAUACAUACUAAAGGCCUGAGCAUUUUGAAAUAGAAGGAAAAUCCCCAGAGAAAACCAAACCAACCCAAUUUUCCCACCAAUCUCCAUCACUUAGCAAACUGCGUGCUUCUUCUUCUUCUUCUUCUUCCAAAUAAUUAUUUGCGUUGAGUCUAAGAGAAUUUCUGUACUACUGCAACAUUUAUAACAUCAACGAGCCCUUGAUUUAUGUGUUAGAAUUGGAGCUAAAAAUGAAGUUUUGGCCAAAGGAUCAAGACAAUGAUGUGAUAUGAUCAUUUCGCUUUCAGGAUAUGCUGAGUAUAUAUGUAGCAACAUUGAUUAGUUUGAUUUAACCAAGGAUAAUAAAACAAAGUGUAAAUUUCAGAAGACAAAAUAAGACAACUAGCUAUUUUGGCACUUUAUUUCCUAGAUGAUAAUAACAAGUGGUCUAAUAGUUGGGCUUUAGAAGGAUACGGGUAAUAUUCUCCUUUUACUUUGUGUUCACAUAUUUUGUUAAUAUUUCAGAAAGAAAAGUUAUUGUCUCACUACUAUUUGCACUGAUACUAUAUCCCAAAUUUUACGUACAACACAACUGAGGUGAGAGUUAUAUAAGAAAAGGCAUCAAUGUAAUUAGAAGUGAAAUCAUUCAUUAUAUAUUGUAUUUUAUUUUGUCAAUUUUCCAAAUGCAGAAUUCUUGUAUUCUCCAACAAACCUGAAUUUUUUUAUUUUUGUUUUCAUCGAUCCCUAAGAUUACAACUACGAUCCAAUCCAUGUCAUUAAAAUUGGUCAAUUUCCAUCUCAACUGUCUCAUUCUAAUUGAAAGUUCAUGUACUUCCUUAUUUGAUUAAGGCCAAUGGUUUAACUGAUGUGACAAAAAUUAAGCGAAAACUUGCAAUUCAAAAUUUUAAGCACAUUUGAUGGAAGUCGAUGCUUUAACCAACAAACCAAAGAGCAAAAUGGGGGUGGAGAAAAAGGGGAUAUGAUCGCUAUGGAGAACAAAGACUUGGGAUGGUGGCCAUCUCUUGAUCAUGGCAUCUUCCAGCUCAGGCUUUAGAACGUGGUCCUCCAUGUUCUUGAUGUAUACUCCUGGAACACGAUCAGCAGUCCUCGUUUCCUUCGAAUCGAGCGCCUUUCAACGCCAUAAGGUGCUGACCUCAUCAGCAUUGAAGCUACAGUUGAGUCCUAAAACAUAAUUCAAUGCCAAAGAAUAUUAGAAUAUAGGAAUGCAUCGUUUUUACAAACGAUAUAAAAUCUUUUAUGAAUCCAUAUAAAUUACGGAUAUGAUGAUUCGAAAUAGAAUAUGAAUACAUUACGUUGCCAUAUUGUGUUAACCGUGUGAGACUAUCAAACAUUAUAUUGCUUCUCUUUCGUCGUGUCAACUUUUAGUAGUUGAUAAGCGUGUGCUUGACGGUGUGACUCACUCUCAUUAACAGCCGACUGAAGUGAGUAAUAGUUGUCUCUAGCAAAACUCAUGCAUAUAAUUCGGCAGCUUUUGACGGUGUGACUCACUCUCAUUAACAGCCGACUGAAGUGAGUAACAGUUGUCUCUAGCAAAACUCAUGCAUAUAAUUCGCAGCUUUUCAUUUCCCGGACAAGAAGUCAGUGAGAGGCUGGUUAUAGUUUUGGAAAGUGAGGAUGGUAUUAGGGUCAGAUUGAUGAAUACCAGCACCUUUGAGGUCAAGACAUGUGAGUAUGUGGCCUGAAGCUUCCAUGAGACACCAGAUCUUGUAUCAGCACCAAGCUCCAUGCCUUAUGCCAUGGAUUAGAACCGUGAUGAUGAUGAUGAGGGUAGUUUAGUAAUAUUCCACUCUUUGUCCUCUCCUUACUAUUGAUCUUCCCCCUGACAUAUUAGCUUCAAAUUUUGUUUUUGUUUCCCUGGCCUCUUAUCUCUCUCAAGUUUCAAGGCUUUGUGCAUGUAUAAAUAUCUGAGCUUUUAUUUGUUUCAGACUUUUUAAUCAAAGUAGUCUUUGAGAUGGGUAUAUAACUUCUCAUUUUGGUUUCUAAAAUUUAAAAUCGAUAAAAAUAAUCUUUGAAAUUGUCCACCAACAAUCAUUUUGAAUAAACCUCAUUUAAUUGAUGGUACUUUUAGAGGUCGCACUUGGUGCGAUGGCAAGUGCCUUCGCUCAUAAGCGGUAGGUCUCGGGUUCGAGACUUGGGAGCAGCCUCUCCAUAAAUAGGGGUAAGGCUAGCCGACAUUCACCUCUCCCAGACCCUGCGUAAAGCGGGAGCCUUGUGCACUGGGUACGACCUUUUUUUAAUUGAUGGUACUUUUAUCAAAUCAACUACUCAUGAAUGGGUGGUUUCAUUUUUGCAUGUGAUUAACUUAAGCAGGAACUACGAGACCAAGUGGGUUGUGUUACCUAGGUAGCUAUGGAACAAAAAAAAUCCUAUAUUUGAGAGUUGAGAUUGACUUAUGGAUAAUGUUUAUUAACACAAUUGUUGUCCAUUGUUUCGUUAGUGAUCAUAUCAUGUCUCAUUUUCUUUCUGAUUUCCAAAAGAAACAAAAUCUGAUGACACAAUCUAACCUUAUCCUUUUUUCCCCUUUGCAUGCUACAUGUAAUCGAUGAGGAUAGAGUAAGAAAUGGUAAUGCUAAGGAUAGGAUAAUACUCAUAAUGGGACAAGGUUGUUCCGCCACCUGAAAAUGAUCUUCAAAUGAAGAUUAUGAAAUUGAAUUAUUCCAAGUACAAAAAUUCUACGAUGAAGAUACGUUAUUUUCAGGUGGCAGAACAAUCUUGUCCCAUUACGAAAAUUCUGAUGAUGAACAUAUCAAUGGUGUAAGUACAAAGUAACAUAUUGAUGAUGAACCAUUGAUUUAUUUAAUACAGUUGACUAACCGAUCUCCGAUUUAAAUGCUUUUUUUGUAAAAAUGAUCUUCAAAUGAAGAUUAUGAAGUUGAAUCAUCAAUAUGUUACUCUGUACUUACACCAUUGAUUUAUUUGAUUUAUUUCAUAUUCUAUUUGAAUAUCCACAUGAUAUGAUGGAUACAACUACUAUACGAGUAAUUCUUUUUACUAUCAGGUGAUAUCAUGUGGUGCUCAAAUAUGACACAAAAAUGUGACCUUCCACAGGACCGAAAAAUAUACAUGAGGUGAUUUACCUACAUUACGAUUACUACUUGAUUAACAAUUAUAUUUUCUUAAAUUAACAUACCAAUAAACAGUGGCGGAGCCAGAAACUCAUACUAGGAGGGGCCUUAAUCCAUAUGAAAAAAAUAAGACAAGAUAUAGCAAUAUAACUAAUGAGAGAAAAUUAAAGGUUUCUUUUUUGUAUUGGCAUGAAAAAUUUUAAUCAAACAAAAGUGGUACAUCUUUAACAUGUACGAAAAAUUUAGUGCUGAGAUAAUUAUAAAGUUAACAUUAAUUUCAAACAAAAAUUUAAAAUCAUAGCUCAAUAUGAGAUUUUUUUUCAACAUAAAUUAACUUGUUUUAUAAAGAGGGUUUAACCAAAUUAGGUUCCCCAUUGUGUGGUUUAGCCGAACUACUCCUCGCUUUAGUGUAAAAUAUAUCAUUGCACAAAAAAAAAAAUUUAUUAAAGUACAUGAAGGAGAUUAACAGCAAGUUUCAAACCCCUGGCGUGCAGGAACAUUAAAACCCCAACAACUAACGAGCUACAUGCUCUUUAUAAAACCAACAUAUAGCGUAUAUAAUUUAAAAAAUAUUUCAGGAUGGGCCCGUACCCAUCUUGGUCUCCAUGUGGCUACGCCACUGUCAACGGAUUAUUUUUCGUGUUUCAACAUUUGUGUAUUAAGUUAAUUAGUAAUAUAUACCUCAAUCAUGUUAAGGCACUCAUCUGACUAAGAAUUUCAUAACACAUGACUUAUCAUGUUUUAAUAGUUAAUAGUAUGACAAAGUAUCAUAGAAGCAAGUAAAUGACACGAGUAUUAACAAUAAAAUCAAAAUAAUGUAUUUUUGUAGGUAAAAGAUAUUUAAUUUGACUCUAGCGAAUAACAAAUUCAAAAUUAAAUUAUUAUGCUGAUUAUUAAUCCCACGAUGCCUUAAGUAAAGAUGGGGAUGGAAAAUGAGUCCACAUCAAUUGGACCAAAAAUUUAAUUCUUGAUGUAAAUUUGGAAGAAAUCAAAAUUUUGGGCGGUGAGGUCAAGUGGAAGAAUUCAAUAAAGACAGGAGGCAUAUAUAAUUUUGAUAAUUCUAUGUCAACUAGAAAAUAAUAACCAACAAAAAUAAAACAAAAACUGAAACUAUUGACCAAAAGAAUUAAAAAGAAUGGUGCUAUCUAAUUACUUCUUUUUACCUUUUAUAUAUUUCCUGUUAAUUUUGUCACAUAUUUCCUGUUAAUUUUAUCAUUUAAUCUUGGGUAAAUUACAUAGUAGCCCCUCAGGUUUGAGGUCUAUUACAAUCUUAUACAACAUCUUUAAAACAUUUCACUUUCAUACCUCAAGUACUAUUUUAUUUCAAUUUCAUACAACCGUUACAUUUUCCAUCCAUGGAUCUGUUAAAUGAUGACGUGGCUGCCACAUAUAUGCCACGUGGCUGCCAAAUGUUUGUCAUGUGGCAAAUAAAAUAAUUUUUUAUUUUUUUUAAAAAAAACCUCUCUGCCACUUUUUUUUUUUCUUCUUCUCUUCUUCUUCCUCCUUCUUCUUCUGGGUUCGGUCCCUUUCUUCUUUUUUUUUUUUUUUUUCAGGUUUAAAAAAAAAAUUUAAAAAAUUAUUUUAUUUGCCACGUGGCAGACAUUUGGCAGCCACAUGGCAUAUAUGUAGCAGCCACGUCAGCAUUUAACAGAUUCAUUGAUGGAAAAUGUAACGGUUGUAUGAAAUUGAAAUAAAAUAGUACUUGAGGUAUGAAAGUGAAAUGUUUUAAAGAUAUUGUAUAAGAUUGCAAAUAAACCUCAAACAUGAGGGGUUACUAUGUAAUUUAUCCUUUAAUCUUUCUUAUUUAUUCAAACACCUAUAAUUGAAAAGAAUGUGUACCAAAAAAAAAAUGUGUGGAUAGCAAUAUUCUUAAAAAAAAUGUAAAAUUUGAAACGGACGGCAGAUAUAAAGCAGCGAUGCAGGACGUUGAGAAGGGUCACACGUCACAUGUUUGUGCCUUGCCUCUUCGAACUUGGUCAAUUGACAAUUUGACAGAGUGAUGAGACACCAUAAUUGUUUAUUUGAUUUUCUUGUCCAAAAAUGCCAAAAUAUUCAAAUUAAAAAAAAAAAGUGAUCUUGACUUUGUUGAAUCAUUCCAUUUUCCAUGCAACUUUUCGCAAUCUCAGCUCCAUUUGAGAGAGCUGGGAGAAGAAGCAAACAAGAUCAAAAGGGAACAAAAAAGUUCUCUCUCUUUCCCAUUUGAAACUUUUGUGGAGUGGAGCCUCAAACCCAAAUUUUCACAUUUCCCAAACACUCCUCUCUCUCUCUCUCUCUCUCUCUCUCUCUCUCUCUCUUCCUUCCAGCACUGGGAUCUGUUCUCUUCAGUCUGCAAGAACAAAGCUCAAAGGUGAGAACUUUAAUGAAUUUUCCAUCUGGGUAUUUGAUUUUGGUCAUAAAGAUGGCUGCUUUAUGUGAUUCUGCUAGUUUUAUUAGCUCGUUAGCUUAAAUCAGAAUUUACAAUUUCUCGGUUUCUUGAAGUUCUUAUACAUACAUGCAUACUCACAAUCAAACUAUACAAUUUCCAGCCACUUCUGAUUUGGAUUACAAGUUCAGAAUCAAGAAUAAUUGCUGAAUUUUUUAUCUUUUAUUUAUAAUUCCUUGUUUCUUUGGUGGUAAAUUAAGAUGUUUAUAUAUAAUAUAUAAUUGAGUAAUUAUUAAAUCUCCUUCUACCAAAUUUACCCCUGUUGGAAUGGAAGGUGAGGGAUGUGGGGCAGUUAGCUGGAGCCUGGACAGUCUUUGUUUCCGACAGAUGCAUUCCUUUCCCGCGGAUUCAGAUUCAGAUUUUUUAUUUGUUUCUUUUUUUUCUCAUCGUUCCGACCAAACACCCAUGGAUUCAGAUAUUUUCUUUUCUUUUACUUUAUUCCUUUUCUUGUUUUAUUAGGACAGUUUAUGGGCCCAUGAAACAGUGUUUCGGCCCAGUUUCCAGUUCUGUAGGCCCAACUGAACUCGGCUUGUUUUUGCCCUCUUUGGAGUCCAGCUUUUGCUGGCAUUGUUUUCAUGAAGUGUGUCAAUGACAUCUACGACAGCAUACAUGAGUUAGGCCAGUUGACAUUGUGACGAUGUGAAGGUAAAAGAGUCUUACAUUAGUGAAAAAAAGAAACCUUGCAAUGGCUUACAAGAGGUUGGGUUACUUUUCGUAUAACCAAUUGGUUUUACUGUGGAACAUUACCUUUCUUCGGACAUUUGCCUACCUUUACCAACUCAAGUUCGAAUUCCCCUUCCCGUAGAUUAGAGCGGUUUAGAAUAUCUUUCAGUAAGAAAAAAUGACAUCUAUGGUAAUUUUAUCUAUACUAUUAUCCUAUUAUGAGAGCUCUCUUUGUCAAUUUAGGUGAAGUGUGUAACUUCUGAUUUGAUUUUUUGACAUUAGAUGUAAAUACUGAUGUUGUGAACUAAUCUGUAUGUGGGCUUGGGACACAGGUUAUUGUAGCGAAAGUAUCAACUCGAAGUUUCAACAACAUUAGCAAAUGGCCAACUCCUUGGUAAGAACUGAAAUUCAGAAUUCCAUCAAACACCAGCUUUGCUAAUUCUGCAGUUUCUGAUAUGUUGUUGUAGUUAGAGAACUGAACGAUUCAUCUGCGUAUGCCAUGAUCACAUUGUCCAGAUGAAUUUGAGUUAAAUUUGAUCGUGUCAUAAGACGGAAUGACUGAUCAGCCCUGCUGCAGCAUUAUGUUAUGGAUAGAAAGAGUGUUGUCAACUUAAACAUGGUUGGUGGGAUAGUGGUACUGUACAUGCCAAUAAAAAUGAUUAUGUUAAAAUUGUAGUAGGAAAGCAUACUAUUAGCAAUGUCAUUGUGUGACUUUUAUACUAAUAUGAUAUAUGCAAAACCUAGAUUAGAGCACAAAUUGUUAGCAUUACGAAGGUUUAGUGUUGAAUGAAAUAUUUGCAUCGUAGAGUCAAGCAUCUAAAUAGCGGAUGGUCUUUCACGGAUCAGGCAUAAGAUAUCUUGUUUUUUAUAUUUCAGGUUGAGUCCAAUAAGACUAUGAAGAGGUUCGAAUCAAGAAAGUCUCAUUCGUGGUGGUGGGAUAGUCACAUCAGUCCCAAGAACUCUAAGUGGCUUGCAGAUAAUCGCGAGGGUGAGCAACAAACACCUCUCUUGGUCUUAUUUGUAACUUUGUAUGUGUAUUUAAUUAUUUAUUUAUUUUUAAAAUGUCACAUGCAAUGCCACAAAGGCAUAGGAAAGAGAUGUCUAAUGAUGAAUAUAUCGAGCAUCGGUAUUAUAUUUGGUUUUGACUUAUUUACGAGGAAUUCUAGGUUAAGUCAGAUUCGUUUUACUAAUUUGGGCUAAUGCUUUCUUCUUCUUAUACGUUAUCAAAGAUUUCUUGUUGCACAUUCUAAAUGAAGACAAGGUUAAAAUGGGUAAAUCGGACUACGGUUGUAUAAUUUUAGUGUUACUUCUCCUGGUCUAAUGGUAUAGGGGUUAUUCAACCCCAACUACCCAAACCAGUGGAGGAUGUUGGUUUUCCAAAUUAUGCAUGUUUAAGUAUCUAAAGAGUUGAUUUUUUUUUUUGUCAAAGUUCUAAAGUGGUGAUUGCUAUAAUCGAUUUUUCGCCAAAAUGCCUCUCAUGAAAAUGACAAAACGAUCUUUCUCCUCAGAGAUGGAUCGGAGCAUCAAACGGAUGUUGAAGCUGGUUGAAGAGGAUGGUGAUACAUUUGCAAAAAAGGCAGAAAUGUAUUAUCAAAAGAGGCCUGAAUUGAUUGCUCAUGUUGAAGAGUUUUAUCGCUUGUACCGGUCCCUGGCUGAACGUUAUGAUCAUGUGAUAGGAGAAUUGCGGAAGAAUGCACCCUCAGAUCUCCAAUCCCAGAGUUCAUGCCUUUCUGACAUUGGUUCAGAACUGCCAUCUGCAUUGCCAUCUCCUGAUUUCCAACCUGGAAGACUAGGUCGUCGGAAAUCUGGCCCUCGUGCUGCUGGCUUUGAUUUCUUCCUUGGCCCUGGUGGAAACGGCUCAGAUAAUUACCAGAAAGAGGGAGACGAAUCAUCUUCAUUAACCGAUUCCGAGCCAGAAUCUGAUGAUUCUUCAGUCAACAAUUAUUCAACUCCCUUGUCAAAUGGUCUUGAUCAUGGGCAGACGAGAAAGAUAAUUGAAUUGGAAAUUGAGCUUCGUGAAGUGAAGGAGAAGCUCCGGAUGCUACAGGAAGAGAGUGUAGACAGUUCAUUCACGGGUGCAAAACCUGAUCAUUCCAAUGAAUUUCCUGCAAAAAUUGCAGAAUAUGAGCAGGAGCUGACAACCACAAAUGAAAAAUUGCGGGAGUCGGAAGAAGAGAUUGCCAGGUUGAACAUCAAGCUCAAAAGGGACGAGUCUCCGCAGCAUAAUAAUGGUAUAAAGGUUGCACUUGAACCAGAGUCUCCACAACAUAAUAAUGGUCUUAAGCUUGCACUUGAAUUAUCAAAACCGAAAGAGGCCAAGAUACAUGAGGGUGAGCGAGACAGGGAGAUAAAUGAAUCGCCGGAGAUUCAUGAAAGGGUUGAUGGGUCGGGAGAACUUCAAGACCCAGGUAGCAAGAUUGAGGCAUUGACGAAAGAGCUUAGAGCCACAAAAGAUAGACUUCAACAUUCAGAAAAAGAGAUUGCAAGUUUGAGACAGCAACUUGAGAGUAAUAAAGCCUCUGAGGAAAUCCAACGCUUGCAGGGUCAGCUUGUAUCCGCUAACAAGGAUAUUUCUUCGUGGAAAACGAAGUUCAACGCAGAGAAACGAGAGGUGUCCAAGCUGCAGGAACGAAUUUCAAGGUUGAAAAAUAGUUUAACAGACCGGGAUAAUGAAGUCAUGGAUUUGAAAAUAGCAGUGUCUGAUGCCGAGGAGAAGAUUUUCCCCGAGAAAGCACAGGUUAAGGCUGAAAUAUCUCGAUUGCAAUUAGAACGGACACAUUCAGAGGAGCAAAUUAAAGACUGGGAAUCUCGUGCUCGGUUGUUGGAAGACGAAAUCAGACGGAUGAAGUCUGGAAAAGCAGAAAUGGAGGAGAGACUGAAUGGCGAGAUCGCGCAGUUGAAGGCAGACAUCCUUGAGAGAAGCAACCAAAUGGAGAAUUUAAACAAGGUCCUUGAUGCAAUGAAAACAGAAAGAUAUGAGCUUAGCACCAAAGCCACAACGCUACAGGCAGAGGUGAGUUCAAGAGACGAUCGGAUCAAUGAGAUAAACAAGACUUUGCAGCAUAUGCAGACGGAACAUCAGGAACUGCUCAACGGGGCUGAAGGGGAGCGUAAACUGGUGGAGGAGCUAACAGAAAGAGAAAAGGAACUCGAAGAGGAGAUUCAGGGGCAAAGAAUUGUGAUCAUGGAAGGAGCAGAAGGAAAAAGAGAAGCUAUAAGGCAGCUAUGCUUCUCGCUUGAACAUUACAGGAACGAAUACCAUAGGCUUAGACAGGCUUGCAUGGGGAACAAGAGAGUUCCAGUUUUGGCAACUUAAGCUAAACACAAAACAUGAUGUCAUCGUUUGUAUAGUACAUAAUUUUUUGAGUGCCUGUUUUUUGUAUCGGGUCGGAAAUGGCCAGCCGAGUGAUGAGCUAUAGGCCAUGCUCUCUCAUGGUUGAAUGAAUGUGAGGUUUGUGUAGUGUAGUAUACAUAUAGAUGCAGAGGGGUCCCGGCUUAAGGACCCAUUUGAGUCACUAAUUUUCCCUGAAAAAUGGUGGAGGGCAGAAAAUUUGUGUGAUAAUUCUGGUUUGGUGUUUGGUUUUGGGGUUGAAAUUGGCACAAUUGAAAGUGUGUUUGCAAACUUUAGACGCAUGAUUGCAUAUUCAUUUGCUCUUUAAAAUUUAGGGAAAAAAAAAGGCCGACGGGACUUUGGAUCUUUCAUUUGGUUUUGUGCCUCCUAGGCUUUCAAUAUGUGCCAUAUCUUUCUCAAUUUUAUUAAUUUCAUUACGUGUAAAGUUGAUGACUCUUUUUAUGAGCAUAUACGUCAACCAAAUGUUUUAUCCACAAGAAAAAUUAGCGAAAGAUUUUAAUAUAUUGUCAAAAACAAGAUUUAAUACUUAACUAAUCAAAUUAAAUUUGAACUGUUGAAUUUCUUUAGCUUACACUUUGCAAAUUGACCCCAACAAAAAAUAAAGAAAAUAGGAUACAAUAUUCGCGCCAGGAAGGGGUCGAACCUUCGACUUUCUGCUUAGGAAACAGACGCUCUAUCCACUGAGCUACAGGCGCUUGUUGUUGACAAUAACCCUUCAUUAAUUCUUAUCAAUGGAUAACAUGCUUCUUGAACCCAAAUCUUUUGGAAAAUCCCAUGAGGAAGACUAUAUAGUAAGUUGUUAUCAUGUCAGUUCUCUUACAUUUUUUUCUCUUACACAGGAAAAAUUCUUAGAUAAAAAGUGCCACAUCCAACUGCCUUUCACAUAGGAGAAAGUAUUGGAAACGACUGCCACAUGGUGGUGCGCUCAAAACGAGUGAAACUCUAUGGACUCGCAUGCAGACCCAUUUAGGAGAGGCACCGGCAACCCCUACCAAGAAUUUAUGCUCACGUUGGUCGCUCUCGAUUUUCUGCUAGCUCAACAUGCGAAACUCAACAUAAAACCAAAAAAAACCUUGACCUUAGGAUUUCUAGCACAAAUACCAUGAUAAAAUUUGUUUUAACCUCGGCGUCUUAUUUAGCUAUGCAUACAAGACGUUAAUCAUGUUUGUUUAAAAUUAUUUCUAAAAUGACUAAAAACGUACCUUUGAUUAUGCCUAGAAAAAAAAAAUUCAAAGAACUUUUGGGUCUUAAAAGCUGUUCUUCAAUGAGCAUUACCAAGUGCUUUUUCACUAAGGACUUGGAAGUUUUGGUAAGAAUUUCGACAUGUCAUAAGAAAAGGCACUUGUAGCAAAAACGUUUACGACAAGUGCUCCGUAUAUAAACAGUCCCAAACGAUUACAACAGCGACCACCAUCAAAUUUUAGCUCCUAGACGAGGUUGGUUAUAUGAAUCGUAAAACGCUACCGCACUUGAUUUUUUAUUUUUGACUAUAUUCUAGCUCGCUUAAACAAUAUGCAGAAUGUAGAAUAAUAUGACGUCAAAAAUUGGAAACUCAUAUGCAAGAUAUAGCAAAAACCACAACCAAAGCUUAAAGAGAAUAUUCAAUUAAAAAAAAAGUCCUUUGGAAAUUCCAAAACAAGCAAAUUAUUGAAACAGAUGGGAAAUUAGAAUCUCUCCUCUGAUCGGUUGGCUCAUUGAAACUUGAAAACGACGAUGAAAAUUGCGUUACGACGGAUCCAGAUCCAGCAGCAUCAUGAAAUUUAUUGGCCUUCAGUCUCAGCAGGCUUCUCGAAAAAUGUCUUCUUUAUCCAAUCAAACGGCUGUUAAUUUUUUGAAAAUUAAAAUAAAUAAAUAAAUAACCAUUAGAAUCAUAAUGUUUCUGAAAUUUUCUAAAUUGUUGCUCAAUCUACGGAUUUACUGGGAAAAAGAAUAAAUAAAUAUGCUAUAUUUGAUAAAUAAAUAAAUUGGGGAUGAGAGGAAUUGAAGUGGGAAGCGAGAGGUCAGACCUGGACGAACCAAAGAGCGCCGGUGCCGGCGGCGACGCCCCACAUGGCGGCGGCCUUUACAUCGGAGGAUUGGGGAAUCGAGAGUUUCGAGAAACGUGCUGCGAGUCCGCCUGCCAUUUUUUGGAUCUGAAUUCACAACAAACGCAAAGAGAGGAGCAACGGUGACGCGCAGCAAAGAAAAGAGACUUUGAACAGGCCGCUGCGUUUGAAGUCGCAGAGAAUAUUUAUAAAAUAGGCUAAUUACACGUUGCAUCCAACUAUUUUUUAAAUUGACAAAAGAACCCCUCAAGUUACUAAAUGUUUUAUAUUGGCCUCUCGGUCAAUCUAACUAUCAAUUUAACCAUCAUUUCUUAACGUAUUAAUCAAUGACAAUGAGGUUACUUUUCCGGCAUUGGAGAACUUAGAAUUAGGGAAAUUAAGGAAGGGAAAUCGAAUAAACUAGCCCUUCAGUUAAUCCGAUCUCUAAUUUUGAGGUAUUUGAUUACAAAUUUUAAGGAGAAACUCGCACUCUUCUAAUUUCAUGUGUUACUGAAACGAUUCUUAUACCCAUAUUUUUCGUAUAUGGGACCGAAACCGUGAGAUUCUAUAUGCCUUUAGUGAAGCCAUAAUCCAUUCAAAUAUUGCAUUGCGAUACAAACAUCUCAAGUAAACUUCAUUUUUAAGAUAUACAACGGAAAACCUAUGAGCCAACCCUACAGACUCUAAAUCCGUCAAAUCGUUCAACCUUAGUACAGAUUCUGGGUACACUAACAAAGUAAACGACAGACCUGAAACGCGAACAACGCACAAGGAACUAAUCGUGUUCAACACCCUUGUAGUCCAAGCCUCAAGUCAGAAGCAACACGCCUCUAUCACUUUACCGAGGUUGCAAGACAAGCAUGCGUAAAGCAGCAUAGGCACGUUUUCAGCUGACCGAGGCCACGAGGUAUGGAUGGGCAAAGAGGGAAGACUGAGGGAACGAGGGAGGGGGGAGAGAGUCCGGGCACUUCUAUUCUUAGCUUCCACGCAAACUACUUACCAACGUCAAUCUUGAAGCCCCAAGAGUGAAUCUUCGCUUGUAUUUAAAAACCCACUGAAGGUAGACUUCAUCAAUCGUCCCAAGCACUAUCUGCUGCACCUUCUUUUUUAUUGUUCGAAUCAGCAAACAUGAACCGAUACUUAUCCUCGAUGUUUACUGAUGCUGGUCCCGCUGUUGAGCUAUUGGAUAAGGCAACCCUAGCUUGCUUUUGAGCAGCCGCUGCUUCUUUCUCUUUCCUUCUUGCAGUCUGAUAGUCAAUAGCAAAAAUUGUCAAGCUUAUAAACACACGAAACAAAAUUUUCUUUUCUUUCUACCCAGAUUAUUUGGAAAUGAGAAAGAAAUUCUGUGCACUAGUACGAUGCAAAAGCAAUAGAAAUGUCCGUUGAUAGCAUAUCUCAGAAUUAGUACCUUCCCAGUUGCAAAAGCCACAGCAUUCCCAGAUCCAGCAUCUGAUAUUGCUUUCUUUAUAUUUGCCACGAGGAACUACAGUGUGCCAUCAAUAAUCGAGAAUGAAGAGUUAUAUUCUGCUAAUGGAAGAGAUAGUGCGAAGAAGCAAUAAGAGAAGGUGGAGAGCAAGGUACCAUAUCACGAUCAGUGUAAAAGGAAGUAGAUUGUCCCAUUGAUCCUGCUCUUCCCGUUCUUCCAAUCCGGUGCACAUAAUCUUCCAUGCUCUAUAUUGAGGUAGCCAUAAUUGAAGCUUCAGGUUUGCUAUUUCACAACAAAAUUAAUAGCAACUGAAAAGACCAGGCUAUUGAGAUGCUAUCACAUGAUAGCAAAAAGACUUAUGAUCACCAGUUGACAUUAUUCAAAAACCAAAGGUCACCACCCUAUUAGUUAAGGACAAUGGCGGAAAUGAAACUCCGAUAUGAGCUGCCUAAAAUUAUAGCCAAUUUUCAGAUAAGCUUCUAAGUUGGGUUAGUGGAUUCCAGAUAUAAAUCAACCAAGGGCCUUCCAUCACAACCAGCUAUACCUUUGGAAGAUCCAAAUUGAUAACAUGUGCAACUCCUGAGACAUCCAAACCGCGAGAUGCAACAUCAGUCGCGACCUACACACAAUGGUCUCAAUCAGAUACUCGCUGAUUGGCAAUGUUAAAGCUGCCUUAUAUUCAAGCAGAAUCAGACAAAGAUGAGCAGAUAUAAAGAAAAUGUGAAAAUAAUAGAGCACAAGGCAGUGCAUGUACCAAAAUACUGGUAGUGCCUUUUCUAAAAUCACGUAGAGCAGCCUCUCUUUCAGUUUGAGUACGACCACCAUGAAGAGCAACUGCAUGCAACCCUUGUGCUACCAAAGCUUCAGCAACUUCAUCACAUCUCGUCUACAUGCACACCCAAAUUCCAUGUCAAAUUUCAUGAAUGAGCCAUACAAGUUUAAAAAUGCAGAGCCUCAAAAAGAGUUAGUAAUGAGAGAACAUUAAGUCACACCAGAUUAUUAAUUUUUCCAUCUAGCAAGCAAGGCAUAGCAUCUUGCACUACGAACAGGAAAGACUUCAAAUUGAAUUUGCACAAACUUUUCACCAAUACAAAAUUCAUGAUGAUGACCUUUAAACCAUAUCAUAUAUGACUUUUGCUGUCCACAAUAUAGAGAUUUGGAAGACAUGCAAGCAACAGAGGAACUUGUCCAUCAAUUAUUUAUACCCAUCACCAUUAAUUAUAAGUUUGAAAUGAUGUUAGUCAUAAUCAAGUAACGAGAACGUAUGAAGCAUAAUUUACCUUCCUUUCAACAAAUACAAUAGUUAAGGGAAAGGGAUGGCCAGUUCCUUCAACCCGAGAUGCCUCCUCUACGAGCAAAGCCAAAAGCCGAUCAGUCUACACAGACAAAGCACAAUUGUCAAGUUAAAACGAGGCCAAGAACUCUCCCAGUAAAAGAUCUGUGAAAUAUGCUAGCCAAAGAUGAUAAGAUCAUCAUUACGCACAGAAAUAAUCAGGGAAGUGCCAAAUAUACAUAGAACAACUCUCCAUACCAUAGGUGUAGCACUAAAUUCCUAGAAACCUCAUCCCCACGCCAAAAAGAAAGAAAAAGGAAAGACAACAUCACAGACUGCACAAUGAAAAAAAUGCAGAGAAACCAAUAUUGCUUAUUCUGGGUGAACCAACCUUCUCACUCUCAGGAACCUUCUCCAAAGUCUGAGUUACGUUUGCUGUAGGGCUACUCACUUUUCCCACCUUCACUUGCACUGGUUUAGUUAAGUAUUCCUGAAGACAAUAAAAGCUAGAAUAAGUUUUCACUGAAAUUGAGCAUGACAGUCUUAACUAAACCAGAGAGCAAGCGAGCAUAAUGAUCUUAAAGGUAUUCCAAUACUAGUUUUGGUAUAUUAGAAAAUAACAAACUACAAAUUCAUUUCAAACUUGGUAUAAAACUACGUUGCAUUAAAGUUAUAAUGUUUCUAUUCAUACAAUCAAGAUUGUCUGGUUAGUAAUAUGUCCAUCUGGUAAGCAAAGCAAUAAAUAGGUCUGUAUACCAAUCUGCCUGUUGCAGAGCAAGAAAAUACAUGAUGUUACCACCAAAACAAGAGCUAAUGGCUUAUAUGUCACAGGAAAGAAAGAAGAUUCUCAGACCCAACGUACAGGAAAAAUAAGCCAUAGAAACAUAAGAUUGUAAAAUGAGAAGGUUGAUUCUAUGAAAGAACCACAGUAAGGCCUUUCCCUUAUUUAGUUACAAAAAAUAUGAAUAGAAUUACUUAGUUACAUUAACUAUGAUAAUGUUCAUAUAAACUUGUACAAGAAGGUAAUCUAGUGGAAACCUUACCUGAGCUAAUUCUUCAAUCUCUUCAGGCAUAGUUGCACUGAACAGCAAAGUUUGAUGCUUUUCAGAAAGGUUCCGCAUCACCUAAAAUGGCAUCAAAAUAUGUGACAUAUCAUUUCAGAAUUAAACAGGGAAUCAGAUAGUUGUUCCAUUUUUAAGGAAAAAUAAAUAGAAAGUAAAAGGCACAUUCAUGUCAAAAGUUGAGACAAAAUAUACCUCUCUUAUCUGCGGUUCAAAUCCCAUGUCAAGCAUUCUAUCAGCUUCAUCUAGAACAACAAAAGAAAUUCUAGUGAGAGAAGUGUUCCUUUGUUGUAAAUGAUCUAUAAACCGUCCAGGAGUGGCAACCACUACAUCAACUCCUGCUCGUAGCUCAGACCUCUGUCAAUCCAUCCAGUAGAAAUACAGAACAAAACAAGUAUUAGCGGAGACUAAUAAGAUAUAUAUUCCGUAAAAUGACAUAAAAUUGAAAAAAACAUUGCACUAAAGGGAGGUAUGAGGUUAAGUGUUUUCUUUUCAUACCACAGGUCAGAGGGGAGGAGGGUGGAGGGGGGCAUCAGGGAGAAACAUAUGUUCAUAAGAAUCUAUAACACUAGAAGCAUUGAUUCAAACCCUAACCCACACCUAGGCAUUAUCAAAACUAAGAGAUAACGACAAGCACUAACGAAUUUCCAGAGUCACAACACCUAGAAGAUCAAGAACAAUUAUUGAAAUAAAAUGUACAGUUAUUCCCCCAAAUCAAUUACCUGCUCAGAUAUGUUGGUUCCACCGACCACAAUUGCAGUUCUGAAGGACUCGAGAGAUGCACUAAAAGCUUUGACCUGUAAAACCACAAUAUAACUUGGCACUUACAGAAAAGUACUAAGAACAAAUUCCAGACUAACAAUCAUAUAGUCAUAAAUUCAUUGUGAUCUUUUGCAGCUUAGAUCACCUCUUUUUCAAUUUGUUGGGCAAGCUCUCUAGUCGGAGCCAAUACCAGAGCUAGUGGUCCAUCACCGCGCUGAACAGGAGGUUGAGCCAAGCAAUGCUGUACAUCGAAAAUGAAAAUUAAAACAUGCCUUAAACCAAAAACUACUUCGCAUGCACAUAUAGUCCAGACUACAUAAGAAUACUAAAUAACGGGACCACGGACCUGUAUCAUGGGAAUGGCGAAUGCAGCAGUUUUUCCACUGCCAGUUUCAGCACAACCUAAUAGGUCCCUCCCACUGAGGGCAACCGGCAUAGCUUGAGCCUGAAUGGAUGUCGGUGUAGUGUAUCCGUGAUUGUCGAUAUCCUUCAUGAUGCUAGGGUGCAAACACUGAGAGUAGAGGAACAACACGUCCGUUAAUCCAUAUGGAUAUACAAACUAGGCUAAUCCAAAAAUAGAAGUAAAAAAUCUGAUUGAUAAAACACAAAGACGAAUCACCAUAUCUGUGAAAGACUCAAUCGGUGCCGGAGCAGGAGCAGAGUCGGGACUAGCAGAAACAUCCAAAUUAAGCCGCAAACAAACCUCUUCAAUCUACAGGCAUGUAAUUCCGUAAAUUUCAGCUAAUGACGACGAUAUAAACAGACUGAUAACGUCAAUAAACAGAAAUUUGACUGACAUUGUGAAAUUAGCUGUAGCAAGAACCCUAAGCAAAUGCAAAUUGCACAAAAUUCAGAAAAUGCAAGGAAAUAACUGGAUGAGCGUCGAACCAUUUCAGGCUUCAUGCCGAGGACGCGGUCGGAGGGCUUCCAUUGAGGGACGACGGAGUCAGGGCGAGCUCUGCUGGCCUGGGAGACAGCGCCGGAGCUCCCGCGGGAGGAGGCAUUGGAGUGCGAGAAGCUGGAGAAGGAAGCACCACCGGACGACUUAUCGUUGUUGAUGUGAGAGUUUGAGGAGGAGAGCUUGCUCUGAUCGUCUAGGGUUCGGAACGAGGGUUUGGCGGUGGUGGUGGUGGUGGUGGUUGUGGUGGUUCGUGAGCUCGACCUCAGGUGCGGAGGCACGUACGACAUUGUUUUGCGGAGAGUUUUCUCGGAAAUCGGAGAGAGUGUUUGAUUUUACGGCGACGACGUCGACGACUGUGAGUGGAGUGAGUUGAGAGUAUAUGAAAAACGAGAGGUGCGUGUUUGGCCAAUCUUUCUCAAUCGAAAGGAUCAUACCACGAAAAUGUUUUCACUCUCUCGCUAGCAUGGGCCUGUGGGUUGUGGGCCCUUUUGGGUCUUUGUGGGCAUAGAUCUCAGUCCAUAUUUCUGGGCCAGAAUUACAACCUCGUUUGGGUCCUCUUAUAAUUUUGGGCCGGACUCAACCCACAUUGGAAUUAGGUUUCUUUCUCCCCUUCUUGUACUUGUGGCCCUUGAGGAUCAAGCUUUAGGAGUCAAGGUCUCCCUUUUUCUCACUUGACUCUUUGGUUUUAAGACUGUUUGGUCAAGAGAACGAGUGAUUUUCCUCUCUGAUUUUCAUCGCCCAACCUACAAGCAGACAACCAAUCAGUCCACUUGAAUGAUUGAAUUUGAUUUUAUCGUCGGUUUGCAAACCCUAGAGGUCAAAGACCCAUUUUCGCACAACUUAUUUAUGAGCACAUCCAUCAGUAAGUAGCGUGAGAGCUCUCAGCCACAUCAAUAGCUCAUGUGCUCAUUAGCAUCUGUCUCUAUGAGGUUGAAAUGUGAAUCACAUCAAGCACAUUACGUCUUCCACUAUAUUAGGAUAAGGAGUAGAGUUUGAUUCCAAUUUCACAUCUUUUGGUCCUAUGAAUUGAGUUUGAUUAAGAGAAACGGAAAUAACAAAUACAAAAGUAGAAUUAGAUGAGUCUCACAAUUAAUAGAUAGAACUUAACUCCCCCAAACCGACAAUGGUGUAAAAAUUGUGUUAUAUUUUAGGGAGUUUUAACGAAAAGCCCACGGUAUUGUUCACUUUAGCGAAAAACCACAUUUUUACACUAAAAAGUCAAACCUGAUACUAUUCACUUUACCCUUUAUUUUGUCCUUAUCAUUAAAAUUUAAAGUUUUCAAGCCAUUUUCAUUAGUUUUCCUUAUAUUUUAAUAGGAAAACUAAUGAAAAAUAAUUUGAAAAUUUGAGUUUUAACGAUAAGGGCAAAAUAAAAGGUAAAGUGAAUAGUAUCAGGUUUGACUUUUUAGUAUAAAAAUGUAGUUUUUCGUUAGAGUGAACAGUAUCACGAGUUUUUCAUUAAAACUCUCUAUUUUAUAUCCUAUAUACAUAAAUCAAACUCAUAUAAGCCACUGUAGAUGCCAUCGCUAGAAACCAAACUUGUAUUCACAAGCAUAUCCGUGCGGCUCACAUGGCAUGUCACCAUGUGAGACAAACCUAAUUAGUUUUGCUGCUCCCACAGUUUUAUGGGAGAGGCAACCUCAUUGUAAUCGUUCUUAUUUCUGUGGGCUCUUAUUGCUUUAUAUUUAACAUAUGAUUGUAAUCCGUGAAACUGUCUAUGGAUAAUAAAAAAAAAAGCAACAUUAUGCUCAUCAUGUGAGUUUCAUCUCUAUUAGAGAAAUGAUACAAAGAAUAAUAAUUUUAUAAUAAAAUAAGUGCAUUUUUGCUCAUUACCAUAAACCAUGUUAUAUGUUCGUCAUACACCUCAUCAUAUGUUAGUCGCUAUUCUAUUUAACUUUUUAAUAUUGAAAAAGAGACUAUCUGAAAGCGAAACUCUCGAUGGACUAUCUGCCACCUCACACAUCAAUGUUAAUUUUCAUGCUAAUAUUAUAAAAAAAAGAUAAUGCUAGGGAGACAAAAAAUUUAAAGUAAAUUUGUAAACCAACAAAUGUGUCACCAAUAGGAAAUAAAUACGUUAAAAUCAAUACUUAAUUAAUAAUUCAAUCAUCAACAACCAUAUCAUUUGAUUUAAACAAAAAUUUUGUUUAAAAAAUUGUUCUCUCUGAUAUUAUCUCAUAAAAUAUUGUGCCAAAAACAUGAAAUUGAGUCCGUGAGUACACGGAGAAUCCUACAUCUAAAAGAGUCUUCCUAACAUUUCUUAUAAAAUAAUAAUAAUAAUAACAACUAGUGAUGUAGCAACUGACAUAAAGAUGACGUGGAUGAUUUUGAUGAUUGAAAAAAAAAAAAAAAAGAGAAUGAUUGGGGAGGGAUUUGGAUCCUCUCUCCUGAGCCCGAAUCCUCUUGAUUAAGAAAUGUGGGUCAUUUGAUGAAUAUACAACAGCUAUAAUUAUUAUAAUUUUAAAAUAAUUUUUUUAUUUGUAGUCGUUGGAUUUUCAUACAACGGUCCACAUUUCUUGGUCAGAAGGAUCCUCAUCUUGGGCUCAGUAGAGGAUCCAAAUCCAUUGGGGAGGAGGUAGCUUGAGAAAGUGCGUGCCAUUGGUUGAACAUCCUUUUCAAUGGUUGUAGUAGGUGAGAUGAGCUGAAAGCCCUGCAAACUUGUCCUCAACACGAAUUCACAAAUUUGUACCUAUCUUCUUCUUCCUUCUAACCUCAUUUGAUUAGUGAUUGCUUUAGUUUCAACGAUUAAAAUUAUUUAUUAAUUUAUGUCCUUAUAGACUCAAUCUGUCGCAUAACUUUUACUUUCUUAUGAGGCUUUUUUUUUUAAUAUAUCUUUGCAUGUCUUAUUAAAGCCGCAAUAAGAAUAUUCCAAUUACAUAUUAAAUUUUGAUUUGCUGGUGAGAAGGAUCGAAAUAAAGAAACACAAGAACUUCGUUGAAACAAAUUUUGCCUUCAUCGUGUCUGCCUAUGUCUUUAUCAAGUGUUGCUCGCUUAGAAAGUGUUUUACGAGAAGGUGUGUGUGUGUUUAUGUUUUAUUCUACUUCGCUUUUAUUAAGAGUAUGCCUCUUCGUUUAAUAGUUUCGUUAUGAAAAGUGCUUUGUACAAAUCUCUUGUCCUUGCAUAUGCUCAUCCUACUCAAGACUGUUUUAUGAAAGAGCAAGUCUCCCUUUUUCACCUUACUCGUAAAACGUAUGAUAAAGUGAUUAUUAUGCUACAUUACCCUAAUGGUUUAAUUAGAGCUGGUUUGGUUUGGGGUUGCUUAAAUAUUUUUAAAAGCAGCUUUUUAUCAAACUUGAGGCCUUAAUUUUGUGUUUGGUAAAUGAAAAAAGAUAUAAUUCACAAUCAUGGGUCCAAAACAAUAUAAAGCAGAAACAGCUCUACACUUUUUUCUCAGAAAAAACGUUUCUUUCAUUGGAAGCAUGUAAACAAUACUAAUAAAUGAAAAUUACAUAUUGAUAAAAGCACUUUUGGCACUAUCUUUUACCAAACACUUACCUUUUGUUUUCAUAACUAUUUAUUCUCACACCACAACAGAAGCAAUUUUGAAAAACAAAAAAAAACACAGCAACCCGAAAACUAGCCCAAACUAGUCCUCUUGGCUUAUGCAACUAAGGACCAAAAUAUUAUGAUUUAUUGCUCAUACAAGUUGUUCUUGUGUGUGUGUGUGUGUGUGUAAAAUCACAAAUAUAGGUAGAAAUAGAGAGAUUUUUCAGUGUGACCGGCAUACGUGAUAGUACACCACGUGUUAUUAUUUAAAUGGUGGGAUAUGUGUGUUAAAAAGUUAAUAUCUUAAAAAAUAAAAUUUCUCACUAUUUACAUAAAAACACGUGAUGUACCACUCAUAUUCCCAUCACAAUUAAAAAUUUCACGUUGAAAUGUUGACGAGUCUAAGAUGUAAGGUGAGAGAGCAAUACACAUGCACAACGUGUAAGGUAUUGGAUGAUAUGGCGUGGUAGGCAGCGCAUGUAAUUAGGAAGGUAAUAUGAUUACCAUAAGGUACGACCACGCACCGUUAAAUCUAAAUUAACGGCAACCUAAUACGACGCCGUCUAAAGAUUCUAGGAAUGCUAGAAGAUCUGAAAAUGCAUUGACAUUUAUUUUUUUACUCUCCCCCAAUAAAUUAUAUUAUCUGUUUUUGUAACGUAAACUUCCAUUUGAAGUCGUAGGUUGUGCCUUGUGCGUGUCUGAGUGCCAUAAGACAUUUCGUGUCGAUAAGUUAGUACUAGUCUUCCAUCCGAGUAUGAUUUUCCGGCAAUGCUGAUGUAAACGGGCAGGCUCCGUUUGACCUGGUUGGGAAAGUUCGGAAUAUUUUUCGGUUGAGGCUUCAUUUUAAAACUAACCGAGAAUGAAGGAGUGACUCAACAAAUGUUCGAAAUUUCCUCAAUACAAUCGAUAUUUCGGUGAAAAGAUAUGGAAACGGAAAGUGAAGUUUAAAGUUCACUCCAUAUCAGAUAAACUUGUAAAUUUUGGCUAAUAUCGACAUAUUUUGUUGAUAUUUUCGACAUAUUGGUUGAAUAUCGGAGAAAAUUUUAUAUUUCGUUUAAACCAAUACUUGACAUUCUCUAAUUAUUAUUAUUUUUAAUUUUAAAUUUCCACAUUUUUGAGCAAUUUUCUGUCAUUUCUAUCAAAGUCAACCAAUAUCGAUAUUUCCAUAAAUUUGCAUAUUGAUCCGUAUUUCCAACGAUAUUAAUAUUUUAAACACUACUUAUAAGUCUAUGCGAAGUAUCUUUAAUCUGCAAUUUAUGAUUUAUACUCCUAACAAGCCUCUCUUACAUAUAGUCGUCUAAUUCUAAUGAUAAACAACAUGUUGAACGAAGUAGAAGCACAUGGGCCGUUGAGCCCUACAAUUGAGAAAAAAUAAACAUUUCUCUUAUUAAAGUUGACUUGGGGUUUUCUAAAGAUAGUGGAGAAAGAGAUUUUUUUUAUUUAAAUAAUCUCUACUAAUUAAUAAAACACUAAUUAUCAAUUAUAACUCUAUGAAAUUAUCAGUUUAACCCUCUAAUUAAAACAGAAUAUGAAUAAGAAAUAUGGGGCAGAAAUAUAAUUUCACACAAUCAAAUUUUGCUGUUUUUUUUUUCAAAGUCUCACUUACAUGUAAUCCUAACAUAUUUCUAAUUAAAAAUUAAAAAAAAAAUUUAUGUGUGCCCAUAUUCUAGUAGUUAAUAUUUGAGAAUUUGAGAUAGAUUUAUGUACAAAGUCCAACGUCAUUUGAGUGAGCAAUACGACUUUAUAAAGAAAAAAAGAUGAACUAUAUGUCUAAGCAAUCAAUUGCUCCUUCAAAUUCUUAAGGGCCAUCACAUCGGUGAUGACUGUAUUUUUUAUUUCAUUGAGGUGUAUCAUAUGAUUCACAUGAAAUUGUUAUUGAUAUUUGAAAAAAAAAAAUUAUUUGCACUUCUCGAAGGACAAUUUUUCUCCAAUGUUGUUUCAGAGAUAACUAGCAUGAUGAAUUUCUUGGAGUGUCAUAUCAAAGUGUAGUUUAUCUUCGUGCAAUUUUUUCUUUUGAGGGACGAAUACAAGAUGAUGAGAUGUUGGGUAGAAAUCCAAUAUCGUAGUGGAUAAGUACAUGUGGUCUAAUACUAGUAGAUAAGAUGUUGGGUUUUCAUUCAUAUGUUUGGGGUUUGAAACUCCCUAUCUCUUAAAUUAUUGUAAUACUUUCGAACCAUUCCCCCUCCCUUAAUAAUAAUAAUUUUUUUAAAUGGCAUUUUAGUUAAAAAUUGUCCCUCAUAUUUGAAAUCGAUAAAAGUGGUCUCUGAGUUUGUUCACUAUCAAUCAUUUUAGUCAUUAUGUGAGAAUUCUUUGUUAAAUAAGGAACAAAAUGACAAAAAUACCCUCAAUUUACUAAACAAUUGACCAAAAUGAUUUGACAAAAAUUGAGAGUAUUUUUUGUCAUUUUUUUCAAUUAUUUAACGGAGAUUUUUACAGAAUAACCAAAAUGAUUAAUGGUGGACAAAUUCAGUGACAUGUUCUAUCGAUUUUAAAUUUCAAGGACCAAAGUCAGAAGUUAUGCAAAUCUCUAUAACUAUUUUGACUAAAAAAAAAAAAAAUAUAUAUAUAUAUAUAUAUAUAUAUAUAUAUAUAUAAAGUGUAAAUAUCAAUUUCCAUAUAUUGUUGCAAACCAACUUAAUAUACUAUAUAUGCUAUUAUUUUUUUUCUAAGUUAAACCAGAUUUUCUUUGUGCAUUGAAUUGUGGAGAAAAAUGCAUGUAAGCAUUUUCUUUGUUUGGAAUGGAUUUGAUAAAAUUUACUGCCGUAAUAAUGCUUCUUAUUUCUAUUGGCAAAACAUGCUUUGCACCUGUAUGUAUGGUUUAGGACAUGUAUCAAUUUAAUUUCACACGUUUUAAAAUUUGGCAAAAAAAGCAUGUAUGUGAUAAGUUUUUACGUGUUUGACUCUCCAUUUAUGAAACUAUCAAGUUAACCGCAAUGUGAAUGAGGAAAAUGUCACUUUAGCCAUGCUUCUUGUUCAACUGCUUAUCAUUUGUUUGGAAUAACUUUCAAAUGCAUGUUGGUAUUUUUUUUACGAGAAGCGAUGGCGAUUUUUCAUUAGUAACAAAAACAAUUAUAAGGAUUGUCACGUGGGUUUUCAUCGAUCUAGUGAUAUUUUGCACAAAUAAUCAUAAAGAUUAAUUCCUUACUAGGCUACCGCAAACAGCAACAGCACUGACGCUAGCACAAGCACCAAUAUAUACCCACCACAAAUACAGAACCACGAACUUAAACUGGGGCAGAGUAGUGUCAUUCCCAAUAAGCGAAACUACAUCAAACCAUCGCUUAAGAUCUAAUUAUGUGUCUUAAAAAUAUUGUUCUAAAAAUCUCUGCCUAGCUUUGCCUAGGCGUUAGGCGGCUGGUCACCGCCCCGAUUAGUCUCUAAGCAUUUGAAAAUUAAGAAAGUACCCCUAGACCGGCUUAGGCAUCCACCUCGCUCGCCUUGCCCGUCUAAACCAGCCUAAGUUGUAACUCUGAUUUAGACAGAAAACCGAUAACUUUCAUUUUGCAUUUUAAUUUUUCAAUAAAAUGUAAAAAACUUGUUGAAUACUUGGAUGAACACUCAUUAUAUGAUUUUUCCACAUAUUUUCAAUAUGUUCUAAUACUUUAUAAUUUAUAUAUCAUUUUAUUUUGUAAUUUAUGCAUUUUAAUAUAAUUAUAUGUGUUUUUCAAGUAUAAAUAAACACUUAUUUAUACAAUAUAUAAUAAAUUUACUUAAAUUCGUAUUGUCCCCCUAGGCCCUGCCUAACCACUUAGGCAUUAGGCCCCAGCCCACUGCCUAACUACUGCCUAGCGUUUUUUAGAACCUUGCUUAAAAGUGAAGCUUGGAUUUUGGGAUUUUUUUGGUCAUUAUCUUUAACUUUAGUGUACCAUUCAUACAUCCAAGAUUCAAAAAAAGGUGAGAACCAACAUAGAAUUUGGUGGACUGAGACUUUAUCGAGAAGGAUGUGCAAAAUUCAACAUUGGACGAAGGACAACUCAUACAAUUGACCUAAUUGCUUCUCAAACUAUUUAGAAAAUCAAUAUUUUGGUGCGACUAGGGAUGGGCAAUGGUUAUGCGGGCGGGUAACCGCUGUUAAUUUACCCAUAACCGUUUAUGCUCAUACCCGCAUAACCGUUUACCCGUUGAGUAAUUGCCUAAACGUUACCCAUUCCCAUAACCGUUUAUAAACGGUUAACCAUACCCAUAACCGCAUACCCAUUUAACCGUAACCGUUUAAUACCCGUUUACUUAUUUAUCCUUUUUAACCUGUUUAUCUUUUUUUUUACCAUUACCCUUUUUUCACCCGUCUACAUGUUUUUUAACAACUUGAAAAUUUAAAAAAAAAAUUGUCAUAAUAUUUUUUUUUACAAUUAAACACCGUUAUAGGUACAUUCAUCAUACAUUUCCAUAUUUUAAUUUUUUAAGUUCUUAUACAAUUCUAAUAAUUGAAAUAAUAGUUUACGGACGAUAUUUUUAAUUGUUACCAAUGAAGGUAAAUAUAAUAUUUGCUAAGUAUUAUUGGGUUACAAAAAUUGUUUAAGACAUUUAUGUCAAAGCAUUUCUGUCAAUUUCACGGUUACCCGCAAGGAAUUUAAAUUAAUUUGGCCAAUUCCUUGAUGAUGAAAAUCAUCAUUCAUGUAGUAGUGUUAUUGAGAGAAUGACCGAUGAAUUCCUUGCUAAUUUAUUGGGUGCUAAGUAUUAUUGGAUCGAGAACAUGGUUUGUGUUAGUUUUACAUAUAUAAAAUAAAUGGGUAAACGGUUACCCGUUUAUAACCGUGGUUAAUACCCAUAACCGCCCAUUUAAAUUUCACGGGUAAACGGUUAUACCCAUAACCGUUUAUUUAUCUAAAUGGUUAUUCAUAACCGUAACCGUUUAAUUUAAAUUGGCGGAUAACUGCGGUUACCCAUAACCAAUGGGUAUUUGCCCAUCCCUAGGUGCGACCCACUCCCAACUUUGGCCAAAUAUUAUCACUAAGCUUUUAUUUUUUCUUGUUUAUGUUUCCAUAAAUACUAUAAAUCUUUUCCGGGGUAACUAGAUCUGUAAACGGGUCGGGUUUGUUUGGGUCAGGUUCAAUGCGACCCGUUAAGUUAACGGGUCACCCGAACUCAACCCGUUAAGCUAACAGGUCAUUCGAACCCGACCCGUUUCACCCGUUAACAAUUAUUAUUAUUAUUAUUAUUAUUAUUUGCAUAGAGUUUAUUUUUUGUUGUUAAGACUUUACUGAAAUUACUAAAACAUCAUCAACUAACGGGUGCUAACGGGUUCACCCGUUAACGAUCCGACCCGUUAAGCAUCAACCCAAAUACUAAUAUUAACGGGUCGGGUUCAAAAUGACAGGUCUACGGGUAACAUUUCCAUAUAUAUAUAUAUUUGAGUGUAAAGAAAAGGAAAUUUAAUCACAAAUAAGAGUUUAGGAAAAAUGAAUCAAAAUUAAUUCUGGUGGUCGCAGCAGCGUUACCAUACGAUGCUAAAGCAACCAAGACAACAGAAACAUACACGGAGACGGACCAUUUCAAAUUUUCAAUCGAUCACAACCAAUCCAACAAGAAAAUUUUUAUUGUGUUAGAAACACAAUUCGAUAUAUCAAAGGUCAUAAUACAAAUGAUUUGAUACUUAAAAAAAAACUUUUACUAUUUAUAUUGUGACACUUAAUGUGCUGGACUGUAUUCCUCUGGAAAAUUUCACCAAUCCUUCGGCAUCUCCAUCUAACGUGUCAAAACCUUAGUGGUUUUGUCCAUACAGAUAGCUCCGUGGGCUCCACAAAACUCCUUACAAAACAAAAUUUGAAACUACAGAGCUCGUUACAAGCAGACACAGACACAUUACAGUUGACAUGCGUUGAAAAAUAACUACAUUUGUGAUAUUAAUGAAGUAUUUAAGUAUAUGUGUAAAGUGGUAAGACUAAUUUUGGUAGAGACCUCCCUUAGACCAUCUCCAACCCUUGGGCUAAAAGCCAAAUUUUUUAGCCCGGAAAAUUUAGCUUUUAGCCUAGAAACAUCUUUUCUGCUCCAACCCUUCUACCCUAAAAUUUUAGCCGGAAUUAUUAAAGAAUGAAAUUAGCCUAAAUUUUUUUCUUAAAUCAAUUUUUUUUUUAAAAAAUAAAUAUGUAGAUUAUUGUAAAUUAAUUUUAUGAACAUUUUAAUCUAAAAAAAUUUAAAUUCCGAUAAACAUUUCGCAUUUAGCCCGGGGGGAAAGCUGGGGGGUAUUUGGCCCAGAAAUAGCAUUUGGCAUUUAGCCUAAAAUUUUAGCAUGGAUUGGAGAGUGUUUGGGGGGUAAUUUGGGGGGGUAAUUUGGCUUUUAGCCCAGGGUUGGAGAUGGUCUUAAGAUCUUAGUACUCAUAACAAUAACGUAAUGAUAGGUGAAAACAUUAAAAUGCACGAAACUCCAUUACUCAUUUAGGAUGCACAAGAGUCAAGGUUCUACAAGAAACUAGGUGCUAGUCGGGCAGCUGGUUGGAGUCUAACGGUUAGGCGGGGUCUAGGCAGAUUUAAUUAAAUAUAUUAUAUUUCAUAUAAAUAAGUGUAUGUUCAUACUUAACAUAUAUAUAAUUUCAUCAUAAAAUACAAAAUAGAAUAACAUAUAUAUUAUUAGCUAUUGAAACAUAAUGAAAACAUAUGGAGCAAGCAUAUAAUGUGUGUUCAUUUAAGUAUUUAACAAGUUUAUUACAAUUUAUUGGAAUAAAUAAAAUGCAAAAUGAAAGUUAUUUAUUUUCUACUAAGUGAAUCGCAACCUAGGCGGGUCUGAGUGCACUAGGCGAGUGUCUAGGCGGUCUAGGGGCGUCAUUUCUUAAUUUUUAAACACCUAGGCAUUAAUCGGGAUGAUGACAAGCCGCCUAGUAGUGACAAUAGUUUACCAGAGAGCUCAAUUAAGUCAUUCUAGCUUAACUUCGUUAUACUUUUCACAAAAUUAACACUUAUAAAUGUUGCACUCAUAAAGAUAGAUUAGUCUUUUAAAAAUACAAUUUAACGCAUACUUUUCACGUCUCGACCAUGAAUCACAAACUGUUAAAUUUAAAUGGCGACAAUUGAAACUUAGAGGUGAAGACAUCAAACUUUUUAUUUGGUUGAAAAAGGACGAACAUCAAACUUCUAGCCGAACAAACAUUUGAACGUCUCCCAACUCCCUCCACCUACCCGCUCCUUUACCUACUCCCCGCACGCCCGCACACUUCUCUCCAACCCCAUUUCCGUCAAAACUAACGCCGUUACACUCCGCAUUCACGCCUUUACGUCUUCCAACCACCCCCCACAGACACAUGACCACGCAACCCACCUAACGUCCGCGAAACCGUCCCUCUAUAAAACGCAAACCCAAAGCCCCCCAAAACGUCAGUUCACUCUCCCACACAACUCUCUGCAUUUCUGCUCUGCCCACCCACUAAAUCACUUGACACACCCACAGAGGCAAUGGACCUCCUCCUCCUGGAAAAGACCCUUCUGGGUCUCUUCGUCGCCGUCAUCGUCGCCAUCGCCAUUUCGAAACUCCGCGGCAAGAAAUUCAAGCUCCCGCCGGGUCCCAUACCCGUACCCGUAUUCGGAAACUGGCUCCAGGUCGGUGACGACCUCAACCACCGCAACCUCACCGACAUGGCCAAGAAAUUCGGCGACUGCUUCCUCCUCCGCAUGGGGCAGCGCAACCUCGUCGUCGUCUCCUCGCCGGAGCUGGCCAAGGAGGUCCUCCACACCCAGGGAGUCGAAUUCGGGUCGAGGACCCGAAACGUCGUCUUUGAUAUUUUCACCGGUGAAGGCCAGGACAUGGUGUUCACCGUCUACGGCGAGCACUGGCGGAAAAUGCGGCGUAUCAUGACCGUCCCCUUCUUCACCAACAAGGUCGUCCAGCAGUACCGCUACGGAUGGGAAUCGGAGGCGGCGGCGGUCGUCGAGGACGUGAAAAAGCACCCCGAGGCGGCGACCAGCGGAAUGGUGCUGCGGAGGCGGCUGCAGCUGAUGAUGUACAACAACAUGUACAGAAUCAUGUUCGACCGGCGAUUCGAGAGCGAGGAGGAUCCCCUGUUCGUGAAGCUCAAGGCGCUGAAUGGGGAGAGGAGCCGAUUGGCGCAGAGCUUCGAUUACAACUACGGCGAUUUUAUCCCGAUCUUAAGGCCGUUUUUGAGAGGGUAUUUGAAGAUCUGCAAGGAAGUGAAGGAGAAGAGGAUUCAGCUGUUUAAGGACUAUUUCGUGGACGAGAGGAAGUAAGUUAAUUCAUUUUAUUUAUUAAUUUUAAUUAAUUUUACUUUUUACUUUAAUUUUAGUAAACGUUAUUAGGAUGCAAUUCUCAACUUUCCUAUUUGGAUCUCAAAAAGGGUAAAUAGCUGUUAUUUACCACUAGUUAUUCGUCUUAAAAAAAAUAUUCUCUUUAAAAGAUAAAAAGAAAGAAAACUAAUAAAAAAUAUUUGAAAAUUUUAAGUUUUUACGAUAAAAAUAAAAUAAAUAGUAUCAAAAUUGAUUUUUUAUUUCGUUAAAAUAAAUAAUACCGAAAACUUUUUGUUAAAAUCCUUUAAAGAGAAUGUUAGAUACAUGAAAUUAUCUUUAUCGUUGACACCUUGACAUAUCUGUCUCACAUAUAUGUAGGGCUUGUCGGACUUCCAGAGAGCUUAGUUAAAAGAAUUUUUAUUCAUUUGUCAUUAUGUGUUAAGACUUAAGCGGGUGAAAAUGAUAUAUCGAGAAUGAAUUGCCUAUUCAUAGUACAUCACGCUCGAGUUUGUCUUUUAUACUCUUUUGUGUGAUUGCAAUACGAAAUGAUACGGCGAUUAAAAUGAGCGUGUGAAAAUUGCUGACUCGUUUUUUUUUUCUUGGUAUUUUUGAGCAGGAAACUUUCGAGCACAAAGCCUACAACAAACGAAGGGUUGAAAUGCGCCAUCGAUCACAUCCUCGACGCGCAGCAGAAAGGAGAAAUCAACGAGGACAACGUUCUCUACAUCGUCGAGAACAUCAACGUUGCUGGUGAGUAGACCACCCCACUCCUUAUAAUAUUAAUUCUUAACAUGACAACAUAGUAAAUCUAUUUGGAAAAGGAUCCUCUUCAGAUUUAUUUUGUGAGGAUCCUAAGAAUCUCUACAUCAUAGUCGUUCAUCAUACAUCGUGCGAUCAGUUUUCGUCAGAUAUUAUCGUUCGUAUAUUGUGCAGUCAGUUUUCGUCAAAUAUUAUUUAUUUUUAAUUUUAUAUUAAAAAUGUCAAAUGAUUUCCGACUGUAUGAUACACGAGGAAUGAUUAAAAUGUGGGGAUCUCUAGGAUCCCACAAAGUGGAUCCGGAUGGGAUUCAAUUCCAAUCCAUUUUUACUGAUAUAACGUGGAUUAAAAUGAUCAUUAGAAUUGUUAUAACUUAUAACUCAUCAUUUUGAAUUAUAAUAUUUAAAUUUAAUAAAAAUUAAUCCUAAGAUUAGCCACCCACCGUCAACCUAUUUUAUUGGAUUUCUCAUAGUAUUAAUUUAACUCUGAGCAAAAAUGAAAAAUCCUAUAAAUAAUUAUUUUACGUAAUUGGAGGCCGGCAAAUUAGAUAAGGUUAUGUGAUUCAUAUUUAUGGGAGUACAUUAAUUUGCAAACCAACUUUUCAUCCCCAACCUAUAUAUCUUUUUUUAAUAUUGUGGUAAUUAAAUAUUUAUUUUCUUGAUGGAGUCACUAAAAUAUGAAAAAUAAUCAUAUGGUUUUUUAGCUCCCACGUAUGCCAGUGCUUGACAUGUGAUGGAAGGUCUAAAGGCCCCAAUGAUGUUACGUAAUAUUGUUUUUAGCUUACGUAAUAUUCCACAAAGUUUCUAUUGGAUACGUGGGCGUCUUAGGUUGCCCCAUUUUGAUCCAGUUGGCAUACUUGUUUAGGUCAAAUAUUUAUGUGUCAUCGAUAAUAUAUCCUCGUGUAAGUAUAUUCUUGUGUAUGUGUCAUCGAUAAUAUAUCACCAUGCAAGUAUAGCACUUUCACAAAAAGAAAAUUAAAUUAUAAAAAGUCUUUGUUGCUUGAACAGUUGGUAUUGACAAAUCUAGGAGAAAUUUUUUAUUAUGAAUGGAAAAUGGAUAGUAUAUUACGUGUUUUUAUAUAAGUGGUGUAAUUUUUUGUUUUGUUUGUAAGUUCUUAACUUUUUAACACAUAUAUCCUACUAUUUAUAGAAUGCUACGUAAUGUACCAUCUCAUAUUUUUGUCACACUGAAAAGUCUCUUCAAAUCUAGGUUGAGCAGUAGGUGUGUUGGUGAACAAAUAUGUUGCUUUUGAUUUAAAUAUUGCUAAACCACUUGAUUGUGCCUAAACAUUGGUUGUUCGUAUCUUUUUAUAACUUCGUUUUAUAUACAAUUCACGUCUUUUUACCAACCUCAUGACGUCGACAUGCAAACAUGAUCGCAAUGGUUCUAAUACAAUACGAUGACGUGGUAUUAUUUUAGGUUACAAUACGUGAUUGUAUUUGAAUAUUCACAAUAUUUCUUUGCAAUAAGCUUUACAAAUUCAGUUAAGGUUGUUUAAUUUUAGGCCGCUAAUGUUGCGUUUCUGUAUUGAACAGCUAUUGAAACCACGUUGUGGUCGAUCGAGUGGGGAAUUGCCGAGCUAGUGAACCACCCCGAAAUCCAGAAGAAGUUGAGGAAUGAACUCGACACAGUCCUCGGCCGCGGAGUUCAGAUCACAGAGCCCGACGUUCCUAAACUUCCCUACCUGCAAGCCGUGGUCAAGGAGACUCUCCGACUUCGCAUGGCAAUCCCGCUCCUUGUCCCCCACAUGAACCUCCAGGAUGCCAAGCUCGGGGGGUUUGAUAUUCCGGCGGAGAGCAAGAUAUUGGUGAAUGCUUGGUGGUUGGCAAACAACCCUGCCCUGUGGAAGAAGCCAGAAGAGUUUAGGCCCGAGAGGUUUUUGGAGGAGGAGUCGAAGGUGGAGGCUAACGGGAACGACUUCAGGUAUCUCCCGUUUGGUGUUGGGAGGAGAAGUUGUCCUGGGAUUAUUUUGGCACUGCCAAUCCUGGGCAUUACAAUUGGACGUUUAGUCCAGAACUUCGAGCUUCUGCCUCCGCCAGGACAGUCCAAGCUCGACACCUCGGAGAAAGGUGGACAAUUCAGCCUGCACAUCCUGAAGCACUCCACCAUUGUGAUGAAGCCGAGGGCGUAGAUUGAUGCUUGGGGAGUAAGAUUUUGAUUCUAUGAAAUAUGAUGUUUGGGUUGUGAAAAUGUAAAUUUAUCAACUUUUUUCGUUCUUGUUCUUUGUUUACUUAGAUUUAUGAACUUCGAAUUAAUGGAAGGUUCAAGUAAUAAAUUUCUUUUUAUUAAUAAGUAUUUGGCCUAAUCAGAUAAACAGUCCUCGUGGUGAUAAGGUAAUCGGAAGAUAGUUCUUGUGGUAAAAAAAUUAGGAUUUAAACCCUUGUGGGAGAGUCCGUUGGCAAAUUUGGUCCAAAAUUGAUUUGUCCGUUACUUGUCUGUUAAGUAUAGGGAUAAAAAUGUAUUUUAAGGUGUACGCCUUCUUCUUCUUCCUCCCUCUGCAUUUCAUCUGUUUAUAUCUUAAAACAACCCCUACAAAAAAACCACAGAAAAUAAACCAUGAUCAUUAAUCUCUCAACUUCUCCAACCUCCUAUUCUUUCUCUCAUCAAGGUAUCCAAUUCCAAAUCACCCAUCUCCGAUUUUCCAUCAAAUCCCAAAACCCACCACCCAAAACCUCCAUCUUAUUCCAUUUGCUUACAUGGAUGCCUUGGAGAUAAGCUGCAACAAAGUGACCGUUCUCAUGGACAACAAUUAUGGGGGUUAACACAGCAGCCGCCUCCAAAACCGACUGAGCACUUUCAAAGUUGCCAGAGUUGAACCCAGGAAUCGCACAAGUCCUAAACUUGAACCUUUUCCCAUGUGGGCACCUGCCAUUUUCAAUGAAAAAUCGAUCCUUGCAGUGAAAACCAAGGUUUGGUGAAGAAAAUGAGCAGCAAAUGGAAGGAGAUAGAGGUUUUGGGUUUUGAUGGAAAAUCAGAGAUGGGUGAUUUGGAAUUGGAUAACUUGAUGAGAAAGAAAGAAGAGGAGGGUGGAGAAGCUGAGAGAUUAAUGAUCAUGGUUUAUUUUAUGUGGUUUUCUGGUAGGGGCAGUGGCGGAGCCAUAAAUUCAUGUUAGGAGGGGCAUACUUUAGAUCAAAAUGGACAUAAUACAUGUAGAAACUAUCUUGUUCUUUUGGUCGUCUUGGUAUCAAAUUUAAAAGUGAGUAACCAUGCAUUUAUUCUUCAUUAUAAAUGGGCAACUAUAUCAAGAGUUAAAACAUUAUUAAAAGCACAUUCAUGUAUUCUUCAUUCUUGAUAUUAAAUUCAAAGGUGACUGACCAUGCAUUCAUUUUCUCAUAGCGACCAAGAAAACAUUUUUCUAAAAACAUUAAGACAUGAGAGCAUUUGAAAGGUUUUUUGUGCUAAUUUGGAAAAAGGAAAUAUUUUUCUCUUCUUGAUUUCAUAGAUGAUAUAAUAGAGGGAAAUGUGAAAUUAACGAAAAUAAUAGUCUGCAAGCAAAGGGAAAAAUUGUAUAUGGGCAAGAAAUAGAGAAUAUGAUCAACUAAUAUUAGUAUAUAACUAUAGUUUCAAAUCUCUAAUGUUAAAAAUUGAAGGCUGUGUAUGUGUUGGAUUGAAGUUAAUUGGACUAACUAAUACAAUUACAAAUUCAAGUUGAUAGUGGUAUUAUAAAAUUAAUUAAUGUUAGUAGAGGUUGUCAGGAAAAAAAUUAUUUGAGGAUAGGCUCGAGCCUACCCUAGUCUAAAGGUGGCUCCGCCACUGGGUAAGGGGUUGUUUUAAAAUAAAACUAAUGAAAAGGGGUUGAAAACUAUAAGUUUUAAUAAUAAUGACAAAAUAAAUGGUAAAGUGAAUAAUACCAGGUUUGACUUUUUAGUGUAAAAAUGUGGUUUUUCGUUAAAGUGAACAGUACCGUGGACUUUUCGUUAAAACUCCCUUGUUUUAAGAUAUAAACAGAUGAAACGCAGAGGGAGGAAGAAGAAGGCGUAUACGUUAAAAUACAUUUUUAUCCCUGUAUUUAACAGACAAGUAACGGAAAAAUUAAUUUUAGACUAAAUUUGCUAACAAACUCUACCACGAGGGUUUAAAUCCUAAUUUUUUUACCACGAGGGCUAUCUUCCGAUUACCUUAUCACCACGAAUAUUGUUUAUCCGAUUAGGCCCUAAGUAUUUAUAUCUUAGUUUUGAUGAGUUUGUUUUUUGUUGAUAGUAUUAUACUUGAUGUUCGAAUAAUGAGCUUUGCCCCACAAGAAUAUGUGUGUGUGUCUAUAUAUAUAUAUAUAUAUAUAAUUGGGGCAUUAGAAUCCAAAUUCAUUGAUUAGGUGGAUUUGAUGGAAGAGAUGUAAGAGAUUUUUCAGUGUGAUUGGUACGGGGAUGGUACAUGUCACUAUACAAAUGGUGGGAUAUGUGUGCUAAAAAGUUAAUAACUUAAAAAAUAAAAUUUUCCACCACUUCUAUUAAAAUACGUGAUGUACCAUUUAUAUUCCCGUCACAAAAAAUUUCUCGCGGAGAUGAUCCCUUUCCUAAUUUGGGGGUUUGAAGUUAGGGACCUGUCAUUCAAUUCCGACCCUUUACCUAACUCACAUAUCGAUACAAGUUUUCAUCGGGAGACGAAAUGCCCACUAAGCCGGUCGUUCUCGCCACCAACCCCUCUACAUCGUUUCACGUUAUGAUUCUCUUUUCACUACCAACCUUUUCCCCUGUACUUGAAUUUAAUCCAUAGACCAUGUGGUUUGCUCAACCCAACCUUUGACUUAAAACACACUUAACCUAAUUUUAUCAUGAUUGGUGCUGUCCAUUGAGUAGACAUGUGAUGGUUUAGGGGGAUUUUCCACUAAAUUCUUAAUGCCUGACAUAUUUACAUAAGUGAUUUGAGUUCAUCAGUGGAUUAAGAACCUAAGGAUCGUCUCCCCCCGAGUGCAGACCAAGUACUAAACUGAUUAUGAUUUAUUUGAUCACGGUUUUGAAUUUUUGUAUCCCAUACCAAAAUUCAAUCAUUAACUGCAUGUUAUGUAAUUUAUUAAAUAUAAUUUUAAAAAAUAAUUCAUUUAGCAUGAUUGAGUUAGUGAGAGGUACAAUUCUAACUCCGAUUUCAAAAAAAGUUUAAUAAACAAUUUUAACAUAAAUAUAAUUCAUUCAAACUCCUCAACAAUCCAAUUUCUAGUCAAUUCAAUUCUACUUGUUCUAAUUACGGAUUAGUUAACGUGACAGUAAUUACUAUGUUUCAAUGUUCAACAAAAAAUACGACAAAUAAAUUAACACUUUGGAUAUUAUAUAUGCUACGUACAAUCAAAAGCACUUUUCGAUAAUGUUUGAACAAACAAAAAAAAAAUUGCUUCACAAAACACGUCCCCGUACAGUUUUUAAUUAAUUUUUUUGACAUUGUUUCUAAAUUUUUUAUACAAGUGCUUUCCAUAGAAGCACUUUUUAAACAAUGACUCGAUUCAAGGGCUAAAAAAAGCAGAAAAAUUCGAGAUUGGUAACAAGGAAAAAGAGAAGAAAAGACGAAGGAAGAAAAAAUGUAGGUUGUAACCAGGCCCUCAAAUCAGAGAGUCAGAGAGAGCAGACGUGCGGACCCUUCGCAAUUCAAUUUCCGUGCACAUAACCAUGCUUCCUUCAUUCCUUUUUACUCCAGAGCAUCGGCUUAUUGUGCACGGAUUCCAUAAACUAUUAGCCACGGAUCUGUAAACCCUAAUUAACACCCAACAAACCGAAACAAAAUCACGAUUUCAUGUAUUGUACAACUGAAACCGAAGGAUUCAAAUGAUAAAAAUUAAAAUUCAAAGGAUACGAAUGAUGGAAACUAAAAUCCAAAGAAUUCGAAUGCAAAAAACCAAAACAAAAGGGUCGGAAAAAAUAUAUGGGAGAAAGCUUUCGGAGCCGCGCUCCGCUGUUAUGGAGUGCUUCUCUUGUUCUCAUAUUUAUAGGGUUGGGUUGGGAUCUGUUUUGUUAGGAUUUAUGCGAUGUUGAUGGUGUGUCAAAUUACGAUGGGGCCACGGUUGUUUCUGUUAAUUAACGGGACUACCCUUGGGUUUGGUGUGUUCUGGCCUCUGGGGAGAUUUUGGGGUUGGGGCCCAAGCUCAGUAAUGUAGGAACGAUUUUGUUGGGCUUAGUAUUGGGGUAGUAGUUGAACUUUAUGGAAGUUUAAAGUGCAUAAUUAAAUUUUUGUGGAUCGUGUUUUACUGUACCGGUAGAAAGUAAUUAUGUCUGUGUAUUUUGGUGCGGGUUCAAUCUCCAUCAAUCCCCUCCGUCCUAACAUAUAAAUGUUUAACCCAAUAAAUGUCGUUUGUCAAAACAAAAAAUUAAUUCGGUUUUUUUUUAUAUUUUUCAAUAGGUAAUAUGCAUAAACAAAACAUAACAAAACAUUCUUUUAAUUUUUAUAAUUAAAAAUAGAAUUAUCACUAAUCUCACGGCCUAGCGAGUUUGAUGCUGAAUUAUUGUUGGCUUAUUGUGUAGCUUAUUUCAUUCUCCCACGUCAAUAUGGUUGCCCAACAUAGAGGUUUUCUUAACCAGCACAAAGUUAAUCUUAAUUCUUCUAUGGACUAGUUUGAUCUCCAAAAUUUGGUGGAAUGUGUAACUAAUUAUAUUCAAAUUAUAUCAAAAUCCUACAAGUAUUUUGGAGCCAAUAAUUUUUUUUGCUAGAGCGAUAACGUUAGUGGAUAAAAUAAUUUUUAUUAGGAAGAAAGGAAAUUGGUUAUAAUUGAUCCAUAGCAAAGUGCAUAUGCAUGAUUGUUUCAAGUUGGGAGUAGCAACUAGCAACAUAAACACCAAGAAAGAAUAUAGACAAGGAGAAAUCAGGUUGGGCUUAAGUUGGCCCAACUCGUGCUGAGCCCAACCCAGAUGAGAUUGGAUCCACAACCCAACUUGACGUCGUGACCGUACAUAUUUCAUAUUUUCAUUGAUAAACACGCGCCAAAAAUAACGGAAACAAAGUUUGCAGUUGGCUCCGAUUGCUUUCGAUCACAAUCGUCGAUUCAUCGUCACCAAACCACCUUCGUUUUCUUUCAAUUUCAAAAAAGCAAUUAAAACCUCCAAAUUUGCAGCGGCACCUCCAAAUUACCGAAUCGGUGCUCGCUCACUCAGCAACCAGCAAUCCCGAGUUUUUCAGGUGAAUCGGUGCAUCUCUCUCUCUCUCUCUCUCUCUCUCUCUCUCUCUCUCUCUCUCUUAGGGUUUAAGUUUGGUUAACUAGGAAGUGCUUCUUAGGAAUUCAACCUUAGUCUGUGAUCGAGUUGAGAUUCUGUUUGCGAUUUCAAGAAUUCAAUGUUUAUUUCUGAGUAAUUUGAUCGUUUCAUAGAAAAUUUGUGCAUUUUGAUCGUUGUUUGGCUCAAUUUUCAGGGUUUUUGUUUUCCAUUUCCAUUAUUCUGUAUGUGUUGGGACAUUUGUGUGUCUUCCUCAAAUAAUGCUUCACAUACUAAUUACUGUUCCAUUUUAACCCUUGGGAGUGAAAUUUUCAGAUUGAUUUUUUCAAUAUGUUGCAAUGGAUGGGAGGAUCGAGGCGGAAAGUAACGACUGUAAGUGUGAUUUAAAAUUAUUUCGGAUUCAUGUUCUAAUUUUAAAUCUUUCACGGCAUAUCCUGGAUUCCGAAAAUGGGAGGUUGAAAUUUUGUUCUGACAUUUUAGCAUUUGUUUCAUGCUUGUUACCUCUUUGGUUGAAUCGGGGAAACUUCAGUCAAGGAAGUCUACACAGCAGAGGUACACAAGACUUGUUUUUAUCAGUAACAAAAGUUCACAUAUUGCAUCUAUAAGGAUUUUGUAGCACCGAUGUAACAUUAGUAAUUGAAAUGUAAAAUUAAAUGGUUAUUAUACAAAACGUUUUGCUAUCGAACUGUAUGUAAAUUUUGGUGCAAUUUUUCCAGAAGAAUAAUGCUGUUGAGCAUAUGGUUCUAACUUUUAAGACUUAAAGUUUAUAUUCUGUUAGAUGUAGCAUAUCGAUAUGUUCUGAGUCUUAUGACCAUCCUUUGGAUUGUCAAGGCAAAAGCAGUACUUUGAACAAAGAAGACGACAACAACAGCGUCAGGGGCAAACAACUGGGUUAGAGAGUUACGCAGAUGGCCUAAACAUAUCUGAACAACAUCACAAAGAACAUCGAUCUUUGGAUAUUCUCAGUUUGCUGAACCUAUCAACAACUGCUCAAGAACACAAAUCUUCUUACCCUAUUCGUAAGUUCCUAAUAUCUUAAAAAUUCGGGAAGUCCGUAGGAGCAUUUUUCAUUUCUCCCAGAUUUUAUAUGGUCUGUGAUAGGACCCUGCAAUUAAAACUAAUUGAGCUUUACUCUUUAGCUUUGGUAUUGUGACUAUUUUCAAUAAGUAAACUAUUUUCUCUCUUUCCCUCUGUUUGUCACUUUUGCAACCAUAUAAGGAAGGGAAGAUCUUGAAGUCAAGGCUUUAAGACCGAAGUGUGAUAUCACAAAGGAUUCACCAAAAGUACCUUCAAAGAUGGUUGCUCCUCUCACCUCUGUUGAAGUUAACAAAGCAAGUAUGCUUUCUACUUUAUUUUCUUAACUUUUAGGGCCCUUUCUUCCCCAUCCCGUACCUCCAUCCUGUUUUGCCAUCUUAACUUUUCUCCGUCUGUACUUCUUUAAUGGAUACACUAUGUUUUAAUGGAUUAUUUUUAUAUGAUGAUACAGGAGCUGAAUCAGGCCUUCAAGUGGAGAUUGCAUCUCCGAAAAAGUGAGUGAUGUGUGUGUGUGUGCGCGCGCACGCAUAUGUGUACUUUUUGUGGAAUAUCAUCACACCCAUACAUACCUAUAUCUCUCCAAACUCAUUUUAAAGCCUUAUUUUUACUUGUAACUGAAUAAAUAAAUCCAAGCUACUUUGAUUUCAAGUGGUUUCAGUUUCACUAUAAACAGUCAGUUGACUUUGUACAUAUAGAUUGUGGUCUUGUUGCUGGUAAAUUGAUAAUAGUGAUCACAAUGGUGUGCAUAGUUGCUUCCAUGUGUGAUUGUUUUGCUAGAGUGCAUCUUUGUCCAGUGGAGAAUUGAUAUAUUAUUUUGCAUCACAGGGUUAAGCUUUGUGCUCCGCAUAAUCAUGACAAGUCCUUCAAUGAAAUUAAUUCUAAACCAGACACCUGGAGAGCAGGCACUGAGCAGCGUAAGUAUAAAAGCCACUUCCUUGUCAGUUUUGAACUUUCUUACUUUCUAACUUUUGGUAUCUGUCCUUACAGAUUUAGCUAGCGAAAACAGUUUAUAAGUUGGUUGUCAGUAGAACCUUGCCAUAGGGCCUUGAAAGCCACUUCCUUGUUAUUUCUGGUUUUUAUAUAAAUCCCUGAGUAUUGAAGCUUUUCUUCAUAAAUUGUUCCUUUCUGUUUCAGAAUGUUCUGUACUUGAUUUUCUUGGCGAUGAUGGGUUGAAUGACUACGUAAAAGAAAGCCCAGUACAUGAAGAUCAUGUUGCAUUUUCAGUUGAAGGUAUAAUUCUGUUAAUUCAGAUCCUUAAGUAAUAUCUUCUAUUUCGUAUUCAUUUAUACAACACGAACUACUGUCCACCAUUGUGUUGCUCAAAUUUUGAGUUUUCCUUUAUACUUAUGACUAAAAGCUCAAUUUGAAUUUUAAUUGGAAGAGUUGCUUCAUAAGGUUAUUCCCAACUCUCUGGAAGUAAGAUGCAGGUGUCAUAGGUUGUAGUGCUUCUUUACUUGAAAAACAAUAAAAAAUAUACUAAAAUAAUUGUUUGUCAAACAAUUGACAUCGUGUAAUUCCCAUCCCUUCUUAAUGAAGCUGUUGGGUCCAUGAGAAACAGUGCCUGCUAUUUUUUUCUCCUGAUGUUGAUAAAGUGUUUUCACUGCACAUCCUUACUUGUCAGGUUUGGGUAAAAUGGGAAUGGAAACACCAGUCCAUUCACCAAGACAGCCUGGAAGGUAACGAUCCCAACUGUAGUUCGGUCAGCUAAGGUUGUUGCUAUCUAGGAUGCUACACUUGUCAAAUAUUUCUUAUUUUCCAUGAAUGGCUUUCACCAAUUUCAUGGAAAUGUUAUAUUUAAAUGCCAAAAGACAUGUAAUUAGUGGAACUUAUACAUUUUUGGUCAAAAGUGGGGACUCCAAAUUUAAAAGAAGAUUCUAACUUUGUCUGCACAUGGCUUAAAUUUUUGUGAUUGUAGAACAUUCUCCUAUGAUUGCUCUUCACCCUUGAAUCCUGCCAGGGGACAAAAAUCAUUCAACAGUCGUAAGCAUCUGGAUGACUUUGAAAUUGAAAUGGUGAGAGGCAUUAUUGAUUGAAUUCUUAUCGUGUAAUCUUAACUUUUCCAUGCACUUUAACUCUUAAGUGACUUAUUUGUGCAGUCACUUUUAUAUCUCUCUGAUAUAAGAACCCUUGUUUAGAAUCUUUAUCCUGUACGACCCAUUUAAAAUUUUCUUUUGGAAGGGCUAGAUUAUGCUCUCUUCUUUGGGUAUAAAUUAGUUUCUUCUGAUGCAGGAUGCAAUGAUGCAAGAUAUCAAUAUUCCCCCAUAUAGCAGUGCUUUAGAGUUUUCUCCUGAUCCAAUGGAUUCAUUCAGUAGUUCAAAGCAAACUCUAUCAAAGGAUGAUGGUCACAGUGGUAGAUUAGAUAGUUAUUAUGGAUGCAGAAGAAUCUUUGACGAUGCUGAAAAUUUCAGAAAAGAUAAAUGGGAUGGUAAAUACUUCUUCCUUGAGUGAUAAUGUGCCCUUUAUUACAGUUGACACAUUGCAAGAGAAUGUAAUAUCUAACAUAGCAUCAUUUCCGUUAGCCUGAUAUGCAUUGUUGACCUAUUCCCUAUGGGUUAUCUAACAUUGCUCCAUGUAAUUAUUUAUUCUAGAUCUCUAGGUUCAAUUUGCAUGAAAAUCUGGUGAAAUUUUACUUUUGGAAAUAUGAUCUUUGAUUUUUUGAUUUCUAAUGAGUCAUGAGAACAGUGCAUAUAUUAUAUUCAACAUGAUAUGAACUUUACUAGUAGCAUGUAACCGCAACAAAAAAAUACUAGUAAUUUUUUCUGAGAUAUGCUUGUUUUCAUUUCCGUAGCAAGUAAAUGAGUCCAUGAAAAGAAAUGUAAUCAGUUAUCUGUGAUCUUUCUGUUAUUUACAUUAUGAUGGUUAACUAUACUAGUACUCUUCAUUCUGCUGGACCAAUGGCCUUCUGAUAGGGUUCAAAUAUAGGAUGAUAUGACUUAUUAGUUGUCUACCAGGUCGGCCUUGUUUCCCAGAGGAAUACACUUUUAAUGAAUGGGAACAUGAUUUAUCAUGGAAGAACUGGCAAAGUCAAAUGAACUGUGUUUCUGAUGAUAAUUUGAUGCACGAAAAGUACAAGAUGUCAGAUUUUGCUUUUGAAGGACCCUUUUCACCGAUAAGGUGCUUAAUUAAUUUCUACUUCUUCAGUUAUCCUGUUUUGAGAAAUCAUAUCUUCUUGAUAGAGUUGUGGCAUCUGUACAGGUCUGCUACAGGCAUCACACACAAGUUCGACGUCUUAGGUGCUCUCUGUCUGAAACUCCUAAUUGAACUAUGCGUGUAGAAUCCCUUAACUGGCCUAUGUGUAGCUGUGUGCAUAUAUAAAAAUACAAAUUGUUUGGGUUCAAGAAGCCAUUACCUAUAUAUUAUAUACUAGAACUUUUGCAUCCUGAAAUUGUUUUUGAUUGGUCCAUCGGCAUUGCAUGGUAGGAUUAAGCUGUGAGUUGUCCAUUUCUUAGACCAUGUUAUGAAAGAGCUUACAUGGAAACGUUGUGCUAAAACUGUGAUGUAUUAGCUUUAUAUGAAAUGGAAUUGUUUGCUUUCAUCUAUGGAUUUUUGUCUGAUGCUUUGCUCGCUUCUCUCUUAUCAGAGGAACCUUCAUAUUUCAAGCACCAAAAAUCAGAAAAGUAUCAUGAUUUUAUGGUUCCCAAUGGAGCAAGGUACGCCUUCGGACUGAGCUAAAUUUCUAUCCGUAAUGUAGACAUAAACUCAAGGGUGUCUGCUUGUGAUGUUAGACAGACACCACGCAGUAGGAAGGAAUUUUGAUUUUGGUGGUGUAACCAGGCAACCCGAUUGGUCUUGCUUUAUGAAUGAAAAUGAAAGGGACAAUUUGAGCUUGCUGAGGUAAUUAGCGGCACUCUUUUGCUUCACAUUGAUUUUCUUCCCCCACCUCUUACUCUGACUCAUACAGUCAUAUGUUUCAUAACCUUCUGUGUCUUUCAACAGUGAAGAGUCUUGCUCAUCAAGUGCAGGUAUAUCUAUUGAUCGAAAAUAUGUGGCGAUAUGAUAACCUUUACUCAUAAUAAAUUGCUGCUAUUGCCAAUAUGAUAACCUUUACUCAUAAUAAAUUGCUCCCUUUUCCAUUUUUUAACGUCAGUGAGGGACAAUGCGAUUGAUAGUUCACUGUCAAAGCCAACCAGGAAUUGGAGCAAGAGAAGAUACGACAAUGCAUACGCUGACCCAGGAUAUCAUUUGAAUAUAACUUCUACAGGAAAGACACGGAUCAAAAGCAAGCAUGUUGUUCAACCAGAGGAUAUUGCACAUGGGUCAGGAAAAUGCACGAAGAUGCCAGAUUCGUCGAAGUUCAAACCAUUCCACCACUCAAACUCUCCUCUCCAGGAAAAGUUUACCCCAAACAGCAAUUGGUUCCCUGAGGAAGGAUAUCUGUCGGUUGACAAUAAUUCAGGUUGCAGUUCUUUCCAUCAAAAGUCAGAGACAAACUGCCCAUCUGCAGGCUCUAAAAUUUUGUUUGGAGAUCCUUUCAGUGCAAGUCCUGUCCCAGAAUUACAUCUCAAUCCUAUAUCUCAUUUUAAACCCUGCGAACCUGUUGCAAGUUCACCUUCCGGCAGUUUGAUUUCUGGGAACUUUGAAUUUCAUGACUCUCCUAUGACCCCUAAGAUUGGUUUUGGACCAAGACAACCAGAGUUCCCUUACUCUCAUGGCGAGACACCAUCUCUGGAUUUAUCAGCGCAGGAAAGUGUCAGCAAAGAUGAGGGAGGAAAAGCUGAAUCGCAGCCAUGCCGAAAAUCUAAGCUGGAGGAAGAACAUUGUAUUCUGAACAAUUUGUUCACAGAAAAUCAACGAUGGAACAAGGACAGUGAAUGUGAGGAAGUAAAAGAUGCAGCUUCGGGACUAACAGCAAGCGUAAAACCAACCUUGCUUGAGCGGGCUGAGAAGACAUCGUCAUCUAUGAACUCUCCAGCGAAAUAUAGAAGCAUAAUAGAAAAGAAAGAGUAUGUGACACAAACAUUGAAGUAUUUUCUCUCCCUCGAGUUUAUAUGUUUGGUUCCCCAACUCUUUGAGUCUUACAACCUAUUCUAUGUUUGUACUAAAAGGUUUUCGUUGUUGACAGGGAUUACUGUGGUAACGAAAUUCCUAUCCCAUGUCUAAAAAGCAACGGAGGUACAUGUUUCUUCUUAACUGUCUUGAACUUCCCUUUAGUUUCUUGCCAACAAAGGUUCAGCAAAUGUUUGUUUCGUUUUGUUUCUCAAUUUUGUUGCAGACUAAUAUGCUUCGUUCGCUUGUUUUUUUACAGAAAUGGAAGAGGCUGAGCCUCAGGAAACGAAGAAAGAAAGUAAACAGCAAAGUGAUUUUGUUGACUCGUCCUGUCGGGUGAUGAUGCUUCAGAGCUAUGUUCAGUUUCUUUGUGUGCAGAAGGUACUGAAGGAGGCAGCUGCACACAACGGCAUAAAGAAGAUAUAACAUGUUUGCGACAUGGCAGCCGCGGCUGACUUCCCUUUGACGCGAGGAUUCUGUUGAAUCAAACUGCACGGUACAUUUUCGUUGUAAACAUCAUUUUCGGAUGUGUAAUGCAUAUCAUACCGGUCUAGUAGAUUUACGUUUUACAGUAGCAAAACGGAGCAGAAGGCAAAAAACCCCGGAUCGUAAUAUGAUUCAAAGAAAUUAACAACGGUUACAUUGUGUAUCUAAGUGUUUGACGAAUCAAACAGGACUGAAGUGUUGAUAGGUAUAAAUGUUAGCCUUUUGGGAUUCUGUUCUUGUAUAUUAAAUGUCCUUAUAGAGGUCAUCUUCCCCUUCAUCGCUAGGGUUUCCGAAUUCCUUCAAACGGCAUUGCAAUUUUAUGACGUCCGAUUGCCGGAGAGGCUUCAGAAAGAACUCUUCGGCUCCUUCCUCAAGGCACCUAUUCAGGUCAAGAAAAUUGAGGGAUCAGUAAACUGCUAUACAUUUCCUCAAAAUUAGAAAAUAAAUAAAUACAUUGAGAUUUCUAGGGGAAGAUUUUUACUUCUCGAUUCGAGUAGGUAUGUCCUCAGAUGAUACAACAACUACUGGUAUCUCCUUCACGGUUGGCGAAUCCUGUUUAAAGAGGGAGAUUGGCUGGGUUAGAUAAAUUUUCUAGUUAAAGCCAUAAUUAGAAGGUAGAUGUGCUCCCGCUUAGGCUUUGACAAUUUUUUGCACAUCGCAUUAACCCAAUAUGAAUCGACAAAAAAAUAAUAGGUUUCGGCUCGACCCGUUAACAAGUCGGGUUGUUAUCGGGUUAUCUGUUAGAAACUCGACAAACAUGACCUGUUUACCAGGUCUUAUACACUCGAGUUUGAAUAGAUAACGGGUUUGACAUGAUAUGAUCAAGGAGGAAAAAAUCGAUAAUAUCUGCAAAAUAUCGCCGAUAUUAUCGUUAUUUUGAGGUUCCGAAAUUUUUUAACUAUCCAAUCUAUUUUCGUUAAAAUAUCACGAUAUUAUCGAUAAUAUCGCAAUAUUUUCAAAAUUAUCGAUAAUAUCGCGAUAUUUUAUUAAAAAAAUACUUAAAUAUGUUGAAAAAACUCAACACAUAAUUAACUUGAUCAUGGCCCAAAGGCCAAACAAGUUUUGGUUAUCUCACCAGGGGAGUGUGAGUUUUAUAGGAAAAAUUCAUUGCUCACUUCCUUGCAUGGGCGAUGUGGGACUCGCCCAAUGGGGAAAAAAUCAAAAUUUCGGCCGAAAUUUUACACCCACUUUAAACGGCCAUAACUUUGUCAAAACUCAACGAAAUCAAGCAAGACAAAAACGAAAGUUGUAGCCCUCGAAGAGACGAAGAGAAUGGUACCUCACACUAUGUCUGAAUCGUAGUGGUUUGGCCGGAAAAUGCCUCGAAAGUCACUGAGGUGGCUGAGGUCGUCGGAAACUGGGUAAGAUUCAAAUGAGUAUAACUUUUUCAAUACGCAACGAAAUUGAGUGAAACAAAAAGAAAAGUUGUAGCCCUCGAAGAGACGAAGAGAAUGGUACCUCACACAAUGUCUGAAUCGUAGUGGUUUGGCCGGAAAAUUCCUCGAAAGUCACUGAGGUCGCUGAGGUCGUCGGAAACUGGGUAAGAUUCAAAUGAGUAUAACUUUUUCAAUACGCAACGAAAUUGAGUAAAACAAAAAGGAAAGUUGUAGCCCUCGAAGAGACGAAGAGAAUGGUACCUCACACGACGUCUGACUCGUUGUGGUUUGGCCGGAAAUUGCCUCGAAAUCUACUGAGGUCGCCGGAAACUGGGUAAGAUUCAAAUGAGUAUAACUUUUUCAAUACGCAACGAAAUUGAGUGAAACAAAAAGGAAAGUUGUAGCCCUCGAAGAGACGAAGAGAUUGAUACCUUGCAAGUCAGCCAAAAUUCAAUUGACACACUCCUAGCUUCCAAAAUUCAAUACUUUUACUUUAUAUCAAGUUGAAAAAACAUAAUCGGCAUCCAAAUUAAAGUUUAAUCUUAUUUAAUGUAUUGAUUUUCAAUCGUUAAUUGAUAUACUAUAAUUUGGAACUUCAACGCCUAGACGCAUGCUUAUGUGUAAGAAAUUUAAAUUGUCAAAUUCGGCACAUUAUUCUUCAUCAUUUUAUUAACUUCCCUUUUUUUUUUUAAUAUCCUAAAUAAAACCUCCAAAUAUUGUACUAAUUAAUUAUAUAUAAAUGAUUAUGGUGUGUUUAAACUUCUUUCAUUAAUUACUACAUAUUUUCUACACUCACAAUGUUUGUCAGCUCGCUAUAUAAUCAACUUAAAUCAGUUAAAUCCAUCAUGCAAUGCAUUUCCUUCCAAUUUUUUGUGAUAAACUAAUAGAUAAUUGACUAAAUAAACAUCCUACAAAGUUUCAUUAAAAAUUUCCAAGUUUUUCUUACAAUUUCCGUGGUUUCCAUGUAAUUUUUAUCGAUAUCGAUAUUAUCCCGAUAUUUCCAUCGAUAUUUCCGUGUUUUCGGACUACCGAUAUUUCCGAUAUUACCGAUAUUUUCUUCCUUGGAUAUGAUCCGUAAAGAUAACGGGUAUGACACGAACACGACAAGCAUGACCUGUUUACCAGAUCUUAUGCACUCGAGUUUGAAUUUUACUCCCAAUUUAAUUUAGUUUAAAAGUAAAAUAUCAUCUGUAUAUUUAAAAAAAAAAUUCAUUGAAAUGGCUUUUCAAUUAUGCACUAUACAUUUCAGCAUAAAAUAGUCACAUAAUUAAUUACCUUAAUUUUUUUCAGAAGCUCAUAACCGGUCAUUCCCGGCAUAGAGUAAUCAGUGAUGAUCAUGUUAACAUUCGAAACCUGCAAGACACAUGCAUUGAAUCUCAGAGUCAAAUAAAAAAAACAAGCGGUACUUUGGUCGCCCUCUUGAAUUUUCUCUCGAUAAAUUAGAGUAAUUUAGAAUAUCACUUUGUAUGGUGCGAUUCAAGAACUAAACCACUUACAAUGUUGCCGAAGUUUUGUUGUCCAUCAGCAAGCCCCAACAGCUCCAAUGCACCAUGUGCGUUUUCUGAAGUAGUCACUGCCAUAUACAAAAGGAGAACCACAUAUUAUUACCUCCCACAACUACACAUUCAACUUAAUGAACAAAAAAAUCUUCUGAAAAACUAUAUGGCAUAUAGUAAUAUCAAAUCAUAGAGUUCCUAGUUGAUCUUAAAAUACCAAUAAUGAGUCAAGAUUAAGAUAGAUUAGGGUUCCUUCAUUGUAGCAAAAAAAGAAAGAAAAAAAAGCUUAUAUAACUAAAACUAUAUUGCAACGAACUCGUAACUUAAGUAGUUAAGAGUAUUUAGUGGUACUAAUUUGGUUGUGUAAGGCUCUUUUUUCUUAUUUUCCUUAAAAAACAAAGCUAUGACUCAUUAACCAAUCACGUAAUGGAGAAGAACUUACAUGAAAUAGGUUUACCACUAUUUAAACGUUUCAGUUUAAUAAUACAAUGACAAUAGAGAUAAACUUAUACAUAACAUUAUUGAAUCGAGAUACCAGAAAAAUGGUAGACCUAUUCCACGUAAUUUCUUCUCCUUCUAGUGACCACCAUGACCCAACAACAACGACCAAGUAACUUUUAAAGUAGCAGUACCUUUGCAUGCAGAGUUGGUGAGCAAUUUUUCAAUGAUUUUGCGGUCCACCAAACUAUCAUCGACAGCCAAAACAUGUGGCUUUUCAUCGUCUUUCCACCCCAACCCCAUUGAUGCCGUGGCACAGAAGAAGAAGAAGCAGCAGCAGCAGAAGCAAAAGCCACGAAACCUAUUGAGCCUGAUCGGAAUCUAUAUAUAACCAGAGAAGGCAUAUAAAAUCAUGAAAAAAUCAAUUUGGUCACAGAUAUCUCGUCAUCUUUUUAGGUGUUUGUGAUAUUGUUGACCCUAGAAAUUACAAAGCCUACGUGGCGCGCAGGCCGAGUAUAUUCUAAGCUAACUACGUCCUUCGGUGAUUGCGGGGCGUGCCAACUCGUCGGCCGAGGCUCGGCCGAGGAGUAAAUUUGAUGAUGCUGCGUUGGGUCGCGCUACUGACUUCUGCGUCUUGCGAUUGCGGCCGAGAAAGGAACACGUCUCGGCCUCUUGGGUUCUCGAGCCUGAAGACAAGGCUGCUAUUUCUUACAAAGUUCACGAACCGAAUUCGGCUUGCAAUGUGCCGAAUGUAAUAACUGUGACACCUCACCUCGCCGAGAAGGCUAAUGAGAUGACCUCGACCAACAAGGAUUCAAAAACCCUUCUCGACCGAGACUUGGAUAGGUAAUCGACCGUUCUCGCCGCAGUGCUGUUGAUGCCAACGGAAGAUACUGCGAGAUCGACCGACUCUACGGUGACAGAGCUGUCUAUGCCGACUUAAGAUAUCACCGGUUGCUUCCACAGUGCUGUUGAUGCCAACGGAAGAUGUGUCAGCGAAAAAGGAAAAGAAAAAGAUCUCAAGUUGUGAGAGUUUGCGCAUGGCAAUUUUGUAUUGAUUUUGUGGGCUUUUUCCAUUGCUGAAUGUCUUGUAUUUAUAGUAGCAGAACACCGAGCCCGAGUUCUAAUCCUAUUCGAACUAGGUUUCCUUCUCCGGAUUAACGUUACCUCAAUCAGUCCUAUCUCUGCUAGGACUACGAAUCUAGUCCUUAACUGAGCCGGAUUCGCCUUCUAGUUUUACUGGUCUCGUCGAGGGUCCCUAUUGUAUUAGAACUCGACUUGCACUCUGAUUUAACCGAUCUAGGCCUAGAAGCCCAUGAGCUGAACGCCCCCAUGACUUUCUCGCCGUACGUCUUCCCGGGCCGAAAGUGAUACCUCCCUCGGCCCAAACUGUUAUUUUGGGCCCAAACAUUGCCCCCUCGCUUUUGAGGUCCUCGGCCUGAAACCUUCGGCCGAGUUUCGGCCUUGAAGAAGCGAAUCUACCACUCAGGAUCCCAAUACCCGAGUUCCAAGGCGCAUUUAUUGAACAUGAUCGCACGAUCUUGAUCCUGCUAAACCACUCGCCACGUGGCAUCCCCUAACAUGGCCAAUCCCCGAUAAUGACGUCUGAAGCGUGCGCCUGCCCGAACCGUCUCGCCAUUAUGACCACUAUCUCAAUCCGCGAGCCAUUUCAUCAGUCCGUGAGCCCUCCUGUCAUCGUGCAGGCGUCGAACCGUCUUUCGUCAUUAACUUUGCCGUCACACGCGAUCGUGCGCCCCCAAAACCUAAAACCGUCGGUCUUCUCAACCGCAUUCCCCAAAUGCUCAUCAUGAUCAACGAUUCCUCCGGUCGAUUUUGCCCUUUGUUUUGAAUUUCGAACGAUUGCUCUUCCUCCCAUUACUCUAUAAAUACCGAAAUUUCCUCAUUUGUACUUUACGUUCUCAAACUUCCUGAAAUCCCCUACCCUUGCUCUCAAGUGCAUUCCUCCAUUCCAAGUUUUCGUCCUCAAAUCCCCAACCCAGAAAACCUCCUUACGCUGUGCUUUUACAAUGGCCUCCUUCAUCUCCAAGCUUUCCCGGGAAUGCGACCAGCAUCAGAAGAUCCUUGAUCGGAGCUCGAUCAAGAAUAUACGGUUCGAGAACGACAUGAGCACCGUCCACCAAAUCCUGGGUCCUCUCUUCAAGGCAACAAUCCCGCCGACCAUCACUGGUCUUCUCCAGGAACACUGCCUUACACCCUUGCUCCAAGGGUUUGAAUGGUCGAGAUGGGAGGCGGCAAAGCCCCAAGGCUCCUGGCCCUCGACGACCACCACCUGGGCGACCUGGGUUGUCCGAAUGGAACGGCUCUUCGGCGAAAAAUGGAAAAUCCUGGGUAUCUACGACGCCAUCCUCCUUUCGUCGAUGGACAUUGUCCCUGACAAGGAGCUGCUCCUAGCCGCUCUAUGCUUCUGGUGCUCAGCCACCAACACAAUGGUCCUUCCCCUUGGUCCCAUUGGUCCCACCAUCCUGGACAUCACCGCCAUUUUGGGGACCUCGGCCACCGGGAUCCCUAUCGACGCGACCCUCUCCGGGCACCCGUCGAAUAUCGAUCUGAAGACGCUCUUCGACCGUCGAGCCUUCGAGACCCUGAAUAGUGACGGUCACAUCCCGUCGAGGGAUGAAAUACAGAAGCUCCACAAGAACUUUCUCAACUACAACACCCUCUACCUUCACUUCGCCGGUCGAGGGGAAGAGGACCUGCGAGAGGGAGAGCAUGAAGCCUUCCUCUUCUACUGGUACAACAAAUACAUUUGUUGUACCAAAUCAAACAAAUGUUUGGUCGAGAAUAUGCCAGUGGCCGAAGCCCUGGCCAGUGGUCACGUCCUGGCGCUGAGUUCUAAUAUUCUUGCCCACCUCUUCCGUUGCCUGGCCGAGGCGACUCUCCACACGGUGGACCCCCACCAGAAUGGCCCUCUCUGGGUCUUCCAGCUCUGGUUGCAGGUGUACUUCGCCUCCCUUCGGCCGGCUAUAGCUGAUUUCUCAGCAACAGAGGCUCUUGGUCCUCAGCUAGCCUCCCGACCAACGCCUCCUCAUCAGGCCGAAGAGGUAUUUAGGUACCUCUUUGCCCUUGACGAUCUCUCAAGCGACGAAUUCCUGAUUUGUCGUCGUCGCGAUUACCCCCCCUCCAUCAGACUGCCUACCUCGACGUGGGCGGCAGAGGAGGACGCUGCUCUUCGCCGAACCUGGGGGUCGUUCGUGCUUGCUCGCGACCUUCCUCUCGGCUGCGACGGGAAACGGUCGGGGUGGGAAGUGUACCAUCCGAACUUCCUUGCCCGUCAGCUCGGCUAUCUUCAGGGCUGUCCCGUCCCCCUUCUCUCUUCCCGCACAGUAUUGAGCCGCGGACGCGAGCCUCGCUCUUCAGAGAACGAGUGCAGGACUGCCGCGAAGGAGUUUCAAGAGUACUGCCAAAGAUUUCGCCUACGACCGGCCACCCCAGAAACCCAUUGCACUGACACCUUCGGUGAGUGGUGGGAAAAUUACACUCAAGAGUUCUUCGGUGCGCCGGUCGAGGAUGUACUAAGCAGGCUCUUCGGUAACCGACCUAAGAAAGCCCCGGCCCCCCACUCUCAAGGUAGUUGUUCAAUUCCCCCUUUUUCUUCAACCUUGCCUAUUGUACGCCUUACUGAAUUGUCUUUAUACUUUUAGGUAGUCGGCCUUUGAGAAAGACAGAGGUAGUUGCCGCUGCUAUGGCCGGGAAAAAAUCGGUCGUGGCCAAAAAGGACAAACCUGCUGGUAGGGCCGGGCUGAUCAAACGGCCUCGCCAAGAGGCCGGGCCGGCUAUCGAGCCUUCCCCGCCUGCCAAGCGGGUCAAGCAACUGGCGAAGAAAGGUGCACGGGAGAUCCACGUUAUUUCCAGCCACACGACGACUCCCAGUGCUUCCCCUUCUCCCGCCGCCGGCCAUUCUGGGGUCAAGAAACAGCCGGCUUCGGCCAUAGAGACGGUCCCAGCGCGGUCUGCUUCUGUGGCCGGCGAAUCAGUCGUACCUCCCUCUGUCGAGAAGGCACCUGUCUCACACCAGGCGGUUCCUACGACCGAGGAAACCUCUCCCAAGAAUCCAAAGCCCACGGUCUUCGUGCUGGAAGAGAGUGAGGGGAGCGACGAGGUCCCGCUGGCGCGUCGUCCUCCUACUCGUCAACGAACUCCUCCAGUAUCCGAGAUGGCGGUUUAACCCGGCCCCUCCUAGGCUAAUCGUGGCAAGCGCACGGUCGAGGAACCGACCCCGGCGGCCGAACCUCUCGUUCCUUCUCAAGACCAGGACGUCCCUGCCUCCACUGAAGCAGCUGCGCCAGUCGGCCCAUCGGCAGCCGACCGUGGCAAACGCCUGCUCGAGGAACCCGAGGCCACGGCGGAAUCGCCGAUCCAUCCUCAAGACCACGGCUUCCACAUCCCUCCACAAGAGGUUACCUCGGCUUUUGUAAGUACCUUCAAUUUUCCUCCUGAUUGCUUUUCUGCUUUAGAAUUCUAAACAAGGAAAAACUAAAUGUCAGGUGCCUGUACAUUCUUUUCACCGUUAAUUCUAUGCGCCGAAGGGCGUUAUCUAUAUUUCCUGGCCGCCUCAGUGGCCAUCAAACGUAGAUAACCUCCAUCGGCCUCGUGAAGUGAGAAGCAAUCUGAGACACUGGGCUCGGCCAUUGAGUUCUUUAGGUUCGAGCAACGACCCUGGGGACAUGGCCGAGGUCUCCUCUCAGCAGGUUAAAAAAACGACACCUUCUUGCUAUUCUUGUCAUGACUUCCUUUAAGCUUAACCUUGUUUAUUCGUGCAGGCUUCAUGGGAGGUUGAAUUCAAAGCUCUCCUCUCCAGUACGACUGCAGAGUCCGGCCCUUCGGCCGCUCCAACUGAGGCUGCCGAUCCAAGCGCCCUAACCCAGUUGCGAGAAGUCCUGUCGCUCUCUUCAUCGCAAGUACUUGAGCGCAACGGUCUUGAUCUGCUCGGCGUGUGUCUGAACGACCUUGGGGCCGACGGUCGCCUAAGCGGAGAUGCCAUUGUUCGGGCAUCGUCUGCUUUGGAGCGCGUUCGGGAGACAUUUGGCAUCUUCCAGACUGCUCUGAAGGCCGAACAGGACCUGCAAGCCGCCACGGCCGUUCAAGACACCCUCCGUCCGAAGAUUGACGAUCUACGGGCAAAAGGAGAAGCGUUAGCCGAGCUCGACCGUCAGAUGGCCGAACUAGCAAAAUGCCGGUCGGUCAUUGCUUCUGAACUUGCGAGGGACUUCGAGUCAGGCGGGAAUGAUCACCUAACUGAGUAUGCGGCGGCCAAAAAACGGGUCGAGCGCCUGAGGCUAGACAAAAAGAAUCGGCAAGCCGAAAUCAUCAUGGCCGACGUGCGGUGGUUGGAAUUGAAAGCUCUGCUCAGCACUCUUCUUCCCUCGUCUCCUUGAAUGUAUUAGACCUACUCAUUUUUGUAAUACCUGUCAAUUUUAAUGGAAUGACUUUUCCUACAACAAACUUUUUAUUCACGCAUUUCCCAUGUGACCGGAUAGUAUUUCUUCAAGAACUUCCCAUUAAUUGGUAAUUUGUGAACUACUCCAGUCCGGUCUUUAAGAUGAUACGCCCCUUUACCGUAUACCUUAUGCACAAUGAACGGCCCUUCCCAAUUCGGCGACCACUUGCCGAACCUUGGAUCUUUUAUUCCUACGGGCAACACCGUUUGCCACACCAAUUCACCCUCGCCGAACGUUUUCUGUCGUACCUUUUGGUUAUAGGCUCGCUCGGCAAUCUGUUUCUGUGCCACCAGUAAGUUAUAAGCGUCAAGUCGCGCUUCUUCCAAAUCUUCUAGUUCCUGUCUCAUGGACUGAUUAUAUUCGGCGCUAAACAAACUACUUUGUUCAAUUAAUCGCAACGAAUUUAUGCUCAACUCGACUGGUAGCACCGCAUCGUGUCCGUAAGUCAAUGCGUACGGGGUUGUUGCAGUCGCCGAUCGGGACGACGUUCGGUAUGCCCAUAAUGCCUCGUUCAACUUCAAAUGCCACAUGCCAUGCCUCUCUUUUAUUAUUUUUUCGAGGAUGCCAAUCAACACUUUAUUACUUGCCUCGGCCUGCCCAUUCGCCUGUGGAUAAUACGGUGUGGACUGUUCCAGCCGAAUUUUUCAAAUUGGCCGUGUAUUCCUUAAACCUUUCGGCUGUGAAGAUUGUUCCAUUGUCGGUUAUGAUCGUUUCUGGCACACCGAACCGGGUCACAAUGUGUUCCUCCAUGAAAUCGCAAACUUCUUUAGACGUUAAUUCGGCAUAUGAUUUUGCUUCGACCCACUUAGUAAAGUAAUCAGUUGCGACUAUUAUCCAUGCAUGCUUAGCAGCUCCAGAAGUCGGCGUGAUUUUGCCGAUUACGUCCAUGGCCCAUCCUCUAAACGGCCACGGCUUAAUGACCGAAUGUAGCGAUUCGGCCGGGACCCUUUGUAUAGGCCCAUGGAUUUGGCACUGCACGCAUCCUCGUGCAAACUCGAUACAAUCUUUCAGUAUUCUCGGCCAAAAAUAACCGUGUCGUCGGAGUAGCCAUCGCAUUUUUCGUCCAGACUGGUGAGCUCCGCAUACCCCUUCAUGAACCUCUGCGAUCGCUCGAGCACUCUCUUGAGGGCCGAGGCAUAGCAAUAACAAACCAUCUUCGCCCUUUCGGUACAACUCGCUCUGGUACGUGACAUAGUUCGUGGCGUGAGCCCGUGUCCUGCGACUGUGUUUUCCGUUAGGAUUGUCAAGGUACUGCAUAAUGGGCUUUCUCCAAUCAUCUGGUACUGCCUCGGCCGCGCAAAUUUCUAUAGAGUCCUGGUCCUGCCGAUCCAACAACGAAGGCAAGGACAUGACCCUGGUGCGUAUCACAUUGUCUCGACGGAGGAUUUGCUGAUCAACCAAGGCCGGGUAUAAUUGUUGUAAUAUUGGUAUCUCCCGGCCUAGCUUGCCCCCCAGGAGUUGUGCACCGGAGGCGAUUUGAGCCAACUCGUCUGCGUCGGUAUUAUGAACCCGAGAAAAAUAUGCUCGAAUGUAAUGCCGUCAAAGGACUCGGCCAAAUAGCUGGCGAUCAUGUGGUAAGGCGCCAGAGUACAACUCAUGCAGCGAAAAGACCCAUUAAUUUGGUUAAUUACUAGUUCAGAAUCCCCGAGGACGAGGACACGAGUGGCAUGUAGGUCAAGAAGGAGGCCUAGACCAAUGACCAGAGCCUCGUACUCGGCCUGAUUAUUGGUACAGUCAAAAUCCAAUUUGAGCGAAAAAUACCAACGAUCGUUGUGAGGAGACUGAAUGACGAUGCCUGCACCGGCCGAGGACGAAGUACUGGAACCAUCGAAAUACAUCGUCCAAUAGUUGUCGCGGGUCACCACCAUGCCAAUCUCAACAUCAGCACCCCCGAAAUCGUAAGGCGAAGGGUGCUGGGCAAGGAAAUCGGCCAACGCCUGUCCCUUCACAGCUUUUUGCGGCACGUAUUGCAAACUAAACUCGGACAACGCCAUCGUCCAUUUCCCAAUUCGGCCCUUCACAAUUGGCCGGGUAAGCAUGUACCGGAUAACGUCGGUCUGGGCAAUGACUUGGGUGACCGACGGGAGCAUGUAAUGCCGAAGCUUGGAUGCAGCGAAGAACACGGCGAGACAGAGCUUCUCAACGGCGGAAUAAUUGAUCUCCGGAGGACUCAGAUUACGGCUGAGGUAGAAGAUAGCCUGUUCCCGGCCGGCAUCAUUGUCUUGCGCGAGGAGGCAACCGAUGGACUCGGCGGCCGCCGAAAUGUACAGCUUGAGAGGCUUACCGCGCUGAGGAGGGACCAGGACAGGUGGGUUUGUAAGGGAAACCUUGAUCUGCGUGAACGCCGCCUGAUGCUCCUCAUUCCACAUGAACUUAUCGGAGUCCUUGAGCUUCAAAAGUGUGGAAGAGGCUUUCAUUUUACCUGCCGAAUUAGCAAUAAAUCGGCGUAAAAAAUUGAUCUGGCCGAGUAAGGACUGUAAUUGUUUCUUCGUUGUUGGGGGUGGGGCGGUGAUGAUUGCGCGUGCCUUGUUCUCAUCGACUUCAAUCCCACGAUGAUGUACGAGGAAACCAAGAAAAUUCCCGGCCGAUACACCGAAGGCACACUUGGCAGGAUUCAUCUUGAGGUUGUGCUGACGCAUACGGAGAAAAGCCUGUCGGAGAUCGUCCAGAUGUGUCUGUCGGCGUUUAGAUUUGACGACAACAUCGUCGAUAUAAACUUCGACGAUGGUGCCAAUUAAAUCAUGGAAGAUGGUGUUCAUCGCCCGUUGGUACGUGGCGCCGGCAUUCUUGAGGCCGAAUGGCAUGACAACCCAUUCGUAAGUGCCGAGUGCCCCCGGGCACCGGAAAGCAGUUUUGUGCACAUCGGCUUCGGCAAUAAAUAUUUGGUUAUAUCCGGCAUGUCCAUCCAUAAAAGAUAAGAUCGCAUGAUUCGCCGCGGCAUCGAUUAACAGAUCUGAAAUCGGCAUUGUAUACUCAUCUUUGGGCGUUGCCAGAUUCAGAUUGCGAAAAUCGGUACAGAUGCGCAGUGCACCACUUUUCUUUAAUACAUGAACAAUAUUCGCCAACCAUUCGACAUAUCGAGCUGUCCGAAUGAACCCGGCUUUCAAAAGCCGAACUAAUUCGUCCUUAACACUGAGUUGUACUUCGGUCGAGAAUCGACGAGGUGGCUGACGGAAAGCUUGAAUCCGGGCUUAAUACGUAAUUCAUGCUCGACCAAAGCACGAUCUAAGCCGGGCAUUUCAUGAUAACUCCAAGCAAAACAAUCUUUGAAUUCUGUAAGCAAGGCCCGCAACUCGUCCUUCAUUUGUUGAGGAAGUAACGCACUAAUAAACAAAAGUCGUGGGUCAUCGGCCGUCCCAACAUUAAUCUCUUCCAAAGGGUCCUUAACAAGGGGCCGAUGAUCUUCGAGCUCGACCGGGGCGGCUCGAAUUUUAUCAAAAGAUAAUACAGGCCCAUUAUCUCCCUCAGCAAGGAACUCGACGAGGUUGACACCCGAAUUUGGUUGUUUGGAUAUCGUAUACCAAUGGGCCAGCAGUCGUUCCAUAGUAGAUGAAACCGCGGCCCUACGUGCUUCCCGAUCGGCGUCAAACAUCGGUUUCGGGGAGAAAGUUAGCUAAUCCGAGUCUCGCCGAAUCCUGCUGGACAGUCUCGGCGCCAACCUCGAUAGCUUUCUGAACGGAAAUCCGAGUCGGCCGUCCUUCUUCAUUGAAGCCUUGCAACGUAAUAUAGCCGACGUGAUCGUCAUAAUACCGUGCUUGAAUCAUGUUGGCUUCGAAGGGCUGGCUAUCGGCCGGAUGAACAGUGACCGAUUUGCCGUCCCAAAAGACAAGCACUUGGUACAAUGAGGAAGGAAUACAGCUGGUUUGAUGAAUCCAAUCUCGGCCGAGCAGUGCAUUAUACUCGGUUUUGGAAUCAACCACAAAAAAGGCGGUCAUAUGGGUACGACCGGCAAUAUUCACAGUUAACGGAAGCACACCUUUGGUGUGGGACUUGUCGCCGACAAAACUGCUCAUUGUGAUCCCUGACGGAAUAAGUUCGUCAUUGGAACGGCGUAAGGCCUUCAUGAUGUUCAGGGGCAUGAUAUUGACAGUAGCUCCACAAUCGACAAAAACCUUAGAAACCGGAUAUCCCUCGAUGUGUGCCGUUACAUACAAUGGCUUUAAAUGGUGAAGCUUGGCCGAUGAUAAACGAGGGAACAAUUCGGCCAAAGCGGCCUUUAGGCUAUCAUCUCUUGCUGUUGACUCGCCUUCAGCAAUCGAUAUAAAAUCAACAUGGCCAGGUUCCUCGACAACCACAUCUCCAUCGAGGAAAUUUGGUUGAGCCGUGCUUGAUUGAAAAUCGGCAGGUAAUACAUGAACCAUACUAAUUUCCAUAUUAUCCAGGACGGACGGGCCCAUCUGGUCGAGACCCUCCUCGUUCGGUUGGUUAGCGACUACAGACUUGGUUGUCGUCAGAGUCGGACAACGAGAUUCUUCCGUCCCUUCAACAAUGUCACCCGGCGGAGCUGCUUCGGCCACUUGUUGGCUCCGCAUGACCGCCUCAGGUAAGGUCGAGAUUGACAAUGAGCUUGGGGUCAAGUCCUAAACCUGCUCCUGGUAGUGUAGCCGAGCAUCCCUAGUGUCGAGAUAAGCAUCAAGACGGGCAAUACGGGCGAUUUCAUCGGUCGUAAGGCCGAAGAGAGAAACUGCCGAAAAUACUUCAAAGUGAUACCGUAAAUACUGAAGGUCCUCUAGCGAGAAAGGAAGGUCAGCGACAUCGAUAUCGGUAUACGGGUCAACUUCAAAUCCAAAGACACGAGCUUCUCGAGCUAUGUGCUGAUGUGCUGGUGCUGGAACCUUGCUUUCAAUCCUGGAUCUGAGGUCUUCUGGAUGAUCCGCUCAGCAUCCGGACAAGCCAAGACAAGAUCAAUGGUGUCCUGACAUGCCUUCGGGCAAACCAUACAAAUCGUUGGCCGAAUGUUCCUUAUGAAAUUCUCGCAUAUAUUCCAAAGACUCCCCAUGGAACGGGGGGUGCAAAUUCCGUCGAAUUUUGACCAAAGGCUCUUGUAUAGCUAUCGGGGAUAGUUUGCUUUCGGCCUUUUGCCUGAAAUGUUCAACACGUGCCUUCAUUUCCCCUGGUCGAAUGAGAAGUUUGAUCCGCUUAUCAGCUUCUUCAAACAUGGUCUCGACGUCUUGAUCGACCAGCCGUUUCCCCUGAGCCAACUCUGUCAUAAUUGGUGGAGGUGGUCGAUUUUCAUUAGUGGCAACUGUAUCCUUCGGUCGCCACUUAGGGGCCGAAGUUUCUUGGGCUGCUUGUCGGCGAGCCAUGCAAUCCAUCCGUUGAUGCCGGCGUUUCUGAGAUUUGGACAACGCGGUAUAGACGCCCUUCGAAGAAUGGUACGUAUACCAACGUUGAUCUCUAGGCUCAGGAGGCUUGAAGGUCUUUUGACUCCGUGAUGAUCCUGAACUGCUAGAAUUACGCUUAUAGUAAUCAUCGUCAUAAAAUGAAGCAUCAAAAUCGAGGCGCCGCCUGACCGGGGGUGUCUCUUCCAUCCGUACUUUAGGACCGAGCCUCCCAAAAACCCCAUGAUGUUGGUCUUCAUUGGCUAUCUUUUGCCGAGUUACGGCCACGGGUUGCGAAGAAGGUUUCUCUUCUGGUUCACUGUCGACCUUCGCUUUACAUUUCCUGCACAGAACCGCUGUCCCACUAUCUUCAUCGGCGCUAUACUCCGUCAAAGAUUUGACAAUAGCGGGCCCCGUUAAGGCCGCAGAUGGUUUAUUUGAACGCGAAUCGGCCAUGAACCGUGGCCGAACAUUCUGAUUCUGCGGGCGUUGUGUCUCAACCACUUCAGCCUUGCCUUUCCCUUUGUCCUUGGGUAGGUACGCGUCGACCAUAUUUACUGUUGCCGUGGGGAACGGAUCAGUAUCAACACUCAUCCUCUUCUCGGGGAACUUCAGUUUGCCAUUAUCAAUCCAGCUUUGGACGUUAUCACGAAAUACGACGCAAUUGUUUGUCGUGUGUUUGCUCGAAUUGUGGUAUUUGCAAUACACCUUUCCUUUAAGCUCCUCGGCCUUGGGAAUGUUAUGACCAGGCCGAAGCUUAAUGAUUCUUGCUGAUAACAGUUGGUCAAAAAUUGCGUCAGCCUUGGUAAUAUCAAAAGUAUAAACCUUUGACGGUUUCGAUGUUCCUUCAGUGGCCGAGCGACUUUUGGCUUCUCUAGAAUCAACCUGAGUUAAUGCCUUGCAAAUGUAUGGUUUAUCUAUUACUAUCUCAGCCGCAUCCACACUAACACAUUCAUCCUCGGUUGAUGCAUAAUUGACAGUAGGGUUCUUGUAAAUCGUUCCCCGAGUUGGAGUCUUCGAAGUCUUUUCCUCGCGGAGCAAAUAAUCGUACUGCUCGACAUGUUGGGCCAAUUCGUACAUAUCCCGAAAAUUUGCCCCCAAGAAUUUCUUUUUGUAUUCGACGUCAAGACCAUUCAAAGCAAGCCUGACAAAUUCGACUUCGGGUAAGGGCACUCGGCACCAAUUCCUAGCCGAUUUAAACCUAGUAAGAUAAUCCAUUGGUGACUCAUCAGACGCUUGAGCCAUCCGUGCUAAUGAAGAAACUGACAUCUCCAUCCCCGGCCGAUAAAAUUGCUCGUGGAACUUCUCGACCAACUCCUCCCAGUUUUGGACGGAAUUAGGCGGGAGAUUGAUGUACCAGGCAAAUGCCGAGCCGGUCAAUGAAAAAUUGAACAGCCGUAACUUGUGGAAAUCACUAUUCACAUCUCCACAUUGCGCGGUGAAACGAGCCACGUGCUCCAACGAAGACAGGGACGAUUCACCAGCAAAAAGACUAAAAUCUGGGAUCUUGAAGCCCUUCGGGUAUCCAAACGUCUCCACGUAAGCUGGGUACGGAUGAAUAAACUUGGGAAACUUCGGCCCUUUCUUCAUAGCCGAGUCGAUCAUCCGCUGAACUUCGGUCAUAUCAACAGAUGCUGCUUCGACCCUUUGGUCGGUCCCGUCUGACCUACUGUUCGACCCUCAUCCCUUCUCCAAGUUAAUUGUUUUGAGCGGGGCAAGAAUAGGCCCGGCCGGUACAAUCGGUGCCGGGUUGUUUUCUGGUAAGCAAGUUUGGCGAAGAUCGAAAGGCCUGCUGCCACCAACUUGGCUAACCAGCAUUUCGAGCAGUUUGGUUUGCCGAUCAUUGGCACUGAGUAUCGCGUCCUGCAGCUUGUCAAUGCCUCGACUGAACGUCUGCUCGACUGACCGAGACUGCUCGUCCAGUCGCUUUCGGAGGAACGACCUCGUUGGUGGGUCUGUUCCUUCACCACCAUCCUCAUCACAUUCCUCUAUUAUCCCUUCAUUGAGAACGCAUGUGUUUCUGUUUGGGAUCUCUAAACCACGGAGUUGACCGCCGAGAUUAAGUUCUCUCUCUCGGCGAGUCGCGCUCGUGGACUCAGGUGUACCAACGCUAAGGGGAUUCUGCGCCUGUGGCACACUCUGUCCUAUGCUCUGACUCGGUAAAUCGGCUGUCGACUUUCCCAUAGCUGUUUUCUUUUUUACCGAUCGUGUUUCAAUUGGCAUGAACUUCGUAGUUUAGCACUGGGUCCCACUGGGCGUGCCAAAAUGUUGACCCUAGAAAUUACAAAGCCUACGUGGCGCGCAGGCCGAGUAUAUUCUAAGCUAACUACGUCCUUCGGUGAUUGCGGGGCGUGCCAACUCGUCGGCCGAGGCUCGGCCGAGGAGUAAAUUUGAUGAUGCUGCGUUGGGUCGCGCUACUGACUUCUGCGUCUUGCGAUUGCGGCCGAGAAAGGAACACGUCUCGGCCUCUUGGGUUCUCGAGCCUGAAGACAAGGCUGCUAUUUCUUACAAAGUUCACGAACCGAAUUCGGCUUGCAAUGUGCCGAAUGUAAUAACUGUGACACCUCACCUCGCCGAGAAGGCUAAUGAGAUGACCUCGACCAACAAGGAUUCGAAAACCCUUCUCGACCGAGACUUGGAUAGGUAAUCGACCGUUCUCGCCGCAGUGCUGUUGAUGCCAACGGAAGAUACUGCGAGAUCGACCGACUCUACGGUGACAGAGCUGUCUAUGCCGACUUAAGAUAUCACCGGUUGCUUCCACAGUGCUGUUGAUGCCAACGGAAGAUGUGUCAGCGAAAAAGGAAAAGAAAAAGAUCUCAAGUUGUGAGAGUUUGCGCAGGGCAAUUUUGUAUUGAUUUUGUGGGCUUUUUCCAUUGCUGAAUGUCUUGUAUUUAUAGUAGCAGAACACCGAGCCCGAGUUCUAAUCCUAUUCGAACUAGGUUUCCUUCUCCGGAUUAACGUUACCUCAAUCAGUCCUAUCUCUGCUAGGACUACGAAUCUAGUCCUUAACUGAGCCGGAUUCGCCUUCUAGUUUUACUGGUCUCGUCGAGGGUCCCUAUUGUAUUAGGACUCGACUUGCACUCUGAUUUAACCGAUCUAGGCCUAGAAGCCCAUGAGCUGAACGCCCCCAUGACUUUCUCGCCGUACGUCUUCCCGGGCCGAAAGUGAUACCUCCCUCGGCCCAAACUGUUAUUUUGGGCCCAAACAAAUAUAUAUGAUCAUAUAUGAACAUAUGAUUUGAUAUUAUUGGGUACUAGCUGGAAACAUUCCUCUGAUCUCCAAAAAUUUUGAUUCUAAUAUUAUUUGAUCCUCUUCUUUAUUUAAGUUUUUCUUUGAUAUGUUAAUUCUAAUCUUUUGAGAUCAACUCUUAGAGAUUGAUGAUAAUCCAGUCCAGCUCAUCAGGAUUUUUUGGUUUGUCUAAUUAAUCAUAGUUAUACAAAAUAAGUAUAUGCGAUCUAAAAGGAUACUGAAAGAUAUAUAGCACCAUAAUGAAUGGAAGAAUGCCCUCAUACAUGUACUAAUUAAGUAAUUACCAAUGUGGAUAACCAACAGUCCAUUUGAAUUUGAGCAUUUGGUUAACCAAAAGAGCCGUUGGUCUCUGUUUUCUUGGCCGUGGGCGGCACACCUACAUGGGUGGGGUUGCACUUUGCAUCAUUGAUGGUGGGUUGUAGCGUGUUCCUCAUGUGGCGUGCGUGAAUUUGGGCACUUGCCGUCCAAUUUCCUUUCUUCCAUCUUGCUUAUAAAUAAAAAAAAUAUUACUAAACUAAAAUAGUCAAAAUUACGGACACAUACAUAAUCGAGGACUAUUUUUUUUUGAAAAGCCUAUUACAUAUAGGCAGAUAAUAGUCUUCCCCUUUUUUUGGUAAAAAAAAGAAAAAAAAAAGAACACCAAGAAAUCCAAUAGACAGGUCAGAGCUCACCCAAACCAAAAAGGAGGAAGAUUCUUUCCUUUCUUAAUCUCUCUCUUUUCAUCCAUUUCUAUUUGAACGAUUAUGAUUUAACCACGUUAAUAUUUUAUAUUAAUUUUUAUAUAAAGAUAAUAAAACAAAAAAUAAUAUGUAAAAGAAGAAUAGGGAAAAAGAUGAGAAUAAAAUAAGAGAUAAUCAUUUUCCAACCAAAAAGCCCAUAACGAAACCGUCGGGUCAUCGUAUCACAUCACUGUCCUAAUAGGAAUACUCUCACUCCUCCCUUUCUCUCUCCUCACUUUCUCUCUCUAAAUACAAAUUUCUAUACAUGGAGUACAAAAGGAGACGACUUGUGUUAAGCGGCGUGUCUUCAAGUGUCGUGCAUGCAUUUUGUGCAUCUGUUGCUUUGCAUGCACUCUCUCUCUCUCUCUCUCCCUCCCUCUUCCCUCCCUCUCUCUCUCUCUUAAAUGCACGUUUUCUCUCCUGGUCUUACCCACACAGACCCCCAAAAACCCCACUCCCCACUAAUUACGUUCGUGAACGGUAAAACCCGGCUGACUGAGUUUUGACUCGUUUCUUCUUCAUCAGCUCACUGUAUCGAGCUCGCCGCCGCAGCCUCCGCCGUGGCUGGUUGGUUUCCAGAGUGGGUUUCUGCUCUGUUCUUGGAUGACUAGUCGUUUUCGAGAUUUGGGUUUCGAUUUGGGUAAAACAAGGUUUGUUCUUUGCUAUUUUUUUUUAAUUACGUUUUUGUUUAAUAGUUGCCCAAAUCUCAAAUGUUGUGUAUGAUUGUGUUUAAUGCUGGGGUUUCUGUUUAAAUUUCUAUCUUUUGAUCGAAAGAGCUUUAGGGAUUUGGGUUUGAUUGCUCUGUUUUGUUUGAUUUAAGGGUUUGGAGAGCUUGAAUUUGGGGCGAUGGAGUCCAAGAUUUGCAUGAAUCCUUCGUGUAGGAUGGCCAAUACGCACGAAUGGAAGACAGGUUGGCCUUUGCGAUCCGGUGGUUUUGCCCAUCUCUGCUACAAGUGCGGGUAAAUUUUUUCCCUCUUUUUAAUUUUUGCUUAGCAAAGUUUUGAUCUUUCAGCUGUUCAGUUGUUGGUAGUAGGGUGUUGCGAGGGCAUUAUGGGAAUAUGGGUUGUGGUUCUUUACGUGGGAUUUUAUGUGUAUUGUGGGUUAGGACUUAUUGCAUUGUUCAUGAACUGCUUCUAUUUUUAUCGUCGGCCAUGAAGGAAUGAGCGGAAUUGUCGACGAUCAACAUAUAAUCGGGUUAUAAUUAAAAUCCUUACUAGAAAUACUAAAAAGCUAGUAGCUUUUAAUUUAUUUGAUGUAAAGGAGAAAUUGCAAGAACAAGAAAAUUGUUUACCUUUUUAUUGCCUUAAAGAGUAUCUUUGAUAGUGUGCUGAGUUUUUGCUAUCCUUGUGGUCCGGCUAAUUUAUGUAUGAAUAAGAAAAUUGUGAAAUUAUUUAUUCCCAAGUAAUUGGAGCCGAAAUUAUAUCAGCUAACCUUUGUAGAACCUAACUAUAGCCAUAUUCAUCUUAAUGUAGUAGGCAGGAGUGCUUAUGUUUUCCUAUCAGUUGCUGUUGUUUCAAAUGUUCCAAUAUUUUGCAUUUUAUAUUACUUGCAAUUGUAUUUUAUCGUUUUAUGCGGAUUGAAAGCUUAACGGGAACAGAUGACUUCACUCUCUUUUGAACUGGAUAUUAGUCUUUCAGAAGUCACUUGAUAUCAGACGUUAGUAUCGUGGAAAGAAUUAUCCUCUUUUAGUUUGUUUGUUUGCUCCCAAUAUCUGACACUUUAUGUUGUAAACAUGCCAUAUCAUUAUGGUUGGUUCUUUUUUUUUUUGUAUUCUUAUAAAUACUUACAUAUUUCCCCUGUUGGUUUAAAUAUAUUUCCGUUGCUUGGUCAUGGCAUUGCGUGUACUCCAGAGUUGAGUAUGAGAAUUCAGUUUACUGCAAUACAUUCCAUUCUGGGGAAACUGGUUGGAGGGACUGCAAUUUGUGCCACAAGGUUAGCUUGCAGUUUGGUCAUGUAAAAAAAUAGUAUUCAAGCUCUCUUCACACCACUCCGUUACUCUCUCUGACUUUACUUUAGAAAAUUAUUCAAUUUUGUGCAGCCUCUCCACUGUGGAUGCAUAGUCUCAGAGACAUUGUAUGAGUGCCUGGAUUUUGGAGGUAUAGGGUGCAUUGGCUGUGCUUCUCAACCUCACGUGGUAUGAACAAUUAGGUUUUUGGUUAUUAUAUACCCAUUAUAAGUCACUAUCUUUAUCUCCACCGUAUCCUUUGUUUGCAUUAAACUCUCCCAUCUGCUUCCAUGGUUGAUAGUUAACUUCAUUCUUUAGAACAUAGAUUAUAUACGUACAUAUAUGUAUCUUAUUUCAUACUUACGUAAAUUCAUAACAUUGAUUCGUCUGUUUUCACUUGCUCAAUGGCAAACCUAUUCAAGUAGAUGGAAAAAUAUUAUGGUUGACAUACUGUGAAGUGCUCACAGGUUCCCAAUAGUAUUUUUAGAUAUCCUCUAUCGGUAAUCAAUGUAUACGUAAGCAAUUGGUCUUUAUCUGUCACAAUGUAUCCGUCUCCAUUUCUCACUCUAGCUCACAUACACACAAAGAUGACCUAUAGGAAUUUCAUGGAUUCUUAUUUUCUUAUGUGCAGAUUCAGGAUGGUGAUGUUUUAAAUGGAUUUGGUGGAUUGAAAAUAAGUGAUUUCGGUGAUCACCAAUCAACUGUUCCUCAGAAUGGAGCAUUAAGUGAUACUGCUAAUGAGGGAGAACUUUUGCAAUUGUGCCAAGUCAUGGAAGCUAAUGAAUCCAACCUUUCGUCUCAAUCUCAGAGAGGUGAAAUAAAUGUAUCUCCUGUGCAAACCAAACGAGAAGAAGUUACUUAUCCAAGGGGGGAAGUUGGCCCAGGAUUUUCUAGUAUCACUAGGCCAUCUUUUGGAUCAUUAACAUUUGCCAAACCAGACAAUGGUAGAAUAAUGAUAGAGGUCAAAGAUAUGAAUAAGUCGUCCUCUGAGCCGUCUUUGAGUAUGACUUUGGGAGGCCCAUCUGCUACUCCAAACUUUGCUCAACCCUUUACUGGGGGAAUUUUGGAGAGAAGAGAUCAGAGCAAGAUGUCUUCUUCCUUCCAACAGGGGCAAAAAAUUCGGCCUAUUUUUCCCAGACCCUUGAGACCUCCCCCUCCUAUCCAUAAUGUGCGUGUUGCAAGGCCACCUGCUGAAGGGCGAGGGAAGAGUCAGUUACUUCCUCGAUACUGGCCAAGGAUUACUGACCAAGAGCUGCAGAAAUUAGCUGGAGAGUAUCCUUAAUUGCUUUUAUAUUUCUAUUUGGUGCAGAACAUUUCUUAGUUAGUAAAUAUAUGCUAUGAUUAUCUGUCAAUUUGAAUGUAGUAUUUUCCUUAAAUGUUUUUCAGUUUGAAUUCUACUAUUGUGCCACUGUUCGAGAAGGUAUUGAGUGCCAGUGAUGCAGGUCGAAUUGGUCGUCUGGUUCUCCCAAAAGCAUGUGCUGAGGUAAAAAUUAACAAGUUAAUUUCUUUGAAGGCAUUUUAUGAAUUCAAGAUUAUGUUAUUUAUUAGUUUCGGGAAGUUUAGGUGGGGAUUAAUUUUUUUUCGUUUGCUUUCCUUACAUUUCCCCAUGUUUGUGUAUGUGUUCUUUCCCCUUUGCCACAUUUGUAUGAACUGGAAGUGAAUGCAGGCAUACUUUCCUCCUAUUUCUCAAUCAGAAGGCCUUCCUAUAAGGAUUCAAGAUGUCAAGGGUAAUGAAUGGACGUUUCAGUUCAGAUUUUGGCCAAAUAAUAAUAGCAGGAUGUAUGUUUUAGAAGGAGUAACGCCUUGCAUACAGUCUAUGGAACUUCAAGCUGGUGAUACUGGUAUGCUUAUCUAUAUUCUGGCUUAGAGGAAAGAUAAAAAGUCCACAUAUUUUCAUCUUUCCAGUUAUUUCAUUAGCUUUCUCAUUCCUUUCGUCAUAGAAAAAGACAGCUGAAGUCUAGAUUUGGAUGUGAUUCUUUUUGUUGCAGUGACAUUCAGUCGGAUAGACCCCGGAGGCAGACUUGUAAUUGGGUUUCGUAAGGCAUCAAGAUGUUUAGAUGUGCAGGUCAAGUGUCAUAAUUUCAUUUUUCUUGAAAUUCUUCACCCUCUUACUUUCAUACUGUGUUUGUGUUCUUUUGUUCUGAUGGAAUCUGACAUUUCUACACAAAUGUUAAAUAAUUAGGAAUCCCAAACAUCUUUCCUUCCCAAUGGAACUCCUGGGGAAACUUCCUGUCCUAGCGUUGUUGAGAAUCUGGUAACAGGAAGUGGUCACUCUAGUAUUUAUCAAAUGAGUACAGGAAGCAAAGACCUAAAUGCUCUAUCAGGACAUUUGCAUUUGGCUGAUGGGGAUACAAGUUUGCAUAGUAAUGAGAACCAUAGUCACUUUACAAGUGAGGAUCUGCAGCAGAAGCCUGUGUCGAAUUCUGACAAGAAGAGGGCCCGAAAUAUUGGGCCUAAAAGUAAGAGGUUGCUCUUGCAUAGUGAAGAUGUUCUGGAGCUGAGACUGACAUGGGAAGAAGCACAGGACUUGCUUCGUCCACCCCUGAGUGUCAAACCAAGCAUUGUCACUAUAGAAGAUCAUGAAUUCGAAGAGUAUGAUGUAAGUAUGUCAUAGUCAGUGUCCCUCUUGCUAUAUGAAGUCAUGUGUGUUAAGAUUCUUUGACAGAUUCAAUCCGUUAAAAGUUACAAACUCCAUUGUGUUCUUUGGUGAGUUGACUGAUCAAUGUUGUUCAUUUCUUCCAGGAGCCCCCAGUUUUUGGGAAGAGAUCUCUAUUCAUUGCCGAAUCUGAGUAAGUACUUCUGAGAUAUAACGUGUUAUGUUACUUUUAUCAUAUCAAGAAAGAGGGCUGUAUUUAAUUUAUACCUAGCCACCUGAAAGAGCAUCUUCAAGCUUCUUGAAAUAAAAAAAAACCACUAUUAAAAUGUAGUGAUUGAAACUAUUUGGCACAUAAGCAUGCGCCUGAUAAGUAGGCCCUCUACUGUAAACUGACUAACUUUGUCCUUGCAUUGUGAAAUCUGGAACUUAUAUCCAGGAGACAGGAACAAUGGGCUCGGUGUGAUGAUUGUUCCAAGUGGCGGAGGUUGCCUGUUGACGUUCUUCUUCCUCCAAAGUGGACGUGCUUUGAAAAUUCUUGGGAUAUAAACAGGUGCAACUUAAAUCUUUAAUCUUCUUCCAUGAGAUCACUGAGAGGCAAGAUUGAUUGUGUUUAUUUUAUAUCUUCGCAGGUGCUCAUGUUCUGCACCAGAGGAGGUGAGCCAAGAGGAAUUGGAUAAUCUUCUAAGACCAAGCAAAGGUAUAACUUGAACCUUUGUGUCCCUUCUCUUUUAUAUAAUACAUUUAUCAAACAUGCAUGCACGUAUCGUUCCCAACCACAUCUGUCAAAUUAGGCAUUGAUAAAUUUUUGUUUUUCUGUUUUUCACUCAGAUUUAAAGAAGCGAAGAAUCGUAGUGAACCAUAAUGAAGCCCAGGAACACGAACCUUCUGGCUUGGAUGCCCUGGCUAGUGCUAGUGCUGCCAUUCUGGGAGAUAGUGUGGAUUACGCUGAUGAACAAUCAGUUGGAGCCACAACCAGACAUCCGCGCCAUCGCCCAGGUUGCACUUGCAUAGUAUGUAUUCAACCCCCAAGCGGGAAGGGCAAGCACAAGCCAACAUGCACAUGCAACGUAUGCAUGACAGUAAAACGGCGCUUCAAAACCCUGAUGAUGAACAAGAGGAAACGCAAAUCAGAACGUGAAAUGGAGAAUGCCCACAGGGAUAAUAAUGACCACAAGGACGAAUCAGAAAUGAAUGGCAUGUCAACAGAGAUUGAGUUGCAUAUGAAUCACUCAUCGGAGAAUGGAAGCAGCUGCGAGAAGAGAAUUCAAGCUGACGUGGCAGAAAGUUCAUGCGCUGGACAAAUUGAUCUGAAUUGUGAGCCCAAACACAAUUAUGUGCAGGUUUCAGGAUUGACCUUGUUGAGACUUGCUGACGCCGUUGCUCAACAACCAGUAAAGAACAGCACGAAGGAAAGUGGCCUCACAAACAGAAUGUGCGAGCCACAGGCCGGUCUUGGUUCUUCUUUACGUGCACAAGAUACUGCGGAGACUGAUAAACUCCUGUGUAAUGAAGGCAGCCUUUCAUCCGUUGCAGCGGCGUGGGACUUGGAGGGUAGAGGUGAUGAGGACUGAAACAAUCCGGCCGUGGCCCUUCUUUUUUGUCGGAAAUAUAUCUUUAUUUGGCUUUAUUUAUAGGGCAGUGCUAUACAUCUUUACGAGUCUUCAUAGCCAGUGAAUGUAAUUUUGUUUCUUUGUUCGUCUGGACAAAUUUUACCUUUAUCUCUAAGGUUGAAACAGACGAAUCGAUGAAGGUUGAAAAUUGCCAUAUGCACAGUUGAUGAACACUUCCCUGUUGCGGGAAUCGGAUUCGGACGAGAUUACUUAAGAAAUCAAACCUACGGAAAAAAAUUUCCAUCAACGACGCAUUCACAGAUAACAUUUUAUCUACCCACGAAUUCGUCCCUUUCAUAACCUCUCCCGAGCCGAGCCGGAGCGCAAUCACUCCUUUUUGUGGAAGCCCUAUACAAGUGCCCCCCUGUCAAAUUUUUUAUUUUCCUAAACUAUUACGUUAAUCUUGAUAAAUAUUACAAAUUUUCAGUGAAAUUCCCAAGUGUCUCUCUCUUUUUUGUUUGCUCAAUCAUACUCAUGUUUAAUUUUCUCUUUUAAAAUGCUGCUCCAUCUUUGAAUCCAAACAGAUACAAAAUGCAAGAAAUCAUAGUUUAUUUGUCCAUCGACAAUAUUAAUCGGCCAUUUUUGUUUCAUCAACUGGGCGUUAAAAUUCACCAAGCAAAGAGUGAAGGCUUACCAUUGGCAUGGAGAAUACGAAUUGAUAAAUUACUAAUGGAAUUAGACUCUCCAGUCACAUUUUAUUUGGUGUUGCAAGGUCUCCUUGUUUUUUGGCUUGUCGAGAAUUGCUUUCAAGAUCUUGGCAAUACAAACUUCGACAUGUCUACAGAGAGAAGAACUUUGUGGCAGACAGUUUAGCAACCUAUAAUCUUGAUUUAGAUUUAGGUAAUUUUUAUUUUGAUACUCUUCGUUCUUGUUCAAUUAGUUUUAUUUAUGAGAAUUACCUUGAGAUGUCCCGGUCUAGAUUCAUUAUUGAGUAAGUUUGGACUCUUUCUUUUAACCCCGUUUUUCAAACAAAAAAAGAGAGUGAAGACCAAUGUUUUGAUACCAGCACACAUCAGUUAUUCACGUUGAUUUAUAUCCAAUUUUAUUGUUGAUUUAUUUAGUUUUUUCUUCAAAUAAUAGAAACAUGGGAUGCAGUUCAUAAUAAACUAAGGGUUUAAGAAUCAAUUUAAACCUAAUUUAUUCACGAUGUAUCUAAUUUUCUUUGAUUCAAACACAAAAGACGUCUUUAUCUAAAUUUGAGGAAGAAACCAUCGCACUCCAAGGGUCAAUAUCGGUUUGUUUUUAUUUGCUUUGUUUUAAAUCCCAACCUUAUAAAAAAUAACUAUUCACUUGGCGACAUUCAUAGACUUUUUUUCAUAGGUUUGUAAUAAAAAAAACCUCAUCAGAAACCAGCUUAACCAACUGUACAGAUUAGUAUUGCAAACAGGGAAGAUGAAGGGAGCCAAACAGAAGAUUGUGAUAUCCAUAUAACCCUCCCUGAAUCCUGAACCAGGAGCCAAACAGCAAGAAAGAAAAUACAAGGGCAACGCCCAAACAUCCCCAAAUUUCGAUAGAAACAGAGCGAUAAAAAGGAAACCACCAAUCCACUGCAUUUAUAAGAAGGGAAAUUUUAUUUCAACCUAUGCAACCUCUUUUUACCUUCAACUUAAAAUUUUGAAUGUUAAUUAUCUAUUUUACUCUAUUGCAUAAUUAUUAUUAAGUACAAAAUGAAAUUAAUAAUAAAACUCAAAUUUAUCAAUAAACCCAAACACUAUAAUUAAACCCUACGAUCAUUCUUUGUUUAUCAUACGUUCAUUAUGCUAAAACCCUAAUAGCUCUCAUAGAGAAAAAUAAAAUUUUCUAUUGAUGGAUGGUGAUUUUGAAGUUUGAAUUCUCUAACCAAGGUAUGACUCAAUUUAUGAAUUUUUUGUUCGGUCGAUUUCAAUUUUUUAAAGUUUAGAACUUGUCAAAUUGAACGAUGUCUUUAAGGUUUCUGGUUCCGCAUGUGUAUAUCUUUCAGGCAUGUUGGUUGGGUGGUGAGUCCUUCAUGAGCUUAUAAUUUUUUGCUUUAUGGAAGAUUUUUCGAGUUGAGGAAGUCUGGACUUUCCCAUUGAAUUGCCACUGAUGUGAAGGGAUUUUUUUUGAGAAAAAUCUUGAACCUUGAUUCUGCAGUCUUGUUGAUUCUUUUGGGGGUUUAUUUUUCGAUUUCCCAAGGACUAAAACAUUUUAUAAGCUAAUGAUUUAUUGGCUCAAAGUUGCCAACAUUGUUUCCUGCAUUGGAAAAUCUCUGCACUAAGCAAUUAUUGGAUUACAAAAUAUCCAUUGCCAUCUUUAGUUUUACUAACUUUGAGGGUUACAUCUCGGGAUCUAGGUGAGCCUUGUCCCUAUAAAUGGAGCAGCAGCUCCUUCUCCUUCUUAGUCUUCUUCUUCGAUUUCAAUCUUACAUCUGACUAAAAAAUUGAAUGGGUGUAAAAAUAAAUCUACAUACUGAAUUAGGUUUAUAGGGGUAUAUUAGGUAUUAAAUUUGGGUUUAAAGAGAUAAUAAUAGUUUAGUUAAAAAUCAAAUUGGUGAAAAGAGUAAAUUGGGUGUAAAAAUAGGUUAGAUGGGUUUAAAUAAAAUUUCCCUUAUAAGAAUCCUGUUGAAAGACGCUUUUCCUCUCAAAUCAAACCCCUAUCAAAUCAAACCACCAAUCCACUGCAUUUAUAAGAACAUGUGAAGAAGGGCUUGCAAGCGGUGGGCACUACAUUGAAGCAAAUCGAGUUUUGCGGGUACAUCGAUUAGAAAAACGCUGUUGAUCUAGGAAAUUUUGUAGUUCCAUAAAUGAAUUUUCUUGGUAUCUUUAAUCUGAAGUAUAAUUUUCCUUCAAACUCGCAUAAAAGUACAUCAUGUUCCCGCACUGCCGAAACUGACAGAUUUGCGGCUAGUUCUUGAUCCCGGAGAGAAGAUGGUCCUGCACCAAAUUUCCAACUUCUUGAGAGCAGCCUUAACUUUGUCGACCUUUGUGUGGCAGUUUGCUGCACCAAUAGUUGGCAAUGGGCAGGUUGUAAGGCCUGAUGCCCUAGCGGUAAGCACUACAUUAAAGCAAAUCGAGUUUUGCAGGUACAUCGAUUCGGAAAACGCUGUUGAUCUAGGAAAUUUUGUAAGGGUGUGUGCACCAGAGUUAGCAAAUGCAAUAGUCCACCUCGCAGGUAACCAGCCCAUGGUCGUUUUGGCAUUCAGCCUACAAUGACAUGUAAAGAAGGGCUUGCAAGCAAGGUGAAGCAUUUCCUCAAACAUGUCAAUCGUAGGCCAAACGCCAAAACGACCAUGGGCUGGUUACCUGCGAGGUGGACUAUUGCAUUUGCUAACUCUGGUGCACACACCCUUACAAAAUUUCCUAGAUCAACAACGUUUUUCGAAUCGAUGUACCCGCAAAACUCGAUUUGUUUCAAUGCAGUGCUUACCGCUAGGGCAUCAGGCCUUACAACCUGCCCAUCGCCAACUAUUGGUGCAGCAAACUGCCACACAAAGGUUGACAAAGUUAAGGCUGCUCUCAAGAAGUUGGAAAUUUGGUGCAGGACCAUCUUCUCUUCGGGAUCAAGAACUAGCCGCAAAUCUGUCAAUUUCGGCAGUGCGGGAACAUGAUGUACUUUUAUGCGAGUCUGAAAGAAAAUUAUACUUCAGAUUAAAGAUACCAAGAAAAUUCAUUUAUGGCCUAACUACUUAAAAAGCAUAUAAAGGACUAACAAUCCCUGACAGAUCCAGGCAGAGGUAGGUCAGUUGAGGAAUGGUUGAGCUGAUUCUGUUGAACAGCGUAUGGCGAAGGUCUUUGGUUUCAUCAAGGACUAGGGAUGGGCAAUGGUUAUAAUGGGCGGGUAACCGUGCUUAUUUACCCAUAACCAUUUAUAUUCAUACCUGUAUAACUGUUUACCCAUUGGGUAAUUGUAUAAAUGGUUAUACCCAUAACCAUAACCGUUUAUAAACGAUUAUCCAUACCCAUAACCGUGUACCCAUUUAACCAUAACUAUUUACCCUAGGGCUGGGUUCGGUUUGAAAUGGUUCGGUUUUUAGCAAAAAACGAAACCAAACCGAAAUUUCGGUUCGGUUCGGUUCAAAUUUUUUCGGUUCGGUUUUUUUCGGUUUUGGUUUUUUUUGGUUUGGUUUCAGUCCGGUUCGGUUUUUUCCAUGAUUUUUUUUAAUUUGUAACAAAUCUGCAACGAUUGAUUGCGAGCACUGAAGAUGCAAAAACUUAUUGGGUGUUGGUGUAAAUGAAUAUGAACUAGAACAAAUCUGCAAAUCUACAUUGGAAUAAAUCUGCAAAUAAAUACGAACUGGAACAAAUCUGCAAAUGAAUACAAAAAUUACAAUAUAAAAUCCCAACAAAUCUGCAAAGAUUAUAACAUGCAAAAUCCCAACUAAUAAUUAAAAGAAAAACCCAUUUUAAUUCAGUAAAUCACAAUAUAAAAUCCCAACAAAUCUGCAAAUGAAUACGAAAAUUACAAUAUAAAAUCCCAACAAAUCUGCAAAGAUUAUAACAUGAAAAAUCCCAACAAAUAAUUAAAAGAAAAACCCAUUUUAAUUCAGUAAAUCACAAUAUAAAAUUAUAAAUCAUAUUAGUUUUGAUUCAAAAAUUACCUGUGAGAGAUCGGAAAACCCGGAUUAGAAUCUUCCAAUUUGGAGGGGGUUCUGAUUCGAAAGGGGCGAGGGAAAAUCAUGGUUUGGAAGAAGGAAUCCGCGAGGAGGACAUGAAAAGACUGGAGAGGGAGUGAUUUGGAGGAAGAAAGGAAGGAGAGAGAGAGAGAAAGAGAGAGAGGCUGAGGAAGCAAAGGCAAAGAGAGGAAGUAGCGGAGGGGAGAGUGUUUGAAAUCUGAAAUGGGAAGUGAGACAAAGUGUGAGACGGCUAGGGUUUGUAGAGUUAAGAAAUUUUAUAAAGCAUUAAAUAUAAGAAACCUAUAAAUAGCUUACUGAUACAAUUAUAACACCUCAAAGCCUACAGUCAAGUUGGCUGGCAACAACUAAUCGCAAGCUGUAGGGAAGGGGUUCAAACCCUGGCGCCAACAUGUUUUUUUAGAAUUUAUAUAUGAUUUUUUUCGGUUUGGUUCUGUUUCCGAACCUCAAAAACCGAAACCGAACCAACCAGAUUCGGUUCGGUUCAGUUUGGCAGUUUCGGUUCGGUUUGAUUUUCGGCUUCGGUUCGGUUUGGUUUUCGGUUUUCGGUUUUUUGAACCCACCCCUAAUUUACCCAUUUAACCAUAACCAUAACUAUUUACCUGUUUUUGAACCCGUUUAUUUUUUUUUACCCAUUUACUUUUUUUUUCACCCGUCUACAUGUUUUUUUUAACAACUUGAAAAUUACAAAAGAAAAUUUUGUCAUAAUUUUCGUUUUCUGACAAUUAAACACCGUUAUAGGUAUAUUUUAGCACGUAUUUCCCUAUUUUAAUCAUUUAAGUCCUCAUACAAUUCCAAUAAUUGAAAUAAUAGUUUACGAACGAUAUUUUUCUGCUACACCCAAGCAAGUCUUUAAUUAUAAUCCAUAUGAUUACAAAGUAAAGCUUCUAAAAACAAAAAAUAGUAAUUAUCUUCAAUACUAGAUGAAUCAAAGCUCCAAAAUAUUCCGAAACUAAACACUUGAACCUUGAAUCUAUAAUUUUAAUCAUCCAUUAUAAUUUUUCAUUCAUAAGUAAAAGUUGUAGCAACAAUGUGGUUGGGGCACCGAAGGCAGACAACUUGAACUUGAAGUAGUUCAAACAUGUUUCACAUUCCACAUAAGCUCCGAGAAACAACAAAAGUACCAACAGCUCUCAUGACCUGUUCAACUGUGGUUGUUUAAGAAGAAGCACCACUGCGCAGAGGUAGAGAUUUCCCUUCUUUUUCCUGCUAGCCAGUUGAGUCUUAGGCUGUCCAAAACACUCGCGAUUAAUUCCGCCAUGAGCACGGUAUGUGCAGUGCCUUUGCUUCUGGGCUUUGUCUAAGCGAGGUCGCUGGUGAGGUCGAGUCGAAGUCGAGAAACGGAAAGAGAGAGUGAAUGAGUUGUGAGUUCUAUGAGGGUUUUUAAUUUUUUUUAAUUUUACAUAUAUUAAAUUAAAUGGGUAAAUGAAUACCUGUUAUAACUGCGGGUAAUACCCAUAAUCGAUGGAUAUCUGUUAUAAUAGCGGAUAAUACCCAUAACCGCCCAUUUAAAUUUCACGGAUAAACGGUUAUACCCAUAACCGUUUAUUUGUCUAAAUGGUUACCCAUAAUCGUAACCACCAACUUUAAAUGGGCGGGCAACCGCGGUUACCCAAACCCAUGGGUAUUUUGCACAUCCCUAUCAAGGACAUCAGGCUGCUCCUUUAGCGAAAGUUUCCAAAGUGUGGGUGCCCUCUCAAUUUGUAUGUCAACAAACCUUCCGUUGUACGAGAAAUUCCGCAGGUUUGGUAGAGAAACGAAGAUGGACUCAAUGUGAUGACAAUUUGAAAUCUUGAUUAGUUCGAGGGAUCGAGAAUUGUUAAGAACUAUUGUCUCCAAAGAUGGAACACAUGUGAGAGAUAACUCGUGGAGUUUUAGACAGUUUCGAACGAGGAAAGAAAUCUCCUAUCCUUCCAGCUCCACCUUCUGCAUACUCAAGAUUUUCAGGUACCCAAAACCAUCACCGGCAGUUCUGUCAAGGGCCAAAGGAAGGUGUUGCACCCUUAACCUGUAGCAAGUCGAGAAUAUAUCUUUGGCGUUUACUUGGUUCCAUCUUCCCGAAAAGUUGAAGAUGAGACAGUCUGUCCUCUUGGCCAAUGCAAACUGGACCCAAGAAUCUACCGAUGCUUGCUGCUGGACAUCCAAUGGAAAAACUACCUUGAAGGUUUCGAUUGUUGGAGUUGUUAGGAAUGUCGGUACUACAAGAUAAAGAAUGCACAAGGUAAAGUAGAAAAUGGACACCGAGCAUUUAUGUGGUUCGACAAUUUAUGCAUAAGUCCACGAAACAAGGAUCAAUCUUCACUAUAUGAAAAAGAUGAGUACAACAAGAGUAGUCUUACCAAGCCAAAGACAAGGCUUGAUGGAUACAAGAAAGUAUGACACACACUCACUCUCACUCUUGGAGUGGAACUCUAGCUUUGGACUUGAUCAUUUGCUACUCACACUUGGUUCUUAAUUGGUUACUUCACUACAACAUCACACACAUAUUUAUAGGUGAGGGUUUGGCAUUCUAGUGUAUUUUUCAAACCUCUAGCAUAGAUAAUUUUAGACUAGCCACAAAAUUGUAGCUUCUAGAUCUUUCCAUUUGCAACCAAGGAAGCUAGUACUCUCUAGCUUCUUCCAUCAACUUAAUAACAUGCUAGAAUUGUCUAGCAUGCUCCAACCACCUCACUUGCUUACUAGAAUAAUCUAGAACAUUGAUCAUGGGCUGGACCAUAAACCAACAAUCUCCCCCUCCAGUCCAUGAGGGAGGAAUUCCGAUCAUGACUCCAAGUUACCUGGAGUCCAUCCCAGCAGCCUUAAUGCAGAAUUCCAACUUUGAUUUUGUGACUACCUUUGUCAACAUGUCUGAAGAAUUAUUAUCGGUAUGAAUCUUCUUCAGUUGUAGCAACUUGUUCUCGAUAGCAUCUCUAAUCCAGUGAUAACGAAUAUCAAUGUGCUUAGUGCGUGAAUGAUAUGUAAUGUUCUUGCUCAAAUCCAGAGCACUCUGACUAUCACAAUAAACACCAUAAUCACUUUGCUUCAAACCCAACUUUUGGAGAAACCGCUUCAGCCACAACAACUCCUUGCAUGCUUCUGUAGUGGCUAUGUAUUCAGCCUCAGUUGUGGACAAAGUAACACACUUUUGCAACUUGGAUUGCCAAGACACGGCUCCUCAUGCAAAAGUAAACAAGUACCCAAACGUAGAUUUUCUACCAUCCAAGUCACCUCUCAUGUUAGCAUCUGUAAAUCCUUCCAAGAUUGGUUUGGAACUGCCAAAGCACAAGCACAUCUUAAAAGUCCCCUUCAAAUAUCUGAGAAUCCACUUAACAGCUUCCCAACGGUCUUUCCCUGGAUUAGAGAGAAACCUGCUCACCACGCCUACUGCAUGAGCAAUAUCUGGCUGUAUGCACAACAUUGCAUACAUGAUACUUCCUAUCGCUAAAGAGUACGGAACAAUUGCCAUUUUCUCAUUUUCUUCAUAUGUUUUUGGACACGACUCUUUGCUCAACUUGAUAUGAUUGGCUAAAGGUGAGCUUACAGGUUUGGCUGCUUUCAUGUUAAACCUUUCAAGCACCCGUUCAACAUACUUUUCUUGUGACAGCCACAACUUUUUGGAUUUUCUAUCACGAAUUAUCUCCAUGCCCAAAAUCUGCUUGGCUGGCCCUAAGUCUUUCAUGUCAAAGGACUUAGAUAACUCUUCUUUGAGCUUUUUAAUCAUAGAAGCAUCUUGACCGACAAUCAACAUGUCAUCAACAUAAAGCAAUAAAAUGAUGAAUUUACCUCUAGAAAAUUGUUUGAUAUAGACACAAGAGUCAACAUGAGUUCUCUUGUACCCAUCACUCACCAUGAAUGAGUUGAACUUCUUAUUCCAUUGUCUCGGAGCCUGCUUAAGACCAUAUAAGCUUUUCUUGAGCUUGCACACCAAAGUUUAUUUACCUUUGACUUCAAAGCCCUUGGGUUGCUCCAUAUAUAUCUCAUAUUCUAAGUUGUCGUGGAGAAAUGCAGCUUUAACGUCUAACUGCUCGAGCUCAAGAUCCAUGCUUGCUGCCAUACCAAUGAUAACUCAAAUGGAAGUCAUCUUCAUCACCGGUGAGAAAAUCUCAUCAAAGUCAACUCCUUUCUUUUGACCAAAACCUUUGACAACCAACCGAGCCUUGUACCUUGUCAUGUUGUCGUCCCUUUUCAAUUUGAACACCCACUUGUUUUUCAAUGUUUUUCUGCUCUUUGAUGGCUCCACCAGCUCAUAGGUAUCAUUAUUUAAUAAGGAAUCCAUCUCUGACUCCAUUGCCUUCAUCCAUUUAUCACUGUCAUUAUGAGCUCUGGCCUCUUCAUAAGUUUUGGGCUCUCUAUAAUUAGUCAACAUGAUAUACUCUGAUGAAGAAUACUUGGUAGACGGUCUUCGACUUCUGCUAGAUCUUCUGACCUGAUCUUCAUUCUCUUACGGGGCUGGAGGCUCCCCCUGAUUGGGUUCUCCUUGAAUCUGCUCCUCUUGACUAGGCUCCCCUUGAUUAGCAAUCUCAUGGUCUGGCACAUCUUGAUCAGGCUCCCCCUGAUCAGCAUUAUCUGGUUCUGCAGGCACUUCAUUUGCAACUGCUUCAGGGAUGUCAUCGUGACUUUCUUCAUCUGAAGCUAAUGGAUCAAUUCCUCUAACUAUUGAAAUGUCAUGUGUGAGCUAGCCAUGUCAAUGCAAUUCCAAGCUCUUUUAAAUCAUUAUAUGCAAACAUGUGAGUUUCUCACAAGACAUACGCUCAUUCACUCAUAAGUUUUGGUUAAUGUGUUUCACUCAAGUGAUCUCAUUGUACAUGUCUCCAUAUGCUUGCUUGUCCACCUAACUCGCUAUCAAUAUUUAAGUAAUACUUUGGAUCAAUAGGACUUUAUUACGGUUGUAAUGGGGCUAAAGGUGAUAGGCUAAUGAAAGAAAGGAUAUGGAAAUAAAUUUUUUUGAGAAAGUACACUUUAGUAGUUUUCCAACACCUCAAUAUCACACCACCUCAAAUUGAAAGCAAAAUAAUAAAACCUCGAGCACUUGCUACUCCCCAAAUUCAACUUCAAAAGGAAAUUUAUACUCCGCAGACACAUUUUCAACAAAUCAACACUCUCCAAUUUUCUCUUUUUUUUUUUUUUUUUGGAAAGAAACAAAUCUGCAAAGCUAUGCAUAAAUCUGCAAAAGCUACAUCACCCAUCAAAUUCACAUUUCAUUGUAAUACACAUCUCCAUCCAUCUUUCCACAUAAAUGAAACCCCAAGAGCACAACCCAUGUCAUACUUUCUUAAAACAAUAAGGAAUCGAUUUCUUUGUAUGGGCUCAACUCCAAUAUUGGAGCAUGGUAAAGAGAUGUCGCUAACAAAGAAAUGGCUUAGUUAAAGACUCAACAGGCUACCAUGGACACACAUAGCAUAUAAGGUAGGCAUGAAAGGCUCAAACAAUCCAAAGAUGGCCUAUAUCACUUCCAAGUUAUUACAUGAAUUGAUGAAUGAGACGCCAAAUAUAAAGCAAGUUCUAGAGAUACAUGUACAGUGAGAUCAUAUGCACAAGAAGGAAUGAGAUUGAUGCAUAAUGGUUCAAUCAUGUAUAGGCUCAAAAACUCACAAGGUUUACAUAAUCUCACAUGAUUCAUAUAUUAAGUAAUUAUCAACGUGAAUAACCAACUGUCUAUUUGAAUUUGAGCCAUUGGUUAACCAAAAGAGCCGUUGGUCUCUGUUUUCUUGGCUGACAUGUGGGCGGCACACCUACAUGGGUAGGGUUGCACUUUGCAGCAUUGAUGGUGGGCUGUAGCGCGUUCCUCAUGUGGCAUGCGUGAAUUUGGGCGCUUGUUGUCCAACUUCCUGUCUUCCACUUGCACAUGGGCUUUCCCACUAAUCCAAACUCAAAAGUUGGCCGGAAUUUGGCCCAUUUUUGAGUUUUAACCCAAAACCGAAAAUUGGCCUAAGGGUUAGAAUGAAAUUGUUUGGGGAGGGGGGGGGGGAGGGGAAUAGAAGCUUAAUUUUGAGACUUACUCUAAGAGUUAGAGUUGGUCUAAAUGUCAAAUUCUGUUUUUAAUAUAAAACAAUAUAUAUAUAUAUAUAUAUAAUUAUACAAUGGGCAAAUUAUAAUAGAUUGAUAUUAAACUUAUUAUUUACGAAAAUCAAAUAUAAUACGUCUUACUUAUAAGUAAAAAAAAAUAUCACUAAACUAAAAUAGUCAAAAUUACGGACAUUUACAUAGUCGAGCACUAAUAUUGAAAAUAAAAGUAAAACACAAAGACCAAAAAUAUAAUUUUUUUGAAAAGCCUAUUCAUAUAGGCAGAUAAUAGUCUUUCCUUUUUCUUGGUAAAAAAAAAAAACCAAGAAAUCCAAUUGGCAGGUGUGAGCUCACCCAAACCCAAAAAGCCCAUAACGAAACCGUCGGGUUAUCGUAUCACAUCACUGUCCUAAGAGCAAGUCCAUCGGGGCUUGCUUUGCCCAGCCCCCAGCACAAAAAAUAACCUGGCCCUCAGUCAAAUUGCUCCAGCCCACAAAGUUGCUUGGCACCCAGCCCAUGUGUCACAGCCCGUCCCGGAAUUUUAAUUCCGAGGACGUGAAAGUACUAAAUUAUCCCUAAACGGGAUUAAGGUGCGUAUUUGUACGAUAAUUGUUUUACCAAAAAUUCUACACUGUGUUAUUUUAUUUUGUAUUUGGACUUAGGUAGGGUCCUACCUCCCGAAUUCCUUCCCCAUUUCCCGUUUUGUGGUCUCCUUCUCUCUCUCUUCCUCAUCCCUCAGUCACUCUCACACUCCCUCAGAAACACUCUCUCUCUCUUACUCUCAUUCUCUCUCAAACUCUCGGACAAACACCAAGAUCAACCAUAAACGUGCACCAACGUCCAAUCUAAGAGCACUAUCGUGAUCUUGGGAACUUCACGAUCACGGAGGUAUAAGUUUUAGGUAAGUUCUAUUUCAAAAACCCUAGUUUUAAAACAUCCCGUGUAAUGGCACUAUUCACAAAACUUAAAUAUGGUUGUGUUUUAGGUUAAACAAAGAUCACCACGAGUCUUAGGAAGUUCCAAGGAGGCUCGGAGUGCCUCGUUUGAACAAAAUGGACGUCGGGAUCGUCGGGUUCGAGUUUGGCCGAAAUUGAAGAAUUUUGAAAGGUUUGAUCUUGUUGUUUUUAGGCCUUAAAACCCUUCCAACGUGAUUGUACAUGUUAAAUGCUUCAUUUUGGUAUAAAUUACGUGAAAAAUGGACGAAAAACGAAGGAGAAAAGUCGAUUUGAAAAUUUUCCAGAAACCGGCGACUCGCCGGAGAAGACAGAGAAUAUUCCGUCAAAACUGACGGAAUAUUCCAACGCCGUUACCGUUACCGUUGGAUACUUAACGGAAUAUUCCAGGAAUAUCCCUAACGCCGUUCACUGUACCGUCAGUGUGCCUGGCACGUGGCCGCGCGUGGGGGGCGCGUAGGUCCGUGCCACGUCAGGCGCGUGGGGGCGCGUGGGACCUCCAAAAAUUAUUUUAAAAAUUUGGGGAUGAUCCUGAGGUUGUGUAGGUCACGGUGGUAUAUUCAUAUACCCAAUUUGAGCAACAUAUGAAGAAUUUAUUACCUAGUUUGGUUUAGGUGCGUUAAAUGUGCGUUAAAUGAUUGUUUUAAGUUAUUUCACUUCUAGGUGGAACCUUUAACGAGGACGAGCACAUCCAGGGGCGUCAAGGGGGUUACGACCCGGCGACAUACCAGUGAGUGGGCAUUGCUUUCUAUAUAUAUACCUAUAUACUCGAUUUCCCCAGAAAUCAAAUUUAAAUGAAAAGUAUAGUGAAAUGAAAUGAAAUAUGAUUUGAUUGCCAUGCAUAGAAUGUUAUGGAUAUUAUGAACUGUCGUAUGAUGCAUAUAUGUAUGAUGGUGCUGUGGAAGCACAGGUAAGUAUUUAAUUAAUAUUAUGAUGAUGAUGAUGAUAUAUUGAGCUCAUAUCCUGCACCAUGGUUUAGUGCUUAUAGUAUUCACCGCAUCGCACGCUCGCCUUGGAUCCAAGUAGAUGUUGGUCGUACAGUCCACGCGGAGUGGGUACGACGGGCCAGUCGUAGAGUGUUAGUGAGAUUAUGACUGGUGGGUGACCUUAGGUUAUUGUAUACAGAUGAUUGAUGAGAGAAGCACUAGAGCGAAUAUUACCAUAAGUCGUUCAGAUUGCAUUAGGUGGUUCCGACUUAUGUGCAGAAGGCCGGACAGGUCACGCGGAGUGACUCCGGCAGAGUGAGAUUGAUAGAUGUUGAGCUCUAGGUUUAAUCGUUCAGGGCUAUUAGAGGGCCUCCGAUUGAUUAUUUGUUUUACCUGAUUAUUAUGUUAAUGCAUUCAUACUAAACUGUUGAAAUUGGCAUGGUACAUUCUUUAUUGAAUCUGUUAUAAGAUUGAUGAUCGAGACAGUGGAGACAUAUAUGCUAUAUACUAUUUUUCUGGGAAAGUAUACAGGUUUUCCAAAAAGGGGUUAUAAAUGUGGACUCAUGAAAUGUUUUAGAAAAGCUUUAUUUUCGCCCACUCACGUUUUCUGUUUUUCGCCCCUCCAGGUUCUAGUUGAUAGUUGAGGCGUUGAUGGCCUACGAGGACUGCUUCGGCGUUCUGACAGAAUAAAUAAAUGUAGGAUUUCACCCGAGGGUGUUGUAAAAUAACUAUGUUCCUACUUGACUGCACCUAGAUGCUUAUGCUCUGUUUAUGUGUGUUUAGUACACUCUUAUGCACAUAGAAUGCUAGGUUGUAAAUAACUGCAAUUAGUGGUUUUCGUUGACUCGUAUUUUAUUAUUAAAUCAUUUCCGCUUGCGUUAUGGUUACGUCACGCUCACGUGACGGCCAGCACGUCCUAGUCUUCGGGUUAGGGUGUGUCAGUUUGGUAUCAGAGCAUAGGUUGCAGUCCUGUAUAACUAAUGAGUUCUUUUAUUGAUUUUUGGAUGUUUUCUGUCAGAAUUAUGCCGCCUCGUAGAGAUCAUCGCCGUGCUGCUGAGCCUAAUUUCCCCGAUAUAACUCAGUUAGGGGCAGCAAUGGCUCAAGCUUUUCAGGCUAAUAUCCGUCCUCCUCAGAGAACACCCGUAGAGACGAUGUAUAAUCUGAAAUUGGAAACCUUUGAGGGAAAUGAAGGUUAUGAGGGGGCAGAAAAGUGGUUGGAUCGGAUUGAGCAGACCUUUCAAGUGAUGCAAAGUCAAGGAAACCUGCCAGCUAAUAGAUGGGUGGAGACCACCACCUGGUUUUUGGGCCGUGAGCCAGCGGCAUGGUGGAUAAAUCAGUCGAGGCACAUGGCACCUGAAAGGACAGCCGAAUGGAAGUAUUUAAGGAAAAUUUUAUGAAGAGAUUUGUUCCUCCGGAAUAUAUAGAUCGCAAGAAACAGGAAUUCACCAGUCUGAAGCAGAGAAAUAUGUCUGCACAUGAGUACUACAGGAAGUUUACUGAUUUAUCCCGUUAUGAUUCUGAUUUAGCGAGUAAUCAAUCAGAAAUGCUUCGUCGUUUCAAGCUAGGAUCUAAGAAGAGGUACAGAACGUUUGCCAAUGCACUUCCCUGUGCCGAUUAUCAUGAGUAUUUUGAGAUUCUGGUUCGGAUGGAAGACUCUGAUAAUCUUCUGGACAGUGAGGAUGAAGAGGAUAAGGGUAAUGGUCAGAAGAAAAAUGAGAAAGGUAAAGGUGUUUCCAUUCCAGGACCUCGUCAGAUGCAGAAUUUCAAGAAAAGUGGAAUGAGUUCGAGUUCUUCCAGUGGUGGAUUUAGUGCCACAGGUCCGAGGAGAUGAGGUGGUAGGUUUGGUAAUGGACCUAGAUUUUCUGGUCAGAGAGGCUUUGGUAGUACUGGUAGUUCGGGUCCUCCGUUAUGUCGCUGUUGUAAUUUCCGACAUCAUGGGGAAUGUAGGAGAAGCAGUGGUGCAUGCUUUACAUGUGGUCAGACAGGACAUAGAGCUAUGAAUUGUCCCCAGAAUCAGCAGAGACCCCAACAGCCUGUUAUGCCAACACCAGCACCGACUCAACAGAACUUUAAUUCAGGCAGUUAUGGCCAGAGUGGUUGUGGUGGUGCUUAUCACUAUCAGGGUGAUGCUGCUCCUUAUGCUCCGGGACAGUAUCAUUAUUCCCAGGAUCCUUAUUCUCAGAGUGGAUAUUCUCAGGAUCAGGGAGGUUAUACUUCAUAUCCGUCUAUGCCAGCUAGCGGAUCUCAGUGGUAUCAGGGGGGUCAGCCCCAACAGAGCGGAGUUGCUGCUAGUAGUGCAGGGUCGUUUAGGCCGCCUGCUCAGGCAGGUCAAGGACGUACUCAUCAGGGACGAGGUAACCAGAGUGGCAGAGGUCGUGGAGGACGACAGCCAGCUCAGGGACGUGUUAACCACAUCUCGCUGCAAGAUGCUCAGAACCAUCCAGACUUGAUUAUGGGUACGUUGAAUGUUCUUGGUCAUUUUGCUAGAGUUUUGAUUGAUUGUGGUGCUACACACUCUGUGAUUUCUCAUACAUUUGCUCAAAUGACGCAACCUCAUCCUUCACCUCUAGGGUUUGAUUUAGAGUUUGCUAUGCCUAGAGGGGAUAAAUGUUAUGUUGAUAGUUUUUACUCUGGGUGUCCAGUGAUGGUAGAUAAUGUAAUUAUGCCUGCUAAUCUUAUCCCGUUAGACAUCGUGGAUUUUGAUGUGAUUUUAGGGGCGGAUUGGUUGCAUUAUAAUCGCGCCCAUAUAGAUUGUUACGGGAAAUCAGUUACUUUUCUUCGUCCUGGACUACAUGAGGUUACUUUUGUGGGUGAAGGAAGUGGAGUGAGGCAUGGUGUUAUUUCAGCCAUAAGGGCAAAGAAGUUGUUAUCCAAGGGUUGUCAGGGAUACUUGGCACAUGUGGUGUUGAAUGAUGUUGAUUCCGGUAGUGUGGAGGAAGUCGGAGUAGUCAGACACUAUCCUGAUGUAUUUCCAGAUGAUUUGCCUGGAUUGCCUCCAGAUAGAGAUGUGGAAUUUUCGAUUGAAUUGCUUCCAGGUACGAACCCUAUCUCUUUAACUCCUUAUAGAAUGGCACCAGCGGAAUUAAGAGAGUUGAAAAUUCAAUUGCAAGAGUUGAUUGAUAAAGGUUUCAUUCAACCUAGUUCUUCACCUUGGGGAGCUCCGGUGUUGUUUGUAAGAAAGAAAGAUGGAACUUUGAGAUUGUGCAUUGACUACAGGCAAUUGAAUCGGGUGACGAUUAAAAACCGUUAUCCAUUGCCUCGUAUAGAUGAUUUGUUUGAUCAGCUCAAAGGUGCUUGUGUGUUUUCUAAGAUUGAUUUGAGAUCUGGGUAUUAUCAACUAAAGAUUAAAGAUGAGGAUGUUCAUAAAACAGCUUUCAGGACUCGUUAUGGGCAUUAUGAGUUUUUGGUGAUGCCAUUUGGAUUAACGAACGCUCCUGCAGCUUUCAUGAGAUUGAUGAAUGAAGUAUUCCAGGAAUAUUUAGACAUGUUUGUUAUUGUUUUUAUUGAUGACAUCCUGGUAUAUUCUAAGUCGAAAUCAGACCAUAUUCGACAUCUUAACUUGGUGUUAAGGAAAUUGAGGGAACACCGGUUAUAUGCCAAAUUUAGUAAAUGUCAAUUUUGGCUGGAUCAAGUGGCAUUUUUGGGACAUGUAGUAUCAGCUCAAGGAAUUCAAGUGGAUCCUCAAAAGAUAGCAGCAGUGGAAAGUUGGGAACAACCUCGAACGGUCACUGAGGUGCGGAGUUUUCUUGGUUGGGCAGGUUAUUAUAGACGGUUUGUUCAAGACUUCUCUAUAAUUGCCUUGCCAUUAACGAAGUUAACCAGGAAGGAUGUUAAGUUUGAAUGGGAUGAAAGUUGUGAGCAAAGUUUCCAGCAGUUGAAGUAUUGCCUUACUCAUGCACCUGUGUUAGUACUUCCUGAUGAUAAUGGUAACUUCGAGAUCUACAGUGAUGCUUCUUUGAAUGGUUUGGGUUGUGUUUUGAUGCAGCAUAGUAGAGUGAUUGCCUAUGCUUCUAGGCAGUUGAAGACUCAUGAAAGAAACUAUCCGACUCACGAUCUUGAGUUGGCAGCUAUUGUGUUUGCUUUGAAGAUUUGGAGACAUUAUCUCUAUGGCGAGAAAUGUAAGAUCUUUACAGAUCAUAAAAGACUUCAGUACCUUUUCACUCAGCAUGAUCUUAAUCUUCGUCAGAGAAGAUGGUUGGAAUUGUUAAGUGAUUAUGAAUGCACGAUUGAGUACCAUCCGGGUCGUGCAAAUGUGGUAGCUGAUGCUCUGAGUAGAAAACCUCAAGGGAGACUUAAUGCUUUGUAUGCCAGUCGUGUUCCUCUUCUGGCAGAGUUGAGAUCUACUGGAGUAGAGUUAGAAUUGGAAGAACAAAGUAAAGCUUUUCUUGCCAAUUUUCAAGUCAAGCCAGUCUUAAUUGAUCGGGUACUUACAGCUCAAUCGUUGGAUGAAGAAAUUCAAGAAUUGAUCAGUUUAAGAAAUGAAGGAAAGAAGAAAGAUCUCAGGAUCCGAGGAUCAGAUGGUAUGCUUAUGCAAGAGAACAGGAUGUAUGUACCUAAUAAUGAGGAACUGAAGAAAGAAAUCUUAGAUGAAGCACAUUGUUCGGCUUAUGCUAUGCACCCAGGAGGAACUAAAAUGUAUCAUACCAUUCGACCAUUCUACUAUUGGCCGGGUAUGAAGAGGGAGAUUGCGGAGUAUGUUAGUAGGUGUAUUGUCUGCCAGCAGGUUAAGGCUGAAAGAAAGAAGCCAUUUGGGAGAUUGCAACCACUUCCCGUUCCCCAGUGGAAAUGGGAGAAUAUAACGAUGGAUUUUGUGUAUAAGUUGCCGCGUACACAAAAUGGUUUUGAUGGCAUUUGGGUGGUUGUAGAUCGACUUACCAAAUCAGCACAUUUUAUUCCAGUAAGGGAGAAGUACUCUUUAAAUAAGUUGGCUCAGUUAUUCAUAUCGAAGGUUGUAAAGUAUCAUGGUGUCCCAGUGAAUAUUAUUUCUGAUCGAGAUCCAAGAUUUACUUCUAAGUUUUGGACAGCUUUUCAAGAAGCUUUGGGUACUAGAUUGCUUUACAGUACAGCUUAUCAUCCACAGACUGAUGGUCAGUCAGAGAGAACUAUUCAGACACUCGAGGAUAUGUUGAGAUCCUCUGUGAUGCAAUUUGGUGAUUCUUGGCAUGAUCGCUUGGAUUUGAUGGAGUUUGCCUAUAAUAAUAGUUUUCAUUCGAGUAUUGGAAUGUCUCCAUUUGAAGCACUUUAUGGUAAAGCUUGUCGUACGCCAUUAUGUUGGUCAGAGGUCGGUGAAAGAAUACUUGAGGGCCCAGAGAUUGUGGAUGAGACUACUCAGAAUGUUCAGGUAAUUAAAUCUAACCUGAAAGUGGCCCAGGAUAGACAAAAGAGCCUAGCGGAUAGACAUACCACAGAUAGAAUGUAUAAUGUGGGCGACUAUGUUUUUCUGAAAUUAUCACCUUGGAGAGGUGUGGUUCGCUUUGGGAAGAAAGGAAAGCUAAGUCCCAGGUACAUUGGACCUUAUGAGAUUACUGAGAGGAUUGGUGAAGUUGCUUACAGGUUGGAGCUACCUCCAGAGUUGUCUAAGGUACAUAAUGUGUUCCAUGUCUCGAUGCUUCGACAUUAUGUGUCAGAUCCUUCACAUGUGAUUCCUCCUCAACCAUUGGAAAUUAAUCCGGACUUGACGUACGAUGAGGAACCAGUGACUAUUCUGGAUUGGAAAGAUAAGACCUUGAGGAAUAAGACCGUGAGCUUGGUAAAAGUAUUGUGGAGGAACCAUUCAGCGGAAGAAGCUACUUGGGAGACAGAAGAAAGGAUGAGAGAUAUGUAUCCGAGACUAUUCUAUGAGUUUUGAUGUUAUGGUUGGUGACUGGAAUUUCGGGGACGAAAUUCUAUAAGGAGGGGAGAUUGUCACAGCCCGUCCCGGAAUUUUAAUUCCGAGGACGUGAAAGUACUAAAUUAUCCCUAAACGGGAUUAAGGUGCGUAUUUGUACGAUAAUUGUUUUACCAAAAAUUCUACACUGUGUUAUUUUAUUUUGUAUUUGGACUUAGGUAGGGUCCUACCUCCCGAAUUCCUUCCCCAUUUCCCGUUUUGUGGUCUCCUUCUCUCUCUCUUCCUCAUCCCUCAGUCACUCUCACACUCCCUCAGAAACACUCUCUCUCUCUUACUCUCAUUCUCUCUCAAACUCUCGGACAAACACCAAGAUCAACCAUAAACGUGCACCAACGUCCAAUCUAAGAGCACUAUCGUGAUCUUGGGAACUUCACGAUCACGGAGGUAUAAGUUUUAGGUAAGUUCUAUUUCAAAAACCCUAGUUUUAAAACAUCCCGUGUAAUGGCACUAUUCACAAACUUAAAUAUGGUUGUGUUUUAGGUUAAACAAAGAUCACCACGAGUCUUAGGAAGUUCCAAGGAGGCUCGGAGUGCCUCGUUUGAACAAAAUGGACGUCGGGAUCGUCGGGUUCGAGUUUGGCCGAAAUUGAAGAAUUUUGAAAGGUUUGAUCUUGUUGUUUUUAGGCCUUAAAACCCUUCCAACGUGAUUGUACAUGUUAAAUGCUUCAUUUUGGUAUAAAUUACGUGAAAAAUGGACGAAAAACGAAGGAGAAAAGUCGAUUUGAAAAUUUUCCAGAAACCGGCGACUCGCCGGAGAAGACAGAGAAUAUUCCGUCAAAACUGACGGAAUAUUCCAACGCCGUUACCGUUACCGUUGGAUACUUAACGGAAUAUUCCAGGAAUAUCCCUAACGCCGUUCACUGUACCGUCAGUGUGCCUGGCACGUGGCCGCGCGUGGGGGGCGCAUAGGUCCGUGCCACGUCAGGCGCGUGGGGGCGCGUGGGACCUCCAAAAAUUAUUUUAAAAAUUUGGGGAUGAUCCUGAGGUUGUGUAGGUCACGGUGGUAUAUUCAUAUAUACCCAAUUUGAGCAACAUAUGAAGAAUUUAUUACCUAGUUUGGUUUAGGUGCGUUAAAUGUGCGUUAAAUGAUUGUUUUAAGUUAUUUCACUUCUAGGUGGAACCUUUAACGAGGACGAGCACAUCCAGGGGCGUCAAGGGGGUUACGACCCGGCGACAUACCAGUGAGUGGGCAUUGCUUUCUAUAUAUAUACUUAUAUACUCGAUUUCCCCAGAAAUCAAAUUUAAAUGAAAAGUAUAGUGAAAUGAAAUGAAAUAUGAUUUGAUUGCCAUGCAUAGAAUGUUAUGGAUAUUAUGAACUGUCGUAUGAUGCAUAUAUGUAUGAUGGUGCUGUGGAAGCACAGGUAAGUAUUUAAUUAAUAUUAUGAUGAUGAUGAUGAUAUAUUGAGCUCAUAUCCUGCACCAUGGUUUAGUGCUUAUAGUAUUCACCGCAUCGCACGCUCGCCUUGGAUCCAAGUAGAUGCUGGUCGUACAGUCCACGCGGAGUGGGUACGACGGGCCAGUCGUAGAGUGUUAGUGAGAUUAUGACUGGUGGGUGACCUUAGGUUAUUGUAUACAGAUGAUUGAUGAGAGAAGCACUAGAGCGAAUAUUACCAUGAGUCGUUCAGACUGCAUUAGGUGGUUCCGACUUAUGUGCAGAAGGCCGGACAGGUCACGCGGAGUGACUCCGGCAGAGUGAGAUUGAUAGAUGUUGAGCUCUAGGUUCAAUCGUUCAGGGCUAUUAGAGGGCCUCCGAUUGAUUAUUUGUUUUACCUGAUUAUAUUAUGUUAAUGCAUUCAUACUAAACUGUUGAAAUUGGCAUGGUACAUUCUUUAUUGAAUCUGUUAUAAGAUUGAUGAUCGAGACAGUUGAGAUAUAUAUGCUAUAUACUAUUUUUCUGGGAAAGUAUACAGGUUUCCAAAAAGGGGUUAUAAAUGUGGAUUCAUGAAAUGUUUUAGAAAAGCUUUAUUUUCGCCCACUCACGUUUUCUGUUUUUCGCCCCUCCAGGUUCUAGUUGAUAGUUGAGGCGUUGAUGGCCUACGAGGACUGCUUCGGCGUUCUGACAAAAUAAAUAAAUGUAGGAUUUCACCCGAGGGUGUUGUAAAAUAGCUUUGUUCCUACUUGACUGCACCUAGAUGCUUAUGCUCUGUUUAUGUGUGUUUAGUACACUCUUAUGCACAUAGAAUGCUAGGUUGUAAAUAACUGCAAUUAGUGGUUUUCGUUGACUCGUAUUUUAUUAUUAAAUCGUUUCUGCUUGCGUUAUGGUUACGUCACGCUCACGUGACGGCCAGCACGUCCUAGUCUUCGGGUUAGGGUGUGUCACCAUGCCAGGCAACAGACCAGCCCAAUUUUGACUGACCCAAGAGCCGCCCUAUUUGGCUAGCGCGUGUACAACACUCGCGCCCAGGGCGAGUAGCCGACAAGAAUGCAGAGGGCUGUCAGCCCACUUGUGCGCCAGAUUCCAUGAGUGACGCGGCACGCUCAUAGCCAUUGGAUUUCCAACAGCUAGUUUUUCUAGACCGUUAGAUUUCCAACGGUAAAAAAAAUUUAAAUUUUACUUUUAAAAUAGACCGUCCGAUCACAGAUCAACGGUCCACGUUAAUUAACUAAAUUAAAAUUUAUCAAAAAAUACAGAAAAAUAUUAAAAAAAUACAGAAAAUUAAAAAAAAAAUUCUAUAAAUACCUAACUCUUAUCUUCUACCUUACACCACAUUUCAAUAUUUUCUACACUUUCUACCGAAGCUUUCAUAUACUUUUUGUGUGAAAAAAAAUACCAAAAAGCUUGUGGUUGAAGAAUAAAGUGUAUUUGAUGAGUUUAUGUAAUUUCAUUUUAGUGUGUUUUUUAUAGUUUAUUUGAUGAGUUUAUGUAAUUUAUUUUAGUGUGUUUUUUUUAAGUUUAUUUGAUGAGUAUGUAAUUUUAUUUUAGUGUGUAUUUUUUUUAAGUUUAUUUGAAAUUUUAUCUGAAAUUGGUUAAAAAUCUUAUCCGAAAUAAACUUAAAAAAAAAACACACAAAAUAAAUGCGCUAGGUGCCAGCGCAUUUUUUUAGGGAUGGAGAUGCAUUGGCCUAUUACUGUUCACUCCAGUCUAUUACUGUUCACUUAAGUGGAUAAAUGCGCUGGGUGCUGGUGCAAAGUCCUUAGGGGUGGAUUUGCUCUAAUAGGAAUGCUUUCACUCCUCCCUUUCUCUCUCCUCACUUUCUCUCUCUAAAUACAAAUUUCUAUACAUGGAGUACAAAAGGAGACGACUUGUGUUAAGCGACGUGUCUUAAAGUGUCGUGCAUGCAUUUUAUGCAUCUGUUGCUUUGCAUGCACACACUCUCUCUCUCUCCCUCCCUCCCCCUCUCUCUCUCUCUAAAUGCACGUUUUUUCUCCUGGUCUUACCCAGACAGACCCCAAAAACCCCACUCCCCACUAAUUACGUUUGUGAACGGUAAAACCCGGCUGACUAAGUUUUGACUCGUUUCUUCUUCAUCAGCUCAUUGUAUCGAGCUCGCCACCGCAGCCUCCGCCGUGGCUGGUUGGUUUCCAGAGUGGGUUUCAACUCUGUUCUUGAAUGACUAGUCGUUUUCGAGAUUUGGGUUUCGAUUUGGGUAAAACAAGGUUUGUUCUUUGCUAAUUUUUUAAUUACGUAUUUGUUUAAUAAUUGCCCAAAUCUCAAAUGUUGUGUAUGUUGUGUUUAAUGCUGGGGUUUUUGUUUAAAUUUCUAGCUUUUGAUAAAAAGAGCUUUAGGAAUUUGGGUUUGAUUACUCUGUUUUGUUUGAUUUAAGGGUUUGGAGAGCUUGAUUUUGGGGCGAUGGAGUCCAAGAUUUGCAUGAAUCCUUCGUGUAGGAUGGCCAAUACGCACGAAUGGAAGAUGUUGUGCCUUGGCCCGUUUAUCAGUGCCGAAACGAGAUUCAUAUUACAACCUAACCAAACCUCACUCAGUUGAACAUAAUAAAAUACAAGAAAUAAAGACACCAAGAAAUUUACGAGGUUCGGCAAAAAUCCUGCCUACGUCCCCGAAGAGAUAUUGCUCUUCACUAUGAGAAUAACAGUACAAGUACACAUAAGUUAAAUCAAAAUAACCCAAUCCCAAAUCCCUUGCACACCCACUUAUAGAAUUUUCCCAAGAGCCUCACUCUACCCCAACAGUUCUUUCACUAGAAUACUUUUCACUCUAACUCUCUUGAUUUUCUCUCACCCGUGCCCAUGCUUUCCCAUGGGAGAGCCGAAUGCUCUCACCACCUUGGGUGCUUCUCGCUACCUCUCUCCUCUUCGAUUCUUAGCAAAUAAAUAGCAAAAGAAAAAAGAAUAAACUUUCCCUUUUUCCACAAACAUCCUCAUUAAAGUAAAAGCAAGCAUCAUCAUUAUGUCUUUACUCAUGAUGAUGUCCACCAAACUUUUGCUUUUACUUUGUCUGCAACUUUCAUGCAACCCACACCAUGUGAUUUCCACCGAAAGCAAACACAGGUCACUUCAUUAUUGUUAACACAUGACUCAUAAUUACUCACAAAUGUAUGAGCCAAACACAACAAUCUCCACCUUGGCGAAUACACCAUGCAAAAAUCCUUGCACCCAUCACCAAAGUCCAUUGGCCUUACGUACCAGCAUGCACACUCUGAAUCCACCUCAUUGGUCCUGUUCCGAUUCAGUCACUGCCAAUGCAUGUGCAGCUGCUGCAAGCUAAAAAUCACAAUUUAGCUUCAGACAGGAUCUCGACACAUCCUCGUCUCCUCCAACAGGUUUUCCUCCUCUUCAUUGUCUGCAACCUGGAAACUCGUCAGCGCACCCGUUUCCAGCAACAACCCAUCGAGCCAGACAAAAUUCCCACACUUCCUCCUACCUCAAGACCAUUUGAUCACCUGUGAAUCCUAUAGCUCCACCUGCUGCAAAACCCCUGCAACACUUGAGACUAAACAUCACUAGGAGAAGUGUUGCUUCGAGUACCUAGAGGACAUACUCAAAGUCUUCCGCCACAAACUUGCUACAACCCGGCCUUGCACUCGUAACCGGAUCUGAACCGGUUGUCUCUCUCAGAUCCUCUUUCCAAUUUUCUUUCACGAUUCCAACCUUGAACAACUAAAGCAGUCUUGUGCCCACCAUCAUUCAUGGUCAUCUUCUUUUGUGUAUCAUUCCACACCAAAGAAGCUUGCACCUGCUCCAAACUUACUGUAUCUUUCCAUGCAGUCAAGUUUCACAAGGUUCUCGUACGAAUCUGAAAGUGAGGUAAGAAGAAAGAGGCCUUUGUCUUCUUCCUCAACAUCAACUUUCGCAGUUGAUCUAAGCAUCUCUGAACAUAGCUUCAAUUUCUUCAGGCUUCCAUUACUCUCCUUUACCAAGAGUAAAACCGUCUCUCCCAUUAAAUUGCUCAACUGAAAAAUUCAUGGUGAACAACAAAUCUAAACCUCCAACGAACCAAAGCCUCCAACAAUGCUCUGAUACCAAUUGUUGUGCCUUGGCCCGUUUAUCAGUGCGGAAACGAGAUUCAUAUUACAACCUCACCAAAUCACACUCAGUUGAACAUAAUAAAAUACAAGAAAUAAAGACACCGAGAAAUUUACGAGGUUCGGCAAAAAUCCUGCCUACGUCCCCGGAGAGAUAUUGUUCUUCACUAUGAGAAUAACAGUAAGUACACAUGAGUUAAAUCAACAUAACCCAAUCCCAAAUCCCUUGCACACCCACUCAUAGAAUUUUCCCAAGAGCCUCACUCUACCCCAAGAGUUCUUUCACUAGAAUACUUUUCACUCUAGCUCUCUUGAUUUUCUCUCACCCGUGCCCAUGCUUUCCCAUGGGAGAGCUGAAUGCUCUCACCACCUUGGGUGCUUCUCGCUACCUCUCUCCUCUUCGAUUCUUAGCAAAUAAAUAGCAAAAGAAAAAAUAAUCAACUUUCCAUUUUUCCACAAACAUCAUCAUUAAAGUAAAAGCAAACAUCAUCAUUAUGUCUUUACUCAUGAUGAUGUCCACCAAACUUUUGCUUUUACUUUAUCUGCAACUUUCAUGCAACACACACCAUGUGAUUUCCACCGAAAGCAAACACAGGUCACUUCAUUAUUGUUAACACAUGACUCAUAAUUACUCACAAAUGUAUGAGCCAAACACAACAGAAUAAAGGUUGGCCUUUGCGUACCGGUGGAUUUGCCCAUCUCUGCUACAAGUGCGGGUAAAUUUUUUCCCUCUUUUUAAUUUUUGCUUACCAAAGUUUGGAUCUUUCAGCUGUUCAGUUGUUGGUACGGUGUUGGGGGGGGGGGGGGGGCAUUAGUGGUUCUUGGCGUGGGAUUUUAUGUGUAUUGUGGGUUAGGACUAGUUGCAUUGUUCACGAACUGCUUCUAUUUUUAUCGUCGGCCAUGAAGGAAUGAGCGGAAUUGUCGAUGAUCAACAUAUAAUCGGGUUAUAAUUAAAAUCCUUAAUAGAAAUACUAUAAAGCUCGUAGCUUUUAAUUGAUUUGAUGUAAAGGAGAAAUUGCAAGAAAAAGAAAAUUGUCUACUUUUUUAUUGCCUUAGAGUAUCUUUGAUAGUGUGCUGAGUUUUUGCUAUCCUUGUGGUCCGGCUAAUUUAUGUAUUUUUUUUGUACCCAGUGCACAAGGCUUCUGCUUUACACGGAGUCUAGGAAAGGUGGAGGUAAAUAAAUUGUGAAAUUAUUUAUUCCCAAGUAAUUGGAGCCGAAAUUAUAUCAGCUAACCUUUGUAGAACCUAACUUUAGCCAUAUUCAUCUUAAUGUGGGAGUGCUUAUGUUUUCCUAUAAGUUGCUGUUGUUUCAGAUGUUACAAUAUUUUGCCUUUUUUAGUACUUGCAAUUGUAUUUUAUUGUUUUUACACGGAUUGAAAGUUUAACGGGAACGGAUGACUUCACUCUCUUUUGAACUGGAUAUUAGUCUUUCAGAAGCUACUUGAUAUCAGAUGUUAGUAUCGUGGAAAGAAUUAUCCUCUUUUGAUUUGUUUGUUUGCUCCCACAUUAAUAUCUGAGACUUUAUGUUGUAAACAUGCCAUAUCAUUAGGGUUGGCUUUUUUUUUGUAUACUCGUAAAUACUUACAUAUUUCCCCUGUUGGUUUAAAUAUAUUUCCGUUGCUGGUCAUGGCAUUGCGUGUACUCCAGAGUUGAGUAUGAGAAUUCAGUUUACUGCAAUACAUUCCAUUCUGGGGAAACUGGUUGGAGGGACUGCAAUUUGUGCCACAAGGUUAGCUUGCAGUUUGGUCAUGUAAAAAAAUAGUAUUCAAGCUCUCUUCACACCACUCCGUUACUCUCUCUGACUUUACUUUAGAAAAUUAUUCAAUUUUGUGCAGCCUCUCCACUGUGGAUGCAUAGUCUCAAAGACAUUGUAUGAGUACCUGGAUUUUGGAGGUAUAGGGUGCAUUGGCUGUGCUUCUCAACCUCACAUGGUAUGAACAACUUCGGUUUUUGGUUAUAAUAUACCCCUUAUAAGUCACUAUCUUUAUCUCCACCGUAUCAUUUGUUUGCAUUAAACUCUCCCAUCUGCUUCCAUGGUUGAUAGUUAACUUCAUCCUUUAGAACAUAGAUUAUAUAUACACAUAUAUGUAUCUUAUUUCGUACUUACAUAUAUUCAUAACAUUGAUUCAUCUGUUUUCACUUGCUCAACGGCAAACCUAUUCAAGUAGAUGGAAAAAUAUUAUGGUUGACAUACUGUGAAAUGCUCACAGGUUCCCAAUAGUAUUUUUAGAUAUCCUCUAUCAGUAAUCAUUGUAUAUGUAAGCAAUUGGUCUUUAUCUGUCACAAUGUAUCCGUCUGCAUCUCUCACUCUUGCUCACAUACACACAAAGAUGACCUAUAGGAAUUUCACGGAUUCUUAUUUUCUUAUGUGCAGAUACAGGACGGUGAUGUUUUAAAUGGGUUUGUUGGAUUGAAAAUAAGUGAUUCCGGUGAUCAGCAAUCAACUGUUCCUCAGAAUGGAGCAUUAAGUGAUACUGCUAAUGAGGGAAAACUUUUGCAAUUGUGCCAAGUCAUGGAGGCUAAUGAAUCCAACCUUUCGUCUCAAUCUCAGAGAGGUGAAAUAAAUGUAUCUCCUGUGCAAACCAAACGAGAAGAAGUUACUUAUCCAAGGGGGGAAGUUGGCCCAGGAUUUUCAAGUAUCACCACCAGGCCAUCUUUUGGAUCAUUAACAUUUGCCAAACCAGACAAUGGUAGAAUAAUGAUAGAGGUCAAAGAUAUGAAUAAGACAUCCUCUGAGCCGUGUUUGAGUAUGACUUUGGGAGGCCCAUCUGCAACUCCCAACUUUGCUCAACCCUUUACUGGGGGAAUUUUGGAGAGAAGAGAUCAGAGCAAGAUGUCUCUUCCUUCCAACAGGGGCAAAAAAUUCGGCCUAUUUUUCCCACACCCUUGAGACCUCCCCCUCCUGUUCAUCAUGUGCGUGUUGCAAGGCCACCUGCUGAAGGGCGAGGGAAGAGUCAGUUACUUCCUCGAUACUGGCCAAGGAUUACUGACCAAGAGCUGCAGAAAUUAGCUGGAGAGUAUCCUUAAUCGCUUUUAUAUUUCUAUUUGGUGCUGAACACUUCUUACUUAAUAUAUAUAUAUGCUUUUGAUUAUCUGUCAAUAUGAAUGUAGUAUUUUCCUUAAAUGCUUUUCAGUUUGAAUUCUACUAUUGUGCCAUUGUUCGAGAAGGUACUGAGUGCCAGCGAUGCAGGUCGAAUUGGUCGUCUGGUUCUCCCAAAAGCAUGUGCUGAGGUAAAAAUUAACAAGUUAAUUUCUUUGAAGGCAUUUUAUGAAUUCAAGAUUAUGUUAUUUAUUAGUUUUGGGAAGUUUAGGUGGGGUUAAUUUUUUUUUUUCGUUUCCUUUCCUUACAAUUUCCCCAUGUUUGUGUAUGUGUUCUUUCCCUGUAGAAUUUUUUAUGUGUAUUUCAUGAAGAAACAAUUACAAAUGAAACAUAUAUAUAGGAAAAGAAAGUAGACAUAAGCCUAACUUGCCUAACUUGCCUAAUUUCCUAACUUGCCUAACUUGCCUAAUUUACACAAAGAAUGUUGACUAGCCUAACUUCACUAGUCAUCCAACAUGUUUAUUUCAUGCAUGCAUUUUACACAAAGAAUGACUUGCAUGCAUUCUUCCAACACUCCCCCUCAAGCUGGAUCGAGGGGAUUCACUGAGCCAAGCUUGCCCAAUAACCGAUGAAACUGAGAUGAUGCUAGUGCCUUUGUAAAAAGAUCUGCUAGUUGAUCAUGGCUUCGUGUGAAUAUGGUCCAGAUGAUUUGCGUUUGAACUUGAGCUCUGAUGAAAUGACAAUCCACUUCAAUAUGUUUGGUUCUUUCAUGGAACACAGGAUUGGCAGCAAUGUGCAUGGCUGCCUGAUUAUCACACAUAAGCGUCAUAGGAGUAGAACUAGGAAACCCUAAGUCUGAAAGAAGCCCUUUAAGCCAAAUGAGUUCACACGCAGUGGCUGCCAUGGCUCGAUACUCAGCCUCUGCACUGGAACGAGCAAUUACCUAUUGCUUCUUACUCUUCCAUGUGACAAGGUUUCCACCAACAAAUGUACAAUAGCCUGUGAUUGAUUUCCUAUCAAUUGCAUUACCUGCCCAGUCUGCAUCUGUGUAGCCACUAAUGACAGUGGACUGAUUGUUAUGCAUUGUAAUUCCUUGCCCAAUUGAACCCUUAAGAUAACGAAGGAUUCUCUUAACAAGGUUAAGGUGAUCAACAGUGGGAGAGUGCAUGAACUGACUAGCGAAGCUCACUACAUAUGUGAUAUCUGGACGAGUGAUAGUGAGGUAUAUGAGCUUGCCUACUAAUCGUUGAUAGUAGCUUACAUCAUGCAUGGCUUCUCCAUCUAUGCUGAGCUUCAGUUUACAAUCAACGGGAGUGAUAGCAGGCUUGCAGUCAAGCAAUUUUGCUUCUUGAAGGAGGUCCAAUACAUAUUUCCGUUGAUGUAGAAACAGUCAUUUUGAAGAUGUUGCCAUUUCGAUCCCCAAAAAAUACUUUAACCUCCCCAAAUCUUUGAUAGCGAAAGCUUGAUGUAGUGAGAGUUUUAGUGCCUCAAUCUCCACGGUAUUAUCUCCGGUGAUGAUAAGAUCAUCAACAUAGACGAGGACCACCAACUUCCCCCUGGUGCCAGUUCUUACAAAUAACGAAGAAUCAGCAUUACUUCGCAUGAAUCCAGCCUUUUCCAGAACAGAACUGAGCUUGGCAUACCAAGCUCUUGGUGAUUGUUUCAAUCCGUAUAUUGCCUUGUGCAAUUUACAAACCAUGUUGCCUUUAAUACCAUCAUAGCCUGGAGGAGGUUGCAUAUACACUUCUUCCUGCAGCUCGCCGUGAAGGAAAGCAUUCUUCACGUCCAUUUGGUAGAGUGACCAUCCACAAUUGAUUGCAACUGACAGUAAAACCCUGACUGAGUUCAUCUUGGCCACCGGUGCGAAUGUUUCCUUAUAAUCUACACCAAAGGUUUGGGUGAAACCUCGAGCAACAAGUCUAGCCUUAUGUCUCUCGAUAGAUCCAUCAGCUUUGAAUUUAGUCUUGUAAAUCCAACGACUUCCAACAGCCUUUUUUCCUGGUGGUAGUUGAACUAGGCUCCAGGUGCAAUUCUCUUCCAGUGCACGAAUCUCUUCUUUCAUGGCUUGGUUCCAUUGUGGGAGAAGAGAAGCUUCUUGAAAGCUUCUUGGUUUAUAGUGCUUAUCAAUUUCACUGAGAAAUGCAGCAUGAGAUGUUGAGAACUUACUAAAGCUGAUACAUUCAUUGAUUGGAUGUCGUGAGGCAUAUGUAACAUAGUCCUGCAACCUAGCUGGAGGUUUUCUGAUUCGAGGAGGAUUUCUUUUAAUCACCUGAGACUCUGUAGAGGGCGGAGAAGGAUCAGAGUAGGGCUCGUCUUCACUCUCACUGGCAGUAAUUUGGUCAGUUUGAACUUCUUCACAAUCUGGACUUACAAUGACUGAUCUCUUUUCCAACAUCGGAUAAUUAAAGUUUUGAGGGAGUGAGAACAUGUCAACUAAAUCCUCCCCCUGACUUGUAAAAUAGGGAUAGUCUUCUUCGAACUUCACAUCUCUUGAAACUGUGCACUUCUUAGUGACUGGAUUGAAGCACUUGUAUCCCUUUUGAGUGGUCGAGUAUCCCAUAAACACACACUUGGUUGCCCUGGCAUCUAGUUUGUCACGGUUCAAGGUUUGGAUGUGAACAAAACACACACAACCAAACACCUUGAGAUGUGUCAAAUCUAUUUUCCUCCCCUUGAGAACUUCAUAGGGAGAUUUAAACCCUAGCACACGACUUGGAAGUCGAUUGAUGAGAUAAGUGGCAGUAAGGAUGGCAAACGACCAAAAUUUCUUUGGAACGUGCAUGUGAAUCAUGAGAGCACGAGUUUUUUCCAAGAGAUCUCUGUUUUUCCUCUUGGCUACUCCAUUUUGUUGGGGAGUCCCCACAUAGCUGGUUUGAUGUAUGAUACCCUGAGAACUUAUGUAUUGAAGCAUGUUGUUGGAUAGAAAUUCAGUGCCAUUAUCUGACCUUAAAACCUUAAUGUUUGAUUGAAAUUGCGUUUUAACAUGCAUGUGAAAGUCUUUGAAAAUGGUAGGGACUUCACUUUUUGAUUUCAUAAGAUAUAGAAAACUUGUUCGAGAGAAAUCAUCAACAAAUAGAACAAAAUAUUUAAAAUCUUCCAUUGAUUCAGUUGCAGGUCCCCAUACAUCGGUGUGUACCAUUUCAAAAGGUUUACUUGUCCUAGACAUUGAAUUACCAAAAGGUAGCCUAGUAAACUUAGAAAAUUGACAAGUAUCACAAGUAGGAUAGAGGUUACAAAAAUUUGGAAACAGUUUCGACAAGACAAGUUCAGAGGGGUGAGCUAAUCUCCUAUGCCAAAGUUGGUUUUCAUCUAUGGACUUCGAUUGAGCUUGAAGAGCCUGAGUGAAACAUGCAUUCUUGCACAGGUAGUAAAGUCCAUUUAUGAAGACCCCUUCACCAAUCAUCUUCAUGGUGAGAACAUCCUGAAACAUUACUUUAUUUGGUGAGAAAAUAGCACGGCAGUUUAGGGUGUUGGUGAUCUUUCCAAUUGAAAAAAGUUGGAAGGGAAAGGUUGGUACAUAGAGGGCAGUGGAAGGUGUUUUUUGAGAGAGUAAGUUUAUUUCUCCUUUUCCCAAAACUAAGACAUUUUUUCCAUUUGCAACAGACACAUGUGAGGGGCUUGAAAUUUUUUUAAAAUGAUGUAAAUUUGUAAUUUUGUUUGUCAUAUGAUAUGUGGCGCCUGAAUCAAUUAUCCAACAAUCAAUUUCAGUACUAGUUAAUAGGGCAGUAGUAAAGGCUUUGAGUAUACCUGAUGCUUCUCCCUUUGGAACUUUCUCAUUUCCAGCAAGAAAUCCGGCAAAUUGUCCCAACAUAGCUGUGUGACUACCCUCUUCAUUGCAAUGGUGUUGGUCAUGAGGAAGACAAGUGUUGGGAACUUCAUCCUGAACUCAAGCCUAAGUUCAGCAAAGAUGGAAGGAUGAUACCAAGGUCCUCACAACAAUUUCAACCUCAUUUCAAGGCACAACUUGCUAAUGCUCACGCUCCUACUAUCUCACAAGGAUCCAUGGAGUUCACUGCCAAUCCAUUGUCAUUGACCAAUGAAUUUGCAAUAUUUGCAUUUUAGAUGUGUGUUUCUUCCUUUGUAUACCUUGGCUUCUGAGUUCUUGUACUUUGAUGCAUAUGCCCGAGUCUCCGUUAAUCUAGGAUUGUGAUCAACAUUCAUAACCUUCUUCCUUGCUUCUUCUCGUUGGAUAGUUGCACAAACAUUGUUGAAGGUAGGCAGGUCUUGACUCAUCAAGAUGUGACUCCUUAGGUCCUCGUACUCAGAGCUCAAACUCCCUAACAGCUGAUAAAUUUUGUCUUCCUCAGCUCGUUUUAGGAGAAUGGUAGGAUCUGUGGUAUGAGGGAGAUAUACAUCCAACUCAUUCCACAUGGCUUUGAGGCUCCCAAGGUGUUGAACAAAUGCUUUCCCUUCUUGUUGAGCACUGGCAAUGUCCUUCUUUAAUUGGAAGACCCGUGCAUAGUUGUUUUGAUUUCCAUACAUAUCCUGCAAAGCUUUCCAAAGAUCAUGUGCGGAAUUGGAGUAGCUAAAAAUUUCAGCAACAUGUUUCUCCAUGGUGUUGAGCAGCAAGGACAUGACAAGUUGAUCUUUGCAGAGCCAUGCAUUGUAUGUAGAGGAAGAACUGUCUGGAGCUUCCACGCUUCCAUUUACAAACCCUAACUUCCCUUUGCCUCCGAGAGCUAGUGAAACAGCUCGGGACCAAGGAAGAUAAUUGAACUCGUUCAAGAGAACUGAACACAAACGUUGAUUGGUGUUAACCUCAACGUCUGAGAAGUUUGGAGAGAGAUUGUGCCGGGUUUCCUCAUCAUGGUUCACAAAACUUUCUUCAGUCAUGACUUAGACUUUGAAAGAAAGAAAAAAUUGCAGCAGCAAGAAUGGCAGAGACAGGUUAUAAAUGAACCUGCUCUGAUACCAUGUAGAAUUUUUGAUGUGUAUUUCAUGAAGAAACAAUUACAAAUGAAACAUAUAUAUAGGAAAAGAAAGUAGACAUAAGCCUAACUUGCCUAACUUGCCUAAUUUACACAAAGAAUGUUGACUAGCCUAACUUCACUAGUCAUCCAACAUGUUUAUUUCAUGCAUGCAUUUUACACAAAGAAUGACUUGCAUGCAUUCUUCCAACAUUCCCCUUUGCCACAUUUGUAUGAACUGGAAGUGAAUGCAGGCAUACUUUCCUCCUAUUUCUCAAUCAGAAGGCCUUCCUAUAAGGAUUCAAGAUGUCAAGGAUAAUGAAUGGACGUUUCAGUUCAGAUUUUGGCCAAAUAAUAAUAGCAGGAUGUAUGUUUUAGAAGGAGUAACGCCUUGCAUACAGUCUAUGCAGCUUGAAGCUGGUGAUACUGGUAUGCUUAACUAUAUUCUGGCUUAGAGGAUUAAGAUAAAAAGUCCACAUAUUUUCAUCUUUCCAGUUAUUUCAUUAGCUUUCUCAUUCCUUUCACCAUAGAAAAAGACCUCCCAGCUGAAGUCUAGAUUUGGAUGUGAUUCUUUUUGCAGUGACAUUCAGUCGGAUAGAUCCCGGAGGCAGACUUGUAAUUGGGUUUCGUAAGGCAUCAAGAUGUUUAGAUGUGCAGGUCAAGUGUCAUAAUUUCAUAUUUCUUGAAAUUCUUCAGCCUCUUACUUUCAUACUGUGUUUUUGUUCUUUUGUUCUGAUGGAAUCCGACAUUUCUAUGCAAAUGUUAAAUAAUUAGGAAUCCCAAUCAUCUUUCCUUCCCAAUGGAACUCCUGGGGAAACUUCCUGUCCUAGCGUUGUUGAGAAUCUGGUAACAGGAAGUGGUCACUCUAGUAUUUAUCAAACGAGUACAGGAAGCAAAGACCCUUACCUAAAUGCUCUAUCAGGACAUUUGCAUUUGGCUGAUGGGGAUACGAGUUUGCAUAAUAAUGAGAACCAUAGUCACUUUACAAGUGAGGAUGUACUUCUGAGAUUCAAUCCGUUAAAAGUUACAAACUCCAUUGCGUUCUUUGGUGAGUUGACUGAUCAAUGUUGUUCAUUUCUUCCAGGAGCCCCCAGUUUUUGGGAAGAGAUCUCUAUUCAUUGCCGAAUCUGAGUCAGUACUUCUGAGAUAUAAUGUGUUAUGUUACUUUUAUCAUAUCAAGAAAGAGGGCUGUAUUUAAUUUAUACCUAGCCACCUGAAAGAGCUUCUUCAAGUUUCUUGAGAAAAAAAACCACUAUUAAAAUGUAGUGAUCGAACCUAUUUUGCACAUGAGCAUGCGCCUGAUAAGUAGGCCCUCUACUGUAAACUGAGGACUAACUUUAUCCUUGCAUUGUGAAAUCUGGAACUUAUAUCCAGGAGACAGGAACAAUGGGCUCGGAUUGACGAUUGCUCCAAGUGGCGGAGGUUGCCUGUCGACGUUCUUCUUCCUCCAAAGUGGACGUGCUCUGAAAAUUCUUGGGAUGUAAACAGGUGCAACUUAAAUCUUUAAUCUUUGUCCAUGAGAAUAUAAGAUCACUAAGAUGCAAGAUUGAUGUGUUUAUUUUUAUCUUUGCAGGUGCUCAUGUUCUGCACCAGAGGAGGUGAGCCAAAAGGAAUUGGAUAAUCUAAGACCAAGCAAAGGUAUAAUUUGAACCUUUGUGUCCCUUCUCUUUUAUAUAAUACAUUUAUCAAACACGCAUGCAUGUAUCGUUCCCAACCACAUCCGUCAAAUUAGGCAUUGAUAAAUUUUUGUUGUUCUGUUUUUCACUCAGAUUAAAAGAAGCGAAGAAUCAUAGUGAACCAUAAUGAAGCCCAGGAACACGAACCUUCUGGCUUGGAUGCCCUGGCUAGUGCUAGUGCCACCAUUCUGGGAGAUAGUGUGGAUUACGCUGAUGAACAAUCAGUUGGACCCACAACCAGACCUCCCUGUCAUCGCCCAGGUUGCACUUGCAUAGAAUGUAUUCAACCCCCAAGCGGGAAGGGCAAGCACAAGUCAACAUGUACAUGCAACGUGUGCAUGACAGUAAAACGGCGCUUCAAAACCCUGAUGAUGAACAAGAGGAAACGCAAAUCAGAACGUGAAAUGGAGAAUGCCCACAGGGAUAAUAAUGACCACAAGGACGAAUCAGAAAUGAAUGGCAUGUCAACAGAGAUUGAGUUGCAUAUGAAUCACUCAUCGGAGAAUGGAAGCAGCUGCGAGAAGAGAAUUCAAGCUGACGUGGCAGAAAGUUCAUGCGCUGGACAAAUUGAUCUGAAUUGUGAGCCCAAACACAAUUAUGUGCAGGUUUCAGGAUUGACCUUGUUGAGACUUGCUGACGCUGUUGCUCAACAACCAGUAACGAACAGCACGAAGGAAAGUGGCCUAACAAACAGAAUGUGCGAGCCACAGAGUCUUGGUUCUUCUUUACAUUCACAAGAUACUGUGGAGACUGAUAAACUCUUGUGUAAUGAAGGCAGCCUUUCAUCCGUAGCAGCGGCGUGGGACUUGGAGGGUAGAGGUAAUGAGGACUGAAACAAUCCGGCCGUGGCCCUUCUUUUUUGUCGGAAAUAUAUCCUUAUUUGGCUUUAUUUAUAGAGGGCAGUGCUAUACAUCUUUACGAGUCUUCUUUUAUUCUUCGGUGUUUCGUUUCCAUCACCUAUUAACUGUUAAUGUCGGGUACAAUUACAACUCGAUUUAAAAGUUUCCUUUUGUUCUUCGGUGUUUCGUUUACAUGCAACUCAGAUCUAAAUGAUUUGUUGGGAACUUAUGAGUAUUAACAAUGUAUGGGGUAUUUGAGUCUUUUCUUAUGUAUCUAUACACAUCAGCUAAAUGAAGGAUAUUAGAUUACUUAGUCAUUAAGUUUGGACAGCUGCUAUAUAAGGCUGGAUAAGGGUGUAAUUGUUUAGUUUUUGUUCAGUUAAUACAACAACUUCUUUUGCAAGUCACUUUUCUAUCUCGUUCUCUCUUCUUCUCUUUUCUUCUGCGAUUUCCAUAGUUUCUUGCAUUUAAGCUUUUCUGAAUGUUUCAAUGGCUGAACAUGCCAUUGUUAUGAUGGUAUCAAGAGCUUAGGUUUGGUGAAUAUGUGAAGAGGAUCCUGACGGGCUCAUCAAGCUUUGGAGUUUUUUUUUCCCGCCGAAUCUGCGAGGCGGUGGUUUCUGCUUUUGUCGACGGAGUUUUGGUUUCGGUUCGUCGGUGCUGACUCAGGUUAUAUCCACUUGAUUUUGGUGUUUUCUGGUCCAUAUUUUCUGGCCUUUGUGUUUAAUUUCAUGGUAUGGCUAUGGAUCUACGAUUUGUUGAUGUGAUACAUGUUAGGGCAUGAAGCCUAUUGUGGUUUGCUUACUUGAUGUGUUUUUGAGCACGAAGCUCCUUACAGUUUGGGCACGAAGCCUUGAUUUCUUCUAAAUUGCUGAUUGUUUGGGCACGAAGCCUUGAUUCUUUCUGAAAUUCUUUUUGCCAUUGCUGAUUGUUUGGGCACGAAGCCUUGAUUCUUUCUGACUUGCUGAUUGUUUGGGCACGAAGCCUUGCUUCUUUCUGAAUUGCUGAUCGGCACGAAGCCUAUUGUGAUUUGCUCCUGUUUGUUUCCUUUCUUGGUUCUUGUUGACGUCUCGAUAUGAAUACACUCAAAGUGGAAAGUCUUCUUGGUAUGUUCACCAUUCGGCUGCAAGAUGAUAAUUUUGUCAAGUGGUCUUUUCAAUUUCGAUCGGUGCUUGAGGGAUAUGAUUUGUUUGAUCACUUUGAUGGCACAUCGGUUUGUCCACCGAAGUUUGUGUUCACUGAAGCUAAUGGUAUCACUACUGAGAUUACAGCAGCUUACAAGGAAUGGAUUAAACAAGACCGCGCUCUUGUUAGUCUUCUUCUUGCUACAUUAGGUGAUGAGGCUGUGGAAUAUGUUGUCGGUUGUAAAACUGCACAUGAAGCUUGGAUGAAUUUGCAGGACAGAUAUGCUACUGUUUCCAGAGCACGGGUGAAUCAUCUCAAAACUGAAUUGUUGACUAUCAAGAAAGGGUCUGAUAGUGUUGAAAAAUAUAUGUUGAGGCUUAAGGCUCUUAAAGAUCAGCUACUGGCGGCAGGUGAAGUAGUGUCUGAGAAUGACCUUAUUGUUGCUGCUCUUGCGGGUUUACCGGCUGAGUUUAAUAUGAUUCGUACUGUGAUUGUGGCUCGUGAAACUCCUAUUUCUUUAAAAGAAUUCCGAGCACAAUUGUUGGCUGCUGAGAGAACAGCUGAUGAUUCGCAGUCUACUUUGCAUUUUCCUAUGUCAGCCAUGUAUUGUCAAGGAGAAUCUUCUAAUGCUCAUUCCUCACAAGAUCAAGGAGCUUCUCAGUACUUCUCUGGUGGCUAUGGUUUUGUCACUGAAGCUACUAAUUCUUCUCAAAGUACUGCUCACAGACCCACUGGUGGCAUAGUUUCUCAGGCUUCUCUGCCUCAUUUUCAUCAACAAGGAAAUGGGAAUUUUCAGAAUCAUAGAGGAUAUCAGCAUAAUGGUGGAAACAAUGGAAGAUUUAACAAUAGGUCCAGAUACAAUGGGAAUAAUAAUGGCAGAUUCUCAGGCAAUUCCAAUGGUUUUCCUGGAGGAUCAAACAGUAAUGGUUUUUCUGGAGGAUCAAACAGCAAUGGUUUUCCUGGAGGAUCAAACAGUAAUGGUUUUUCUGGUAGUUCUAAAGGAGGUUCAAAUUGGCAGAAUUGGAAUGGAAAUAGUGGUUUUAAGCCAACAUUGAUUCCUGAAUGUCAAAUAUGUCAUAAAAGAGGCCACACCGCUACUAAUUGCUAUUCAAGGUAUGAUGCCAGCUCAAGCUCUGCUCCUCCAAUUCUGGAGUGUCAAAUCUGUGGGAAGAAAGGUCAUUCUGCUCUCAAUUGUUAUCAUCGAGGAAAUUAUGCAUAUCAAGGUGCUCAACCUCCUUCUUCUUUCAAUGCUUUCACUGCACAAGCUCAUCCAAACCUUCAUUCUUCUUCUCAACAAAAUUGGGUGCUCGACACAGGGGCUACACACCAUAUGACAGCUGAUCUGGAUCAUUUGACACUUAUUACUCCUUUUGAAGGCACUGACAGGAUCACAGUGGGCAAUGGAGAAGGUUUACCUGUAGCCAAUACUGGUUCGGGUUCUCUUUUAACUUCUUCCAAACCUUUAACCCUUCAAAUGGUUUUACAUGUUCCUCAAUUAGCAGCUAGUUUAUUAUCUGUGUAUAGACUAUGCAAAGAUAAUCACUGCUAUGUUAUACUUGAUGAAUUUGGUUUCUGGGUGCAGGACAAGGCAACAAAGAAAGUUCUACUGAGAGGAAGGAGUAGUAGUAGUGGCUUGUAUUACAUUCCUCAGCAGCAGUUUUUCAACUAUUCUCAGCUAGUAAAUAAUACACCUCAAGCUCUUUUGGGACAACUUGUGACGACUUCAAUUUGGCAUCAACGACUUGGGCAUCCUACUAAUGAAGUUCAGUUGAAAAUGUUGAAGGAGUCUCAGAUAUCUGUCUCUUUAGAUAACAGUCCACAGUUAUGUUCAGCUUGUAUUAGGGGUAAGAUGACUAGACAACCAUUUCAUUCUCACUGUAAUAAGUCUAGUGUUCCUUUUGAGAAAGUGCAUACUGAUGUAUGGGGACCUUCACCCACUGUAUCUCUUGAAGGUUACAGAUAUUAUGUAAUCUUUGUAGAUGAAUGCACAAGGUUCACUUGGAUCUUUCCUCUUGUUAAUAAAUCUGAUGUCUAUUCUGUGUUUGUUAAGUUUCAUGCAUUUGUUUAUAAAUCAUUUCAAAUGCAAUAUUAAAACACUGCAAUCUGAUGGCGGAGGAGAGUAUAUGAGUAGGUUGUUUAAACAAUUUCUGGAUACAAAUGGGAUAUUACAUCUUGUCUCUUGUCCUUAUACCCCUCAACAGAAUGGGUUGGCAGAACGGAAACACAGGCAUAUUAUUGAGACUACUGUGACAUUAUUGAGUGCUGCAGGGUUACCUCAACAGUUUUGGUUUCAUGCUUGUAGUCAUGCAGUGUUUUUUGAUUAAUAGAAUGCCUUGCCAAAACUUAGAAAUGGUGUCUCCCUAUGUUAAAUUGUUUGCCCAAUCACCAUCUCUGAGUUCCUUAAAGAUUUUUGGUACUGCAGUCUAUCCCUACUUAAGACCUUAUAAUGUCAAUAAGUUACAAGCUCGAAGUGAUGAAUGUGUGUUUUUGGGCUACUCUAUUGGAUAUAAGGGAGUGUUGUGCUAUAAUCGGAAUACACAAAGGUUAUUGUUAUCAAGGCAUGUCAUCCAUGAUGAGAAUGUGUUUCCUUUUAAGAAGUCUCAUUCUUCUGUCCAUAUUUCUUCACCGGUUGUUUCCUCACAGCAAGAGUUACCAAGAAUGAGAUAUAUUGUGGUUCCUAAUUCCUCUACCCCAACAAGAGAAGAAAUUGGUGGAAAUGAUCAAUCUGUGGAUAUGCAUUCUAUGGCAUCUCAAUCUUCCAGUCUCUCUUCAAGUCCAGUUCUGCAUUCUUCAUCAGAUAUACAAGCUACUACACUACAUCCCUCUCCUUCUUCCUCUCAAGUGUUGCCUGUCCUUGAUCUUGACCAAAAUCAGGUAUCUUCAUCUCCUGUUAUACAUACUUCUUCUGAGCAUAAUAUGGUUACACGUUUAAAAAGUGGAGUCCUGCAGCGAAAAGACUACUCUGCUUAUUAUGCUUUUGCCUCAAAUACUUCUGUUGAUAAUGAUGUGAUGUUUUGUGGAUUCACUGCGAUUCUUAACAUUCAUGAUUCACUAGAACCUUCUCAUUAUAAACAAGCUGUUCUUUCUGAGGAUUGGAGGAAUGCUAUGAAGGAAGAAUUUGUGUCUUUACAAAAACAAGGUACUUGGGAGCUCGUACCACCUCCGGUUGACAGAAAUGUCAUAGGGAGCAAAUGGGUGUACAAGAUCAAGAAGGAUCAAGAUGGCAAAGUGUCCAGAUAUAAGGCACGUUUAGUUGCUCAGGGUUAUAGUCAGGAACAAGGAUUGGACUAUGAUGAGACUUUUAGUCCGGUAGUAAGACAUACAACAGUGAGGCUGGUUUUGUCUCUUGCUGCUAUGCAAGGAUGGGAAUUGCGGCAGUUGGAUGUCAAGAACGCUUUUCUUCAUGGUGAAUUACAAGAAGAAGUUUUUAUGAAACAACCUCAGGGUUUUCAAGAUCCUCAGCAUCCUAAUCAUGUGUGCAAGCUUCUCAAGUCCUUAUAUGGUCUUAAACAGGCUCCAAGGGCAUGGAAUGCCAAGUUUACAAGUUAUUUACCUUCUUUAGACUUUCAGUCAUCUCAUUCAGAUCCUAGUUUGUUUGUGAAAGUGUGUGGGAAUGAUGUAGUGAUCUUGUUGUUAUAUGUGGAUGAUAUCAUCAUCACAGGUUCUUCAUCUUUCCUUAUUCAACAAGUGAUUGCUGAAUUGAGUAGUGCUUUUGAUAUGAAGGACAUGGGCAAGCUUACUUAUUUUUUGGGACUUCAAAUCACGUACAAAGAUAAUGGUGAUAUAUUCAUUAAUCAAUCCAAGUAUGUGACUGAUCUACUCCAUAAGGCCGGCAUGAUAAAUUGCAGACCUUGUUCCACUCCAAGUAAACCUCAUACUCAAUUGGUCAAAGAUGAAGGAGAACCAUUAGCUGAUCCUACAGUUUACAGAAGUUUAGUUGGUGCAUUGCAAUAUCUCACCUUUACACGCCCUGAUAUUGCAUAUGCGGUCAACUAUGCUUGCCAAUUCAUGACAACUCCAACUGAAGCUCAUUUCUGUCUCGUUAAAAGAAUCCUCCGGUAUUUGAAGGGUACAUGGCAAUGUGGAUUAACUUACUCUGCUCAAGCCAAUAUGGAUUUAUUGGCUUAUAGUGAUGCUGAUUGGGCAGCAGAUAUAAAUACAAGGAGGUCGACUACUGGUUACAUUGUUUUUCUGGGCUCAAAUCCUGUGUCCUGGCAGUCUAAGAAACAAGGCAGUGUUUCUCGAAGCUCAACGGAGGCUGAAUAUAAAGCCUUAGCUAAUGCAGCAGCGGAUGUGGCUUGGAUCCGAUUAGUUCUUAAGGAUCUCCAUAUGUUUCUUCCUUCAGUACCAUUGGUACAUUGUGAUAAUCUGUCUACAUUGGCAUUGUGUUCUAAUCCAGUUUUUCAUACUAGGAUUAAACACUUAGAUACUGAUUUUCAUUUUGUUCGUGAACGGGUGCAAAAAGGUGAUCUGCAGGUACAGUAUAUUCCCACUGAGGCUCAGAUUGCAGAUGUCUUAACUAAAGGAUUACAUAGUCCUCUGUUUGUUCAUCAUUGUUCCAAUCUCCGACUGGGAUAUCCCAGCUGAGAUUGAGGGGGAGUAUUAACAAUGUAUGGGGUAUUUGAGUCUUUUCUUAUGUAUCUAUACACAUCAGCUAAAUGAAGGAUAUUAGAUUACUUAGUCAUUAAGUUUGGACAGCUGCUAUAUAAGGCUGGAUAAGGGUGUAAUUGUUUAGUUUUUGUUCAGUUAAUACAACAACUUCUUUUGCAAGUCACUUUUCUGUCUCGUUCUCUCUUCUUCUCUUUUCUUCUGCGAUUUCCAUAGUUUCUUGCAUUUAAGCUUUUCUGAAUGUUUCAAUGGCUGAACAUGCCAUUGUUAUGAAUGAGAAAGGAAAGAACGAAGCAAACAAGAAAAUCCGAGCUAGGUGGUCAUGACGAAGUAUUUUUAUGUCCCGUGCUAGGAAGCAUUACUCUUCCCUUUCAUUCCAAAUUAACAAUAUGGCCGAUACGGUUAACUAGUUUGUGUGCCUCUCCUACUUUUUGUAUCCCAUUCCCCCGGUUUUUCGGAUACGUUUUGAUCCUCCUACGCCAAAUCUAAAUUUGUGAAAAAUAACAUAAUUUAUGCGCACUAUUUCUCACUUUUUUAAUAUUCUUGUGUAUUUUUAGUUAGGGAUUUUAUAUUAACAUCCUACAAAAUGUUGAAUGCACCCCAUAUUAAAAUAUAAUAUUAAAUGACUUAUUUACUCUACCAUGUAAUGACAAUUUUGACCUUAUUAGGUUUUAAAAAAAUAAAGAUUUAUAAAUACACCCCAAAUCACUUUUAGCAUAUUAUUUAUCUUCUCAACUAUCAAACAUGUUGAUUAAGAAAAAUUAUUUUUGACGAAUGGAACAUGAAAUCGAUGUUUCAGGAGCUUCACAUGAGGUAAGACUUCAUAGUUUUCAUUGUUUUAGUGAUUUCGAUGACAUCGAUAAUUAUUUAAUUUUGCGUUUGCUGCAUUAUUUAAACUUUUAUAUUCAUAUUCAUCUUUUAGUGUUCAUAUGGUUAGAUUCAAUCCCUGAAAAUUAAAAAUGAGUGUUAUAAGAAAAGAUAUGCUGAAGGUGAAAAAAUGUGUCUGCCAAGCCCUAUACAAGUGUCCCCUGUCAAAAUUUUUCUUUUCCUAAACUAUUACGUUAAUCUUGAUAAAUAUUACAAAUUUUCAGUGAAAUUCACAAGUGCUUCUCUUUUUUCUGUUUGCUCAUUCAUACUCAUGUUUAAUUUUCUCUUUUAAAAUGCUGCUCCAUCUUUGAAUCCAAACAGAUACAAAAUGCAAUAAAUCAUAGUUUAUUUGUCCAACGACAAUAUUAAACGGCCAUUUUUGUUUCAUCAACUAGGCGUUAAAAUUCAUUAAGCAAAGAGUGAAGGCUUACAAUUGGCAUGAAGAAUACGAAUUGAUAAAUUACUGGUGGAAUCAAGCUUUGUAGUCACAGUUCAUUUAGUGUUGUAAGGUCCCCUUGUUUUGGUCUGUCGAGAAUUGCUUUCAAGAUUUUGGCAAUGCAAACUUCAGCAUGUCUACAGACAGAAGAAUUUUGUGGCAGACAGUUUAGCGACCUAUAGUUUUGAUUUAGAUUUAGGUAAUUUUUAUUUUGAUACUCUUCCUUCUUAUUCAGUAAGUUUGUUUGGACUCUUGCUUUUAGCCCCGCUUUUCAAACAAAAAAAAGAGAGUGAAGACCAAUGUUUUGAUACCAGCACACAUUUUAUUACUGGCUGUAGUAGGUGAAAAACAAAAACAAUAUUGGCCGGCCACGGAUUAGUUAUUUUUUUCUUGGCCGGGUUGAUCAUAUCCGUUAUCCAUGUUGAUUUAUAUCCAAUUUUAUUGUUUAUUUAUUUAGUUUUUUCUUCAAAUAAUAGAAACAUGGGAUGCAGUUCAUAAACUAAAGGUUUAAGAAUCAAAUUUAAACCUAAAUUAUUCACGAUGUAUCAGAUUUUCUUUGAUUCAAACACAAAAGAAGUCUUUAUUUAAAAUCGAGGAAGAAACCAUCGCACUACGAGGGUCAAUAUUGGUUUGUUUUUAUUAGCUAAGUCAUGAAAUGACAAUAAGUUUUUGUCUGCUAAUUUGCUUUGUUUUAAUCCCAACCUUAUACAAAAUAGAGAAUUUUAACAAAAAAACUCCUGAUACUGUUUACUUUAACGAAAAACCACAUUUUUACACUAAAAAGUCAAUCAUGUUAUCAUUCACUUUACCUUUUAUUUUGUCCUUAUCGUUAAAACUCAAAAUUUUCAAAUUUUUUUCAUUAGUUCUCCUUACAAAAUAACCAUUCACUUUGCAACAUUCAUAGGCUUUUUUAGACAGAUUUUAUACGUAUACACGCAUUCUAAACUACUCUAAUUUAUGGGAAUGAUUUGCACUUAAAUGCAACCGGACGAACGCGCUUUCUCUUGCCAACUGAUCUAAUCCAGCUUAACAUUCAAACCAGUUAAAUAGUGUAGCAUGGGGAAUAAUUAGUAAUUUAUAUGCGUCAAAGUUGAGGGCCAAUUCAACCCAUUUUUAUGGGGGGUUUUGUAAUACACAUCACAAUCCUUAAUACCUACCUUGUUUCAAUAUGGGAGAAAAAAAUUAUGUUCAAUGUCCACGACCGGCCCUUCAGCUUGUCCUUUUAUUACCGUCUUCGUUCUCAUUGGAACCUAUUAAACCAACUUAAUCUCCCAUCUUAAUUCCAACCACUAAUUCACUCUUAAACAUUUGGAACCUAAACAUCUCUCUCUCUCUCUCUCUAAAAAACUGUAGAGAUGGGGGACAAGGCAACAUUAAGCAAGGCAAGAAUGGAGCUUGAAGACAUGUACCAAGGCAUCCCAGAUGAGUCAGUUAACCUAACUUUCCAGGACUUUGCAGAGCUCAAACUACACCAAGUUACAUCAGAAAAGAAAAAAAAACCUACUCCAUUAUUAUUGAAUCCAAUUUCUCAACUCAAAUCCACCGCACAAGCAUCCUCCCCCUCUCCUUUGACCAAACUCCCCAGCCUUGACUUCAACCGUGCCUUGCAAGCAUCCAGAGAUAACCACCACAACAACGAAAACAAUGUCCCUGUCGGUCCAUAUGACAUUGGUAGUAACAAUGAUUAUAAUCAUCAGCAUAUUGAUCAUCAUAUGAAUAGUCAUCAUGGUCAUCAACGUGAAGUCAACCAUGACAUGCAGCAUGGUCAUGGAGGUCACGGUCAAUAUAUGGGUGGUGGCGACCAUCAUCAUAACCAUCAGAUGCAUCAUGGGAUGCAACAUGGUCAUGAUGGCCAUGCAGUUAAUAAUGGUCAUCAUAUGAGUCUGAAUAGUCCUGGUCCCACGUGUAAUUCAGGUAUGAAGCAUGGAUUGGAGACUAGCUUGGGGGCUUUUGAUCAUGAUGUGAGUGGUGUGAGCGGUGUGAGCAUGGCUUCCAUGUACCAGAAAGAGAGAGGAGGAAUAAGAAGGCCUGGGAUUCCCCACUCUAAUAUCUGCACCCUUUGCAGUACCUACAUCUAUAUUUUCCGCCACCGUUGCCUGGUACGUGUUAUUUGUACAAAUUUACAAUAUCUAAUGCUUGGUUUAUCUGAUAAAAUAUAGAACACAUGUAUGGAAAUGGCGAUGGAUCAGAUGGUAGUAAUUUAAUUUUGUGUGCAGGUAUGUGGAAGAGUGUAUUGUAGACAAUGCGUGAUUGUAGGGAUGGGAGAAAUGACAGAAGGUAGAAAAUGCAUCGAGUGUUUAGGGAGGAGAUUCAGCCAAAGGUAUGGUCAAGUUAAACUAUGAUUUAAGUUUUUUUCUACUUAGUUGAAUUCCUAUCACAUACAAUUACUAGAUAUUUAGAUUCAAGUCAUGAGCUCAACACGAUUAUUACCUACGAGUAACUUUAAAAUGAUUAAAUUUUCUUAUUUUAACCGUUAUUGGCAUUCUAUGAAGAUAAUCAUUUAUUUAUUCUAUAAAGAAAUAGAUUAGCGAAAUUGUACUUUAUGAUGAUUAUAAAGUAUCAAUAACAGUUCUUUUUAAGUUUUUGGCAUGUGGAAAGUUUUUAUAGAAAAUGACCUACUACAUGGUUAGGUUUGUGGUGAAAAUGUUAUUAAUUAAUUAUGUAAAUAACAUUAUGAGACCGAGCUCUUAAGUGCUUAAACACUGCCCUAAAUUUACUAAUUAUUAUGUAGUUAGUGGUACUUUCGCUUUCAGUGUUGAAAUGCGUCUCAAUUAAUCUGAGUCCUCUAUCUCACUCCCAUUAAUAAAAAAAAAUAUCACAAAGAAUAAUAUACCAUUUUCAUGGAUUGUUUUCCACUCCUAAACCAUAGAUUGGACGAUAUGGUGUCAAACACUAGAAAAAAUGGUAAUAGACUAAUAUAUGCUCAAGAAAAACGAUGAAAACCAUUAUAAUGUUGAAUUUUUUAAUACAUCAAUUGUCAUACAUGUAACGAUAAAUUACAAGCAAGCUACACAACUAAAAAACAAACAAGAAAACUGAAAAAUAAACAAGGGCCGGCAAUGAGGUUGUUCUAACCGACGGGGCCGAUAGUAACAUAUAAAUUACAACAUAUAAAAUGUAUCGUAGCGUUGCUGUCCUUGGUGUUGAGAGUUGUCCCACAUUGGUGAGGGACAAGAUUUGUUAUGUGCUUAUAUGGUCUUGAGCUACUCUCCAUAUAGCCAAUUGAUUUUAUGGUGGAAUCAAUUUCAUCACUUGGUUCUUCAUACUUGGUACUUCACAAACGGACAGUGGCCUAAUACAAGAAGAAAGAAACUCCACAACAAGAUGUUUGGAUAAAACAAUAUUUUUGUCUCAUUAUUUAUUUUAUGACACAAGUAAAUUGGCUUAUAGGUACAUACAAAGAGCAGGGAAGUUUAGGUGUUGGUCAAGGUACCCUUCCAGGGUGAAGCAAGCAGAGCUCAAGUGGGCUGAGAAAGGGCCGAGAAGAAGUACCGGCAACGGAGGCUAUGGCCGGAGCUCGAUGACAUCGCCAAUAUCAAAAAGCCCAGUGACGCCGAUGACUCCGAGGACCCCAAACAGAGGCCAUGCUAGUGGCCCAAAUUCUUUUGUCAUGAAUAGUUCAUCAUAUUCCCCAUAUUCACCAAGUCAUCGCCACCACCUUCCACUCUAGAGAGUUUGGAGACCACAAUUUAUCCAACAUUCUCAGUUUUCUUAUGGUCACUGAAUUAUUUCCCAAACAUUAUUCUUCCAGUGGUUGGAUUUUUCUUAAUUAAUUCAUCAUUAUAUAUAUAUAUAUAUGUAUCUUCAUUUUGUGUUAACAUUUUAUAGAUAUCAUAUAUUACAUAUAGAGGUGGCAAAUCAACCUAUUGUGUUGUUAAUGGGUACCUGUUAAAAUCCGUUUAAUUUGAAAUCACCAUAAUAUUAAAGGAAAAAUUGGUAGUGACGAUGAUGGUUUAAGGUAAAAUCAAACUAAAUGGUUGUCCAUUAACAAUCUAAAUGAUUGAUUUUUCACCUCUAAUUCCAUAGCCUAGACUUUGCUAGGCUGGGAAAUGUGGGCUUUAAAAUCCCUGGAGGCAGACAACUUGAAGAAACGAAAGCUUGUAAUAUAUGAGGCAUGAGAUAUGCUAUGAGAUUAGCAAUCAAAAGAUAAAAUGAAAGUCCUGAGUUAGCACAUCUGGUAAGGAAGAGUAGGUAAUCAUUACAAACAAAUUAAGAGAUGUUUGAAGUUCAAUUCUCUCAAACGCAUAACUAAAAAAUAUUUACGGAUAAAUCAUUACAAAAAGAAGGAUGAAAUGAAUAGAAAUUAAAAUUAAAAUGAUUCAACUAAAAAAAGACGUUGCGGGUAACACUUUUUUUUUUUUUGGGCCAAACAAUAGAAGAAUUGGGGUGGAAGGGAAUUUGAAAAUGACCUUAGAUGCAGAGGUAAAUGUUCUUACCAUUUGGACUAUAAGUCCACAUUACAAACCCUAAUCCGGAUGUGAACAGGAUUGAGCAAAUAAGGCUAUAGUAAUCCGUAAAAAUUGAGGGAAUAAAGUAAGAUAUAUCAAGGAAAAGAGUUAGGUUAACCCAACUUUAUUUUAUAAUGCAUUAAUAAUUUCAUGAAUUCAUACAAGAUUUUCUUUUGAAGGACAAACGAAUAUUAUCAAACACAAAGCAUGAGGCAUAAACAAGCAUUGCACUAAUUAAAGCUUUCUUGAUUUGAUCUUGAUUGGGAGACCCAUGGAUGGAUAUGGCGCUGGGUUAGGUUACGAUUUAUCGGUUCCUCAAGGUGCAACUUUGACCACUUAAAACAUUUUCACCAAAUUGUGGAUUGUAACAAGUCACUAUAUAUAAAAAAAAAAGUCUUUCAGUCAUAACGAAAGUCGUGAUCGAAAGUACAAAACGUUGUGACUAAAAUAUUUAGUCACAAAAAAACUCUGUAAUUGGAUUGUGACUGAAAACCUCGUGACUAGUUGAUUUAGCCACAAAAAAUAAACAUUGACCGACUAAAAUGUUUAGUCACAACUUGUUAAUAGAAAAUUAAACCAAAUCCUGACUUUUAGUCACAACAUCUUUUAGUUUCAAUCACUCUUCAUGACUAAAAGAUUUAGUUACAAGCCCUUAUGACUAAUAAGUAUAUAGUCACAACCAAUUUUCAUGAUGGAAAAUCUUAAUAAAGCCAUGAGAUGCAGAUACAAAUGAUCAAUUCUUUGCAAGGCAUAUAAACAAAGCCUUGUGUAGUAAUUAAGGCUUCCUUGGUUUGAUCUUGAUUGGGAGACCCAUGGAUGGAUAUGGCAUUGGUUGCCUGGUGAUAGCUUCAUCAGGGUACACCGAAGACCACUCAUACAUUGUCACCAAGUUGUGGAUGAUAGUGAGCACUUCUACUCUUGCAAACUCAUUCCCUAUGCAAGUGUGGAGGCCUCCUCCAAAUGGAAUAUAAGCAUAGGGAGGGAUUGGUUUUGAUGGGUUCUCAAACCUUGAUGGAUCAAACUCUGUAGGCUUGUCAAAUAUCUCUUUGUUCAUAUGAGUUCCAUGGGCCACCCAAAACACCUGCAAAACCAAAAUUCACAUGUUAAUUCUCAUUCUCAAGAGUUGAACUCGACCUUCUUUAAAAGUGCUAGUCCGAAAACUAGGCACAAACUAGGAGUGGCUUGGGUGCACUCUAGGAGAGACAAACUAUCUUGAAACUAAUAUAUUGUCCCGGUGUACAUAACCAGUGACAUAGAUGAUUGUCAUGUACAUCAUUUGUCAUCUAUUAGAUAGUUGCCAAAUGGUGUCACUGAUUACAAGAUAGAAUCUCUCGUGCACUAGACACCCCAAGUAAAAAAGUCCUAACAAAUAGUUUAGUUCUAGGUUGUUGAUAUGAUAUUUGAAGAUGAUGAUAUAAAUAAAAUGUUGUUACCUGCCAUCCCUUGGGGAUAUCAUAGCCACCAUAUUCAAUGUCUUUAAGUGCUUUUCUAAAGCUGCCAAACACAGGAGGGAUAAUCCUCAUCAACUCUUGUGCAACUCUCCAUGUGUAUUUCAUCUUUUGUAUCUCAGCCCAAGUCAGCCUAUUUUCUGCUCCCUCCUCCCUCUUCCCUAUAAUGUCCAUUUGUUCUACAAGCAAAGAAAAUACAGGCAUACAAAUUUAGUGAGAAAUUUGGGAUGAUCAAAAAGGAGAUUUACCUAAUGCAAUAUUAUACCCUCUAAAACUUUGUUGUAUAUCUCAGAGUCUUUGGACAGCUUCCAUAUCAUCAGGCUCAGAAGAAUGGCUGAAGUGUCGUGACUAGCUACCAUCAAUGUGACAUAAUUAUCCACGAUCAAAUCAUCUGAAACAGGUUCUUCAUUUUCAUCUCUUAAUGCUAGCAAUGAUGAGAAAACAUCGCUUGUAGGGCUUAAUUUUCCUUUUGAAAACGCCUCCCUUCUUUGCUCAAGUAUUGGCAAAAUCUGGUUAGCAAUCCUUGACCGGGCUCUUAGGCCUUUCCAGUAAACAGUGCCAGGGAAGUUAACAGGAAGAGACCAAACUGCUUUGAAUGCUAAAGAAAAAUCAUCAAACAAAACCUCCCUGGUGCGCUCAUCAUCGAUGCCGAAAAGGAUGCUGGAUGCUAUGGUGAAUGUAAAUUUCUUCAUGGUGACCACAACUUUUAUGGUGUCCUUGUUUUCGGUUUCUUUUAGUAACAUGGUCUUGAUCAGUCCAUCCAUUCGUUUAAUAUAGUUCUGUAGACUUUCUGGCUUUAAGAAGCUCACCAUUGCUCCCUUUACCAAUCUGUACCCGCAAUACGCACGAUAUUAAUUAUUCGUCAUCCUAUUGGACCAAAUUCGUGACAUGCAUUUGUUAUCAGACUGUAAAUCUUAAAAUAUAAAGUGUUUGACUUUUAGAUAAAGAGAAAAAUCUCCCGAAAACAUAAGACGAGGGCUUAUUAAGUACCUUGAGCCUGUAAGUUCAAAUAUAUUUUGCUUUCCAGAAAUGGCUACCAGGGUGACAGGUUGCUUGGCGGCAAGGACAUCAUCCUCAGCACCAAGGACGAACUUGUUACCCGCUUGACCAACAACCACCACAGUGGGGGAACCCAUCAAGGAGGUUUUGAACAUUGGUCCAUGCUUUGAUGUUCUCUCUUCGAGCCAUUCGGGUCCUUGAUCUUGUUUCUGUGCUUGAAGAAAGCUGAACGUCUCUCCGAUUAAGGGAAACCCUAAAGACCCUCCUGGCAGGUUUUUGGUCUGAUCCUUAAACAGAAAUUUUGAAAGGAAAAAAGCGAUGAACAAAGUUAUUACAAUUACUGCAAUGAAAGCUGCCAUGUUUGUGGAAGAAUGCUAUGAUCAGAGAGACAUUGAACUAAAUGAAUAUAUGCUCAACCAUGGCCGGCUGCUACAAACAAACCAAUUGAAAGUGAUGGAAAUAUUAUAAUGGAUUAUUAACUAAAUUGAGUAAACGGCAACAUGCACAGAAGCAUGGCUGCAUAUUCUUCUUCCUUCAUUUUGAAUCUAAGGGCCUUCAAAACUCUGACCUGAUCUGAGAGCAGUCAUCUCUUUAACUUUUCAACAAACUUGCAUGUGUUUCUUAAGAAAGUUAAAGUUUCACCAUAAAAUUUAUUGGUAAUAUGAGUAGUAGUCCAACAUCUUAUAAGCAGUCAGUCAAUAUGCUCUAAUAACAUAGAGAAAGUUGGGGUUCCGUCAUAAAAUCAACUAGCAAGCCUUUGCAAAGUUUCUCAUUUCACCGAUGUGAGACUUUUUUACCUUCACAUCCUCAUAGUUUUAAAACUUUUAUCACUUGCAUUUUUUUGUUUUAAAAAAAAAUCAUGAAGAUGAGAACCUCAACCAAUAAUAAAUUAACGUUUUAAAUUUUACACUCGAAAUUCUAUGUUCGAUUCUCACACUUCAACACACCGUUUUACAUCCUAAACUUCUAGUCAUUUUCAAAAUUAAUUCUCUCAUAACAAGAAAUAUGAGUGAACAUUGUUCGAACCUUUUUAAUUAACUACCAAAUACAGUUAGAUUGUGAUUAGUUUAUAAUUAAAAAAGGAUUAUUAUACAUAUAAUUGAGCCAUAUGGUUUGGGAUAACAAAAGUAAACGAUGAACACUAGACCCUUUCAUUUUCAGCAUCGAUCGUCACAAUGGUUUUUUAUUAAUUAACGUAUCUAAUUAAGCAAUUAAUAGACUCUUUCCACAGCUGACGGAUAUGUAAACAAACAUGAUAGAGACAUGCAUGUUAUUGGCACUUAAAAUGUUAUUGUGUAUUUCUUCAUGUACAUUUUCUAAUAGGGGUACUACUUGUGUCUCUUGUGAUUUCAUAAUGAGUUCUUUGUGCAAACUUUCUUAAUCCUGGUGUAGCAUUUGUCCCCUUAUCGAUAAUGGCGGAGCCACCCACAAGGUUUAGAUGGGCUGUAAUCAGGAGGGUUUUUUUAUAAAUUCAUGCUUUAAUUGCUUAUGUUAAUGCAUGUAGUCUAUAUAUUUCUUUCAAUUUUAAUACAUAUUAAUAUUUAAUGUAUACUUAUGCAUUAUAGGUAAUAAAUAAUACAUUUUAUGCUAAAAUAAAAUGAGUUCUCUCUCUAUUUCCCAUCCUUUUGCAGUGGUGGAGAAGAGUGUUGUCUUCGCACCACAGCGUGUUGCCUAAUUUAACAUCUAAUCUAACAAAUCUAUCGUUUGACCCAAAAAAAAAGACUAUUUACCAUAUGCAAUCUAGCCAUUGUGAUUCUUACUUAAGAAAAGAAAAAGAUUUUGUUUUAAUCAACCAUUAAACCGCAAGCUCCGCAAUUUCCUUACCUUCCGUGGAGAUUUUCCAAUGAAUGUCACAUUUGGUACAUUCUUAAUCUCUUUAUUUACUAUUCUUGAUUUAAUUAGUAGGUUUAUUAUUUAUAUGGUCCUUGAAUUUGUCGAUUAGAUUACAAUUUUGAGAAAAGUUUAUAUUUCAUUGUAGUUGUUUCAUGUUGAUUAUUAUAUAAUUUUAUAUAGGUAAAAAAAUGAACAUAUUAAUUUUGUGGUACUGCUUUCAGCUAUAUAGCCCACUCAAGAAAAAAAAUUAUAGCUCCACCCAUGAGAAUUGCAACAUGCUAAUAUGGUCAGACUUUUAAACAUGUGUCGCAGUUCUAAGAAAGGGGCAAUGCCACACUAGAAUUAAGAUUUAGCAAAAACGAUUCUUUUAUAAAUGAGGAUUAUGACAUUUUUGAAGUGCCAAUAUAAAAACUAGAGUAAAUUACAUAGUAGCCCCUCAGGUUUGAGGUCAAUUACAACCUCAUACAACAACUUUAAAACAUUUCACUUUCAUACAUCCAGUACCAUUUUAUUUCAAAAUAACACAUCCGUUAGAUUUUCCAUCCAUUAGUCUGUUAAAUGCUGACGUAGCUGCCACAGUUGUGCCACGUGGCUGCCAAAUUUAUGCCACGUGGCAAAAAAAAUAAUUUUUUAUACAUUUAAAAAUAAUUAAUUAUAAAAAAAUUUCCCCAUAACCCAUCUUCCCUCCCCGAGACUCACUUCCCUCUCCUGCUCCCCACCCACCCUUCCUCCCUCCAUCCCCUCCCUUUUCUCUCCACAGCCGACGCCUAGGACUUACACCCAUAAAAAUGGCGCCCUUCUCCUCAGAUCCCACAGAGCCCCCGUCUCUUCCCACAGCCAGCGCCCUCGUUUCCCUCACCUACGUCAGAACCCCCGCCGGUAUGGCCUCAUUUUGGCUCUUCUCCGACGCUAAGCACAACGACAGCAGCUCUCCCACUGCGUAUUCCAUCACAUGGUCCGAGAUGGGUUGAGGUUCCGAGAUGGGUUUUUGAUUGGAAGGGUCCGAUUGAGAUUUGGAUCGGGUGAAAGUGAGAGAGAGAGAUGAACGAAGUUGGGAGACAAGGGCAAAGAUCUGGUGCGGCGGGGGUGCACCACCAGCGACAAUACUCUGAUAAUUUCUUGGAGACUUCGUCCAACGAAAGGUGGCUCCAGUUAACUGGUCUUCAACACCUUCAGUUUUCCAACUCAUCUGGUUCUCCUCCUCAUGUAUUUUUUUUGCUUUCAUCCGAAUUUAAUCAAAACAUUGUACCAAAUCUGAAAUUUGGGUGCAUUGUAAUCAACAUUUAUUGUUUUUUCCCUUGAAUUUUUUAAUUUUUAAACUUUUUUGGGUAUAUUCUGAUCAAACCCAUAUGAGAUUUUGAUUAAAAUGUUGAAGCUUUGAUCUUUGUAAAUCUUAUGGUAUACUUUUGUAUCUAAAAUGUAGAAGCCUGGAUUGGAUUUUUUGGGGUUCUGUCAACGAAGGAGAAGGGGUGGGGAAGGUGAGGUAGGCGACGGCUCUAUGGGAUCUGAGGAGGAGGGCGCCAUUUUUAUGGGUGUGAGUUCUUCUGGGUGUUAGUUGUGGAAAGGGAUUGUGAGGGAGGGAGGGAUGGAGGGUGGGUAGGGUGCAGAGGUGGGGGGGGGGGAUGAUGAAGAUAGGGAAGAAGAAAAAAAAAAAAAGGGUCCGAACCCAGAAGAAGAAGAAAGAGAAAGAGAAGAAGAAGAAAGAAAAAAAAAAGUGGAUAACAAGUUUUUAAAAAAAAAUAAAAAAAAUAUUUUAUUUGCCACGUGGCUGACAUUUGGCAGCCACAUGGCAUACAUGUGGCUGCCACAUCAGCAUUUAACAGAUCCAUGGAUGGAAAAUGUAACGGUUGUAUGAAAUUGAAAUAAAAUAGUACUUGAGGUAUGAAAGUGAAAUGUUUUAAAGAUGUUGUAUAAAAUUGCAAUAGACCUCAAAUCUGAGGGGCUACUAUGUAAUUUACCCUAAAAACACACAUCUUUUGUUCCAUGCAUAUUCCAUUUUAGUCAUGCCCUUUAAUUUUGUUUACUUUAUUUAAUUUGAUUACAUAAUUAAAGAGGAAUACAUGAGAAAUUAAAAUGGCCGUGUAAAUAUCACUUCCUUUUAUUAUUCGUAUAGAAAAUAGAAAUGGUCAUUGUUGAUCUGUAUCUCCUAGCCCCUAGGCAACAAUCAUACAUGUCAUAGCUGUUUGCAAUAUCUUGUAAGCUUUAUCCCACUUGGAAAGGUACGUGACAACAAUUAGAAAUUGUCUUCCCCACUUUAUUUAAAAAUAUUGCUCGACUCCUCAAUUAUAUUUUUUUAUGAGAGGAACUCCUUAAUUAUAUUUAAACACAUGUCAUCCAUAAAUUAAACUACAAGUUGAUGAGAUAUGUCAUCGAACUAUAUUAUAACAAGUGGUGGAUUUAUAACACAUAAAAAAAUUUAUGCUCGUAUUAAUUGUAAUUUAUUUGUAAUGAAGAAUGACCACAAUAAUUCUAUGCAGUGUGGCAAAGUAAAUUGAGAUCAUGUCCAGAUCCCUGUGUCCAAUGAACCUAAAUAUUCAUUAGUCCAUCUCAUUGAUUCGCCACACACAAUUAAGAGUUCGAGUCUUUCUUUCCCUCGCAUAAGUAGCUCGAAUCUCUGAUUCCAUUGACUCUGAACUAGGGAUGGACAACGGUUAUGGUGGGCGAGUAACCGUGGUUAUUUACCCAUAACCAUUCAUGUUCAUACCCGCAUAACCGUUUACCCGUUGGGUAAUUGCAUAAACGGUUAUACCUAUACUCAUAACCGUUUAUAAACGGUUAACCAUACUCAUAACCGCAUACCCAUUUAACCGUAACCGUUUAAUACCCGUUUAUUCAUUUACCUUUUUUAACCCGUUUACUUUUUUUUCACCAUUACCUUUUUUUCACCCGUCUACAUGCUUUUUAACAACUUGAAAAUUUUAAAAAAUUGUCAUAAUUUUUUUUUUGACAAUUAAACACCGUUAUAGGUACAUUCAUCAUACAUUUCCGUAUUUUAAUUUUUUAAGUCCUUAUACCAUUCCAAUAAUUGAAAUAAUAGUUUACGGACGAUAUUUUUAACUGUUACCAAUGAAGGUAAAUAUAAUAUUUGCUAAGUAUUAUUGGGUUAUAAAAAUUGUUUAGAAGACAUUUCUGUCAAAACAUUUCUAUCAAUUUCAUGGUUACCCACAAGGAAUUUAAAUUAAUUUGGCGAAUUACUUGAUGAUGAGAAUCAUCAUUCCUGUAGCAGUGUUAUUGAGAGAAUGACCGAUGAAUUCAUUGCUAAUUUAUUGGGCGCUAAGUAUUAUUGGAUCGAGAACAUGGUUUGUGUUAGUUUUACAUAUAUAAAAUAAAUGGGUAAACGGUUACUCGUUUAUAACCGUGGUUAGUACCCAUAACCGUCCAUUUAAAUUUCACGAGUAAACGGUUAUACUCAUAACCGUAACCGUUUAAUUUAAAUGAAUGGGUAACCGCGAUUACCCAUAACCAAUGGAUAUUUACCCUUCCCUAAACGUUGAGAUCUAAAGAGAAUCUCGAUUCGUGGCAAAGUAUUUUCCUUUCAUUUGGUGUCAUCCUCUUUAGUGGUAGCCAAUGGACCCAAUGAGCAGAAACUGAACCUUGUGUGGCCCCUACACAUGGACAAUGGUUCGUCCACUCAAGUUCCAUCCAUGCAUAGCCAGCUUGCAUUUUUUUUAUUUGAAUCUUGUUCUUGUUGACUCCGGUAACUAGGCGGAGCUUACUAAGUAAGGGGGCAAGGCUUAUUCUAUUUCUGAAUUUCAUUCAAGUAAUUUUGUUCUUACUCAUGAUAUCGUUACGUGAUAUUAUUGUUUUACAUAAAUUAUUAAUAUAUAAAGAACGUCGUUUAUUGAUAUUAUAAUGUAACAAAGCUUUUAUUCAGAGAGGUUCUCAUUUUUUUGGUAAAAAUAUAGACUAUUUGUGGGAUUUAUUAUGAUACGCCUUAAUCUCGACGUGUCCACAUACCAGAGUAGGCACGUGUUGGUCGACACUCGAAGGUGAUGAAGCCAUUUUAAAAACAAGCAUACCGAUAAAACAUGUAAUUAGAAAGAUAUAAACCAAUGCAGAACUGUGUUCAGAGUAUACAACAAAGCAAGAAUAAUGUGAAAGAAUUUUUAGGAAAAUAUACGAACAAAGGAAUGAUACCUAUACUGAGAAUACUCCAGAAUACCUAUGCAGAAGUGUCCUGACACCAGAAUCAUGUUCCUUGAUCCUAACUCUUGAGGCGGCGCCAAAAUAGAAAAUGUGAGUGAACCAAAGUUUAUAAUAAUAAUACUAAUAAUAAGAAAACAUUUUAUUUUUGAACAUACUAACCCCCUAUUUUGAAAACAUAUAUAAUACUACAUAUAGGUUUUAUAAAAAUCCUAGCAUACCACGCAAAAACUUCGUAAAACAUGUAUGUGUAAAACCAUGCUCAAUAAUGCUGAAAACGUCGCCCGAAGGCAAAUCCGUAAAUCUCAUCAAUGAAGUACUCAACUAGGCGUAUCAUAGUCGCCCGAAGGCAGUACCUAUCCAUCACCCGAAAGUGAAGCUGAAUAACAUGUCCAUCACCCGUAGGUGAAGUUGAAUAACAUGUCCAUCACCCGAAAGUGAAGUUGUAUAAAAUAGCAUACAUCUAAGUUGUCCGACACUGCUUUCAGUAGUGAAGCUAGGGUAUAUAAUAUAUCAUAUCUCACUCCUCCAUCAUAUGUGUCCUAUGUGAAGAGCAAGUUACCAUUGUAAAACAUUAGUGUUAGUCAAGUUAGUUAGUUGUUAGAAUAGUUACAAAUAGUUACCACUGUAACUAUUCUCUUUACCUGUGUAAAUCUAGUUUAUAUAAAUACCUCAGUGUAACUAAUUAUAAAUGUAAUGAAAUCAUUUCUCAAUAUGGUAUCACUCGCUUAAGUCCACCGACUUCGAUCAUCUUUCUGCUACUUUCUUGCUUAUUUUCUUACCUACCAAACACCAUAGCUUCUGUCUGCAGAUCUUCGAUCUUGUUCAUCAAUGGCAGCAAAUUCUUCGAAUUCUUCCUCUCCUGUGGCUGCGAAUCCUUCUUCUCCGGCGAUCGCGGAUCCUUCCUCUUCGCUGCCUCCACAUCUCAAUCCUUCUCCAAUGAACCCUAACUCCUCCUUUCAAGCUUCAAUCAACUCCAUCACGAUCCAAAACAUUGGGAGUAUGAUUCAAACAAAACUCAAACGUCAUAAUUACCUUGUUUGGCGUUCUCUGUUCGAACCGAUCUUCCGCCGCUACAAGCUCACCGACAUGGUUGAUGGAUCUGAACCGCCACCGCCUCAGUUUCUUGCUGAUCUUUCUGGAAAUUUGUCCUCGAUUCCGAAUCCAGCCUUCGAGAUCUGGUAUGAAAAGGAUCAAAACAUCCUUAUUUGGAUCAAUUCCACUCUCUCUGAGGAUUUGAUUCCCUUUACUGUUGGUGUUCAAUCUUCCCGUGAACUUUGGCAAAAUCUUGAGAAGCGAUUCGGUGGAGUCUCUCGUUCUCACAUUCAUCAAUUGCGAUCGAAUUUUCAAUUGAUGUUGAAAGGCACUUCCACAAUAUCUGAAUAUUUGCAACGCAUCAAAGAAGUUUAUGAUGCUCUCGCUGCUGCCGGUGCCCCAGUUGAGGAGUCAGAUAUCCUUCACCUUAUUCUUAAUGGCUUGUCUGAUGACUAUGAUUCCUUCGUGGAUUCAAUUCAAUUUCGUCUUGCUGAUACUACUGUUGAUGAUCUACAUGGAUUUCUUCUUAGCAAAGAAAUGGCUCUUGCUCGUCGCAAGCAAUCUCAAGGUUCCUCUGAACCGUAUCAGGCAUUCACCUCUAUUCCAGCAGCUUCCAAUGCUCCUCCUUUGCUUCUUACACCUCCACCACAUCAGGCCUACAAUGCUCAGUCUAAUGGUUCUCAGAAUUAUUACCCUAGCAAUAAUCGCGGUAAUUUUCAGCGGAACACUUCUCAAAUGACCUACAACAACCGUCAUCGUUCCAAUCGGUUUAAUAAUUCCUCAACUAAUCGUGGUGGAAAUCGAGGUGGAAAUCGUGGCUUCCGUUCUUUCACCUCUGCAGUCAUUCCGUGUCAAAUUUGUGAGGACACUGGACAUCUUGCCAUUGACUGUUCCCACCGCAUGAAUCCAACUUUUCAAGGCCGUGUUCCGCCAGCCAAACUUGCGAUGUAUGCAUCUUCUAGUACUUCUUCUCCACCACCAUGGCUAUUGGAUUCCGGCGCAAGCUCACAUAUGACCAAUAAUAUUCAUCAUCUUCAGAAUCCACAGCCCUAUACUGGUCCAGAUAAAGUCUACAUUAGAGAUGGCCAAGGUUUGCCAAUUCUCCAUACUAGUUCUACUUUACUUAAAACACCUUCUGCAGAUUUUCAAUUAAAGAAUGUGUUACAUGUUCCCCACUUGAAGCAUGAUCUUCUUUCUGCCAAUAUGUUCUUGCGUGAUAAUUGGUGUUCAUUAACCCUCAAUCCUUUUGACUUCCAUGUCAAGGAUCUUACUACGGGGAUGAUGCUUUUUAGAGCUCCUGUCAGCAAUGGUCUCUAUCCAUUUUAUGCUUCUUCUUCACCUGCACCGAAGGUUCAUGCUCAUUCUGCAAUAAGGACCUCUUCUCAUGUGUGGCAUCAACGUUUGGGCAUCCAACGUUCAAGACUUUUCGAUCACUGUUAUCAAAGUCUAUACUGCCUGUUUCUAAUAAUGUUCAACAAUUCUUCUGCUCCAAUUGUGUUUUAGGCAAAUGUGCCAAGUUACCAUUUCAAGAAUCUCUCUGUACUACUUCUAGGUCUCUUGAAUUAGUUCAUGCGGAUGUUUGGGGGCCAGCUCCAGUAUGUUCUGUUAGUGGCUAUCGCUUUUAUGUCAUAUUUGUAGAUGAUUUUACCAAAUAUACUUGGCUGUAUCUUCUCAAACAUAAAUCGGAAGUGUUUCACAUUUUUGUACAAUUCCAAGCUCUUAUUGAGAAUCUGUCUGGUUACAAAAUUGGCACUUUAAGAUCAGACUCAGGGGGUGAGUUUACAAGUUCUAACUUCAAGCAUCAUUUGUCUUUCCAUGGCAUUCAGCAACAAUUCAGUUAUCCUUACACUCCAGCAAAACGGUUGUGCUGAAAGGAAGCACAAACAUAUUGUUGAGACUGCUCGAACCCUCCUUAUUGCCUCACAAGUUCCUCACAAAUUCUGGGUUGAAAGUUUUCUUACUGCCGUCUAUCUUAUCAAUCGCCUACCUCCAGUCAACAAGUCUUCCCAUUGGGAACAAUUUUUCAAGAAAGUUCCAGAUUACAAGUCUCUUCGGGUAUUUGGAUGUCAAUGAUUUCCUUGGUUAAAACCAUACACCAAUUCCAAAUUAGAUCCCAAGAGCAAGAUGUAUGUUUUCAUUGGCUACAGCUUAGCUCACAAGGGGUAUAGAUGUCUAGAUCCCUUCACUAAUCGGGUUUAUCUCUCUAGACAUGUUCAUUUUGAUGAACAUACAUUUCCCUUUCAUGAUCCCCACCUUCUAAAGUCCUCCACUCCCCAUACCCCAGAAACUUACUCACAUUUUUCCCUUACCUUUCCCAAUCUUUAUUCUCCUAAUUCUUUCACUUCCCGUGUUCCACCACCCAUAUCUUCCUCACCUACUCAACAUGCGUCAGUUACUCAACCUGAGCAAGUUACUCAACCUGAGCACGUUACUUCUCCUGCUCCUUGUCCUGCACCUCUGCAACCUCCCUCACCUCCCUAUUCUCCUCUCCCAGCCUCUUAUUCUCUACACCCUGCACCACAUCUUGUACCACGUAUUUCCUCUGUUCACCCAAUGCAAACCCGCUCUAAGUCAGGAAUAUACAAACCUAAGGCCCUUACUGCCACAACACAUCCUCUGCCUUCUCAUUUUGACAGUGAGUUUAUACCUACUACAUAUCUCCAGGCUUCCAAACAUUCACAGUGGAGGGCUGCUAUGCAGGAUGAAUUCAAUGCUUUACAAAGUACAGGCACUUGGCAGCUUGUUCCUUCUACCUCCACUAAUAAUUUGGUUGGCUGUAAAUGGGUUUUCCGAAUUAAGAGGAAACCAGAUGGCUCUGUGGAUCAUUACAAGGCUAGACUCGUUGCAAAAGGUUACAAUCAGCAAAAGGGCAUUGAUUAUGGUGAUACUUUUAACCCGGUUGCUAAACCUGUGACUAUACGCAUCAUUCUCACCCUCGCCGUCCAAUCAAACUGGUUUUUACACCAGCUGGAUGUAAGUAAUGCUUUUCUACAUGGUUCUUUGAAAGAGAAUGUAUAUAUGGCUCAACCACCUGGGUUCAUUGAUCAGGAUCAUCCUACUCAUAUCUGUCACUUGAAGAAAUCCUUAUAUGGCUUAAAGCAAGCCCCUCGUGCUUGGUAUGAAAAACUUCAAUCUGCUCUUUUCUCCAUGGGAUUUCAAGCUUCACACUCUGAUCAUAGUCUGUUUGUGCUGCAUAAACCUACCUUGGUUUUGGUUCUUGUGUAUGUAGAUGAUAUCAUAGUGACCGGACCUUCUUCUAGUGUCUGCAACACCAUCAUUUCUCAGUUGAGCUCUAACUUUCCAAUAAAGGAUCUUGGCGAUCUUCAUUACUUUCUAGGUCUGGAAGUUCAGAAAUCCACCUCAGGAGCCUUCAUUCAUCAAUCCAAAUACAUAUUGGAUCUUCUCAAGCGUACCAAAAUGGAUGGGGCAAAGCCAUGUGCCACUCCCCUUAGUUCUGUCAAGCUUGAUCACACUGGUUCCUUGUUGUCGAAUCCUGAGGACUAUCGCUCUAUUGUUGGCGCCCUCCAAUAUCUUACAUGGACCCGGCCUGAUUUAUCCUUUGCGGUUAAUCUGGUGUGUCAGUUUAUGCACUCUUCCCGGAAGCCUCACUUUCAAGCCGUGAAACGCAUCCUCCGGUAUCUAAAAGGGACACUUGGAUUUGGCUUAUAGUUUCCCAAAACCACAUACUUCUAAACGCCUACUCCGAUGCUGACUGGGCAGGAUGUUCGUGGGAUAGACGUUCCACUGGUGGUUUUUGCAUCUUUCUUGGUCCUUGUCUAGUUAGUUGUAGUGCAAAGAAACAGCACACAGUUGCCCGAUCCUCUACCGAAGCUGAGUACCGCUCCCUUGCACAUACCGUUGCUGAGAUCACUUGGAUCUGUCAACUCUUCUCUGAUAUUGGAUUCAAAUUGUCCUCUUUGCCAUAAAUUUGGUGUGACAAUGUUUCUGCAAUUGCCUUGGCUUCAAAUCCGGUUUUUCAUGCUCGAACAAAGCAUGUUGAAAUCGAUUAUCAUUACAUCCGUGAGCUUGUUUUGGCUAAGCUUCUUACUGUCAAAUUUGUUUGCAGUGCGGAUCAAUUAGCGGAUAUUCACACCAAAUCUCUGCCAAGACCACGUUUUCUUCAUCUUCGAUCCAAGCUUUCACUUCAACCUUCUCCGUUAAGCUUGAGGGGGUGUGAAGAGCAAGUUACCAUUGUAAAACAUUAGUGUUAGUCAAGUUAGUUAGUUGUUAGAAUAGUUACAAAUAGUUACCACUGUAACUAUUCUCUUUACUUGUGUAAAUCUAGUUUAUAUAAAUACCUCAGUGUAACUAAUUAUAAAUGUAAUGAAAUCAUUUCUCAAUACUAUGGCCAUAGACAUUUGUACCCAUGGUGUGCGGAUGUGCCGUAUGAUAACCCUCUAGGUAAGUACCAAAAACAUAACUCAAAAUCUCAUAUCAAACAUCGAAGCUCACUAGCUCAAAGUCUCAUCUCAUAAAUCCAAGAUAAAUUGUAUUCAUGAAAUCAUAAUUUAUGUUCAUAAAACCGUUAUAUAAGUCAUAUUCGAGAUCAAUAGAAAUCCAUAUAUGCAAAUCAAAUAAUUCAUAACCGUUCGUAAACGUAAUUUCGAUAAAAUUAUGAAUAUUUCGUAAACCGUAAUUAUGGAAGUUCAUAAACCAUAAUAUAAAACAUACUCAAAUCAUGAAAUACGAAAUGCAUGCUAGGCAACUAUUUUAAGAAAACAUAUAAGUUAGGAAGGGGUCCACUCACAGAUUUUAUUGCCCAAGAACCGCUUGAACUAGCGAGGAUGACAUCGCUUCUCGCCAAUGCGCCUAAACACAAUUAGGGACAUUUUAGCAAAACUCUACUAAAACGUUAUAAUUUGGAAAAACGAACGGUGGAUUGGGAUUCGGCAUGUCGAAAAACCUAAGAAGAGACCUCGGGUUUUCCCCCAUGUGCCGACGCACAUGGCGGACGGCCUUCCCGACUCAUCGGAAAAUUGAACAACUCCAAAAAUUCUAAAAUUUUACAGGAAUAAAUAUCUCAAUGAGUGGAGCAAGUUUCAUAAUUGUGACUAAGCCUAAUUUGGCCGGGAAAGACACUAAUUUCCCUCGAUCUUGCUGGAAACCCUAAAAAGAGUGGGUUUCGAUUUGCCGUCAUUGGUGCUUCGCUACCCCUAAGGUUGUUUGAGCCUUGUUCCUAGGCUUAAGGGGAGUCUAAUGGUGGUGGAGAUUGAUGUGAUUGUCUUCAGAAAAAGAUGGAUCGCCGACGAAGGGCACACGGCUACUGUCGUAACUCGCCAUAACACGGGCCAAAUUCCAUCGUUUUGUGGGUGGACAUCGAAGAAGAAGGGUCGUGAUGAUGGAUGCAAUUGAUGAGGUGUCCCAAUUCGUCAUAGAAAUGGCGCAAAACCAUCGGAAAAUCACACGUGGAGGUCGGGUUCUAACCGGGUCACAAAUGAGUGUUGGAGCAUAGAAAGAGGGUCUGGUUCGCUGGGUCUUUCCUCCCUCCCUUCUCUUCUCUUUGAUUGGUCACUCUCUCAUCUCCCUUCUCCCAAUUGGGCAUCAUCCUCUCCUUAUUCCUCAUUUUCUCUAUUUCUUAUCCAUCCACAUCCCUUCUUUAUCUUAUUUCUUUUCCAUCCUAGCCACACAAGUGGCUUUCUAGAUUUGUGCUCCAACAAUCUGGAGCCUUCUAGAAAAUGAGCAAUGACCAUUUUGUCCUCAACUUUGUUUGUUAAUAACUCAUUCGUUAUAACUCCAAAUUGCGUUCUGUUUGUGCCCACGCAUUUGUAGCGACGAGUACUAUUAGGAUACAUCAAGAAAACAGAUCUUACGUGACACGACAAGACGGUCAACAAAAGUCAACGUAUUUUCCUCGAAGAGCAUUUUCGUAAUAUCACAUUUUAAAAUUAUAAAAUUCGUAAUAAUCGGGGACUGGUCGUUACGCAUUAUACUUCGAAUUUUAACUAUUCAAACCGCCUAUAUUUAAGUCUUCAUUCAUAGAUCAUCAUAUCCAGAUCUCUGUGUCCUGAGCCGGUUAACUUAGAUAUCCAUUAGUCCAUCUCACUAGUCCGCCACACACAAUUAAAAGUUCGAGUCUCUCUUUCUCUCGCGUAAGUAGUUCGAAUCUUUGAUUAUGUUGAAUCCGAAUGUCGAGAUCUAGAGAGAAUCUCAAUUCGUGGCAAAGUAUUUUCCUUUCAUUUGAUGUCACCCUCUUUAAUGGUAGCCAAUGGACCCAAUGAGCAGAAACUGAACCUUGUGUGGCCCCUACACUUGGACAAUGGUUCGUCCACUCAAGUUCCAUCCAUGCAUAGCCAGCUUGCAUUUUUUUUAUUUGAAUCUUGUUCUUGUUGACUCCGGUAAUUAGGCGGAGCUUACUAAGGGGGCAAGGCUUAUUCUAUUUCUGAAUUUCAUUCAAGUAAUUUUUUUCUUACUCAUAAUAUAGUUACGUGGUAUUAUUGUUUUAUAAAAAUUAUUAAUAUAUUAAGAACAUCGUUUAUUGAUGUUAUAAUGUAACAAAGCCUUUAUUCAAAGAGGUUCUCAUUUUUUAGUAAAAAUAUGGACCACUCAUUAUACGUCGAAUUUCAAUUAUUCAAACCAUCUAUGUUUAAUUCUUUAUUCCAAAAAAUUCAAUAUUUCUUAAAAUAUAAUGUUUGUCAAUUUUUUUGAACAUAAUUGGAUGUCCCAAACAUUUUCGAUUUGAUUAAUAUUCUACAAAGAUGAUGUAUAGACUAUAACUUGAAAAAAAGACAGUUCCGAACAUUAAAGUUGGAUGUAAAAUGAGCCUUAGGACUAGUCCUUAAUUUUACUAGAAAAAUAGAAAUUCAUUUGAAUAAACACCAGUGUCCACCAUUGGGUACGUUGACAAUGACAAUGUGAUUGACACAUUCCACCAAUCAAGGCAUCAAGAUCGGUGUUUUGGACUGUUUGAUCACCGGUCUACUUUGCAGUUGUGUUAUCGUCAAUCAAUCAUGCAUGGUACGUGACAAAAAGUAUAUCAAGAGGUGAUUUUACAUAAAAAAAAUGUUGAUCUCUCUAACAUUACUUUUUCUCGUUUUUCGUUCUCUCCGACAAAUGGUAAUGACUUAAAUUUUACAUUGUGUUUCUUGCGAACGAGGGAAGAAAGAAAGAAAGAAAACAAAACAAAAGAAGUCAAAAAAACAAAAACAGAAACCGAACAGAAGACACAAAGUGGAGCGAAACACAUGGGAGGGAGGGACAAACAAACCCACAAUGUCCACAGAAACCACCACCCCGCCGAUGCACCAAGAUCAACACCUCCUCCAACAACCCAACCCUAACUCUAAUUUCUUCACCUUCAAUUCAAAUCCCAAUCCCAAUCCCAAUCCCAAAUCCAAUCCUAUCCCACCGCUCCCCAGAAGCGUUGGCAUUAGUGGCAAUGCCAAUGCUUCGGGACUAGCAGCGGCCGCCACGUCCUCGUCUUCAACCUCGUCCACCACGUCUACAUCCCUGAGCUUGGCGACAAUGCUGGGCAAUUCUGCCUCCCCUUUCAUCCGGGAAGAUGCGGACGGGUCCCACCUCCACCACGAUUACGGCGGGAGCCACAGGAGGGCCCACUCGGAGGUGAGCUUUCGGCUGUCGGAGGACAUGGUGGAUAUGUCCGCGGCAGCGGCGGAUCCGUUUAACGGCGGAUCGUCGACGGCGAGUCUCGAGGAGAUGGGAUCGGAGGAGGACCUGUUCUCCACGUACAUUGACCUCGACAAGCUUGGCGGGUCCAAUAAUUCGUCGGAUCAGAAUGGCGGCGGCAACGAUGGGCCCAAUGGUGGGCCUAAUGGUGGGUCCAAUGGGAAUGGCGGUGGCGGUGAUGGAGGAGGAGAGAAGAAGCUGUCCAGGCACCGGUAUAGCAGCUCGGUGGAUGGGUCGUCCACGUCGACCGGCGUGUUUGGGGAGGUCAUGGAUGCCAAAAAAGCUAUGCCUCCUGAUAAGCUCGCGGAGCUCUGGAACCUUGAUCCCAAGCGUGCCAAAAGGUCUGCAAAAUGCUCUGUUUUCUUCCUUUUUUUUCUUUCUGGGUUGCUUUGUUUUGUUGCAUUCUGUUUGGUUGCUGAGAAAAUGUGAAAUGUGAGAAGGAAUCCUAAUUGGGUUUUGGGGAUAUGGAAAUCGCGAACAUAUAAAUGCUGAAUUUAAUGAACUGAAUUCCAGAAACUGCAAAUUAGCAUAAAAAAAAUAUUAGUAACUGAUGUUGCCACAAACCAGCUAUUUUUCUGAUCAAAGGCUUUGCCUUUGCUAGAAUUCACUACUAGAGGUAGGUUGUUUCUCGGUUUUCAAGACUUUCCUUUUCGACUGAGAUCGAGUGUUAAUUAGAAUUGAACUGCAUGAAGGUUCUAUUUGGAGAAUAAUAUUUUAUAAAAUUUGGAAAAGUAUGAAUCCAUCGUCCUCCUAUUUGAGAUUCAUUCAUAUGCAUCAUAGUUUUCCUUUUCCUCAAGUUAUAUAUGCUUUUGCAUGCAUGAAAUGGAUACAGCAAUAACCGUAUUUUGCGAGAAUGUAUCAAUGGAGUACUUUCUCUCACCCAAGCAAACCAUUUAGAUUACUGCUGUACGAGUGUUUUGUACAUUCAAAAACUCAUGGUGGCAUGCAAGACUUGUGUGCCUAGUUGCCUACAAACUUCUUGAACUCUAUUUGUUUCCGGUUAAGGGAUUUUUGGGAGCCUUACAUUUUGGUUGUCAUAUAUAGGAUACUGGCGAAUCGGCAGUCUGCUGCUCGCUCAAAAGAACGGAAGGCACGCUAUAUGCAAGAACUUGAGCGCAAAGUUCAGACCCUUCAAACAGAAGCAACCACUCUUUCUGCCCAACUUACGUUAUUCCAGGUUUGUGUCGGUGUAUUUUAGCAGCUUUCGUUAAAUGUACUGCAUGUGCACAUCUUUUCUGACAACACUGCCUUAAAAUCAAACAUGAAAUCUCUGUUCAGCCAUUUUUUGUGAUCUAACAUUGCUAAUCGCUCUAUGUUAUGCAUUUUUAAAUUGAUAGAUGACACGUAGUAUGGAAAAAAAAAAGGUAUUCGUCAAUCAAAACAAAGGAUACUUGGAGCAAGUAUUUUAAUAGAAUUUCAUCAAUUCAUCCUUUGCUGCAAUGUUCUGUUAAUAUUUAGCCUUCAUUUGGUUCUGGACUGUGUUGUUCUGCUCACUUCUUACGUAUAUACACAAAUGUUUGUUAAUUGGUUAAAGGUUAUGACUUUUUUUGUUUUUUGUCACUUACAGAGGGACACAACAGGUCUGAGUACUGAAAACACAGAACUUAAGCGUCGGUUACAAUCUAUGGAACAACAAGCUCAGUUGCGCGAUGGUGAGCAACAUGCCAACUUUUAUCAUAUUUGAUACUCAAAACUUUUCUUAUUUCUGAAUUAUAUCAGAAGAGAAUGGUCUUAAUCCAACUGGUACUUAUUUUGUUUGAAAUAUUUCGUGCAGCAUUAAACGAAGCACUGAAGAAGGAGGUUGAGAGGCUCAAGAUUGCCACAGGGGAGAUGAUGAGUGCUUCUGAUUCAUUCACCUUGGGAAUGCACCAGAUGCCAUACAACCAUCCAUCAGCUUAUUUUCCGCUUCAACAACAACCAGGACCGGCUAGUCACCAGACCAUGCAUUUGCCACAAUUCAAUCAUUCCCAGUCUAGUAUGCCAACCCAACACCUGCAUCAGGCAAAUUCUCGUACUCAUCUUUCAGAUAUGUUGCAGAAUGGUCCUGUCGGUCAGUUACAGGGACUCGACAUUGGUAGCAAAGGAGCACCUCUCGUGAAGUCUGAAGACCCCUCGCUUUCUGCUAGUGAAAGUAGUUCUACUUUUUGACACAAACUGGCUGUCGAGCUGCUCGCCUGCUGACUUGUCCAUUGCACACGCUGUCUGGUAGGUUUGUUCAUAGAUUGAUAUCCGAUCAUUUAGAGAGGCUACUCCAUAUUUAUUUCAUUAUUUAUUGAAUUUGUGUCAAGAAUUUAUUCUUAAUUGUUUAUUCUUAGGGCUGUUCCCCAAAAGUGGGAGGCACCCUUUUCAUCUGUCUGUUCGAGGUUGAUUUUUUGUGUAUGGGGGUGCUAUAAAUUCUGGGAAUGGAAGGUCAUUCCCAUGGGCGUGGAGAUGCUGUCAAUUCAUGGCAGCAUUCUCAUCCUUUGUAUCUUGUUUGUUAUGUAAUACCUUGUAACUCUGUGUACUACUGCCACAUUUUUCUUUUUCCUUUCUGAUAUAUUCAUGCUUUUCUGAAAAUCAUAUUCAUAAAAUUUACUCAUCUAGUUUUUCAUUUUAUUUUAUUUUAUUUUUUAUUUAACUUAUUGAAGUUCGGUAGACGUCCGCCUUCCGACCCUUGCAAAGUGGGGAGUCUUAUUGGCAGGGUCACCCGUUACUUAUUGAAACUUGGCACACUGUGGUAGCUGUAAACCGGAUGUAUUUACUUAUCGAAUUUGAAAUAGACUCACGAACAAUGUCAUCUAGAGAAUACUUGACAAAAAAUUAACUGAAGUAUUGUUUUAUCAAAACUAGGCCGACCUCACUUAGUGGGAAAAAGUUUUGUUGUUGUUUGUUGUUGUUAUUGUUUUAUCAAAACUGAAAAUAAAAAUGUCAUAGAUAAAUUGUUCAUACAUACAGACAAUGCGUAUAUUUUGUGCAGGGCCGGUCCUGAGAUUAUGGGGGCCCUGUGUGAGACUUUAACGGAGACCCUUAAAUUGUAUAGAAUUUUCAUUGCUAUGUUUUCUUUUACAUUUUAAUUUUUAUGAUUAUGAAUGAAUUGAGAUUAAAAAAAAAAAAAUUUAGGUGGUGGACCGGUGGUUAGGUACUUAUUUGCAUCCCUAUGUUUUUGAGUUCGAAACUCCUUAUUUAUAAAAAUAAAAAAUAUAUAAAAAAAGAGAAUAAAACCCUUAAAAAGUCUAACAUUAUAGUUGCUAUGUUUUCUUUUACAUUUUUAAUCAUAAAAAAUAAUAAUGUAAAAGAAAAAAAAAAUUCUUGGUGUGGUAGCUAGUUGCCUAUUUGCCUCCCCUAAGUUUUUGGGUUUAAAACACCAUGCUUUUAAAUACCAAAAAUAAUUAAAAUAAAACACAAAACCAUGCUUUUAGAUACCAAAAUAAUUAAAAAUAAAACACACAAAAAUACCACCAUUGGGAGGACUCGAACCCAGUUCCUAGGUUAAGGAUAAUACGCUCAAGAGAAUUGCAUUGAGAGAACAAUUGAUUAUAUCUUUGCACGUUUAAAUUUAUAUAUGAAAUAUACAGAAAAGUAAAAUCGUAAAUCGAGGCCUUUGGGAGCUUUAUGCGGUGGCACUACUUGCACACCCUCAGGGCCGGCACUGAUUUUGUGUAUAAAAGGGGAUCAUUUUAUUAUUAAUAGAUGGUAAUGGAUUACGUACAAUCCUUAUACAGAACGAUUCGACCCUUCCAAAUUAUUAAGUUCCACAAAAGCAUUGUGAUUUAAACAACUAAGAGGUCUGUCUAGAUAUAUGGCUUCGAGGAAUAGUCUUCUCGGAAGCUUUAUUCUCCAUUCUCCAAUCCUCCUAUGGAUUCAGCUUACCCUGAAAAAAAUUGCACCCAAAUAUACAAUUAGUAUGCUAUUGCUUUUGUUUAUUAAUUAUCCAAUGCUUCCUAAACUAUCACAAUAGUAUCACUCUAUUCUUUGUUUUUUUCUCCUGAACUUUUAUUUUGCGUUUCACGUUGCCCUAUUUCAAUUUUCAUUAAGUGAAUCAUUACCUUUUUCUUAUGUGGACCUCAGCGAAAUAUGACCUUAGGGAUUAGUCCACGUAGGCAUCAUGUAAGAAAAAGUUAAAAGUUCACUAUAAUAAAUUAGACUAAAUAUAGUAAUUUGAGACGCAAAAUGAGUGCUCAUGAGAGCAAAGUGAUAGAGUCGCCAAAGUACGUACGGGUAAACUUUAGCAAUAGUUCAAGGGGGAUUUUGAUAAUUAAGCCAUACUUUGGUGGUAUGUUUACAAAAGUUAAAAACAUAAAGGAGGCUGAGGCUUACGCAGAGCAAUUUGUAGAGGGGUAAACUUUGUAAGGACAAGGAGAGCCACAGACAUCACCAAGAGUGUUAAUCCGGUCAUAAUUAAUCCCGGGGAUUGCUGCAGCUCCUUCCUGAAUGCAACUGCAAGCAAUUCUCCGGUCCAUCGUCGUGUUUUGUGCAGCAUUCAGCUCUUUUAUGCCUUUACAGCAAUCUGGAGGCACUGUGCCUCCAAACACUCCAAAGGGUAUGCAUGGAGUGAGCCAAGCUACCACUUCACCACAAGUUAUGGUGGCAUUACUGACAAAAGGAGCUAUCACAAAUAAGAACACUAUUGCCACGAUGACCGAAAACCUGGCCAUGGUUAGCUGCCUUUGUUUGGGUUUGGGCAGGAGUACUACACAUGUAUAUGGGGCUAUAUAUAGAGUGUGAUGUUAUGAACAACAGCUUGUGCGGUUGUGCCAUCUCAUCAUGUAUCGAAUGACUUAAACACUAACUAACUUGUUUAUAAAACUCGUUGAUCUAGUAGCAUUCCUCAUAAAAUCCAUGACAUGUCCUGACCCACACUGACUAAUUAGAACAAAGCUGACCUAACUGAGCACGUACUAACUAGACAAAUUAAUUAACUAGCUAAAUGACACGUGUUUGAUGGUGUAAGCUAAUAUGAUCUUAAUGUUGAUGUCAAGGAACGGCAAAUUAACCCAAACCACAUUCUAAUUCUGUGUUGGGUUUAAGUAGGGUUCCCUUUCGUGCCAAAAUUGUCACCCUUCAAAGUUAAGUAUGCCAAACUAUAUGUUGACACGGGUGGCCUGGGAACAAGAUAGGGUUUGACUGUCUGUCGUUACUUAUGGAGGUCAUGGGGCUGCUGCUAGAAAAUUCAAUCUUCCUUGAACAGAUGGCUCAAGAAAAUUAUUGGAAGGAAAAUUCAACGGGUCUUGAGCCUUCUUGUGGAUAAGGAUGCGUGGCUAAUCAAUUCUUAUUACUUGGAUAGGGCUCAAUAAUGUCAAAGACUAAGAUUCUUAGCGUGACCCGAGAUAUAUCCUCCUCUUUCUGUCUCUCCCAUCACAUAACUGUAUGCUAAAUCCCCCGUUAAUUAUGAAUGUUUCAACUAGGUUUGAAUUUUCCAUGCCAAAUUUAAUCCAAGAUUCAAGGCGUCAACAAUGCAAGGUUCCAACUUCUGCACAGUACACCGGAUUGACUGUUUGUUCUUUCUUUUUUUACUUGUUUGAUUGAAUUCUGUUCUAACUUCUAAAGCAUUUCUUAUUGAAAUUCUUAAAAUUGGAAUUGGACCUAUGUACGUAGGGUUGAGAUACUUUCUUUAUGAUGUGCUGAAACCUGCAUUGUUCUUAGAAUUAUUUUGUACCCGAGUCGCACCAUGUAAGGAAAAUCUGACUUAAUAGAGAAUAAUACCACUAAACCGUAAUGCUAAGUGGUCAACGAAUUAAAUACUUUGAAUUCCAAACAUUCACUGGGAGCUUAUUGAAUUAUAAGUCUUAGUUAAGUACAUUUACUAUUGAUAUAACGGCAUCGCUUUGUACAUCAAAAUUAAAAAGGAUUACAAAAUAGUUGUUUACCGAAGUUAUUUAUGAAAUUUGUUAUUACUGGCACCCCAAUUAUGUCAUCCUGGACUAUAUUAUUCAUCCUCUUGUGAAUAAAUGGGGCGCGAAGAAACGAAUCCUCCGAUUUCUCCACCGGGAGGAGGAGGAGAAGUUAUAGUGCAGCAACGACAUUAGGGAAUGUAAAGUCCACGGACUUUCUUAAUUAUGCAAGAACCACUUUGCCCGCAUUCCUCUAGACAAUAAUAAUCGCACGAUGUCGGCUUGCAUUUUUUAAGGUAAUCACGGCAACAUGGUAUUUCCUGGCAACAGUCUUGAUAAGCUUCACCUCGAAAAGCUGUAAAACAUCAAUUGAGCUCUUUUAGCUAUACGAUACAUGGUUAAUUUUAUUGAUUUAUUGGUCAGUUUUAUGUAGAUUGGGACAUAUGAAUUGAAACAGGAUUAGGAUCGAGAGACAUACAUUGUUUUGACAUACAUUCUAACGCAUUUUCUUAGGUUCCACUAAAAAUUAUAUUUCAAGGAUUUGAAUCGCUUAUUUUUUAGAUAUUUAUUCAAAGAUCAUUUCAUAAAAUCAACCGAAUUCAAAACUAUAUGUCGAACUGUAUCCGUUCAUUUUUUUUCACUACAAAUGAAUGUUUUAAUGGUUUUGGGUUUGUCUUUGCAAGGAUGAUCGAUAAAUUGAAAUAGACAUUUGCAUUUUUUGAAAGAGAUUACGUAGUGAGCCCUAAGAAAAUAUGUCAAAAUGUUUGUUAGAAAAAUAUGUAUCCCGGAUCCUGACCAUAUAUAUAUAUAUAUAUAUAUAUAUAUAUAUAUAUAUAUGUUAAUGAAAGAAGAAAGCUAUAGCGUGAACCAACAAAGCUAUAGCAUUAUACAGACCUGUGCAUAAAGCAUAGGUGACAAUACAGAAAAGCACCAGCUCUUGUGCUAUGGCCAUCUUUUAAUCUUCUCAAAUUUCUGUGGACUAUUUCAUUUAACCAGCCAUGAUAUAUAUAUAUAUAUAUAUAUAUAUAUAUAUAUAUAUAUAUAUAUAUAUAUAUAUAUAUAUAUAUAUAUAUAUGUGCAUAUGGUGAUGUAGUCGGAGACUCCUUUAACUGGAUUUCCUUUUGUGGAGGGAGAAUGGUGUAUAUCUAGGAAAUCAAUGCCCAUUUAAUUUAGAGGUUGAAAGUUAAUUACCACUUUUGAACCAUUAAUUAGGAUAUGCUGCAAGGAUUAUUAAUAUUUCCUUUUCAGAUCCGGCGUGAUCGACAGUGAAUUUGUUGAAGACUCUUUAAUUUAUUUUUUUUUAAGUUAAGGCUGUUUAAUCAUUUUGUUAAAAACAAAAAAACAAUAAUGGAUUGUGGAGGACUUGAUGAUGGAAAGUAGGCUUAUGUUUAGCAAUAACUCUUGUACUCGUUACCAAAUUUCAUUUUAUUUUUUGGGAAAUUUUAUUUGAAUCCAUAUUUUGUAUCUCAACACCCAACUUACUUUUUAUAUCCACAUUGUAUUUACUUUAUCUAUCAUUAUCUAUUUACACCCAACAUUAUUUCCUAAACCGCCAUUACUUAUCAAAACUCAACUCAAUCAAACUUCUUUUUACAACCAACUCAAUAUACUUAAAAAUAAAAAAUAAAACCCUAACCAGUUCAUCAUCUCCAUGGAGCAAAUCCCCUUCUCUCCCUUUAAAAAACCCUUCCAUCUCCCAUGGUUGUCAUUUUGCACCCCCAUCUACUCCUCCGUGGUCAUCCAAACCUCUUCCUCUUCCUUUUCUUCAUCAUUUGACAUCUCUAAAUUUCUAGAGCACUAAUUAGCUUAAUAAUCGAUAUGAGCUUCUGCUUAGAGUGUUUAAUGAGUUUGGUAUGUUUCAGUUAAAUGAGAAUCUUCUAGGCUCUAUAUUCUUAUUUGUGGUAGAAAAAUGGGUACGUCCAUGAUAACUUUUUGUCGAAACCGUGGAUAUUUAUUAGGUACAAAAGUUGCGGACAACAAUUCACAUUACAUUGAACUGUGGCUAAAAAGUAUAUCACCUUUGCAAUUUUUCUAGGUGAACUCAUAGCUAAGCAUUUUUUAUUGUGAAGCAAAACUUCGGGAAUUGAUCUAACCUGGAUGUGUAAUUGAAUUUAUGCAUUUUAAUGAUUAAACUGAUUAAUACUUCAACCAUAUAUGGAUUUGAUAUCGUAGAAUCUUUUAGCCUCUAUAUGCCACAAAAGUUGCGGAAAAAAAAUUUACAAUACAUAGAACUGUGGUUAAAAAGUAUAUCACCUUUGCACGUUUUAUAGGUGAACCCAUAGGUAAGCAGUUUUAUUGUUGACCAAAACUUCGGGAAUUGAUCUAACUUGAAUGUAUCAUUGAGCUUAUGCAUUUUAAUGAUUAAAUUCAUAAAUAUAUCGACCACAUAUGAAUUUAAUAUCGUAUUGUCUUUUAGCCGCUAUAUUGGUAUAUGUGGCAAAAAAAUGGGUACCUCAAUGAGAAAAUUUUGUAGAUCGAUGAAUAUUUUCAAUCUAGAUAUUUAUUAGAUACCAGAAAUUAUAAGUCUAUUCGCGAAAGUCUAAGUCAAUGCCACAUACAAUAUUUGUUAAGACAUAUUUAGAGAACUGUUAUUAGCACUCCAAAAAUCUCAUUCUACACUCCGCAUAAGUGUAUUUUUCUUUCUAAUUAUAGAAAGUUUGGAGUGCCAAAUGAGAUUUUUUAAGUGCUAAUAACAAUUUUCUAUAUUUAUACAUUUUAUUUUAGUUUGGAAGUCGACUUGCUUUUUUUUUUCUUUUCUUUUUUCAAGUUGGGAGUAUCACUAACUGUGACUCUGUGCAACUAGUUGUUGAUUCGUUUUGAAUAAUCAACAUUAUUUCUUACAAUGUCUUGGGCGUAUGAAUAACAGAAAGAAAACAGUCAUGAUACAAGCUUAAUAGUAGUAAUACUAAUUAGUAAACAACUUGUGCAUGAUGUUUGCUAACAACCAAGUGGCAUGAAGGGAUUGUUUUUUCUGUUUGUUUCUCGGGAAUAUUUGCAGGCCCACCUGGUUUCAUUUCUCUGGUUGUUGGAUUCGCAAGGUAAAGUUUUAUGGAUGCAUGAUGUUUGCUUAUAACCAAGUGGCAUGAAGGGACAAAUGUGUAUGUUUCAUGCAUGUAUUAGUCGUUGAGAUAUUUUGCAUCAAUUUGUUUUUGUUUUUAAUAUGUAUAUAUUAAGUUCUAUUUUAAUGGGAUUGCUCACCACCUCUAAGUUAAGAUAAUGCCUUUAUUUAUUGUUGUUAAGUGAGUUUAAUUAAUACUAUUCCAAGUCAUGCAUGAAACAUACAUAUUUGUCCCUUCAUGCCACUUGGUUAUAAGUAAACAUCAUGCACAAUUUGUUUACUAAUUAGUACUACUCUUAUUCAGCUUGUAUCAUGACCAUUUUCUUUCUAUUAUUCAUAGCCAAGACAUUGCAAGAAAUAUUGUUGAUUUUUCAAAACAAAUCAACAACUAGUCGCAUAGGGUCAUAGUCAGUGAUACUCCCAACUUGAUAAAAAAAAAAAGGAAGUCGACUUCCAAACUAAAAUAAAAUGUAUAUAAAUAUAGAAAAUUAUUAUUAGCACUCCAAAAAUCUUAUUUAGUACUCCAAACUUUCUAUAAUUAGAAAGAAAAAUACACUUGUGCAAAGUGUAGAAUAAGAUUUUUUGGAGUGCAAAUCACAAUUCCCUAAAUAUAUGACACAUCCCGACCUAAGUCACGGCGUGCUGGCCGUCACGUGAGGGUGACGUAGCCAUGUGCACAGUGCAGAAACGAUAAGGAUAAUAGAUAUACGAAUAAAUAAAAAUCGAAAGCUACUAAUGUGCACUAAUAAAGAGGAAGUGCUAGGAAUGAGAUACAAGUGUAAAUACACCUAAUCAGAGCAUAGAAAGUCUAGGUGCAGUCCUCAAAUGCCACCAACAACAAAUCAACCUAAAACCUGGAGGGGUGCAAAACAAAAAACGUGAGUGGGCAAAAACAAAGCUUUUCAAAAUCAUUUCAUUUAUCAAAUGCUCUAACCCCUCGCCGUAAAACAUGUAUAAUUUUUCCUAUAAAUGAAAUAUAAAUAUAUAUUUACAUAUAUAUUUCAAUUCAUGCUUCACAUAUCCAUAAUCAUAAGUAUGCCAUGCCAAAAAUAUAAAACAGAAUAAGUAACUCAGGUGAAAAUAAAUUCAUGGAAAAUAACAUAUUAGCCGGAACCCCCGCAAAGGUUCAUAGCUCAUUUAUCAAUCUAGCCGGAGUCAUCGCCAGUGACCUAUACGACACUACAUCUGCACACGAGUCGGAACCACCUGUAGUGGUCUGUACGACAAGACUGAGUGUGAUAUAGUUUUGCUCAAUGCUACGCUCUCAUGAUACUUGUGCAAUAAAUCGCUAGUCAGUUACGAGUCGGAACCACCUAUAAUGGUCUGUACGACAAAACUGUGCACCUAAAUUGGAUCCCAUGUGAGCAUAUGGUGCGGGAUGUGACAUUAUAAAUAGGCAUGUGCUAUAUCUCUGGCUAAAUCACUAACACUAUGGUGCAGGUUUAUGAGCUCAAUGUUUCUCAAUUAAUCACAACCGUUAUUUACAUUCACAAUUUAUAAACUCACCUGGGCUUACCUGAGCAUCCACAGCACCACAAUUAUAUAUAAUGCAUCAUAUACUAAUUCAUAUACUGAACAUAAAUUUAUAUGCAUGGCAUUUCAAGGCAUACUUUCAUUUAAACACAUUUUUUGGGAAAAUAUAAAGUAUAUAAGUAUAUACUAAAAACCAAAAGCCCACUCAUUGGUAUGUCGAAGGGUCGUAGCCCCCGAGUCACCCUUGACUACGCCCGUCCUCAGGAUAAGUCUCCCUAUAUGCGAAACAACUAUAAAAAUGUUAAUUUAAAGCACAUAACCAAUACUAGCUAAUAACUUAUCAUACAAUGCUCAAAUGAGGUGUUUGAAUAUACCAAUGUGAUCUACACAACCUCACGAACAUUCCCAUAUUUUUAGAAAAAAUUUCCAACUCUUCACGUGCCGCCACAUGCAUGGCACACUAACGGCGACAGUUAAUGCCGUCAAGAAUAUUUCGUUUAAUGCCGUCAGGAAUAUUCCGUUAAAAUAUAGGGUAUUCUGCCUAAAAACUAACGGCGUUGCCUUACACCGUUAGCAUAUUCCGUCAAAACUGACGGAAUAUGCUUCUUCUUCCCUGACGAGUCACCAGACACCGGUGACUGUUCGCCGGUUUCUGGAAAAGUUUCUAACCCUAAUUUCUCUCUCAUUUUAACACCAAACUUCAUGAAACUUGAACCAUUUUGAAGAUCUCACCAAGAUGAACAAAACCAUACCUGAGUCGAGCCCUGAAACCACCAGAAACUCGUCGAAAAAAGCCUCGAUAUUCCGGCAAAUCUUAAAACCCGUCGUUCUCGAUGAUUUGACAUCCAAUUUUUUCCAACGAACCACUCCGAGCUUCGUGAGAACCUCAUAAAGCUUCAUGUGAGCUUGAAAUCCCAAAAAACACACGAUUUUACGAUUGCAUGAAUAGUGAAAAAAAUCAGGUUAGGGUUUUCACGAGUUUUCGAAGAAGUUCUUACCUAAAAAUGGUACCAUUCAACUCGUAAGAACCUCAGGAACACAAUGGUGCCCUUUGAAUCCUCAAUCUGUGCGUGUAUGGUUGGUUUUGAAGUUCGUAUGUACGUUUGUGCGGAUGUUCUGAAAAAUCCGAGAGGGAGGAGAGAAAGAAGGCACAGGAAAGAGUGAGAGUUUGUGUGUGUGUGUGGUCCACGUGGGUGACCAACCAAAACCAAAGAAAACACUUUGAGUCCUAAGAUUUUCCAAAACUUAUGAAAAAUUUAGAAUUUGUCCAAAUAAAUUUAAACUUAAACCACACCACCAGAUAAUUCAAUUAUAUCUCAACGUCCAAAGGUAAUUUAGUAACUUCCAUGCCAUCGAUAAUUUAUUUCGGGACGGCUGUGACAAUAUAUCUUAACAAAUAUUGUAUGUGGCAUUGACUUAGACUUUUGCGAAUAGACUUAUAAUUUCUGGUAUCUAAUAAAUAUUCAAAUUGAAAAUAUUCAUCGAUCUACAAAAUUUUCUCAUGGAGGUACCCAUUUUUUUGCCACAGAUACCAAUAUAGAUGCUAAAAGACACUACGAUAUUAAAUUCAUAUGCGGUCGAGAUAUUUAUGAAUUUAAUCAUUAAAAUGCAUAAGCUCAAUUAUAUAUUCAAGUUAGAUCAAUUCCUGAAGUUUUGGUCAACAAUAAAAACUGCUUACCUAUGAGUUCACCUAUAAAACGUGCAAAGGUGAUACACUUUUUUACCACAAUUCUAUGUAUUGUGAAUUUUUGUCCACAACUUUUGUGGCAUAUAGAGGCUAAAAGAUACUACGAUAUUAAAUACAUAUGCGGUUGAAAUAUUUAUCAGUUUAAUCAUUAAAAUGCAUAAACUCAAUUACACAUCCAAGUUAGAUUAAUUCCCGAAGUUUUGCUCCAUAGUAAAAACUAUUUAGCUAUGAGUUCGCCUUUAAAACGUGCAAAGGCGAUAUACUUUUUAGCCACAGUUCAAUGUAAUGAGAAUUGUUGUCCGCAACUUUUGAAUCUAAUAAAUAUCCACGGUUUCGACAAAAAAAAAAGAGCUUUAAAACUUUGAGUUUUAAUGAUGAGGACAAAAUAAAUGGUAAAGUGAAUAGUACCAUGUUUGACUUUUUAGUGUAAAAAUGUGGUUUUUCGUUAAAGUGAACAAUACUGUGGGCUUUUCGUUAAAACUCCCAAAAAAUAAUCCACGGUUAAAAAUAUUCAUUGAUCUACCAAAAGUUAUCAUGGACGUACCCAAUUUUCUAGCACAUUUAGGAAUAUAGAGUCUAGAAGAUUCUCAUUUAAUUGAAACAUACCAAACUCAUUAAACACUCUAAACUAGAAUCAUGUCAUCCUGCACUAUCUAUCGGCACUGAAAAGUUAUUUAUCCUCUGGUGAAUAAACGGGGCGCGGAGAAAAAGAUCCUUGGAUUUCUCCACCGGGAGGAGGAGGAGGAGAAGGUAUAGUGCAGCAACGACAGUGUGGAAGGUAAAGUCCACGGACUUCCUUAACUAUGCAAGAACCACUUUGCCCGCAUUCCUCUAGACAAAAAUAAUCGCACGAUGCCGUCUUGCAUAUUUUAAGUUGAAGGUAAUCACGGCAACAUGUUUCUUCGUGGCAACAGUCUUGUUCAGCUUCACCUCGAAAAGCUGUAAAACAUGAAUUGAGCUCCGUCAGCUAUACGAUAUAUGGUUAGUUUUAUUGAUUAAUUUAUGGGUCAGUUUUAUGUAGAUCGGAUUAGGACAUAUGCAAUUGAAAUACGAUUAGGAUUGAAUGAUACAUUGUUUUGAUACACUUUCUUACGAUCCCUAUACCCUGUCUUUUAGGUAUUUUUUCAUAGAUUAUCUUUAUAAUAAUCAGCCAAAUCCAAAACUAUAUAAUCGUUGGAUUAAAGGCAAUCAUUUUGUGUUCCAAAUCCGUCAGUUUUUUUCACUAUAAAUGAAUGUCUUAAUGGUUUUACAUUUAUUUAUUUUUUAUUACACAAAUGAUCUAGAAAUGAUUGAUAAUUUGAAAUACAUACAUUCACAUAUUUUGAAUCACAUUCUUGAACAAAAGCCCUUAGAAAAUUUGUCAAAUUGUUUGGUUGAAAAGUAUGUGUCCCCGAUCAUGACCAUAUAAGGCCAUCUCCAACCGAAGGGUCCAGAGGGCCAGAGGGCCGAAAAUAGCCCUAAAACCGUCUCCAACUGAGGGCUAGGCCAGAGGGCUCGGGAAUCUGGGAGGGCCCCACGGGAUCAGAGAGGGCUGGAGGGCUGGCUGCUUUCGGCCAGCCAGCCAGCCCCGGUUGGAGACGGAGGCAAAUAUGGCCACUGUAAUAUUAAUAUCUUGAAAAAUCUUGGAGGGCCAGAGGGCUAAAACGAGCCCUCUGGCCAGCCAUCGGUUGGAGAUGGCCUAAUAUGUUAAUGAAACCAACAAAGCUAUAACAUAUAAUAUAAAUUUACUCCACCAUUUGAUGAAAAUAAAUAUGUAUUACACAGACCUGUGCUUAAAGCAUAGGUGACAAUACAGAAAAGCACCAGCGCUCGUGCAAUGGCCAUCUUCUAAUCUUCAGCUUUUUUCUGUGUACUAUUUCACUUAACCAGCCAUGAUAUAUUAGCAUGUAUAUAUAUGUGAUAGCUAUUGUGGAGGGAGAAUGGUGUAUAUCUAGGAAAUUAAUGCCCAUUUAAUUUAGAGAUGAUUUUGUUGUUAAUUAGCACUUUUGAACUAUUAGAGAUAUGCUACGGAUUAUUAAUAUUUCCUUUUCAGAUCAGGCGUGAUCGACAGUGAAUUUGUUGAAGACUCCUUAAUUUUUAUUCAAAGUUAGGUUUUUUUUUUGUUUAUUUAUUUAUUUUAUAUUAAAGAAGGGUUCGAAGCUAUUACAAUAAUUUAAAAGAGAUAAGUGUUCGAACUUAGGAUGAAUGUGUGAAAACCCAACACCGUGUCCAAUAUUCUUUUUCAAAGUUGAGACUUUAAUAAUUUUGUAAAAAAAUAUAUAAAUCAUCAUUGCACUUUUGGGGUGUUGAGGAUGGAAAGUAAGCUUAUUUUUAGCAAGAAUCCAUGUACUCUCAGCAAGUCUCAUUACCUUAUCGAGAAAAAUCGUCCAUUCGAUUGCAUUGAACUCUAAAUCAAUUCUUUUUCCAAUUCUUAAUGUUUUUUUUUCCUACAAAAGGGGAACAACGGGUGACAAACUACAAUUAUGCACCCCUUUCGAGUUCGGAAAGGCUAUGGAGAAUUUCACCCUACUCGUGGUCACAGUCAAGCAAACUCACUAGCCAAAGCAUCAAACUCGGGACCUUCUACAUUUUUUUUGUUUAUUGGGGAGCCGCAGUGUAAUUGUUAACGUUUCAAUUGGGACAUACAUGUUGCAUGCUAAAUACCAAAUAUAUGCAAUUUAAUUACCUUUGUUUUCUAUUCUUUUAUUCAAGUUAAUUUUCUUUUGGUAUAACAGUUGUUGACCAUAUCUUUAAAAUUAACUUUCCAAAUUAAGUUUUUAUACUACAAAUUCAAUGAAUUUUUCUAAUUAUGUUUUUAUUCCAAAUUUAUUUCAAUUGACCGUUUGGACAUGGCAUUUAAUUGUUUCUACUAAUAACCUGUUGUUUUCAAAUUGGUUGAAAACAAAAAUCCUUCAGUUACAUAACAUUGGUUAACAAUUAUAUUAAAUGCAUAACGGUACAAUCUUUUUUAUUUAAUUUGUUUCAACUUUGAAAAUAAAAUAUCGAUCUUGAUUGAAAGAUGUACAUACUUAUGUAAUUUACAUUUUCGUUUGAUUUAUUUUACAUCUAAAUGAGGUGGAAUUCGUAAGUUGAAAAUAAUGAGAGAAGAAGGCUACCACGUGAACUGAGAGAGGAAUCACAUGAAACAUCUCCACGUUUGAGUAAAAAUAAUAUUUACAUUUCCCAAAAUUAUAAAUGAUAUGUAAAUAUAAUUUUCACAAUUAAAACAAAUGCAGAAGCAAUAGAACAAUGACGUCUAUCAUUGACAAUUCAAAAAAAUCAUCAUGCACUUCAAACACAUAAAAACUUAACAAAGCGUCAAUAACAGUUCUUUUAAACAAUAUUAUUUAAAUAAACGUUUGUAUAGUAAAAUGAAAGAAAGAGUUUUUAUUAUCAUAAUUUGGAUUACAUACGAUCCAUACGAUCCAUUACCCAUAUUCAAAUAAUUAAUAAUCGAAUGCGACAAAAUAAAGCAUUGUGCUUUCAAUAAGUGACCCUUCUUGUAGCUAGAUUUUUAGGAAUAGUCUUCCAGGAAGCUUGAUUUCAAAGGCAUUAUUCAGUUUACCCUGCAAAUAAAUUUCAUCCAUGUACUGUUUGCAUGCUAAUUUGUACGUAAAAUUCAGUAACAAAAACGGGAAUGUGUAUGAAUUAACACAAGGCUUACUCGGAGCAGUUAGUAGAGGGGUAAACUGUGUAGGGGCAAGGAGAACCACAUCGAUCCCCAAGCGUGUUAACUCGGUCAUAAUCUAAUCCUGGAAUCAUUGCAGCCCCUUGUUGAAUGCAGCUGCACGCAGUUCUUCGAUCCUCCGCGGUGUUUUGUAUAUCAUGCAGGCCUUUUAUGCCGGCACAACAAUCCGGUGGCACGUCCCCUCCAAACACUCCAAAGGGGAUGCAUGGAGUGAGUAAGGUGACAACCUGACCACAAGUUACCGUUGCAUUAACGGUGUAAGGAGCAGUCACCAGCAUGGAUAAUAGCACGACCGUAAAUGCCGCCCUAGACACCGUCACACCGGAGUCCUUGCCAUAGUUGCUGGGUUUGCAGUUAAUAUAUUUUCUCCUUUAGGUUGUUUGGGCAGGAAACACAUGUUAAUUGCCCUUAUAUACUGGAGAGCAAGGCCGUCUUUGACAUUUUGGAGAUCCUAUGCGAGUUUAAUAAAAAGGCCUUCUUAUUUAAAAAAUAUAUUUUUGGACAAUAUAUUUUACAAAGCUCAACAAUCAAUAUUCAAACUUAAUUGAAAUCAGAAUGUCAUUCUUUCUUACUAAUUAAAUAAUCUCCAAUAUAAAAUCAUGAUUUAUGGUUCAUCUAUAAAAAAAUGGAGCACAACUGAAAGAAAUAUAUGAAAAUACUUUUGUAUUUGUGGAAUAAAGUAAUACACACAUUAAUUUUUUAUUGCUCAAUAGAAAAGUGGAAGAAAGUAAUACACAAAUUUUUUAUUGCUAGAUAAAAGUAGAAAAUUUAUAUGUUAAGUAUCAGUUCCACUUAAUCAAAUUGUAAUAUAGAUAAAAUCAGACAAUUGAUAAUUUUCUUUUCAGUUUAAAACUUUUUUAUUAGAAAUUUAUACACAUAUUUAAUAUAAAGGAUGAUGAAAAGUUUUGGGGCCCCUAAAAAAUUCAUGGCCUUAUGUCACUGCACCUUUUGCACACCCUCAACGCCCCAUCUGCUGGAGAGCCUUGGUCUUCGCUAUGUGCAAGUUAACCAUCACCUGUGUGUGACAAAACGUUAUCUGAUUAUCUGUUAGCAUUGGUCAUAGGGGCUGCAGGAAAAUUCAACUUUUCGUGCACCGAAUGGCCCACGGCCGGAAAAUGAGUGCAGAAAAAUACAAAGGGUCCUGAUCGAGUGAGAUCACGUCGACAAAAGGGUUCCGGGAGGAACUUGAGUAGGGAAAAUGGCCGAGAAAGUGUUUUAGAAAUGCAUGCCAAGGGACAAAGAGAGAAGGGACACUUUCCACAAAAAUGAAGCUUCCGUAUCUCUUCCUCUACUCCGAAAUAUCCCGGUCUCAACAACGCAAGGUUCGAAUUACAGCACGGUACUGUCAGGCUAAUAAAACAGUCGAGGAAGUGUCAGCUUUCGGAACUACCUCGACUGUUUUUGUUGUAUCUGAAAUUACUUGCUUUCCUUGGUCUUUCCUUCUGACUUUUCUGAUGGAAGAAGAAGAGUGGUAUUUCCUGGCAAGAAAAUUCAAAACGAUGAUAACCCGAUUUCGAUUUCAUCUAGUUCUAAAUUCUAAUUCAUCAUAUGCAUUUUUCUUUCUUUGGCUUUGGCAAUUAUUUCUCAAGAGUUUUUCUCUUUAAACACCACCUCAUAUCUACAACUCUUCAACAUAAAUCGUACAUAGUGGAACAAAAAUCAAGUUUCAAGGAAUUAAGUGGCGAAAUUUGAACUCCCAAAGUAAAAUGAGAUUGAAAUCGAGUUCAAUGGGGCACAAAACCGAGCACAAUGAACUUCUAGGAUUCAUAUAGCCGACCCCACUUAGUGGAGUAAGGCUUUGUUAUUAUUGGUAUAUUUACACCAAGGAGCAGAAGAUUUAGGUCAAGCCACAAUGUUUCAAUAUCAAACACGUCACAAGAUUCAAACCUAAAAUCUCUCAUUUACAAGUGAAAAAAAAUACUACUAGCCUAUGGUACAUUAGUACUAGUUGAUAAAAGGACACUACAAAACAUCUUUCAUCCACAUCCUGUAGUUGUACAAAUAUGCAAAAAGUUAAUGUACACGUCCGAUAAGGUACCGGAUGACCAAAACACAACCGAGCAGACUAUUCACAGGUGCCGCUACCCUUCCAUAUUUCUCCACUUGUCCUUUAGAUCAACCUGGAAGGACAUGGUAACCCCAAAAGUCUUAGACACAACAUUGACUGAUGAAGUAGAGACAUUUAAGAUGAACAGAAAAACUUGUUUACGGAAUGUACUUAUGAAUAUAUUACGAAACAUGGGUACCUCAGUUCUCUCUUCGAAUAUAUCGCGGUAGCUAUUCAAGAUAAGUUUCCAGUUCCCUUUUCCAUACCUUCAGUGAAAACGACCAAAACAAUGAGACUCAGAAGCAUACACAAUGUUCAAACUAAUAUCAGAUCCUACUUAUCCAUUCAAGUUGUAAUGAGUAAUGACAGGUAUUCUGUCAAGACAAGGACCUACCGAAUGAUGAUCUAAAUCAUUAAAUUUAGAGGGGGAAAACAGGGAAACAAAAAAGAGGCCAGAGAGAAGAAUGCAACUUACUUCUGUACACCAGUCCUUAAGGUUUCUUCUUCCAAUAAGCUCCAUCUCUUAACUUUUCUUCUCUUAGUCAAUCUGAUAUUCCCAUACUUCUUCAAUGGAGAAACAGCAGUCCUCUUUGGGCUCGGAAGGUGAAGCCUGCCUGCAUCUUUCUUUGUUCCUUCUUGUGACGUAUCUAUUGAGUCCUCCCACUGAAAAAACAAUUUUCAACAUGGAGUACAAAUUUAUGCAACCAGAACCACAAAAUUGCAGCAGGGAAUAAACCAUAAUAGAAACUGAAUAAAAUAACUAACAGCAGAGAAACUCAUGGAUUCAGUAAAAUGUUUACGAGGAAUUUGUUAUGUUCCCCUUGCCAAAGAUAAAAGCAAAUCAGGUCUCACACUCGAAUAAAAAAAAAAUAAAAAAACCGCAUGAACAUAAAUACCUCGAAAGUGCGGGCAGUACUAUUACGUUCCAUCAAGCUAGAACGUGCAACGUUAUUCUGAUUAUUGAGAGAAGCAUUUCUAAGAUUGGCAGCAUCAGUUUGAACAGACUCAGUGCCUCCCUGGUCGACAGGCGGAUUUGGUACAUCCUUUUCUAUUCCACUAGAUUGAGGAUCAUUCUGAUGUCUGGAUGGCAGAUUUCCAACAUUAUCAUUACUAGAUUGAACAGGCCCAGCACCCUUCUCGAUAGAUGGAUUAUCUGCACCUACAUCUUUUCCAUUUACAUGAUUCGCAGAUCUCACUGCCAAACCAGAUCUUAUGGUUUCAGACACUCGUAAUGCAUCUGGAAGUGGAUCAGUCACUACUUCUUGGAGCUCCGAAAUACUGGAUUUAAGUGCUUCUUGUGCUUUGUUAACUUCAGGGGAAGAAAGGGAACCAAAUUUUCCUAUUUGAUACCUCUGUGCUUGAAUCUUCAGCAUCCCCAAUCCUAAUUGGUCCUCUAGUGCGUCUAUGAGCAAGGUGCUUGUGUCUAGGCACAGCACUUUGAUUUUCUACAAGAAAUAAAAAAAAAACAGAAAUAUAAUAAUUCGAAACUGAAGUCUGCAAUAACUAUAUUAUGCACGAGUUGGCAAGUUGUAUAUUUGGCAACGCUAAACAACCCAGAACAAGAUCAUGCACUUCAAAGAACAACAGAUGACAGAUAAUACAAUACAAAACAUUCUCUCACCAUCCACGCACAUAAGUUAAUGUCACUAAAAUUACCUUAAUCUCUGCUAAUGAAAAAAAAGUACCUUUAUCCUUCGUGGUAUGGUCAAUACUGAGAUCCAGUUCCCCAUUCAGACUAGGCGAGCUCCCUGCCCGAACUUCCUUCAAUGGGACGGCAACUAAUAUCGGACCCAAUUCAGACUCCUCACCGAAAUUUAUCGCAUUCAAUUGUUGCUCUUCCAAUGCAGACUGACUGCCCACAUUAGAUCUAUUCGUAGUUUGUGCCUGCCUUUGUGACCGAACACCCUCAUUAGUCCCAUUAACAGUUUGUGAUUCUGGCUCGGACCUAUCAACCAGACUAGCUCCACUCAUCAUUUGUGCUUCCAAUUCAGAGUCACCAGUCACAUUAGCCUCCUUCCUAGUUUGCUCCUCCAAUUGAUCCCCGUCACCCACAUUAGUCCCAUUAACCAUUUGCUCCCCCAAUUCAGAUCCAUCACCCGCAUCAGUCCCAUUCUCCAUUUGCACCUCCAUAUCAGACCGACCACCCACAGUAGUCUCAUUCUCCGUUUCAGCCUCUAAAUCCAACCCACGCACCCCCACAUUUGCCUGGUUUGCCAUUUGAGCAUCCAAUUCAGACCCACCAUCACCACCCACGUUAGCCCUAUUCGCCAUUUGACUCCCCAAUUCAGACACACCUGCCCCCGCAUUAUCCCCAUUCGCCAUUUGAUUCUCCAAUUCAGACACACCUGCCCCCACAUUAUCCCCAUUCGCCAUUUGUACCUCCAAUUCAGUCCUGUCACCCGCAUAAGCCCCCUUCUUCUUUUGCCCCUCCACUUCAGACCCACAACCAACAUUAGCCUCAUUGGCCACUGUAAUCUGAUCAGCUUCCAAGUCGGCAACUUCCUUGGGCACAUUCAAUCUAAUAGCCCAAGUAAUAAACGGAGGUCCCAACAACGCCAAAGCUGCUUUCACAUAAACUGCAAGCAACCUCAGCGCAUCAUUCCUCGUGUUCAUCCUCGACAGCUUCUUCGACACUCUCAAAUCCCAAACCCCUGCCUCGACCUCAUCCAUUCGAUGCCUCAACUCCGCCGAUACCAGCUGGCUCCUCCCAGACCGCUCCAAAACCCCAACCCUCCCUCUCCAAAUGCGAUCCACGGCCUCCAAGUACUUUCCACUAGGCUUUCCCAUAAAACCCACCAAGAACUUGACAGUACACUCAGUGGCGACGGCGCAGUAGGCGGCUUUCAUGGAUUCCAUGGUGGAAAUGCCUUCUCUGAUAUCCAAAUCCUCAAUCAUUUCAAGCGUUUCGAGGAUCGUUUCGGAGACCGAAGCUCGUAUACCUCGCACUCGAUGGUUCGGAGGAGUACCGUCUUCUUCAAGCGAUAGUCUUGGUCCGAGAAGGGUGCGACUGCGAGGACCCUCUUGGCAAUGCAAUCCUUUUCGCGGUCCCGGAGAAGGAGCUCGAUGACCCACCGCGAAACGUCGACGUCUGAGUCCAUUGAACAAGGCAAUCGUAACCCUAAUUCUGCAAGAAGGGAAGAAAAUUGAAUGUCGGAGAUCGAAAAGUGAAGCUCUUGAAGCACGCUGAUUUUGCUUAUUUGGGAAGUUAGGGUUUUUUCGAUGCAAUAAUUGGGAGCGACAGAAAAACGUUAGGGAUUGGAAUUUUUGAAAGGGGUGAGAGUUGAGUUGAUCAUCGAAACGACGAAAGUGAACGUCGUAAAGCUUUGAAUUUGGGGCUAUUUGUGAUGAUGGUACACAAAUUUUACUGUCUAUUAUCUGCUUGGUUUUUUCGUUUCUUGUGUGGGCCAAGACACUGUAAAUUUGGCCUCGGAUUUGGGCUUAAAAUUUGGACCUUUAACUUAACUUGGCCUUCAUUAAUGGUCUUUCUUUUUCCUUCCUUUAUGCAAAUUAUUUUUAGCACUACAAAAUAGUAGGGGUGAUGGAUUAGAAAAACCGAAAACCGAAAAAAAUUGAACCGAAUAUCGAAUCGAAACCAAAAACAUCCGAACCGAAAAAAAAAAUCGAACAAACCGAACGUUCUUGGUCCAGUUUCGGUUUUGGUGAUUCAACAAUCAAACCAAACCGAAUUAAAUAUAAUUAAUUUUAUUUAUUUAUUUGAUAUUUGAGUGUUUAUUUUCCAAGCCAAAUUUAAGUUUAGACCAAAGUUUUAAGUUUUCUUUUUAGACCAACCAUUAACCCAUAAUCCAAGUCCUUUUUUUUCUCCCCACCCAACCCUCUUCUUUCUUCCAUUUUUUUCUCCCCAUCCGACCCUCUGCUUUCUUCCUCUUUUUUUUUCUCCCCACCUAACCUCCUUGCAUCUUCUUUCUCUUUCUCUUUUUUUUUCUUCCUUUACUUUCUAUGAAAUGGAAAAACUGUAAGCAAAGUUGUAGAGCGUAGGCCAAUUUUCAAUUUUUUUUAAAAAAAAUAGGUUUUAUAAAAAAACCGAAUUGAAUCGAAACUGAGCUGAAAAAAUCAAACCAAACUGAAUAAAAACUGAAAAAAUUGAACCGAAUCGAAAUUUCGAUUUUGGCAAAAAACCAAACCGAUUGAAACCGAACUCACCCAUACAAAAUAGUUAUGCUAGGGUUUUGUUUUUUUGUUUUUUUUUUUUUUAAAGCUGGUGGUUUCGAUACAGAAUUUUAUUUUUUUCGGAGUUAGAAAGACUCACAAAGACAUUAAGUGACAAUAAAACAUCCUAUUAUUAUGAAAUCUAAUUUUCAAUCAUGACCAUACAUUCGAUUUCACAUAAGGAAUAAUUUUAAUCAAUAAUGCAAAAAUAUCUCCACCAACCAUGAUAAUAUGAUGACCAUUUGUCUCCUCACAUGAACUAAUAAUAGUGAUUUGAAAAUUUCAUACGCACAAAUAACCGAUAUCAUUAGCCACUUAAACUACAAGUAAUUAAUAAAUAAUUAGUACCUUAAUGCAAAAGUGACCACAUGCUCACUUUAUCCAACUGACUUGACGCACCAAAAUUGCAAUUGAAACCCUAGUGAAAGGAAUAAAUUAAAAUGCCUUGAAGGACCCACAAGAAAGGAAUAAAUUCCACCCCCGUCCCGAAUUGACAACGUGCUCUUCCUCCUCCGAGCUGCUCCAAGACCCCUACCGAGUUUCAAGACCCAUAGCAGUGGAGAGAACUGGGAGAGCUUCCUUCAGCCGACUCCGUACUCUCUCCCUCUCUCUCCGACAAUGGCUCGCUGCACUUUCAAAUCGGACGAUAUCAUAAUAAAGUCCCCGAAUGACAGACGAUUAUACAGGUUAAUCGAGCUCGAGAACGGCCUCUCUGCAUUGCUUGUUCACGAUCCUGAGAUUUACCCAGAAGGGCCGCCGGAGAACUCCAAGUCCGUCGAGCACCGCGAAGCUGAAGAGGAAGAAGAAGAUGAUGAUAUGGACGACGAGGAUGGGGAGGAAGGGGAAGACGGUGAAGGAGAGGACGAUGAAGAGGACGAUGACGAUGAAGAUGAAGAAGCGGAAGGCAGAGAUGGUGAACUGAAGAAGAAGGGGAAAGGAGGAGAUUCUCAUACUAAGAAAGUUGGUAUUUUGAUUUCCAUUGAAAUUCUGAAAUUGCCCAUCUCGCAUUCAAGUUUAUUUGAUUUAAUUUGAUUGAAAAGUGAAAACCCAGUUGGAGAAACUUGAUGAAAUCGGUUUAACGAUGUUAACAAAUUGAUUUUAGGUUGAAAAACAAUAUGAAUUUUUGGUUGAAUGAUUGAUACCAGAUUAUAGGAACUUCAAGUUUUGAACUUUUACUUGGUUACUGCUUCAAGAUUCCACCAUCAUUGUUUUAUCUGAUAAUCUUUAGCUAUCGACCAUUGGUACCUUUGUACAAAUUUCAUUUAAAAUGGUAAUGAAGCUUUGAUAGCAUAAUUCCAAGUGGAACCAAUGUUGGGUACUCCUUUUCUUCGAGUAAAACCUUGGUGUUGUUUUUGGUCAUGCUGUUUGGAAGUCCAAUUACUGAGAAUGGCACUGGUCUUUAUUCUACUCUAAUGAUUGGGAUGAUGUUUACUCAGCUCAGUUAGCAGAACUUGAUUUAUGUGAAGAUGUUUGGUCGUAUUUGCAGGCAGCAGCAGCAAUGUGCGUUGGAAUAGGAAGCUUCUCCGACCCUUUUGAAGCACAGGGGCUUGCGCAUUUUCUAGGUUUGUGUUACACAUGCUUACAUGCUUCAUAAAGGGACGUACUAUUGAGUGUUGAGGCAUGCAUUACUGACAUGUUGAAUGUUUUGCAGAACACAUGCUCUUCAUGGGGAGUACAGAGUUUCCAGAUGAAAAUGAGGUCUGUUUGUACUCGGAGUAUUCUUUUCAGUUUUUAGGUGCCAAUUAUCUUCGUUUUUUUUUGUUUUGGCAAGUCACUUCGAGAUGCACAUGAUCCCUUGUGCUAUGCACCAUAAAUGAGGUGUACUGACCGUAUAUGGAAAUAGUUAAGCCGCAUGAAUUUUCCCUCAAUACAGAUUACUAGAUGUAAUCUCACUAUUUAUAUUUACUCGUCCUUAAGCAACAUCAUGAGCCUGCUUAGUUCUGUUUCUUAUAUAUAUAUAUAUAUAUAAAGCAUCACCAGCUUGCUUGUUCUAUGUAUAUGUGAGUGGGAGGACUUGUUUGUUCUUUUGCUGCCCACCUGCUCGCAGAUGGGUCAGGCUGUAUGGAACAACUAAUUCAGCGUAUGAUUGUGUCAUUUGUGAAAGGUUGCUCCUUUGUGACUGAAAGGUCACGGGUUCGAGUCGGGGAAACGGCCUCCUUGCAUAGUAAGGGUAAGCAGUUGCGUAACGUUCCCCGCCCCCCGACUCUCGCAAAGCGGGGAAGUCUUGUUGGCUUGGGGUCGCCCUUUGACUUAAACCUUAUAGGAAUCGAUGCCAUUUCAGAUUUAUUAUAGAAAUUGUUUAUGGUAGUUUUUAUCUUUUUUUCUGCUUAUUGUUUAAUUGUAAAAUAGAUAUUUAAAAGUAAUCUGUUCUACUUGCUACAACAUUUAUUAAAAUUUCACUCAAGUUAAAUAGGAGAAGUCUGUAUCCUAUGUUUGUGGCCACUCGUUUUGACUCUUCUGUUUGCUAGUAUGAUAGUUACUUGUCCAAGCAUGGAGGUUCAUCAAAUGCAUACACAGAAGCAGAGCAUACCUGCUACCAUUUUGAAGUGAAGCCAGAGUUUCUUAAGGGUGCCUUGAGAAGGUAAACUCUGAGCUCUUCAUGCUUUGAAUAUUAUAAGCUGAAGUCCUUGGUAUUGACUAUGUAUUUUGGUCAAUGAAACAAGGCUAUAGGAUGUAUUUUGGUCAAUGAAACAAGGCUAUAGGUUUUAUUGAUGCUUCAUGCAUUGACAUUGAAUCUUGCAUCUGCCUCAGCAUUUGUAGUUGAAAAUAUCUAUGAUUGUCAUACUUUUGUUUCAAAACGCAAUAUGGCUAUGAAAAGCGUAGGUUAAAUCAUUAGAUUAUGUGUCAUUUUUUUUUUUUUUAUGAUUUUCUGAAUGCAUGCUAAUGAUAUUACUUACGGGGUGCAGUGCACAACCAUAUAAAAAAUGUUGGAAUGGAACUAUGGGAGUGGGGUUUUCAGAUUCAUAAGGUCCAGCAAUAUGUUCCUUUUGGUUCCUCAAUAUCUGGCUCGCCAUAAUUGUUUCACUGGAUAAAAAAUGUUUAUAAAUAGUUUUUAAAUUAAUGUGCCCAGUAAAGCGUUCUGUGUUCGAUAUGUUCCAAUUGCAAUACAUUUAGUUAAUAGGAUGUACUUGGCCCUUAGUAUAGAAUACUCUAGUUAUAUUUUUCUCUUUCAAAAUUUCUGUUUCAGAAACCUGGUUUGUAUUUAUUAUGGCUGUUUGUAUUUAUUAUGGCUCUUUAUUUUGUCAGAUUUUCCCAGUUCUUUGUUUCACCUCUAGUGAAAAUUGAAGCGAUGGAACGAGAGGUACAAGCUAUAGAUUCUGGUGCGUGCAUGUCUUACCUACAAUUCUUGAUUUCCACGUUUCUUAAAAAGUAUCCAAGCUUUUUGCUUGCAGUAUUACUCAUUGCAAAUUUUCUAAUGCUGAAUGGUAUUCUUUGUUGUUAAUCAAAAUGGAAUGCAGAAUUUAACCAGGUUCUGCAGAAUGAUUCUUGCCGCCUUGAACAAAUUCAGUGUCAUACAUCCGCACCUGGUCACCCAUUUAAUAGGUUCUGUUGGGGUAAAACUUUAAUCGAUUGUGCAAUCUUAUUCUUCUCUCUCUCUCUCUCUCUUUAAUUUUUUUUAUGUUUGCUUGAAAGGAAAUAAGAAGAGCUUGGUUGAUGCAAUGGAAAAAGGGAUCAACUUGCGAGAACAAAUACUAAAAUUGUACAAGGAUUAUUACCAUGGUGGACUAAUGAAGCUAGUUGUCAUUGGUGGAGGUGAAUAUACUCCUUUCCUUUCCUUUUUUCUUCUGCUCUUUGUUCUUUUUUCUUCUACCGUUGUUUUUUGGGGAAUGAAUGUUAGUUAAAACCUAUCAAUUUUGUAUCAUGCACAACACAGGGCGUGCUUGAAUGGAAAUAAUGAAACAGUUUCAAUUUGACUUAGUGGAUUUCAAUCACAUUACUUAUCUACUUAGGGUUUCUGUUCUGUAGAUGAUUGUUCUUUGAACUGGUAGAGUUUGAUACUGGUGUUCACUAUUAGUCUAUUACACAUUAGAAUUUCGUCAUCCAUAGUGCUUUAUUGGUGAUACAGCUGUUUUGGCAAUAUUUAUUGGCAAAAAUGUAUAUAUUAGUAGUGAAGAUGUAAUUAUUGUUGGUAUCAGUCUUUAAAUGGUGUGGUUGUGCCUUAAAGCUCAUUUUCUAGGAUCUCAAUCCUGCAUUUACUAGAAUGAUGUUUAGCUUGUAAUUUGAUUUCUGUAUCAAAUAAAAAACCAUUCCUGUGAUACUGUCCAAUUAUUUAUGUAUACAAUUAACCAAGUAGAAUAUUUUUAUUCUGCUUAUAUAUCAGAUCUAUUUCAUUCUAAUUAUAAUAGUUCUAAUUGCUGCAGAAUCUCUUGAUGUACUUGAGGAUUGGGUUGUGGAAUUGUAUGGUAAUGUCAAGAAAGGCCCCCAAGUAAAACUGGAGUUCAAGGCUGAAGGUCCUAUCUGGAAAGUUGGCAAACUAUAUAGGCUAGAGGCUGUUAGAGAUGUUAACAUACUCAACCUUACAUGGACAUUUCCAUGUCUUCAUCAAGACUAUUUGAAGAAACCAGAAGAUUAUUUAGCUCAUCUACUUGGGCAUGGUAAGCUGAUUCAUUAUUACUUAAUUUGAUGUUGAUUAUUAUUCCUCUGCAGAGAACAAAAAUUUCUGUAGCAGGAAAAAUAAAUGUUAAGUUUAGAAUUGUUAGUUUUCAAUUUUUUUUAGUACAAGCAGCAGUUACAACUUCCUAGAGUAGACGUUACUUGAAACUUUGAUAGUAAGAUAUAGUUUUAUUUAAUUUGAGCGGAGCUUAAAUCCUUCAGUUCCUUCUGUCACUUUGCGUCUGUCUCACUGAUAAUUUUUCACCUUGGAAAGGUAUCUGUCAGAGUCAUUGCUUUUCUGCAUUAGAUUUUGUUGCUUUUGCAUUUCAUAUACACUGCAUGUUAUUUAUUAUAUCUCACAAUGGGUUUAGUCAUCUAAGCUGUUUGGCCACCUAUGCCAUGAUUAUGACCUUAAAUUCUGAGAACUAAAUUAUGGGUUUUUCAGAGGGCCGGGGAAGUUUGCAUUUUUACCUCAAAACCAGAGGGUGGGCAACAUCUUUGUCUGCUGGUGUUGGGGACGAGGGGAUGCAACGAUCUUCUGUGGCUUAUGUCUUCCGCAUGUCCAUACACCUCACUGACUCUGGAUUGGAAAAGGUAGCAUCUCAAGUUUAUCCUUGUAGAGAAUCUUUUGGUAGAAGAUAAAUUUUCACAGAUUCAUAGAUUAUGUGUUCUACAUGCGCAUUUACUGUAAGCAUCAGUAACUGUGGAGCAAAGUUUGCUUUUUUCUUUAUUACUUCUCAUUUGCUAUAUGUGAUGCUUAUCUUGCAGAUUUCCGAAAUAAUUUGCUAUGUCUACCAGUACAUUAAGUUACUGCAUCAAGUGUCUCCACAAGAAUGGAUAUUUAGGGAACUUCAAGAUAUUGGGAAUAUGGAUUUUAGAUUCGCAGAGGAGCAGCCCCAAGAUGAUUAUGCUGCAGAACUUGCAGGUUUUCUUUUGUUGGCAAAAUUGUAUAUCUUUCCUUGGUCAUGUUUUACCUAACUGAAAGUAUCCCUACUCCAUAAAAGAUUCUUUAUGAUAUCUAUAUUCUGUGUUUUUCUUAGCCAAAAGGAUAUCCCCAAACUCAUGACCUGUUUAAUAUUGUAAAAUCUUAUUGUUGCAGAAAAUUUACUACUGUAUCCAGCAGAGAACGUUAUUUAUGGGGACUAUGUGUACAAGAUUUGGGAUGCGGAACUGAUAAAAUAUGUUCUUGGUUUCUUCACACCAGAAAACAUGAGGGUUGAUGUGGUAUCAAAGUCCUCAAUUAAGUCAGAAGGUAAAUCGCACAUGCCCUUUUAUGUAAAAAAAGAAAGUAGAAGCAAAACCUAGAAAAAAAGUCUUGUUUCCAUCUUGCAGUAUUUAUGACUACAAAUGUAUCCAUAAUUUUUAUUUGUCCCAUUCUAUAUGUGUUAUAAUUUUGAUGUAAGCUCUAUUUUCUCUAACUGUUUCAGAUUUCCAGUGCGAGCCUUGGUUUGGGUCACAUUAUACUGAGGAAGAUAUAUCUCCAUCUUUGAUGGAUUUGUGGAAGAAUCCCCCAGAAAUUGAUGACUCAUUGUAUCUACCUUCAAAGAAUGAGUUCAUUCCUAGUGAUUUUUCGAUCCGCUCUGAUAACUCGUGCCUUGAUCCUGCAAAUAUAUCUUAUCCAAGAUGUAUAAUUGAUGAACCAUUGAUGAAGUUCUGGUACAAACUCGAUGAUUCAUUUAAAUUUCCGCGGGCAAAUACAUACUUCCGCAUCAAUCUGAAGGGUGGAUAUGCUAAUCUGAAGAGUUGUGUUUUGACUGAACUAUAUAUUCUCCUUCUUAAGGAUGAGCUGAAUGAGAUUGUCUAUCAGGUUCAUGUCUUGUCCUUUAUAACUAAUUAUUUUGUGCUUCAAUUUAUAUAGCUGAUAACUCUUUUGUACUUGAAUACAUUUUAGGGAACACUUGUUCCAUUAAGUUUAUUUAGAAUAUCUCUGCAGUCUCUGUCCAAGUUUGUUCUGUAGAGGGACUUGGAUGUUAUAGUGGCUUACAAUACAGACUAGAAAACCGGUAUAAUUAAUUGUCCAAACAAAAUAUACUCAGUUAACUUUUCAUUAUGUAAAUCAGAAACUACAAAUGGUAAUUCUUAUCCAUAAUGCCCUCUUUCUAAUAUUCUCAAUAUAUAGUAAUUCGGUUGUAAAAAUAUUAACCUAUGCUGCCAGUGUAGUUAUUUAGUUGAUGCUGUAUUUCGCAAAUAUAGGUCUUUUUUAUCCUCAGUGACAUGCCCGACUUAUUUUUUUCAUUUAAAACAUGCAUCUAAAUCUGUACUGAGCACCUUUCUUCUGUGUGUGCAGGCCAUUGUUGCCAAGCUGGAAACUUCUGUAUCUAUGUUUAGUGACAAACUGGAGCUGAAGGUCUAUGGUUUUAAUGAUAAACUUCCAGCUCUCUUUUCAAAAGUUUUGGAAACAGCCAAAAGUUUCAUGCCGACUGAUGAUCGUUUUAAGGUAUGUGUGUUGCUUUUCGUUUCCAUCACUCCACUCUAUGUCUGGUUUAAGUUUAUUUUUGCAUACCCUGCUUGUUUCUUUUGGCUUGUCCAUUGCUAAUUCACACUUAACAGGAUGUUAAAGAAGAUAUGAAGCGAACGUUAAAGAACACCAAUAUGAAGCCUCUGAGUCACUCAUCAUACUUAAGGCUGCAAGUUCUGUGUCAAACUUUUUAUGAUGCAGAUGAGAAGUUGCAUGUUUUGAAUGAAUUGUCUAUAUCUGAUUUGAAGUCAUUCAUUCCCGAGCUCUGUUCCCAGGUACACUACGCACAAAUAUGUAUAUUUGUUAUAGAUUACUGCAGUCAAUUCAUGAAACUCAAGUUCUCAACAUCAUCCUCCAGCCGGGUCUCUUUUCAUGAGAAAUUCAUGCGGUUCAGGCUUCUUGACCUCUUAUUCUUCACUUUAAUAUGUAACUUGAUAAGUGGAGAGUGGCAUUUUCUAGUUAGAGAAUUGGAGAGUGGUUGCCAAAUGUGAACCCAAUAGUUAAUUUUGACUGUUCUUUAAAUUUUUUUUUUUUUACAUUUGCUUUUAGAUUUUUAUUUUAUUUUUAUCAAGGCUCUUAGAAUUAGUUUAAUUCAGGCAUUUUCUUUCAUCUUACCCUCUCCUCAAUAUGUGCAGCUAUACAUUGAGGGCCUUUGCCAUGGAAAUUUGUUAGAAGAAGAAGCAAUUAACCUGUCAAAUAUAUUUAAAUCGACUUUUACCGUACCACCACUGCCUAUCGAAUUGAGGCAUAAAGAGCAUGUUAUUUGUCUUCCUCCUGGUGCUAACCUGAUUAGAGAUUCCAAUGUGAAGAAUAAGUCGGAAACGAACUCUGUGAUUGAGGUAACUCAAAAUGGAAACAUUUUCGAGUGGUUUCCCUAUAUGAAGAUGUACUUUCUUUGUCUUAUGUUGAUAUUCUUCCCUUGGUUGUGGUUUCAUAUUGCAGCUGUAUUUUCAAAUUGAGCAAGAAGCAGGGAUUGAGUCAGUCAGAUUGAAAUCCUUGAUAGAUCUUUUCGAUGAAAUUGUGGAGGAACCACUUUUCAAUCAACUAAGGUGAUUUUAUUUGAGGCUGGUACUUUUACUUACAUACUGGCUAGCAAAAGAAUCUGGGAUCUGAUAAUAAUUUUUUCUAAUAUAUUUGAAUCUAUAUUCAUAUAAUUGUUUGCUAUUUCUGGAAAUAGGACGAAGGAGCAGCUUGGAUAUGUUGUCCAGUGUAGCCCACGGGUAACAUACCGUGUACUUGGCUUUUGUUUCUGUGUUCAAUCGUCUGAGUACGACCCAAUAUACUUACAAGGGAGAGUUGAUAACUUUAUAGAUGGUCUGCAAGAAUUGUUGGUAAGCGGUCAAGUUUCCCUCUUAUUUCAAUGCUCUGGUCUUUUAAGCAUCUCAUAAGCUUUAUAACUAUUGUGCUAUGCUAAGCUGAUGCGCAUAUGCGAUUUUGCAAUUUGAGGAUCCCUAUUGUUAAAUAUAUGAGGAAAUUCUUGUUUGUGGAAACCUUUGCUUGGAUCUGACCUCGUGUUAUUUCUACUUCGAUGACUUGAGUUAAAUGAUUAUUGUUUCUGCCUUGCAAUUUCAGUUACUGACAAUACGUUGACAUUUGCAGGACGGGCUUGAUGAUGAAUCAUUCGAGAAUUAUAAAAAUGGACUACUUGCUAAGCUAUUGGAGAAAGAUCCGUCCCUCACAUAUGAAACCAAUAGAUUUUGGAAUCAGAUUAUCGAUAAAAGGUGCUGUUGUCCUCUUUGGUUUGUCCAGAUUGUAAUUUCCAAAGAUUGCAUUCAAACAUCGUUCUGUUAAACAGAUUUGUGUCUUUAAACUUUCUAAUUGUUGUGAUUCGAUGCUCAUUCUAACUCUAUACUUGUUGAUCACAGGUAUAUGUUCGACCUGUCAAAACGAGAAGCAGAAGAACUCAGCAGUAUUCACAAGAAGGACGUUAUCAACUGGUACAAAAUGUAUUUGCAACAAUCAUCUCCCAAGUGUCGUAGACUAGCGAUCCGUGUUUGGGGUUGCAACACUAACCCGAAAGAGGCGGAAGCACAACCGAAAUCCAUCCAAGCCAUCGAAGACCCUGCAACGUUUAAGAAGUCAUCUAAGUUCUAUCCUAGCCUUUCUUGAAAAUAUGAACCAGCUUUGAUUUCUUGAUUAAAUUGAUCCAUUAGAAACACUGAAUGCCUCAGUUUUGACUAGUUGUAGGUGGACUGUGUGACCACCUGGAAGAGCAAAGUUAAAUUACAAACAUUUACCAGAAAUUUGGGAUUAUAUAUGUAAAAUUACAUUCAUUUGAAUAAAGUGAAAUUUGUGAUGCCAAUUAUCUCUUGCUCUGAUUCUUCGAUCCUGGACCCGAAGCAUUCCUACAAGUACAGGUUCGACAGAAAAAGCCAUUGCGCGGAUUUGUGUUUGGGGUUUGCGACACUAACCCGAAAGAGGUUGAAGCGUGUUACAGUACGUGAUUGGCUUGAAAUAUCGUUAAUGUGACAAUUCUAGAUGCAAGGAAGUUUCUCGGCUUCUAAACAUGUAACUAACAUAAGAGGUCCAAAUCAUAAAUAAGAUGAAGCUAAAUAAAUCUCUAAGGAUUUGUAUUGGGUUCAAAUUUCCAAAGUUUGGUUUGAAAUGCACAUGGUAGGGUUUUGGUUUAUUUGAUUGAAAUGCAUCUAUGAGCUUGUUAAUUUGUAGGGUCCUUGCUGAGCUCUGGUUAAGACCAUGUUCUUAAUUUUCCCUAUCAAAAUCUAAUAUAAAGGUGUCACUUAGUACUACGGUCUAGUGGUAUUCCUCUUUACUUGUAAGUGAGAGGUCUUAGCUUCGAUUCUCGCUAAAGGCAAAUUUAAACCACAUUAUCGUUAACCCAUCGUAAGGUUAAGCCCACCUCAUCCCCUUUAGUGUAGAUAAUAUCGUUUGUUUAAAAUAAAAAAUAUAAAAAAAUCUGAUAUGAAGGUCUAUUAUUUUUCCAUGAAACUCAAUACAAGUCCUUGUCAAGGGCACUUUCAGAGACCCCUAACUAACUGUAAUAUAUAGAUAAUCCAAUCCCUAUGCUCCCUUGUCGAUAUUUCACAAAUCAUGUUCGACCCGACUUUUGACCAAGAAUUAUGAUUGAAAAUGACAAAAAAUUAAGAAUUAAAUUUAAAAAAAGAGUUUUGUGGCUCAAUUUUUUUCAAAUUCCUGCUGUUUGCUAGAUUCGUUAUGUGGUGUUCCAAGGCUAAUGAAGGCCCAUGAAAUUUGUUGUGUUGGAGUAGAAGAUCUUUAGAAUAAGAUCAAAAUACAUUACAUUCAUCAUUUAAUUAAAUUACAUGUUUUAUCGGACGACGUUAAUGAUUGAUAAAAACGUAAAUAAAAAGUGACACUAAAAAAUGUUCUACUAUCAAAAUUUGAAGCAUGCGAUCUUGUUGAAGGAAUGUUCUGUUUAUUAGUAUUACCAAGUGACAAUAACAACCCGGCUCAAGUUUUUUCAAUCUCAUGUUUUGAAAGAUCUCUUGAUGCAUGCACUUCGGAAAAAAAAAGUGCACAACUAAAGAAUUCAAGAAUAAAGAUCCUUUUACUCAUUGGAAGACUACAUUUGGCCGACAAACGAUGUACAAGGUGGCAUACAAGUUGGUUAGAUUGAGUUUAACUUUAACUAAUUCGAUAAUUUGGUUUGAGGAACCUCUAAUGUAAUUUUAGAUUUUCUCAUUGAAGAUAGUAAUCAUUUGUAAUCUAUAAUGGUGGGAAAGCUCUUCUUCUCUUCGUCCGAGUUGAAAUCUUUGGUAAGAUUUUCUUUGAGGCUCACUGUAUGCAUCAUAUCCUCAAUGUUGCACGUAUUCAACUUUUCUAUUAAUGAAUAUCAUAUCUUUGCUAAAAAAGAAUAAAGAUCCUAAGACAAUCUAUAAAGAUCCUAUUUAAGACAAUCCUUAACAAAACGUACACAAUGAUCUGCAGUAAAGAUUGCUAGUCCUGAUGCAAUAUUCCUUCCGGAUUGCUACAAAAUUUAAUUAAAACCCUAAAACCCCAACUCAAAUAUUCCCUUCUUUCAGGCGUGGACAAGAAUUACAUUGAAGGCAUGGGAACAGUAGGGUUUUGACGUGGGACAAAACGGUGGUUUAAGAUGCUUCCUCAAACUUCAUUUCUUGCAGAUUACAAAAAAUACUUUAUAUAUUGUCGUAACUGCUGCAUGGGAUAUACAAUAUUUUUAACUAUUAGGUUUAUGAAUAUAUCAAAGAUUGAGGAAAAAGUGAUGCAUGCAUGCAUGAACGCUAAAGGCCGAAAACACAGAACUUUGCAUGUGCUUCUAAGAUUGCGGACCGACAUGUCUAUGAUAUAUCUCCAACUUUUCAGACUCAAUUUAUUUCUAAUAACUAAUUAAAUAAUAGUUUUAUCUAUGUUUUGUUGGCAUACAAUAAUUUGAUCAUGCAAUUCCAAAUGAGUUAAACUGCAGUGAAAAGUCUGCAGAAAACAGAACCGAAAGCACCAACAAUUGUACUGUUAAUACAUUUACCAUUGCUGAUUACGUACAAACCAUGAUUUUUAUUUAAAGAAACAAAACAAUGCAAUUGCUUAAACGAUCUCGGACCUCUUUAACCGUUACGUACCAUUUGGUUUUCACAAUUAGAAUUUAGAUGCUCACAUCAUAACAAUAUAAGAUUUUGUGAAUUAUGAGUUGUGGACACUGUACGUAUGUUUCACUCAACUUUGUUGUUAUAAGUGUGAGUCUCAUAUUCGAUUCCGCCUUCUUUUAAAUAAUGAAAAUAUAAUAGUUGUCCAAACCUGCCAUGCUGGCACCUAGAUUGAUAUAUAUCCUGCUGCCUUUUUCGCUUUAAAAGGCCCUGGUCGGUAGAUUGAGAGUAAAUAAUUGCAAUUUCUAAUGAGGAUAUAAUACAUAAAAAUAUUUUGUUAAUAAUUUUUCAUGCAUAAGACAAUUAAUCUGAAUCAUUUGUCCUGUUAAUCAUGGUUCAUGAACACUUAAUCUUAAUUGUAGCAGUAUAUUUUUUUGUUCCAUCUCUUAAUAAAAUCUUUGAUUAGGACCAAAUUAAAAUAAAACAAUGCCUCAACUGACAUCAAAUCAAAUAGAGUCAUAGGCUGGUGGAUCCAGGAAAUAAUAUUAGGGGGGUCAGUAAAAAUAGCGCGCAGCGUGCAAAUUUUUUUAUACCAGAAAUAGCAUGCAUAUCGCCAUUUCAUCGAGUCUUGGUAGGCCUAAAAUCAUUUGGAAAUGCAUACUACACACUUGUUAAUGUAUGCAAGGGGCAGCACCUAAGGUAUUCAUGGACAUUCAUCGGGUUUUGGUAGGCCUGAAGUCGGUUGGAGGGCAUGUAUGAAGCCAACUUUAAUCUUCAAAAGGGCAGCAUUCAAGGUAUCCAUGGACAUCAUCGAAGUUCGGAGGGUCAGCACCUAAGGUAUCUAUGAACGUUCAUCCAAGUUCUAGGGGUCAGCUGACCCCCCUGCCCCUUAAUGGAUCCGCCAGUGUGGUGACACCUAUAAUUAGGGUUUUGUAUGUUAGUGAAUUGCUUACUUCCUACAUAAACACAUGCAUGACGAUGAUUUAUAUUAUUGGAGAUCAAAAGUUCGAAACAAGAUGACAAGACCUGAACCCAAAACUCAUGUAAAAAGUUUGGAACCAUCAAAUGAUGUCGUUCAAUGAGUGACAAACUAUUUUAACUGACAAACUAUAUACAUAAACGGAUCUCAAUUUUUUACACACGUUUAUGUGAAAUUUAUUUUAUAAUGUAUUUAUGAAAGAGUGAUAUUUGCGAAAACUAUUUUCAUUAUUAAUUUACAUUAAAUUCUUCUUGGCCAUUUCCGCGGAAAUAUCUGUAAGACCGAUGGAUAUAUAAACGUUCGACCUUUUUCGGCGUAGGUGUUGCAGUUCACAAGUUCAAAGAAAGCAUGCUUCAGAGGUAUUUCGAUGGAUCUGGAUUCUGGAGCUUUUUGCAUGAUCACAUUCACAAUAUCACAUUAUAUAUCCAAAUAUUUACAGAAGACAAAUGCCCCAUGACUCAAAUUUGAGGGCAGUACGACAUCGGUUUGGUCCUAAGCCUCUAAUAACCUCAAAUUCCCAGCUACUUGCCUUAAUAUGGCGGUCCAAAAUUCAGGCAUGAGGGCUCUCACCUAUUCAAUGUAAGUAGGCCAUCCAUGUGACCAAACGCCCAACGAAAAGGGGACAUAUAGUUCCUGUUGUCCCCCAUGCCCACGUAACACCAGAGUUCUUUUUUUGUUUUUCAGAAGAAAAAAAAUCAUUACUAAUUUAUACAAGGGAACUUUAACGAAAAGUUCAAGGUACUGUUUACUUUAACGAAAAAUCAUAUUUUUACACUAAAAAGUCAAUCCUGAUACUAUUUAUUUUACUCUUUAUUUUGUCUUUAUCAUUAAAACUCAAAGUUUUCAAGCCAUUUUCAUUAGUUUUUCUUUUAUAAGGGAAGCUUCACACAUCAUACAAGCAUACAAAUGUAAAUUAAAUAUAUUACAUGGAUAGGAGCCUAGAAAGUUUAUUCUCUUUACUUACACAUAUUAUAUAUAAUACACAAUUAUUUUGGAUCGAACGUUGGUUAUAUCAAUAAAGUGUUAAUAUUAUUAUCCAUAAGAUACAAAAUCCGUCAUUUAACAAAGAGUAGAUGUCCUGCAUAAAUACUUUUACAUAAUACGCAUACAUCAUGGUAUAACAAGGAUUUUAUAUAUUAUGACUGUAAUUUGAAUCCCAUUUAUUUAGGUAUAAUCAAUAUCUAUAAUUGUUUGACAUAACAACCCUCAAUCUCCAUUGUAUUAAACGAGGUCACAUUGAAGGGGUCCAACAGUCCACAAAAGAGAAACCACACCAAUCCAAAUUCAACUUGGAAGUAAGACUUUAAUUUAUUGCCUUUAAUAAGUUGAUGCUAUGUUACUUGAAUGAAGAGAUAUAUGUGUGAGGGUGGGGCAGUGACAAAACAUAACACAUGCACUACCCAAAUCGAAGCACGAAAACGAAAUAAUGGGUGGGACUCGGCCACUUCCCACCAUGAGCAGUACUCAAGACUACUCCAAGUUGCCAUUCACAUUCUGCACAGAUUUGGAACUUCUUCUUGCAAGCUCACAAAUGGUACUUUAUAUCAUGCCCUUAAUUUUGUUUCUCACUUAAGGAUUAAUGUUCAUAAAAAUUGAAAGAAAAAUGGAAAAAGAUUAGAAAGUGAACAUGCUUUGAUUAAGCAAAAUUUUCUCCCAUGUGCAAAGAUACCAUUAUCUGUUAAGACUACCUACCAUUAUUCAACAAAUAGAAGGGGAUUUUCAACUUUCUUGGGCCCCAAACUAAGAAUUAUCACCUUUAUAUUUAAGUGUAAUUAAGCACCAAAAACUAAAAGAAAAUGCUAUUGACAAUUCUAACCAUCAUUCACAUGCCCAUUUGAUGAUAGGAACCAAACAAGAUCGAAACUGAGUCCAAGCAUAUUGUAUAGAGUCUCACCUCUCUAGACGCGAUUUGUAAGAUGUAAUAUAUAUGUUGGAUUGUUGGCCAAUUCAAUGAGUCCUGUUUCAACAUUUAUAAGUUCACUAAUCACCAACCAUGUCAUUAGUCCAAUGUAAUUGUAGUCUACUCUAAAUCAAAUACUCGACUACGUUCAAAGUGAAAUAUUAAUUUGUUAAAAUGAAAUGAUAAACUAAAAGUGUGAAGAACACGAAAAGCAAAUAAGUGCCAUCAAAGAAAAUCAGACUAUAUAACUUAUUAAAAUUUGUAAGAGAUUUAAUGGAUGAGAAAUGCAUGUGGAAAGUUUGGCCCACGGGGAUAUCGAUUGGUAAUCCCAACCACAACCGGCAUGUGCACUUGUUUUCCUCCAUCACUUGUGGCUGUUUUCUGUGAUAUAAUAUGCAGACUAACUCACUAGCCUCCCAAGUUUCCUUAUAAAUAGAGGAACCCUCGUGCACUCUAAGCACAAAACAAACUCCACCUGCCCUACACAAAACUGAAGUCACAAAAAAUGGCAGCUCAUCCAUUGUCUUUGGCAUCUAUAGCCCUCUCUCUUGUUCUCUUCAACCUACAUCUGCAUGGUGUGUUGGCUGUUUAUGGUAGCUGGGAAGGCGCUCAUGCCACAUUUUACGGCGGUGGUGAUGCCUCCGGCACAAUGGGUAAGUCCAAAACUCAAGUGUCAUCAAUUAUUUACCACAGUAAGAAAAAAAGAAGUUUUUAGACAACUAAAAUUGCUUAUAAGUGAGAGGUCUUACGGCGGUGGUAAUGCCUCCGGCACUGAGUAUUAGAGUCUAGCAGUAUUCUUCUUCACUUGUAAGUGAGAGGUCUUCGGUUUAAUUCUUGCCAAAAGCGAAUUUGAACCACAUUAUUGGUAGCCCAAAUCCACUCCCCUCACCUUAGUGUAGAUAAUAUCGUUUGUACAAAAAAAAAAAUUGCUUAUAGAAGUACCGUUUCUAUGUAUUGGAGGUGAUUAAGUUGCAAUAAUAUAUAUUUUAUACUUUUCUAUGAGCUGAAGUGUUUCUUGUAGAAAUAGUCCAAAUGAGUUAAAAACUGAAAGUGUGAAUAACAUUUUAGUAACGAAACAAAACUAUUGAUAGACCCCUGGUUGAACGGCUCACCGUGAUCCACCGGCCGUCUAAAAAGAGUGUUUAAUUUAAGAGUUGGGGUUUGAUAUUAAUUUGAUUUGAAAUUUUGCAGGAGGAGCAUGUGGUUAUGGGAAUCUGUACAGCCAGGGAUAUGGAACCAACACUGCAGCUUUGAGCACAGCAUUGUUCAACAAUGGCUUGAGCUGUGGAUCUUGUUAUGAAAUGAUGUGCAACAAUGACCCGAGAUGGUGCCGUCCUGGAUCCAUUAUUGUUACUGCUACAAACUUUUGCCCUCCUAACUUUGCUGAGUCCAACGACAAUGGCGGAUGGUGCAAUCCUCCUCUCCAGCACUUCGAUUUGGCCGAGCCUGCUUUCUUGCAGAUUGCUCAAUACCGCGCCGGAAUCGUGCCGGUUUCCUUCAGAAGGUAGGCCCUGAAGUUAAUCACGGUGACAUUACUAUGGUUAUCGGAAAUGCAAAGAUGUUAUGUUAUCAGACUGAGAAUCUAAAUGAUUAAUUGAGUGAAUUCUUUUCUGAAAAUUAGUGACUUGAUAACCUAGCACGUCAGAUAUCUGAAGGGCGAACAUUAGCCAACUAUAAUUACAAGUUAACACCUUACAAUUUCUUGGCAGAGUACCUUGUAUGAAGAAAGGAGGAAUAAGAUUCACCAUCAACGGCCACUCCUACUUCAACCUGGUUUUGAUCACCAACGUGGCUGGUGCAGGAGACGUCCAUUCAGUUUCAAUCAAGGGGUCCAGAACAGGGUGGCAACCCAUGUCAAGAAACUGGGGUCAAAACUGGCAGAGCAACUCAUACCUCAAUGGCCAAGCCCUCUCCUUCCAAGUCACCACCAGUGACGGUAGAACCGUCACGAGCUACAACGUGGCUCCUGGUAAUUGGCAGUUUGGCCAGACAUUCUCAGGGGGGCAAUUUUAGAAUUAUUCCACUAGACUAUUGGCAAAAAAUUGUGUAUCUAUCUGUGUCAUUUUUUUCCCUUAAGUUUCUUAGUGCAAAAGAAAGGAGUAGUUGCGAAGUGAAGGUUUGCUGAGGUGAGCUAAAAAACACCCGCUGGGCCUUUCACAUUUGAGAUUUUCUGCAGAAACGAAAUUUACCUCAUUCAGGUUGUAAUCAAUUUCCUCAAUUGUAACCUUAAUGAUAUAUAUAAUAAAAUAUAAAAAAAAGCUUUAUUACGGUCGAUACAUCACUCGAUGGAAAAUAACUUCUCCGCUAUAUUUCUGAUGUCGAUAUUUCAAGUCAAUCAGUCGAUAUGACAUCGCAGUAGUAGGUAAUAUUUGAUAACUUACCUGCAGAGUCCAAAAGAAUACGAGGAAACACAACCCUAUCCACACGAUCACUUUCAAGUUGUUCUUUUUGGCUGUUGGUAGUAAGUGGUAACUUUUUAUUAGAAGUUGGUGUUGUAUCCUUUUCAGCAAUAUAAAAAGGCCCGCAUCUAACAAACAGCAGAACAUGGCCACGUGGACACGGGCAUGUGCUGCAGCAAAGGUUUGUUUUUGUCAUGGGGCAACUAAUUGUUGUGAAGGGUGACAGACAAAUCAGAAACUUGGAUAAAAAGAAAGGAACUAUCAUUUGGAAUUUAUCUAAGUAAAUGGAAUAGAUUUCGUCUUUCUGAGAAAUGUGAUCAGAUGAUCGAUAAAUGUGAUAUCUAAACUCUCGAGAAAGUGUGUUGAAUUAAAGAUUACUUAAAAUAGUGUGGAAAAACUUUUGGGAUUAUUGUCAAACAACGAAUGUUGAUCCGCUGCAACUAAAGGGAUGAGAGCUUCGAUUUUUUGAGAAGGAACAUGGAAGUGCGAAAAAUGAUUCUCGCGCAUGAGUUUGUACUGGAAUCCCACUUCUGCCUGGUCCAAUAAAACACCAAAUCACCCAAGGGAUAUGAAUUAGAGAUAAAGAAAUCAACCGAAUUUAAAUCACUGUUCAUACGAUUCAAAAAUCUGUUCAGAAAUCACAAAUAACCGUAACAAUAUCAGUCCAAAAUCUUCAUAAGGACAAUAUCUUGUGCCUCGGUACCUUGACUCAGUUUCCACCUAUUGGACAUCUUGAGAAAUGCCAAAGCAUGCGAAAAGAAAUAUAGAUGCCACCGAAAACACAACAUAUAUAGUAAGUCAGAAGUCAAAAGUACAAUGUAUUGGUUAAUUAGAAGAGAAGAGGAGGUGGGAGUUUGAAAAGCUUACGUACAUUGCAUAGUCAUAAAAAUAAGUUUUCAAUCAUGAACGUAAAGUGCAAAUUCAUAUUUGAUUUUGUGUUGACUUAAAUAGUCGUAUAUGUCUAUGUAUUUGAUUUCAAACGCUAUAUUUAACUCUUAAUUGAUGUGCACUGAGAAUGAUAUAUCACAGUAGAAUCAAAUUUAACUCCAAAAUUGACUUUAAAGUUUUAACUUUUAGCUAUUAGAUUUAGAGAUAGCCUAACAAAUACCAAUUUGAAUCAUAACAAAAUAAUUCAUCUAAUAAUAAUGCAACUGCCUUGAGCCACUUAACUACUUUUAAUUGAUCUUAACGAGAUUGAUUCCUUUUGCUGAAGUUUUUACACUUUCUGAAAGACCAAUCUAUGUAAAUUGAAUUUUUUCAAACUCGAACACAAUUUAAUAAUUUUGCAAAUAAUAACCAAAAUUCAGGAGCUUAGAUCUGUUUUUGCUACCAAAUAUCAAUCAAAUUAAAGACUUUCUAGUCAUCCAUAUGUAUUUGUAUCGAACAUGAACAAAUUGCCGGGUUUGCUACCAAGUAACAUAUCCAUAAUGAACCGUCCUUUUUCUUUAUACAUGUAGAUUAUCAUAAUCUCUCUCGCUUCUAGAAAAAUCAUUCCAGUUGAAAAGAAUUUGGUGAAGACACAAGAAAAGUGAAAAUGGUUCAACACAUUUAGAUUCACAAGAAGCACUCCCACGCCACUACUCGAGAAACUCUAAGAGUCCUCUGGUACCUCGGAAGUAGGAAGUUUGGAACUCUUGAUUGUCAAUCCAAGCAAAUGAAGAAAAUGCCAUUUGAGAAGAAUUACGGAACACGUUAAUAUUAACAUCACAAAUAAAACAAGUCUGGGCCUGUAGAACCAAAGGUAAUCCGCUGAAGGAUGAACAAAGUCCCCUCGAAUUUGUUGGCAUCGUAUAUUCCUCAGCAACCUCCUGAGACAUUUGAGACGUUACAUGCUCCAACUGAGAUGGCCUGAUAUGACCGCAGCAGAAAAGCUCGCAUACUUUGUAUGUUGCAAUUUUCGCAGCACCUCAACAGCAUUCCCUUUCACCGCUGAGGCAAAGUGAGUUCCAUGAACGAAAACAUCCCUCAAAGACUCUUGAGAGUGAUAUCGAGGUCCAGUGAGCUUGCUGCAAAAUGAACAUUUCAUAUAGUUUACAAAGUAUUAGUAUGUACAGAAGCAGUACAAUUAUAAAAAUUGGGUAACGCGGAACACACAUAGGUGCUAUGCACAGCAUUCUUGCUUAUGAUUUAGUUAUUGUUUGUUUUCACAAAAAAGAAUAACACUUGAAAGUAACAAUCGGUUUAUAUAUUUGUACCAGUGACUAGUAUAUUAUGUAAUAACUGAAAAUUAUGGAAACUACCUUGUUGCACCUGAAAUUUUAGCAGCCUUCACAGGCACCUUUCUACCUCUGGGGAGGCAGGCCAAAACCUUCAUCUUUAAAGCUCAGAUUCCACCCAAAUCCUACAUUCGAACACAUCAACAAUAAUAUCACUUUCGAUAAUUGCUCUUCGACUAAAUUUCUCAUUGAAUCCCAAAAAGUCCCAAGAUCUUGAACGUUCUGCUUGGAAAGACACAAAAAUCAACAAAAAUAUCACCCUCCAUAAUUUCAGCAGUAAAACAGGUACUCAACAGUUAAAGUUACUCAAGCGAUAUCAGUUCGUCGUACCCAGUGCACAAGGCUCCUGCUUUAGGCAGGGUCUGGGAGAGGUGAAUGUCGGCUAGCCUUACCCCCAUUUAUGGAGAGGCUGCUCCCAAGUCUCGAACCCGAGACCUACCGCUCAUGGGCGAAGGCAGUUGCCAUCGCACCAAGUGCGACCUCUACUCAAGCGAUAUCAGUUACAGACACAAAAUUAAUAGUACUCAAAGGAUGCUAAAAGAUUAUAUAUUAUCUAUUGGAAACACAACACAUAUAGUAAGUCGGACUUGAUUACUUGAAGAGGAAAGGAGGUGGGAAUUUGAAAAACUUACAUUGCUUAAGUUCACUGCGACAGUAAAUUGGCGAAGCGUUGCUUAGCCUUGGCAGAGGGUAGAUUCAUCAAAUUAUUCUAAAUCCCCAGCUCUCUAAGGGAUGUAAUGUUCCCCAACCACUCUGGUAAAGCCUCCACUCCCUCAAAUAGUCGAUACAUAAAACAUUUAAAUUUAAUGAGGCAGAGACUUGAGCUUUGUCCACCCUUUCAAAUCUAAUAAUUCAAGCUGCAAUGAUCAACCUUGAACAUCAUGAAUGAAGUUGAUUCCUGCCAGAACCCGCCAAUGGUGAAUUUUAUCAAUUUCGGGGUUGUAAACCUUUUCGCAGAUUUCUUAAAUUCGCCAAAUUAUAAAAUCCCUAACUUAGUUUGCACUGACGAUUCUUUACCUAAUUUCUGCAAUAAUGCAGGUAUUUGACAGUAAAGCUACUUGAGGGAUAUGAAAUGUCGAUUAAAUAAUCAACUGAAUUCAAGUCAUUGUUCAUACGAUUCAAAAAUCUGUUCAGAAAUCACAAGUAAUCAUAAAAAUACCCAGCGCAAAAUCUUCAUAAGAAUAAUAAUAGACGAAAAGCAAUUGCAGUCAAUCUAUAUUUUCUUAUUAUAUGAAUAUGGUUUUACAUGAUUAGAAGCAUUACUCUUCCAAGUUUCUAACCAUGAACGGGUAAUUAAGCUGGUGUUUCAACACUCAUACAAAUGAACUAAAGAAAGUUAACAUAUCAACUGAUGUUGCGGAAAUUAAGAACGAUAACAUGUAAAGGAGAACGCCCACAUGGUACCAAAAAAAGAGGCUUUCUAGCUUGAUAAGCACUAUAACUUAAGGUAUAUUUUUUGUGAAAAGAAGGUAGAGCGAGAAAUUUAAUAUCUUAUGUAUCAGUACCUGUACUCAGUUUGCACCCAUUGAGCAUCCUGAAAAAACGCCACAGCAUGCCAAAAGAAAUAUAGAUGCCACUGGAAAACACAACAUGUGUAGUAAGUCAGAACUCAACAGUACACUGCAUUUAGAAGAGAAGAGGAGGUGCGGAUGUGAAAAGCUUACUUGGACUAACUCCAAUGCGGAAGUUGCGUCCAUGAAUAUUCAACUGUACAUACUUUGGUUUUUCCGCAACUCAUUUGUUGCAGUUUCUAAAGGCGUUGCGUAGCUUCAAUCCAACUGUUGUCCCAGACUCUUAACUAAUUUGAAACAAAAUUGAGAAGGAUAAACAACUUUGGUUAGUUUUCGAAAUUUUUGUGUAGAUGAAUAGAAGAACAAAAGAGAUAAACAUUAUAACAUGUACCCUGCAAUUCGAUUUCAAGAAUUGCAAAACGUACUUGUGAUAUUUGGAAUGUGAGCAAUCUUAGGCCAAUCUGUGCCGUUGUCCCUGGUGCAUUUCUGCUCUAAAAGAGGAUGACAUCCGGAAAUGUCCAGGAUUUGUAAUUUGGUGAGACGUUGCAUAGCUUCGACACUAGGUAAAUUCGACAGAUUCUUGCAAUCUUGUAUCUCCAGCUGUGCAAGGGAUGUAAGGUUACCCAACCAUUCUGGCAAAGUCUCCACUCCGUCAAAUGAAACCAUCAUCAAAUCUGUCAAAGAAGUCAAGUGUUGAAUCUGUUGAGGCAAAGACUUGAGCUUAGGCCAACCCCACAAGUCUAACAUUGUAAGAUGCAUCAAUGAUCCAACUCCAAAAUCAGGGAAGGAAUCGAGCUCCUCCCAGAACGGACCAAUUUGUAAUUUCUUCAAGUGAGAAAGCCACCGUAGCCCCGCCGGCAGAUAUUUUAGCUUUCGCCAGUUUCUGAUCUCCAGAUAGCGAAGAGAAUGAAGGUUGUCUAAACUUGGAAGAAUCUCUAAAUUUGGGAAAUCGUUUAUUGCCAGCCACUCAAGAGAGACUGGGAAUUGCAGCCCGCUCACCCAACUUUCCAAUCCUUCACAGUAUUCAAUCCUCAGUUGUUGAAGGGGUAUCAUUGUGCGCAAAUCUGAAACGCAUUUCUCCUCAAUACUGCUACUUUGGACACCAAACGACGUUAGCUUAGGGCAUUCACUUAUAUACAAUUGCUGAAGAGAGGGAAAGUGUUGUGGAAGAGCAGGUAAGCUCGAUAGUUCAUCGCAAUAUCUGAUUGUCAACUUCUGAAGAGAGGUGAGAGACGCGCCGCCUUUAAUUUCAAUUGAUGUCAGAUUAUUGCAACGCCAUAUAAACAAUUCCACGAGAGAGGUGCAGCCUUGAAGCCCACUCAAUGGGCCUGACAAACCACUGCAGUUAUGAACAACCAAUUUCUGGAGAGAGGUGCAGUAGUCUAACCCACUCGGUAGUCGUGACAAUUGUUCACAAUGAUAAAUCUCUAAUCUGCGUAGAGAUGCCAUGCCCUGUCUAAUUGGAAUCAAUUCUAGAUUAGGACAUCUGUAUAUACCCAGGUACUCAAGGAGAGGAAGUGUAUCUAGCCCAUCCGGCAACUGCCUCAGCUUUUCACAAUUACGAAUAACCAAUCUCUCAAGAGAACCACAAGAACCGAAUAUAUCGGGGGCAAGAUCAUAAUCAAUGACUCCAAAACAUUUUAAGUUAGCCAUUCCGCUAAUCUUAAGCUCCGUAAGAUUAGGUAGAUGGCCAAGCGGUGGGACUUCUUCACAUUUAUUGCAUCCAAAUAACUGAAUCUUCUUCAAGUUGUUGAGCUGUAAUGGUCUACUCAUCAUCCACAAUGGAAACUUAUCGCCCAUGAAGUUUUCAAUACUUAAGCUCUCUAAAUCAGGUUGCGGUCGGAGGCCUCCCAGUACAUCCCCCUCGUCAUUGUUGUCAGUUGUUGACCUAUAUCUCGUCCAUCUGAGUGUCAGAUGGCAUACUUUUUUCUUGUCCUCUAGUUUAGCUUUUUUUGCUUCUUCUCCAUUCUCUACGCGUUCCAGAUUACAAACAACUAAUUCACCUUUCAAUUCUUUCAAGCCAGCCAACUCUUCAAUUCGACGACCAAUCUCAUUACCCACCGAAAAGUAUAGUAUUGUUCUAAGGCAAGUCAAUCGCCUUAACCCCUGUGGAAAUUUUGUGCUCUCAUCAAAAUAAAUAUGUCUCAGAUUGAUCAAGUUUUGCAAUUCUUUUGGAAACUCUUUAAGGGCACAAUUUGUCGCUCUUAACGUCUGUAAGUUAUAGAGCUUGCCUAUAGAGCUGGGGAGUAAUUUGAACCUUGUUUUAGAAAUGUCAAGAUACCUUAAGUGUUUCAGCCUUUCAACUGAAGUUGGAAACUCUUCAAUAUUAGCAUUACUUAGAUUCAAGAUGCGUAAAGCUUUGAACCGUGGGAGAAUGUUAAUAGGAACUUCACCAUCAUCAGAGACCAGUGAUCGCAAUUUUCCAGCGCUUCUUUCUGGAAUUUUUUUCAGUAUAGAAGUAGAAACUCGUGCAACAUGUCGAAUCUCAUCUGUAUUAUCUAUGCCAUGGAAGUCUCCUGUCAAGCUUUCAAAUCUGGAUACAAGUUUUGCCAAAUCAUGCACAAGAUCGUGCAUCUUGCAUUCGCUAAUAGUGCCAUUAUAAUCCAAUGUAGCAUCUUGAAAUAAGGAGCUCUGCAAUAGAAUAUCAAAAUAUUCAUUGCCUAUAUCCUCCAUAUCUUUACUUUCACCAAGUGAAGGGCGGAGUAGUCCUUGAGCCAUCCAAAGUUGAAUCAAAUUAUCUCUUUGAAUUUCAAAAUCUUUCUUGAAUAUUGAGCAAUAUGCAAAACAUUGCUUCAAUGAUGGUGAUUCUAAAUUGUCAAAACUCAACUUCAAGACUGACAUAAUUCUAUCUUCUCCUUUCGGUAGGUUGUUCCAUAUUCCACUUUCUUUAAAUGACAACCAUUCAGCAAUACUAUUUUUAGUGUACAAAAUGCCUCCCAAAACCUGUUGAUUGGAUUAGAGAGUUUCUAUCACAUAAUGAUUUAUAGAGUAUAGUAGUUUGAACUGAAGUUGAUGAAAAAUAAAAAGAAAAAUACAUGAUUGAAAAAAGAGGGUAUAGUUAUAAUCAGGUUCAAAAGUUUCCUAAAACAAUGUAGAAAAAACUUGAGUUAUAACAAAGUAUUCAUCCAAUAAUAAUGCAGAUGGUCCUUUAAUUAUUAUUACGAAAUUGAAUGGUUUCAAUUAUAAAAUUUGUACGAUAUAUCUAGAAAAAGUCUGAGCCAUGUGCAAAAUGUGAUACUAGCUUCCGUGUUUGUCAAAUUCCCGAAAUAUCCAUUAACUAAUGUUGGUUUUUGAUUAAGAAAAUGUUAAGGGAGACCACACAUUUUUUGUAUACCAUCUAAUGCAUAAGUGAUAUGUACAUGUUAUAUCAAGUAAUGAAAAAUCAAUCUACGUAAAUUGUACUUUCAAAAUUGGAACUCAAUUCAAUCAUCUUGCAAAUGAUAUAACUAAAAUUCGAAGGGAUUGACGAUGUUGAUACCAAGUAAAAUAUAUGUGAUAUCAGAUAGCUAAUAUCUAUGAUUUGAAAUGAAAUUUUGUAAUGAUGAUUUUUAAAUGAUAAUUACAAAAAUGAAUGGCUCUGAUUAAUAUGUUUGUCACAAUGCCUUGUCCUAAUUUAUAAAGUGAUCUAUUUUCCUAAUUUAUAAAUAAAAAACAUGUAAAAAAUUAAGUGCAAAUUCCAAGUUAUAUGUACAUAAUAAUAAUACGUACCUUUGCCACCAAUGGAACGCCACCACAAUUUUCAGCAAUUUUCCUUCCAAUUGUCUUGAACUGAGGAACUAUACGAGCACUGCUAUUUGGGAAGGCUUUCUUUUUCAUGAUGGACCAACAUUCAUCCGCAGAAAGUUUUCCCAGCUCAUGUCGUCGAAGUAGUUUUUCUGAGAUUGAUGCAACUUUUGUACUACGAGUAGUGACCAUGAUUUUGGAUCCCCCAGCAGAUUUAAGCUUAAACAAACAUUCCAUUAAAUUAUUCCAUUUUUCAGAAUCUUCGUUCCAAACAUCAUCAAGUACGAGUAAGUAUCUUUUGUCUUUCAACUCUUCAUUAAGGAAGAUAAGCAAAGCAUUCUGGUUAUCUUUCGAAGGGACCUUUGUCGGAUUAAGCUGUUCUAACAUCUGAAGUAGAAUCAAAUUGAUAUCGAAAGUGUUCGAUACACAAACCCAUAUUUUUGCUUCGAAAAACUUGUGUAUCAAAUCCUCAUUGUAAACUGACUUGGCCAACGUUGUCUUUCCGAUGCCUCCCAUUCCCACAAUGGCCAUAACCGCAAGAUUUUCUUGAUUGUAUUUGGAGUCGGUCAAGGUUGUAACUAUUUUUAACACAUCAUCUUCCCUUCCAACAGUUAUUUCAUCUCUGCCAACGAAUGCGUUGGUUUGUCUGUCCCAUGUAUUUCCUCGAGGGGUUGCAUCUAUUCUCUUGGAAACUAGACCAAUGAAAGAUGCCUCACCCUUGAGAUCUACCAAGGACUGGUUGAUGUUCUUAAUUUUAUGUGCCAUUUUCAAACGAAAUGCAAAUGGAUUGGAGAGUGAAAAGAAGUUAAGUACCUUUUUCUUCAUAUGAUUUUGGAGUUCAACUUUACGGCGAACAACUUCGUACUCGAACUCAUCCAACACAUCGUCAGCUUCAUGAGCUAUAGCCUUAAGUUUCCUCACCCACUCCUCCACCACCAUGACCCGAUCUUGUGGUUGAUCGGAAACAGCUUGCAAGAAAUCCUGAAUGGUGAGUAAUGAAUGGUGAAGCCGUUUUAGUUCAGCUUUGAAACCCCAAGCAAGACUGAGUUCUUGAGCAGCAAGUGAUGCCACCUUCGACAGUAUACCCUCAACAGAAAAAGUAAACACAGCUCCUGCAAUCUUCCCUUCCAUGCCGAUCGAUUAAAUUUUCACUCAAUUUUCUCUCGAGUGGAUGGAAGGAAAUACAAAUGAUGAUGUGAUGGCUUACACCAAACGCUUGUUUUUAUUUGGCAUGAUCAGUUCUAUCAGAAUCCAAACCUGCCUGUCAAACACAUAUAAUUUAAUUCCCACAAUAGUCUAAAAAAGCGGCCAAAGCUGGCAAGGCUAGUGCAAGUGGUGACCGAUAUCUCUACCGACUAAAAUUAAUAUCCGCCUUUCAUUCACGAUUCAUAUAAGAAAAAUGCUAUGGUGAUUAUUUUAAAAGAGUGCUCGUUACCUGAUUAAAACAAAAGCGAAGACUCUUUACAAAUUUUUUAUUUACUUUUUGUUUUUUCAUAAUAAUUUAUAAUAUUAGUAUGAAAAUUGACUGUUGAAUUGUAAAGUGAUAAAGAAUAGAUAAAAAAAUCUAAUUUUUAAGAGAGUUUUUUUAUCGUGUCACUUCAUAUAAUUUAUUCAUUUCUUUUCUUUACCAAUUUCUCUCCCCCGACCUCUUCUCUCUGAAUUUAUACUGCAACACGUUGAAAAUUAUGAUUUUAUAUGUCCAUUUCUCUUUAUAUGAAUGUAUCUAAUACAGAUCUAGAUGAAAGAUUAGGUCACUUCAAACUUACCUAAGUUGAAUAAUCCCAAAAAAUUGUUACACUCAUAAUGUAACGCACCACAAUAGUAAAAAGCAAACUAACAACUAUUUAAGCCAGGUAGCUUUUCGACUCUCAUUUUUUUUAUUGAUCUUACUUGGCUGCAUGCUUUUUGCUUAUGUAGACAUCGAAAUUUCUUAAAUAAAUGUUGACCGAUAAAUCAAAGUGUCAACGCUCAUGUAUUACAUAAAUUUUACACGUAGCGUGUGACUCAACGAAAAUUGAAAUGAGUUGGAAAAGUCAUCAAAUAGGACACGUGUCAACAUCUGGCAGAAACGACUUAUUUCAUCUGGGAUAUUAUAUUCAAAAUUAGGCAUUGGAAAAUUCUAUAAAUACAAGCCCAUUUCAUUCAUUUAAAGGGACCAAUUCAUAUUACACCUUGAAGCUCUGAAGCUCUGAAGCUCUGAAACUCCAAAACUCUCAAGCAUCCAGGUUCCCGAAGAAUCAAGAAAGUGUUCUUCGUUCUUCAUUCAUCGUUCUUCCAAGAUCAAGCCUCGACGGCCCUUGGAUCAACAAUCAUCCACCUUCAAGAUCAAGCCCCGACGGCCCUUGAAGAAAGCAUUCUUCAUUCUUCGUUCAUCGUUCUUCCAAGAUCAAGCCCCAACGGCCCUUUGGAUCAACAAUCAUCCACCAAUUCAAGAUCAAGCCCCGACGGCCCUUGAAGAAAAUGUUCUUCGUUCUUCCAAGAUCAAGCCCCGACGGCCCUUGGAUCAACCAUCCACCAAUUCAAGAUCGAGCCCCGACGGCCCUUGAAGAAAGCACCAUCGUUCAUCAUCCGUUAAUCCAAGAUCAAGCCCCAACGGCCAUUUGGAUCAACAACGUCGACAAAUCCACACAUCCAACCGUUCUUCAAGAUCAAGCCCAAAAGCCCUUGAAGAUCCGUUCAUCACUGUUCUUCGAGAUCAAGCCCAAAGGCCCUUGAAGAUCCGUUCAAGCCCAAAAGCUCUCGAAGAUCCGUUCGUCACUGUUCUUCGAGUUCAAGCCCAAAAGCCCUCGGAAAUCCGUUCAUCACUGUUCUUCAAGAUCAAGCCCAAAACCCCUUGAAGAUCCGUCAAUCACCAUUCUUCAAAAUCAAGCCCAAAAGCCCUUGAAGAUCCGUUCAUCCUCGUUCGUCCAAGAUCAAGCCUCGACGGCCCUUGGAUCAAUCGCACAUCCCACAAAUCAACACCUUACGGAGAUCGAAUCAGAUGAUCAAAAUAGAGAGAGAUUGUAAACCAAAAUCAUCAAAAAUACAAAUAUUUGUUUGUGCACGUUGUUCUUGUCUCUUUCGUUUCAGGAAUUUUCUGUGUUCACAGCUUCAUCAUACAUCUCUAUGUGACACUAACACUAGGUUGCACAACACAUCAUAUAUUCUUAUCUUCUUGUAUUUUUGUUCUUAAUUAGAAAAAGUACACUAAGAUUAUUUUGACGUAUCAAUAACAGUUUAUACUUGAAAAAUAACAGUAUAUUAAUAUGAAGUGUGUUGUUUUCUUAUUCGCAUGGCGUAAAUGCACCGAGUAACGCACUCAGUCUCUUAUUUUGUAGCUCAUGCUUUUGGCGUUCCUUUUUGUGAGUUGGUAGCUCAUAGUUUGAAGUUUAAUCUUCGAAAGCAACGUAAAUGUGUUUAUUCGCUCCUAUCUUACUAUUAUAAAUACUAGCAUUUUUGGACAUGUUCAUGUGUAUGCGAAAGAUCUUUUUUAAUCAUGGUGAGCUAUGCACGCAAAUAAAAUUCUAUUUUCUUUUCCACAUUUGUACUCAAUGUAGCUAAUAGGCAAGAUAUAAGAUUGAUUCUUCCAAUCUUGGAGCAAAAAAUAAUUCCAGAAAUCCGUGCUAGUGCCCCAGAGAUUCUUGGAUUUCUUGCAAUAUGAGAUUUAAUCCCAUAACUCUUAUUUUUUAUUUUACAUGCUUUGACGCUCUCCCGCCUCAUGUUUUCCACAGAGUGUUGUGCCAUACUACGAAAAUUAUACGGUUUAGAAGGAUUAUAACUCAUUUAUUUGAAUGAAAGCUCUUGAACAACCAAGUCCCCUGCCAACCAAACUACGAAUUCUCAAUUCUUUGAUCGAUAGGAACCUCGAAAAAAGUUUUGGGGUUUUGAGUACUUAAAAAAGGCUCUAAAAAAACGGAACUACAAGUAAAUCUUAAUAAAAGCAUAUGAUGAGAAAUUAUUUGAGUCGAGCAUUUCCAAGUGUGAACUUUUUUCCGAAGAAGAUAAGAAUUCAUUAAAUAGACAAGGCUCACAAAGAUAGAAAGGGAUCAUCCGGAUCCCUUCCACCAAAUCCACCUAAUCAUCCCAUUCAGACAUUUGAAAUUUGAUGCAACGACUAAAGUUAUUAUAACUUUUAAAAUGACCACCUGUUUUUAGACGUUGAAUCAAAUUUCAAGAGCUCGAAUGGAUUGAUUAGAUGAAUUGGUAGAAGAGAUUCAGAUAUGUUCCUUAUCCCACAAAGAUUUCCACGCGCAAGUCAACAUCUGUGGAGGCUUUAGAAAUUUUUUUUGUUUCGGUCUUUGGUCUAGUUUUUGGUUGUUGAUGCCAUGUCGGUAGGAAUUCAGACAUAGGAGCUCUUAUUCUUUCCUACAACUACCAAAAAAGCGUGGCAAGUAACCAAAUUAAAUAUCACAGAAUUUGGUAAGAAAUCGCUCUACUGAGACAAGUCGCAGCAAAUGGGCCCCAUGCUUCUCCAACCAUACAAAAGAGACACAUGGUGGUGAAGGCGUAAUUAGAGGCCACCCUCCCUUAUGCGGAUCUCUCUAUAUUUUCUUUAUGAAAUUAUAGGGAUCCUUAUAUUUUACCUGUUCAUCAUACGUGUGCGAUCAGUAUUAUUUAUGUUUAAUUUUAAAUAAAAUAAUUUUUUAUCGUACAAUGUAUAAUGAACUAGAAUAUAAAAUUUUAAUUUAUUGCCUUUAAUAAGUUAACAUGCACUGCCCAAAUAGAUGUGUGAGGGAUGGACAGUGACAGAACAUAUCACAUGCACUACCCAAAUCGAAGCACGAAAACGAAAUAAUGGGUGGGACUCGGCCACUUCCCACCAUGAGAUUAUCUCAAACCUAAAAGAGAUCAAAGGAUCAUGUUUAACUCUAUAGCCUUGUAAGAAAUUAUUUUUUUAAUGAACAGUGUCAAACUAUAUUUUAUAUCAUCUCCAACCAAGUGAGUCAAAUGAUCAUAAGCCAAAACAUAGCCCGUUUAAGAAAAAAAACUCAUCUCUAAUCGAAGGGGGCUAUUUUUUAGCCCACUUAAUAAUUUAUUAUUUUAAUUGAAUUAAUAUGUCUAAUUGAAUUAAACUAUCAUAUUAAAAUAAGAUUUUCAGAUAUAUUUUGAGUGUCACUUGUCGCUAAAUGAAUAAAGCUAUGGUUCUCUUAUCUUUAUAUAAUGAAAAGGAUGUGAAAAUUUGGUGAAGAAUUGAAUAAAAUGAUGUAAGAUAGUAUGAAAUUAUGAAAUGAUGUGAGAAAUUGUAUAGAAAUGGCUUAGGUAUUUAUAGGAAAAAAAUUAGAAUUUUUUUUAAAUUUUGUCUAAAAAAAAAAUCGAAUUCAACAAUAACAUGACGUCUGCUAGCCUAGGUUUGGGCUGGUGCAAACGGGCUGGCUGGCUCUUUUUGGCCAACCCGCUGGCCUAGUAGAUGGAAUUAUGGCCCGAUAAGGCUCACAAGCCCUUUGGUCUAGCCUUAUGUUGAAGACGAUUUUUGUAUUAAAACAUGAUAUAUUUUGACCUAUGUCCCUUUGGCUAAUACUACUUAUCUUCCCCAUGGUUGCAGACGAGAGAAAGUAAAGGUGCUCGGUUAUUAGGUGUGGAAAAUGAAAGUGGGAACGGUCCUAAAAUACCAUUAUGGAAGAACAAUGACCUACAAGCUUAAAGCCUGUGCGAUCCUAAAAUACAAGUAUGGAAGAACAAUGACCUACAAGCUUAAAGCAUGUGCGAUCCCCUAAACCCUAAAAAAGUUUAAAACAAACAAAUCGCUUACGCUGGGAUUCUAGUCCUUGACUUUUGAAAACCAAGGGCUUAUCCAAUAGAAACAAUUAGUAGUGGUGGGCACAGGCCGGGCCGGACCCAAAUUUGAAGGGAUCGAACCAGACCCGAGUGUAAAGGAGACGGGCAUGGGCGAGUCGGGGAUUACAUUUUCUUACAUAGGAACUGGACCUUACCUGGCCCGAUUGAAAUAGGCUGGUUCGGGUAGGGUCCACGGGUCCUUGGUUUUGUUUGUUUGUUUUUUUUUUUUUUUUUGAAAAAAAAAACUGGAAUUUGCACAGAUUCACCAAUGUAGCAUAUUAUGCAAUAAGAAACCCAGAUAAUGCAAGAGGAAAGAUUUCGAAAAAUUUCCAAUUCCAAAUGCACCCACUUCCUUAUAAAUUCUUCAGCAUAAACAUCUCCGAACAAAGCAGAUUGAGACUCAGUAAAUCAAUACUCACAACAGAAACCCAGAUAAUAUAAUCCACAAAAAGUUGAAGCGCAUAGCCAAAUUAACAAAGUGUAAAUAUUUAGCAGGUCAUUAAGUAUAUAGGCAUCACAAGAAAUCCAUGAUAAAUAUGAACAAAUCUCGAUAUGAAAGCCCUAAUACGAAGCUAAGAGUGACCUAACACAUAUGGAGAGAUCAGUACUCUUCGGCCUUAGCAUCCUCACUGGCAGUAGCAUCGGUACAUUCCACCGCAGAGCUCGCAGUCUCGGACUUUAUGGGGCCGUUUUGGAGCAGCAGAAGCAACGGCGUUCCUGGACUUGAUGGUGUCGAGCAUGUGCUUUCUAAUCUCCUUGGAGUAAACCUGCAGGAUCUGAAUCCCGCCUCCUCAAUGAAGAGAGGGGACGACGCACUCGAGACGACGAAUGAGAGGUAACAAAUCAAAAAGAUGGGUGGCGGGGUGGCUGGGUUCUAUAAGUCUGGGUCUUUGGGAUGUCAAAUAGAGACGGCGAGAAAGAGGUGACAAAUCGAGAAUAUGGUGGUCAUCUGGGUCGUCGUGCUGUCGGGGUGGUGGAGGGAAGGGGACGACGCACUGGAGACGGCGAGAGAGACUCGAUCGACAGAGUGAGAGUGAUAUUUAAGUUCGAUAGGUUUGAGGACUAGCAAACCUAAAACCAACGAUUCAGAUUGGAUGGAGAGAUGAUUUCUUCAAUCUCAUCCGUCCAUUCUAACUACAAAUAGGCCAGUCCGGGUACCCAGGGUUCUUAUACUUCAGGAACCAGUCCGAACUGAAAAUUUCAAAAGCCUGCCCCGCCCCAUUUUUGUUUUUACAAAAUAGGAACCGGCAUGUACCCGUCCCGAACUGCGGUUCCUAUACUUGUUUGCCCACCCCUAACAAUUAGCAUGAAAUGGGUCCCCAAACAAUAAAAAAAAUAUAAUGAAAAAUGAUCAAAAAUUCAGAGUUUUAACAAAAGGGUAAAAAGUUAUUGUAAGUGAAUAAUACGAAAAAUGAUUUUUUAGAGUAAAAAUAUUAUUAACGUUAAAUGUGAACAGGAUCAAGAAUAUUUCGUUAAGUUUUCCAAAAAAAAUCGACACAUGCUGAUGUGGCGUUAUUAGAGGCCACCCUCCCCCGGAAAUCGGAAUCAAAAAAUAAAAAAUCAACAAAAAACCCCCCAAAAAUAAAUAAAAAUUCAUUUCAUUUUCCCAAUUUUCCAAUUUUUUUUUUCGAAUUUUCACAAGAAUUAAACGAAGAACACAUGCUGAUGAUGCCCGCCAUCAAUGCCACACUCGAUUCUUUGCAAUCUCAGUGAUCGGUGUUUGAUUGAUUUGAUUUGACCGUCCUUUGCCGAUUCCAGCUUCCGCAUCUUCGUUUCCGUACGUUAUUUCUCUCUCCCUCCUUUUCUCGCUUUCUCUGUUGAUUUGGUGUUUCUUAGUAAGAAGCAGAUCUAGAGUUUCAUAAUCGAAAAUUGGAGCCAGUGUCGGUGGCGAUUUGUAAUUGUGUGUGUUUGCCAUUGUUGUUGCUGCAGUUCUGAGCUGCUUUGCGCCUGAAAAAUCUGAAAUUUCGGAUAAUGAGGUACGAAUUUUGAAUGUGGGCAUUUAUGGUAUGUCUGUUUUGUGAUUUUUACUGGAAAUUGAUUGAAAUUGGUUGGAUAUUUCUUUCUGGGAUAUGCUAGAUCCGUGUAAAGGUUUGGGCUUUGAAUUGAGGGAAAGAAUGUGGAAGAUGGGAGAGAGCCCGAAGUUCCAGCUGGGAACCAUUGGGGCUCUGAGUUUGUCGGUGGUGUCGUCGGUGUCAAUCGUGAUUUGCAACAAGGCGCUUAUUAGCACACUUGGUUUCACUUUUGGUGAGUAAUGCACCUGUUUGAUAUGAAAUUUGAUGCACCUGUUUGAUAUGAAAUUUGGCAUAUGUAUAUAUUGGUUUUCUGCUUUGUUUGGGUGGUUGGAAUUCCUUCUAUGGCACAUUUUUUUGGUUUUAAGAUAGUGUUAAAUGAUAAAUGUCGGUAGAAUUUGGUUGCUUCAAUACAUAUAAUGUUGGCAAAAGAUUUUCUAGUUAAUUCGGCUGGUGCAUCUUAAAAGCUUGAAUGUGGUUUACUUUGAUGGAAACCGAAAAGAUGGUUGGUCAUGAUUCAUGAAUGUAGAGCUAAUUUAUGAUAACCACAGAGGGAAAUACGAAAGAUUUGAGUAUCAUAUGUAUUCUCAUUUCGUUUGCUUUUUUUGAGAAUACUUCUGUGUAUUCUCUAAGGUGAUUCAUUAAAAAAUUAUGUAUUACAAAGAUCAUGCUAAUGAUCUUUAACUCAUAUGUAUUCUCUUUUUUUGAGUAUCAUAUGUAUUUGCUUUGUUUCUUGUAAUUAUGUAGUUUCUUUAGCUUAACAUCAUGCUAAUGAUCAUGAUAUUGUACUAUCGCCUUGUCAAUGUUAAUUAAUAUACUAAAUCACAAUAUGGGAUAUGCAGCCACAACUUUGACAAGCUGGCAUCUUCUAGUCACAUUUUGUUCGCUUCACGUAGCGUUAUGGAUGAAAUUUUUUGAACACAAGCCUUUUGAUGCUAGUUCUGUAAUGGGAUUUGGAAUUCUUAAUGGAAUCUCUAUUGGCCUUCUGAAUCUUAGCUUGGGUUUCAAUUCCGUUGGUUUUUACCAGGUAAAGUUCUUGUUAGUUUUGGCUGCCUUCAUCAACUUGAGACAUGCAUUUUUAAUGUUGUACUGUAUGUGAUCCUGUUCGUGCUAUGAUUAUUUACUUCUUUGCCAAACGAUAUUACAUUUUCAUUUUAAAAUCUGUUACUGUUUCAGCAGUUUUAAUGUAAAUUAUCAAUUUCUGAAGAAAUUUUCUUUAUCAGAUGACAAAACUGGCAAUCAUCCCUUGUACUGUUCUUCUGGAGACCCUUUUCUUUAAGAAGAAAUUCAGGUCAGUGUUUAUCAUAGAUCGGUUGUGGGAUGAAUUUGUUUGUAGUUCAAUCUAGUUUGAAUUAAACCCGGAAAUUUUGUAUAUAGGAUGUUAUAUUUGCUUUCACUAUUUACCUGAGUCAUUAUAUUAAGUUUCGAUGCACGAUUUCGUUGAAUUUUCAACUGAUACAACUGCAUACUUGUUCUGACACUCUUUACCUUAUGACAGUCGAAGUGUCCAGUUUUCACUCUCCAUCCUUCUUUUGGGAGUUGGGGUUGCAACAGUGACGGAUCUUCAACUCAAUGCUCUGGGUUCUUUUUUGUCCCUGCUGGCAGUUUUAACAACCUGUGUUGCUCAGAUUGUAUCCUAAAUUGAACUGAGCUUUUCUAUUUCAUUAGAUGCAUUGUACACGUUUAAUGUUUAAGCAAACCGCUUUUGAUAAAAAAAAAAGAAAUCAUAUCAAUAAGAUCUGCAUUAUUUACUGAUUACUGUAUGGCAUUAUCGUAGUGUUUAUUGUUUUAGACCUUAACAGCUAUUUCAGAUGACCAAUACCAUCCAGAAGAAGUUCAAAGUUUCAUCAACCCAACUUCUGUACCAAUCUUGCCCCUAUCAGGCAAUAACGUUGUUUGUCAUUGGUCCAUUUCUAGAUGGACUUUUGACUAAUCAAAAUGUUUUCUCAUUUGCAUAUACCCCUCAAGUGCUGGUGAGUAUUCAAUAUUUCCCCAGUGCUGCCUCCCCAGACCCCUUUCCAACAUUUCUAUAUCCUUCAUUUACCGUGAUAUUGUCUAUGUUGCAGUUCUUCAUUGUUCUGUCCUGCCUGAUAUCUGUCUCCGUAAACUUCAGUACAUUUUUGGUUAUUGGAAAGACGUCUGCAGUAACCUAUCAGGUCCUUGGACAUCUGAAAACAUGCCUUGUUUUGGCAUUUGGCUACAUUCUACUUCGUGACCCAUUUAGCUGGCGCAACAUUUUGGGGAUAUUGAUUGCUAUAGUCGGGAUGGUGCUCUAUUCUUAUUAUUGCACUCUCGAGAGCCAGCGGAAGGCUAAUGAAGUAUCCCAACAGUUACCCCUGGUGCGUCCCAAUUUUUCAUAUCUCAUUCACACGUUCUCUAUAUAAUUCCCAUAUCCUUUAUCUGAAAUAUUAACUUGGCCCAAAUUUGUGCCGAUUCAUUGGCUAAUACUACCUAUCCUCCCCAUGGUUGCAGACGAGAGAAAGUGAAGGUGCUCAGUUAUUAGGUGUGGAAAAUGGAAAUGGGAACGAUCCUAAAAUUCCUGUAUGGAAGAACAAGGACCUACAAGCUUAAACGCCUGUGUGAUCCCUGAGUUCAUUUGCAGUAGAUCAAAUUUAGUGGCGGAAAAACUGUUCCGGCGAUGAAGAUGUUGCUGGAGAGGGGUUUCUAUCUGUGGCAUUGUGGGUUUAUAAUUUCCGUUGUAGAAGGAAGCUUCAGGUCAAAGAAAUGUCUUAUUUUUCUUACUUUAUAUAGCAGUUUUGGUUAUUAACUUUGUCUGAAACGGGUUUGGCAAAUCGGAUUUAUACCGAAAAUUUUGUGUUGUAACCCAAAUUUUAGUUGUAUUAGUGAAAAUUGCUGAACCACAGUAUUUGGUCUGCAGAUUUCAUGAGGUUAGCCCUCUAAAUGUAGUUGAGAAAACAAAAACAUAAUCGCACUUGUACCAGUAUGAGAAAACAAAAGCAAUUUCCUGGAGCAAUGAAGGCAUAAUUGUGAUUAGAUGCUUUCUCAUGCCAUGGUGUCGGGGAAUGUACGGUGUUUAUGUUGUUUGACUGUAAAUUUGAUAUGUAUCAUUCUAUAUCAAAUUUGAUAUGGCUCCAGCACAUGUAGGGCUUGUUUGGGAGUGGUUUUAAGUCAGGAAUUGUUUUAAAUGACUUAAAACACUUUCAGAGAAAAAGUUUUUUGGAUUCUAAAAGUACUUACGGUAGUAGCAAAAUGUUUUUGAGUUUUAAAAGCAUUUAAGUGAUUUUUCAAGACUCGGUUGUAUUUUUAUCAAGAAUUAGUUUUAAAAACAUUUUACAAUCAUUUUAAAAGCAUUAGCAAACGAGCUAGUAUGUCAAUACAAAAUGUAAUCACCAUGGUACAAAAAGAUAGCUGUCAUUCCAUAUUUUAGGAGAGAUUUUUCAGUGUGACCGGUACAUAGAGUGGUACACCACAUGUCAUUAUACAAAUGGUGGGAUAUAUGUGUUAAAAAGUUAAUAACUUAAAAAGUAAAAAUUUUCACUACUUAUAUAAAAACACGUGUUCCGAUCACAAUGAAACAUUUCUCAUAUUUUAGGAGUGUUGGGGAAAAAAAAUGAAAACAACAAGGAAGCAAUAAUUUAUUUUUAGUUUUGAAACAAAUAAAAAGAGAGAAAAUGAAUUAACGGGCCCGGCCCGAAUGGAUCAUAAGCCCGCAAAACCCUAGUAAAAGAAAGCGGACACAAAUAUAUACCCUCCUACCUUAAGAGGCCGCCGAAGCAUUUGGCAGCAGAAGGAGAAGAAGCUCAGAUCGAGAGGGCGGCUUAGGGUUUCACUUCCCUGAAGGCAAAACAGCAACCAUGGUAAAUCUUCUCUCCCCCAUAUCUCCAUCCCCAAAUUACACGAUUAACGAGUAAUAUUUUACUUACCAUUCAAAUUAGAAUUCUUAGUCUCUCUCUGUUUGCAGACUUUCAAGAGAAGAAAUGGCGGCCGGAACAAGCACGGCCGCGGCCACGUGAAGUUCAUCCGCUGCUCCAACUGCGGGAAAUGCUGCCCCAAGGUGUGCUUUUACCUCAUUAUCCCUUUUUGUAUUUUUAUUAAAGUUUAAAUCUUUGGAGGUGAAAGAUUUGAAAUUCGAAGUGGGUUCUGAGUUUCUAAUUAGUUUUUGGAUUAUUUUUAAGUGGGUUCUGGUUUUGAAUUAGUUUUAUGAUUAAUUUAUUGGGUUUGUGUUAAAAAGGACAAAGCUAUCAAGAGGUUUCUGGUGAGGAACAUUGUUGAGCAGGCUGCAGUUAGGGAUGUUCAGGAGGCUUGUGUUUACGAUGGUAAUAAUCCUUUCCCUUUCUGUUUAAUUCCGUAAAUGUUUCUUCGUUUUGUUUUCGGUGUUAUUUUAGUAUUUGAUUUCUGAUGACUGCUGAUAAUGUUUUACUGGGAAUGCUGUUUGAUUUGAAGGUUACACUCUUCCUAAGCUGUAUGCUAAGAUGCAAUACUGCGUUUCUUGUGCCAUCCACUCCCACGUUGUGAGGGUUCGGUCUCGCGAGAACAGGAGGAACCGUGAACCCCCUCAGCGUUACAGGCGCCGGGUAUGCUUUAAACUUCAUCCCCAUAUAUCUUUAUCUUUUAUUUUGUUUUAGUGCUUCUAUGCAAUUUGGCUUAUGGUUCAGUGUGCCGUAUGCUUUCACGUAAGCUGUAUGUUUUGUGUUUGUUCAAUACUUAUGUUUGUUGGGAUUUCGUGUUUGAAAUUAUUUCAUUAUACAUUCCACCUAAGUUGACGAGGGUCCAUCCAUACAAACUUAACAAGUUUAAGAGCAAAGGAGCUAAUGCCAUUUUGAAUUUGGUUAAAAGAGGUUCGGAUGCACCCAACUGUGAAGACUCUAUUUCCUUUGCCUUUAGGACACACAUAUUUGGUAGCUAAACUUUAGACUUAUUAUUUGGUUAAAUGAUCCGUGUACUUCCAUUACUAGUGGCAUUUAGGAGCUUGAAGACUCAUGCUAAACAAUUUUUUGUUUAACUUCAAAAUUGUAUGUAGUAUCGUAGUAAUAUCUCAAUAACAUUUACUGGCUAGGAGUUUCCCCUGCUAAAGUUUUUAUACCUCCGUCUGAUUUUCGAAUCCAGCUGUUGCUUUCAUUCUUUAAUUAAAGGUUUUUAUUUGCCGAUAUUAGGAUUGAAGUGUGGUACUUAUAAAAGCACCCUAUCUGUCUAGUUCAGCUGCAUCCCCUCUCCCCAAUGUUAGCAUUUCACCUUUUUGGCUAGAUAGUUGCUACCCGGAAGCAACAUUUGAUAUAUUUGGUUCACAUUUUGCCGUAAUUUUUUAGUUUGUACAUUUGCUUUCAUCAUUCACUGUCUUUUAAUAAACCUUUCAAUUUCGAUUUAUGCAUUUCAGGAGGAUACACCUAGGCCUGGUGCACCUGGUGCUCCUGGUCAGGGUCCACGCCCUGUUGGUGCUGGAGCGCCAGCUGCUCGUCCAUGAAAAGGCAUCACAUAUGUUGCUCAAUUGCUUUGAGGAUGUGCAUUGAGACUUUUAAUUUGGCUGCUACCUCGCUUUAUUUCCAUUUUAUCUUUGAAUGCGUCUUUGACUCCGUUGUGACUUAUGUGUAAUAUCAUAUAGUGCUUCAGUCUUAUAUGUCGUACUUAUCAUGUUGCGGGAAGGUAUUUACAAAGGGCAGCCGGAGAUUCAAAACCAGAGUCUUUACACUUUCAUAUUCGUAUUAACUUUCAUCAACUUUUGUUGGUUUUCACUUAGAAUUUUAUCUCUGAAGAUUUUGUUACGCUAGUUUUUAUAUCUCUGGGUAUCUCUGAAGAUCAGCCCUCGUUGGCUCCGAAUGGUAAUGGUCCUAUUUCCUAAUCGUUUUUACAGCUCCGAAUGGUAAUGGUCCUGUAUCUCCAUCGGCACCCGGAUGCAGUGUUAAAUGAGCAAGGGGGCCAUAGAAACUUCUUUUCGAACGACUCCACUCAAAGUUGUUUGGGAGCAUAUGCUCCUAUCAACUUUACCCGGGACACACAAAAGAAGUACUUUGAUCCUAUUAGACGGGGGAGGGUGAAGAAGCUAGGACAGAAGGGUAGAGUUCAAGAGAGCAAAAUGCGUUUAGGAACGUGGAAUAUAGGAACCUUAACGGGAAAAUCUAUGGAAGUAGUGGAAGUUAUGGUGAGGAGAAGGAUAAAUAUUAUGUGCCUACAAGAAACUAAGUGGGUUGGUAGUAAGGCAAAGGAUCUAGAAAACUCAGGGUUUAAAACUUUGGUAUUCGGGCACAAAUAGAACGAGAAACGGUGUUGGCAUCAUCGUGGACAAGACCUUGGUACAAGAUGUUGUAGAUGUCAAGAGGGUAGGAGAUAGAAUCAUGGCAAUCAAGAUUGUAAUAGGACAAGAACUUAUCAAUGUGAUUAGUGCGUACGCACCUCAAGUAGGGUUGGAUACGAGUUCGAAGGAGAAAUUUUGGGAAGAUCUUGGAGACUUGGUGCAAGGAAUUGCUCAGACGGAGAAGUUAUUUAUAGGAGGAGAUUUAAAUGGACACGUGGGCAGGGAGACAGGCAACUAUGGAGGUUUUCAUGGUGGCCAUGGUUUUGGGGAGAGAAACGACGGAUGGGGAAGCUAUCUUGGAUUUUGCAAUGGCAUAUGAUCUCUUCUUAGCCAACACCUUCUUUAAGAAGAGAGAAGAACAUGUGAUCACCUACAAGAGUGGGUCGUCAAAAACACAAAUAGAUUUUCUUCUAAUGAGGAAAGGGGAUCGUAUAACUUGUAAGGAUUGCAAAGUUAUACCAGGAGAGAGCGUGGCUAAUCAACAUCGCUUGUUGGUGAUGGAUGUACAUAUCAAAAGAGUAAAGACAAAAGAACAAGACUUGGAAGUGCCCAAGGACUAGAUGGUGGAAUCUAAAAGAAGAAAAAACAAGUCCAUUUUCAAAGAGAAGGUAAUCACCCAAUGUGUGUGGGAUAGAGAGGGGGAAGCUAGCCAAAUGUGGGAUUCCAUGGCUAGUUGUAUCCGAAAAGUAGCAAAAGAGGUAUUAGGAGAGUCCAAGGGCUUUGCCCCACACACCAAAAGGAAUCUUGGUGGUGGAAUGAGGAGGUACAAACAAAGGUGAAGGCUAAGAAGGAAUGUUGUAAAGCCUUAUACAAGGAGAGGACCGAUGAAAAUGGUGAAAGGUAUAGAAAAGCGAAGCAAGAGGCGAAGAAAGCUGUCAGAGAAGCUAAGUUAGCGGCUUACGACGAUAUGUAUAAACGACUAGAUACCAAAGAAGGAGAGUUGGAUAUCUAUAAAACUAGCUAGAGCAAGGGAAAAGAAGACAAGGGACCUAAACCAAGUGAGGUGCAUCAAGGAUGAGGAUGGAAAGGUUCUUGCUACAGAGAACGCGGUUAAAGACAGAUGGAGAGGUUAUUUUCAUAAUCUUUUCAAUGAAGGACAUGAAAUGAGUGCUUCUUUAGGGGAGUUGAGUAACUCAGAAGAGUGUAGAAACUACUCUUUUUAUCGUCGAAUCCGGAAGGAAGAAGUGGUUGUAGCUUUGAAGAAGAAGAUGAAGCAUAGAAAAGCAAUAGGCCCAGACGAUAUACCAAUCGAAGUGUGGAAAGUUUUGGGAGAGACAGGUAUAACAUGGCUCACUGACCUUUUCAAUAGGAUUUUUGAAAACGAAGAAGAUGCCAAAUGAGUGGCGAACGAGCACUUUGGUGCCUAUCUACAAGAAUAAGGGCGACGUACAAAAUUGCAUGAACUAUAGGGGUAUUAAGCUAAUGAGUCAUACAAUGAAGCUCUGGGAGAGAGUCAUUGAGCAUAGAUUGAGGCAAGAGACACGGGUUUCGGACAACCAAUUCGGGUUCAUGCCAGGGCGCUCAACCAUGGAGGCAAUCUAUCUCUUACGAAGAUUGAUGGAAAGAUAUAGAGAUGGGAAAAAGGAUUUACACAUGGUCUUUAUAGAUUUGGAAAAAGCGUAUGAUAGGGUCCCAAGAGACAUUCUUUGGAGGAUUUUAGAGAAGAAAGGAGUACGAGUAGCAUAUAUCCAAGCUAUAAAAGGAUAUGUAUGAAGGAGCAAAGACUGCCGUAAGAACUCAUGAAGGACAAACCGAAAGCUUUCCCAUAACUGUAGGAUUACAUCAAGGCUCAUCCUUAAGUCCUUACCUUUUUUGCGUUGGUAAUGGAUGAGUUAACAGGACAUAUUCAAGAUGAUAUUCCUUGGUGUAUGCUUUUCGCAGACGAUAUAUAGUGUUGAUAGAUGAAACUCAGGAAGGGGUAAAUGCAAAGCUUAACCUUUGGAGAGAAGUGUUGGAAUCUAAAGGUCUUCGCCUAAGCCGAUCAAAGACAGAAUAUAUGGAGUGCAAGUUCAGUGCAAAUGGAGGCCAAAACGAGUUAGGGGUGAGGAUCGGAGAUCAAGAAAUACCAAAGAGCGACCGUUUUCGUUACCUAGGAUCUAUCUUGCAAAAGAACGGAGAAUUAGAUGGAGAUCUCAACCAUAGAAUACAAGCUGGAUGGAUGAAGUGGAAGAGUGCAUCCGGCGUGUUGUGUGACCGCCGUAUGCCACUGAAGCUCAAGGGAAAAUUUUAUAUAGGACGGCAAUAAGGCCGGCGAUGCUGUAUGGCACAGAAUGUUGGGCGGUGAAACAUCAACACGUACACAAAAUGGGUGUAGCGGAGAUGAGGAUGCUUCGUUGGAUGUGUGGGCACACGAGAAAGGAUAAGAUUAGGAAUGAGGAUAUCCGGGGUAAAGUAGGAGUAGCCGAAAUUGAAGGAAAGAUGAGAGAAAAUCGGUUACGGUGGUUUGGACAUGUGCAAAGAAGGCCUACUGACGCUCCGAUUAGAAGAUGCGACUAUGGGACAGAGGUUCAGGGCCGAAGGGGUAGAGGAAGACCUAGGAAAACUUUGGAAGAGACUCUAAGAAAAGACUUAGAGUACUUGGAUCUAACGAAGGACAUGACACAGGAUCGAGCACAAUGGCGUUCUAAGAUUCAUAUAGCCGAUCCCACUCAGUGACUUGGAUUUUCCAAGUCUCCAACUGAGAAGUUUUCCUCACUCGGGAAAUUAAGGAACACUACCCCAACCUACAUGCUCCACUCAGAAAGCUUCAACAUACAAGCUUCAACAAAAGAAAAUUCAAAGAACUUAGCGAAGAAGGCUUUGGUGUAUUUAACACAAUACGUUGAAAUGAAGGAAAGCUUAUUUAUUGAUAUCCCCGAUAAGCUACAAAUAUGUACAUAUACAUGAGUCAAAAUAAACACAACAAGAGGGAGCCUUCACAAAGGUUGCUUAGGAGAAGUCUCAGCAGUCGGUAGAGCCCCAGAAAGAGAAGGCACCGGAGGGGGAUCAUUUGGAGCCUCAGUACUGGACAGAACCCUAGAAGGAGGAGGCAUCAGAGGUUGAUCAUUUGGAGCUUCAUUACGCGGUACAGCCCCAGAAGACGAAGGCAAUAAAUGCCUUUGGAACAAACCCACAAAUCUCUGAUGAUCAAGUAAAACCUGACCAUCAGUUUCCUUCAUCUGGUCAAGCUUCCUCUUCAUGUUUGUAGCAUAGUCAUGUGCGAGCCGGUGCAACUGUUUAUUCUCAUGCUUGAGCCCUCUAAUCUCCUGUUUGAGACUCAUCACUUCAGCCGCCAAUGAUUCAACUUGGCGGGUUCGAGCAAAUAGGCGUUGGGCCAUAUUAGACACAGAACCUGCACACUGAACACUGAGAGCCAGCGAAUCCUUAACAGCUAACUCAUCAGACCGUUUGGAAAGUAGUCUGUUAUCUUUGGGAGUGAGAAGGUUCCUGGCCACCACCGCAGCGGUCAUAUCAUUCUUCAUCACGGAAUCCCCAACGGUAAGAGGACCAGUAGGGGAGACGAAGGAUGGGCGCCAUAUGUUGUCUGGAGAAGGCGGGGCUGCCUCUUCAACAAGGUUCAAGUCAAAACGACGGUCGGAGGGGCCAGACAUUUUCAAAGGUGUUGAAGAGAGAAGAGGUCGGACAAAUCAAGAUCUUAGAAGUGCAAGAAUGAAGCUUCUACUGGUGGAGAUUCAAGUGUGCUUUGGAACUUAAUGCCAGCCCCUAUAAAAAUCUGCACUCGACGGAGCUUCAGAAAUCGAAGAGGCGCCUGCUCAGAAAUCGAAGAGGCGUUUGCUUUCUCAAAAGCUGGGCUGCUUAGAGAUCACGAGGGUUGAUCUCAGAAAUCGAAGAGGCGUUUGCUUUCUCAAAAGUUGGGCUGCUCAAAGACCACGAAGGCCGAUCUCAGAAAUCGAAGAGGCGCUCGCUUUCUCAAAAGCUGGGCUCCCCAGAGACCACGAGGGCCGAUCUCAGAAAUCGAAGAGGCACCUACUUUUCCAGCCUUGUCAGCACCUGUCACACAUGCACACUCAGCUUUGCGGAAAUUAUGGGCAUUCUGUCGAAGACUUCUGGGGAAGUAGAAAACACAUGAAUCUUACUGUUCAAUCACCCACUUCCCACACGCAACAAUAGCUCAUGGGUACCACAGAUAACUUUGCCAAAGUUCUCUGCCAAAGUUGAGCACGUGAAGCUUGCAGCUCCCACUACAUCGCUCUGACCAAGAAGGGUAAAAGAAUAGCAAAGAAACAGCACUAACAAAGUUUAGACCCAUAAAUUUUGAAGGUCUAGCUACCAUAUUAUUACCCACAAGGGUAAAGGAACAGUACCACUGCUGGAUAAUUGGAAAGUCCCUGUGUGUCAACCUCUGUGCUUCGUGGCAAGGUAGACUAGCAAACAUGCCCAACUUUUACUCACAUUCGAGAAAACACUCCCAACAAGAUUGCUUGCUCCAAAAUCGAAGAGGCACCGCCCUCCGAAUCUCGAGAGCCAGACUCCCAACAUGAUUACUUUCUCAAAAAUCGAAGAGACACUGCUCCCAGAAUCUUCGAGAGCCAGACCCCCAGCAUGAUUGCUUUCUCAAAAAUCGAUGAGGCAUCGUUCUCCGAAUCAAUCGAAGAGGCGCUUGCUUUCUCCAAAGCUGGGCUGCUCAGAGACCACGAGGGCCGAUCUCAGAAAUCGAAGAGGCACCUACUUUUCUAGCCUUGUCAGCACCUGUCACACGCACACUCAGCUUUGCAGAAAUUAUGGGCAUUCUGUCGAAGACUUCUGGUGAAGUAGAAAGCACAUGAAUCUUACUGUUCAAUCACCCACUUCCCACACGCAACAAUAGCUCAUGGGUACCACAGAUAACUUUGCCAAAGUUCUCUGCCAAAGUUGAGCACGUGAAGCUUGCAGCUCCCACUACAUCGCUCUGACCAAGAAAGGUAAAAGAAUAGCAAAGAAACAGCACUAACAAAGUUUAGACACAUAAAUUUUGAAGGUCUAGCUACCAUAUUAUUACCCACAAGGGUAAAGGAACAGUACCACUGCUGGAUAAUUGGAAAGUCCCUGUGUGUCAACCUCUGUGCUUCGUGGCAAGGUAGACUAGCAAACAUGCCCAACCUUUACUCACAUUCGAGAAAACACUCCCAACAAGAUUGCUUGCUCCAAAAUCGAAGAGGCACCGUCCUCCGAAUCUCUCGAGAGCCAGACUCCCAACAUGACUACUUUCUCAAAAGCGAAGAGAGGGUAGGUAAGGAACAGUACAUUGCUGGAUAAUUGGAAAGUCCCUGUGUGUCAACCUUUGUGCUUCGUGGCAAGGUAGACUAGCAAACAUGCCCAACCUUUACUCACAUUCGAGACAACACUCCCAACAGGAUUGCUUGCUCCAAAAUCGAAGAGGCACCGCCCCCCGAAUCUCGAGAGCCAGACUCCCAACAUGAUUACUUCCUCAAAAAUCGAAGAGACACUGCUCUCCGAAUCUCGAGAGCCAGACCCCCAGCAUGAUUGCUUUCUCAAAAAUCGAAGAGGCAUCGUUCUCCGAAUCUCGAGAGCCAGAUACCACAUACCACUUUUUCAAAGUGCUCUGACAGAGUUAAAACAUGUGAAAUUGGCAGCUCCCACUACCGUGCUAUGACCAAGCAGGGUAAAGGAAUAGCAUUACUACUUGUUGUUAGGGAGACUCCUAUAUAUGUCGACCUCCAUCCCCAACGGACAGGCAGACCUGCAAAAAUGCUCAACCCUUCAUCAUAUCUGAGAGGGCACUCCCAACGAAGCCUUUCGAAAUAUUCAGCUUUCUUUCCCCCCGAUAAUACCUCUGCAAACAAGCUAUACUAGAGCAAGAAUAUCUCAUAUCAUCAGGGUUAAAAGCAAGAGUAUCCCAUAUCAUGCUUUUUCCCUGUCUUUUCCUUUGGCCUUGUUUUUACCUGCAAGACAACAAGGAGAAAGAGAGCAAUCAGUCAGCACUUGGAAUCAAGCUUCCAGCCAGGAACUGACUGCCUGGAACCCCUUACCUGAUUACUUACCUGGCAUUGCUCUCGAGUACUCAUCUUCAACAUCUUAUAUGCUUCCAGGGAAGAAGAUUCCGCAUCUGCUUGAGGAACAGAUAGGGCAAGUGUGAAGGAUACAAGGAAGCAUGUGGAGACAAGCGUAACAGCACACGUGCCGAUACAUCCAUUACUCUGUCAAAAGCAAAAGUAUCCCAUAUCAGCAGGGUGGAACGUACUCUAGAUUUGAUGGACUUGUUUUGACCCUCAAAUUCUUCAGUCGGCCUUAUACUCUGGAGGAAACCAGAAAACCCUCCAGCUCAGUUCAAGAAUAAGCCUGUGGAAAGUUACUUCUUCAAAAGCAAAAGUAUCCCAUAUCAUCUCUUCUCAUUUUUCUUCUCUUUAUCCUUCAUGCUGCCUGCAAGAUGGGGAGAAGGUGAACAAUCAGUCGGAGCUUUGAUUGCUUACCUUGUCUGUCACCUCUUUCAGCAGACCCCCUAGCUCGGCGACUUGGGGGACUCCUACUACAUGGUUUGUAUCGCGCUUGACCAAGCCUGAAACUACAAGUAAGCUUCAAGUGAAAUUGAUACAUUACCUUGUGCAUCUCCACCAGUUAAAGAUACCACCCCUGGAUGGAGGAAGAGUACUUCCAGAGAAGAUGCCACAUCUACCUAUGAGACAGAUAAGGCAAGUCAACGACACCACACUCCGAUACUUAGAAGUUUCGUGAUUACGAGAUCAUUCUCCCACAAUAUUUCCUAAUGUCAUUUGUACUAAAUCAUUCACUUGUACUCACUAAAGGAGAGCUUGAACCCUAUGUACUUGUGUGUAAACCCUUCACAAUUAAUGAGAAACUCUUCUAUUCCGUGGACGUAGCCAAUCUGGGUGAACCACGUACAUCUUGUGUUUGCUUUCCUAUCUCUAUCCAUUUAUAUACUUAUCCACACUAAUGACCGGAGCAAUCUAGCGAAGAUCACAAAAAGCGAUCCGUUUUCGCUACCUAGGAUCUAUCUUGCAAGAGAACGGAGAAUUAGAUGGAGAUCUCAACCAUAGAAUACAAGCUGGAUGGAUGAAGUGUAAGAGUGCAUCCGGCGUGUUGUGUGACCGUCGUAGGCCACUGAAGCUCAAGGGAAAAUUUUAUAGGACGGCAAUAAGGCCAGCGAUGUUGUAUGACACAGAAUGUUGGGCGGUGAAGCAUCAACACGUACACAAAAUGGGUGUAGCGGAGAUGAGGAUGCUUCGUGGGAUGUGUGGGCACACGAGAAAGGAUAAGAUUGGGAAUGAGGAUAUCCGAGGUAAAGUAGGAGUAGCCGAAAUUGUAGGAAAGAUGAGAGAAAAUCGGCUCCGGUGAUUUGGACAUGUGCAAAGAAGGCCGACUGACGCUCCGGUUCGAAGAUGUGACUACGGGACAGAGGUUCAGGGCCGAAGGGGUAGAGGAAGACCUAGGAAAACUUUGGAAGAGACUCUAAGAAAAGACUUAGAGUACUUGGAUCUAACGGAGGACAUGACACAAAACCGAGCGCAAUGGCGUUCUAGGAUUCAUAUAGCCGACCCCACUUAGUGGGAAAAGGCUUUGUUGUUGUUGUUGUUGUUGUUGUUAACAUCAGUUGUUUUGCUUUGUCCUUACUGUAAGUUUGCUAAGCAUUCAAGCCGAAUUUGCUGACCAUCAUACUUCCAGGUGAUGUAGUUUAUGCUACGGAAUUUGGAUUCUCUCGACUUUAGUGUCCGGAGCCUAAGAGUUAGGGAAUCCAGGGUCUUAAUGUGUGGCAAAGCGAAAUUGGAGCCCUUGUGUUUGUGUGGUGGGCUAAUAAAUUGAGUUAAUGGGGUCAGUCGAAUUUAAUUUGAAUGGUUUGAAUUUUCUAGUGUUUGAGCUCUGAAUUGUAAGAUCCGGAGAGUAAAUUUGUCUUAUGCCAGGGACAGUGGUGUUAGGGUUGAUGCUUCACGAACACCACUACCACUAUGUGGUGUAGUGUUAUGGCCAUAGGCGAAGUUACAUAGGGACAGGGAGGGGGGGCCCUCCCCUUGUCGGAAAUGAAGCCCAUGAGCGACGGUCCGCCUCUUUGCCCUCGUCAGAAAACCUGCAAGUCGUGAAGCCUCUCCCUUGGCGAUGAUCUCGACGGAUCGUUCUGCCAGAUACCAACGUCAGUUUAGUGCCAUUUCCUUGUGCGACAGUAGACGGCGGCGGCGGCGGCGGCGAUGAUUCGGUCUGGUGGAAGGCCUCGUGAAGAAGAUGAUUAGCAAAACCCUUUUAAUCUUUAUUACGUCACCGUUUUGUUGAGCGUUCAUUUAAAUACGACCUGCCGUUUUUUAUUUUUGUACUGAAACGACACCACAUUCUAUUCCACAUCCUAUCUUUUCUUGGGUUUAAAUGGGAUUAAAGCCCAACCAUAACAAAACCAUAAAUCCCUCUUUGAAUUUUUUUUUUUUGCUCAUUUAAAAAUAUGUUGCAAAUAUUUUUAUUAUUAAAUAUUUACCAACAUGAUACAAUUGUUCGUAUUGACGUGUUGUAUUGUGUAGUCAUGUCUGUAUUCAUGCUUUAUAAUGCUUGAAUGAAGGCUAUUGUUGCCGUUGUUGUGUUGUGAGUGACCUUUUUUUAAUUAAAAAAAAAAAACAGGUCCAAAACGAUAGAACAACGUCAUUUUGGACAUGAGAAAAGAAAAAAGACAAGCGGCAUCAUUUCAGUGGUUAAGUUUCGCUCUUUUUAUCGACAAUUAUUAGUUUCGCCACUGAUUAUGGCUGGAUACUUGAUGGACCUAGGGCAUUUAACAAAAAGUUGUACGGAGUAUAACACGAGUAAAUUUGCCUUACGUAAAUUUGCAUUUCGUGAAGACGUGGCGGUUAUAUUUGAACAAUAAUUUAUUUUUUUGUAAACAUUGGUUUUGCAUCUUAAGGGGUAAGGAAAAAGGUGGACAAGUCCACAGAGGAGCAAUUGACAGUUGAUGUAGAUAGACAUGGAUGCUGUGGCGGGCGUAGGAAAUGCAUGCCAGGUUAAAGGAGAAUUGACGAACAAGGAUCCUCUCCGGGUCCUCUUUGUGGGGAUCCCAAGAUUAAUUAAUUGUGUCUGUUCAUCGUAUAUUGUGAGAUCAGUUUUCGUUAUAUACUAUUUAUAUUUAAUUUAAAAUUUUAAAAAUUUAAAAUAUUUCUAACAUUUGUACAAUAAACGAACAUGAUUAAUUGAUCAUCCAGAUUUUCAUAAAAAGAAUCCGAAAAUAAUACUUAUCCAGAAUAGCCAAGCGUAGUUGCGUUUCUAAUCGGGUGAGUUUAAAUUUGGAAAUUUUCAAAAGUCAUGAUGGCCAACACAUCUGAAUGUUGAAAGAAACCAUGUGCAUUGCCAUCCAAAUCCACACACAACACAAUGAUCACAUCUUGUGCUUAGCGGGAUGCCACAAAAGACAAUCUUUGAAAUUUGAGUUGUACGACGUUAUUAUUCUUUCAUAAAAAUAUAGAAUUUUGUUAAUUAUAGAUAUAUUUAUAUCCGAUCUUUAAGUUAAAUCAAAUCUGUUUUACAUCUUUUAUAACGGAGAUAAUAGUGACAUUUCUAGCACUUUAUUAGUUUUAAUUGUGAGCCUCAAAACCUAUACCAAAUACCCCACAAAAACACAUUUCAAAAUUAACGUUGAACUCAUCCUGCAGCACAUCAAGCCGCAGGAGCUCGCCCGACCAACAUCAUCAAAAGUGCCAUUCACCCUUGGAGAACGGUGCGAGGGGCCAUCCACCUUUUGCCUUUCGAACACAUACAUGCAUCAGUGAACGAAUGCAAAAUUAGGAAAUAAAGUUAAACAGUAAGAUAAGGAUCCCCAAACGUUUGAAAAAAGUAAGCAGGACACGAAACGACGUCGUUUGACUGCGUCAGCGUGUUGCGGUGUCUGCCUGGCGCAGCAUUUCCUUUGGUAAUAAUGAUGACAUGCUGAUGCGUCGUCGUUUCCUCCGCAGCCUCGCGCUUGCUUUGCAUGGCGUCGCGUCGCUAUGCGGCAGACAUGUGUCCUCGUGUGGCCCACAACGACCGAAAAUCCCCAAAAUUAACGCUAAAUUUCACUAGUAGCCCUCGUACUUUUGUUGUAUAUUUUAUUUGCCCCUAUAGUUUUCCUUACAUUUUCAUCCUCCUCCAACUAAGAAAUCCGUCUUUCAAUCCUUUCAAGCACGUGUUUUAAUUUAUUUCAUGAUAGAACAAUGUGCACAACUAAGUUGGUGUUAAUUUUGCCACUUAGUAAUACAGUUUAGUGACAUUCAUCUUUACUUGCAAGUAAAAAGUCUUAGGUUUAAUUAUCGCCACCUUCCCUUAUAAGUAAAAAAUCUUUGGUUUGAUUAUUGCCAAAUGCGAAUUUGAAUCACAUUAUUGUUAGUUCAUUAUGAGAUUAAGCCAAUUAUUUCUUCCUUAGUGUUAAUGAUAUCGUUUGUUAAAAUAAAAGUUGGUGUUAAUUCCAUUAAAGGUAGACGUAUAUCAUAUUUAUUAGAGUGAAUCUACCCUCUAAAUGCAUUUAGUCGAUAUCCUCAUUUUUACACUAUGGAUUAGUUAAAGCAAAAUCUCAUUCAUUUAUCAAAAAAAAAAUAGUGUCAAUGCCAUUUUAUGACGAUGAAGUCAUUUUUAACUGAGUAAACUCUAUGGUCUAGUUGAAUUUUUCAAAUAAGAAGUACCCAUAAUUUUUUUAUUGCUAAAAAAUCGAUAAUAAAUUGAUAUUGAAAAAGAUCUCAACUCAUGAGGGAGAAAACUUUGAUUCGAGUUACAAAGAAGUGCUCAUAAUUAAAUGAAAAUAUAAUGGAACCAUAAGGAUGAAAGUGUAAGCAAAAAGAUAUUACUUGAACGAAAGUGAAAAUUCGACGGGUCUUUCGUGAAAAUUUAAUAAAAAAAAAAAAAAAAAAAUUAAGAAAGAAACAGAAGAAGGAGGGGAGAGAGAGAGAGAGAGAGAGAGAGAGAGGAGGAUUUUUGCCGCUUUUGCGUUUGGGUUUGGGGGGGUUUUUAAAAGGUUUUUCCUCACACCACCGAAAAACGAAACUGGUCUUCCCUUCCAAUCACACCCUCUGAUUCCUCCUCCAAAUCUCCGACCACCGUCUGUCAACCACUCCCUCAACGGCGCCGUUUCGGCGUUUCCUUCCUCUUCCUCCUGUCAUUUCCUUCUCUCUUCUCCUCCCCCAAUCUUGCCUCCGUUGAUCUCAUGGCCCGUCUCCUCUGUUCGGCGCUGCCGAACAACGUCGUCUUCCGCGAGGAUCGACCCUGCCCUUCGCCGCCCUCGCCGUCAUUGCCGACCACCAACCCCGAUCCCUCCGUCAUAGCCACCGAAUCUUGGGCCGGAGCCGAGGAGGCAACCCAGGAGAUAGUCUCAAAGAUUCAGCCCACUCUGGCGGCCCACCAGACGAGGAAGGAGGUCAUUCAAUAUGUGCAGAACCUCAUCACAUGUAACGUCGGGUGUCAGGUAAUUACAAUUCUGCCCAAUUACAUUUCUUUCGAAUUCUGUUUUGCCAUCUGGGUUAGUGUUUGUUUUGUGUAAUUCUUGUGCAAUUAGGUGGUAAUGGCGAUGGUUUAUCUGCUCAUGUCCAAUUUAGUUUUUCAAGGUAAUGACUUUAAUAAAUGGAAUGGGAUUUUCUCGUGUUUUCCUGUUCGAUUUCUGUUUAGCAACGAAAUGUUGGUACUUGGUGCAAACCGUGAAGCAAUAUCGUUUUUCGAGUUCAUUUUUUUCUGAGGAAUCGGUGAAGUUAUAAUGUUGUUUCUGUGUUUGUUCAUUUCACUGACUUGCUUAUAAGUUACGAUGGCGCUUUUUGUAUUGUUAUCUCACAGGUUUUUCCUUAUGGGUCAGUUCCUUUGAAAACGUAUCUGCCUGAUGGCGAUAUUGAUAUGACGGUAUUUGGCAGUGCAAACAUUGAUGAAGUCUUUGCAACUGAUGUGUAUGCAAUUAUGAAAGGCGAGGAGAAUAACGAAGCUAGUCCAUUUCAUGUGAAGGAUGUACAUUACAUUGAUGCCGAGGUUCUUCCCCACUCGAUGCCUUAAUAUUUUGUUGGGAACCUUCAGUCUCUUCAGUUGAAAACAUUUAUAAUUCCAUAUAUUAUUAGAGUUCGAGUCUUUGAUGUAGGUAUUAUCGCAUUUUUCUUUUGUUCGCAUCGACAUACAAUACUUGUUCUUCUGUGGGAUUUCUUUCCUAUAACUUCGUCAUCUCUUUUUGUGGUAAUGUAUGUUUGGGAGUGUUGAGAUUGAUGUGUUAUAUCUGACCAAGUUUUUCUCCACAGAUACUGUGGACUUGUCCUGAGUGUAGAAUAGAAUAGAUAUUAAUAAGCCGGUUAGCAAAAUAAAGUUAUUUUGUUAAAUGUUCUCAAUUUUCUCUCGAAUAUUGUUUCUUCCGAACUUUGUCUAGAACUGUUUAUGUUGGUUUGGAGUUCUCCUGUGGCAUAUCACCCCCUUUUAUUUAUACAACAAAAACUGUUUAGCUUUUCUAUUUGCCAGGUUGAAUUUGUUUGACUUUACUUUAUUAAUAGGGUAAGUUCCUGAUAUUCAUGAUUGGAUAUUGUGGAACUCAACAUCUGCAGGCAUUUUGUUGAGUGCUUUUACUUUCUUGCGUUUUAACAUCAGUGCUUCAUGUUCAUUGAUGACGCUCCUAGGUUGAUGAAGAUAUCAUAAUUUUCUUUGUUAGACAUUUUCAAUUUCCAUUUGCGAGGUUACGUUAUCUAAAAUUUGGAGCUUUUCGUUGCAGGUUAAGCUUGUGAAGUGCAUUAUACAAAAUAUAGUUGUAGAUAUAUCCUCCAAUCAGUUAGGAGGAUUUAGUACACUGCACUUUCUUGAACAGGUAUUAGCAAUUCAAAUUUUGAUUAGCUACGAUUCAUAUUGUAUAACUGAAAGUUCACUCAGGUUUGAUCUUUGGGUCAUAUUUCUUAUGUUGCUUCCUUUGCAGGUUGAUAAUUAUAUUGGCAAAAAUCAUCUGUUCAAGCGGAGUAUUAUUCUGGCAAAAGCCUGGUGCUACUAUGAGAGUCGUAUUCUUGGGGCCCAUCAUGGUUUGAUUUCAACAUAUGCUUUGGAAACAUUAAUCCUAUAUGUUUUCCAUUUUUUUCAUUCGUCACUGGAUGGCCCUCUGGCAGUGAGUACUCCCAAGUCAACUUUGAGUCCUUAUUUCAAAUACAUAGAUAAGUUUAAGAGCCUAAUUGUUUUUCAUUUUUAUAGGUCCUUUAUAGAUUUUUGGAUUACUUCAGCAAAUUUGACUGGGAGAACUACUGUAUAAGUUUAAAUGGACCAGUAUGCAAAUCGUCCCUGCCUGAUAUAGUGGGUAAGAGAUAUUAUUGUUUGUUUGUGAUGUUAGAUGCUUUAUUUAUGUUUUCUUGCUCUGUCUCUCUCUGACUCUCUGACUCACUCACUUAAAAACUGCAGUUGAGGCACCAGAAAAUGGGAGAGAUGAUCUACUGCUGAGUGAAGAGUUUAUUAGAAAUUGUGUGGAAAUGUUCUCUGUUCCAUCAAAGGGGCAUGAGACAAACUUGCGAGCUUUUCCCCUGAAGCAUCUUAAUAUAAUAGAUCCGCUAAAACAGAACAACAACCUUGGGCGUAGUGUCAGCAGAAGUAUGCAUUCUGUCUCUCUCUUUCUCAUGCUGUUGUGGAGUUUUAUCGUAGUAUGAUUGAUGGGUUUUGUACAGGUAACUUCUAUCGAAUAUGCAGUGCUUUUAAAUAUGGAGCUCGCAAGCUCAGUUGGAUUCUUUCGUUACCAGGGGAAUGCAUAGCAGAUGAGCUGCCCAAGUUUUUUGCAAACACUUUGGAUAGGCGUGGAAGCAAUGGUCAGACAAAUGUGCACAAUAAUGCGUUGUCUGGGGGUUCUGAAGCUUUGAACAUUUUGUUGGAGCUUGGUGGAGAUUUUGACAGUCAUGGAAUGAACCUGCAAUAUGGUCCCUUUUUCCCUGGAUCUGCUACAUCACCUCCUUUGUUGCCCAGUCCUCCCUUGUCACCUCAGCCAUGGAAAGAGAACCCAUGGGGAGGUACGUCUGAAGCCCUUCAGUUCCAUCAGCAUAUUAAUUCUCAAACUAACAUAAAUGGUGUUGAUUGGGGAGUACAUGCGUACCAAGCAAAUGAUUCCAUUAUCUCCGUUGCUGCUUUCAGAGGAGAAAAAAGGAAACCCCGAGGGACUGGAACCUACAUCCCCAAUGCGGUAGUGCCAUUAUGUUUUCUAUAUAAUCAUUUUCUCAGACUGCAUUCAUGUAAUUUUAGAUUCAUGAGCUUCAUAUUUUUGGGUUUAUUUUUCUACAAAGUCAUUCUCAGAGGACUACAGUCCUGGUUUUCAUAAUCUCAUGGUUAUCUGCUUACAGUCUUUUCAGUGUUACCGUCCCUUUAAGGAUAGGUUGCCUGGGAGGGGAAGGAAACAGGCACCAGGAACUUGUUUUCGAUUUCAGAGACACGCCUUUGGUUAUGGCUUCACUGUAGCUCCUCAAGAGUCAAUCUCCCCUAAAGAAUGCAGCCGAGAGCUCUCAGAAGUGGAGUACCCAAUUCUAGGUCAUGGAAACUCUGCGACAUUAGAUUACCAUCAACCUCACAUGCCUCUUUGGAAAUCAUUUCAUGGCAACAGUUUCUCCAACUUGCCAGCGAAACUCGAAUCUAGAUCCUCAUCCCCUCAGUUAUGGGAGGAGGCACCCAUGCCGGAAUUGGACCAUCAAGCAGAGUUUUUUGGAGCCGAUGAGGAAAGGUAGUUGGAUUUGUUAAUUCGAAGUAGUCCUGCACAACGGUUUUCUUCUAAAGCUAAAAAGCUCUCCUGUUGUUUGUGUCUUCAGGAUUGAAGAACAAUCAAACCUUUUGAAAAAUGAAGAUCAGGCAUUCCACCUGAAAAAUGAAGAUGAUUUUCCGCCGCUCAACUCUCGAGUGCCGUUGAAGGAAGGAUUAUGCGUUGGACAAUGAAGACACUAGACUGAGCUUCCGGGAAGACUUGUCCCCCUCACCUUCGAUCUCCUUGGGACCUCCGUUGUUAGUUGUUUCGAUAUAGCAUACACAUAUUGUACAUUCUGGUUCGUUUUUGUAGUUACAUAUCUACGCGCACAGUCGUGCGCUUUCAUUGGAAGGGGUGGAUGAUGUAUAUACGGGGUAAAGUUGGCCCCUCGGCUUGUCAUUCCCUCCCAAAGUUUCUAGUUUUAAACACAUGAUGAAAUCUAUAAAUGUAACUAGGAAAGUUUUGGUUAUGUGGAUUUUUUUUGGUCGAAUGUUAUUUUGAAUCGAUGAAAGUUAAUUGCAGUGAAGUUGAGUUUAUUUUGGUGAAGUGGUAACAGUUGCAGACGUGGGUUUAAUCAAGUUGCUUAGAACAAUGUGUUUUUCUCUCAGCAAUCAUGUUCAAACCUAAGUUUGAUCAAUUAGAACAUCGUUGUACUAAAAAAACACAAGAAUUCUACAAAGGUUACCAUGCAGGAACCUUAUGCUUAAGAUGAACAAGUUGUCGCACGUAAGGGCUCGUUUGGUGCCACAAUUCAAUUGGAUUAGAGGGUCAAAGUGAAUGAUUUUUGUUUUAGCAGAAAAUUAUAAGUGAUUAGAGAUAAAAGAAACUCUCACCUGACAUCGUUUUACGUUUUUGUGAGAAUUAAGUAAUUCUUCUACCUUCAUGUUGGGCAAUAUUUAUUCAUUUCUUCAUGCAACGCACAUUGAACGUAGCAAGUUUUCUACUACAAUUACAUUCUUGGGGUUGCACCUUCAAUUAGGCAUUCACAUUAAUUACGUAUUUCUCAGGCAACUGACCAAGAAGGCACCAGUGGUCUAGUGGUAGAAUAGUACCCUGCCACAGUACAGACCCGGGUUCGAUUCCCGGCUGGUGCAUCCAUUUUUUUACUUUUUUGUUCAUGAGAAAGAGAUUUAUCUCUGACCUUUUGCCCUUUGAUUUUUCAGAAAAAUAAAUAAUGAAAAGGAUAGUUUUGUCUAGUCAUAUUCCAACGUGGCAACGGAUUUUAGGGAAGAAACCAAUAAAGUCGUACUUGGGCGGCACUAAUUAAGUAAAGAAGGUGGGAAAGAGAUGUUCUCUAGAUUUUUAUAUCAAAUUCACAUAAUCAAUGAAUUUGAAAUUUUAAAAUUUGACUUAAUGGAUAAAGUUAUUAUAACUUUUAAUGAAUUUUCAUUUUUUUAACAAAUUUUAAAAAUCCAAAUUCUUUGAUUAUGUGAAUUUGGUGGAAAUGAUGAUUUUCAAAAAAGAGCAUCUAAAUUGCCUUCUCCUCACAAUGAUUAUUCUUAAUUAAAUUAUUAAUUAUUAUACAAAGACAAUGCUUAAAUUACUUCAACUGUAUAAAAAUUGGCUGAAUUCAUGUGAUCUGUCCAUUUCAUUUCAGUUGCCUGCCUCCUUCCUUCAACGUCACAAUAAAUCUUUCGAGCCAAAAACCUCUUGCUAAUUUCCACAAGUUCAGGUUCAAGCUCUGCGGACCAAGCAAAAUGUGGGCGGAUUAAUUAACUCAAUAUGUUUUACUAUUUGACGAUUAGGCAGAUCAUGACGUUCGUGUACGCAUCUUUAAUUAAUUCACGUAGAAGGUCGUAAUACGAGAAAGGUAAGCUAACCAUAAAAAAAUCUAUUUGUGUCGAUUUACUAUUAGUUAUCACGUAUAAUAAAAGACAAAUCUCUCUAUCAAGGUUAUUUAUAUAUUCUAAAAUAUGAUCGAUAUGUGAUUUGAGGGAUUAGGAGGAACUUUUGCAUGUCAUUAGGUCGUAUAUAUAUAUUCCCGUGCAAGUGUAGCACUCGUACGAAGACGUAUGACAUCCAAGUCUUCCUACAGUAUUAGAGCCACGGUUUUUCGUACCAAACUACUCGAAAAACAGAUAAACAUCGAGAGAUAUCAGGAAAUAAUACAGUAAAACAAAGGUAGGUAUAAAACUGUAAUUUUUUGUACCUGUUCAUCCUACUUUUUGUUGUUAUUUACGCACGUAAAGAUUUACAUGCCAAAUUAAUCAAUGGGUACAGAGCUGCCUAUAUAAUAAUACUUAACUAUAAUUACCCGCACUAUAAUAUAUAACCAUAUAUAUGUAUAUAUAUAUAUAUAUAUAUAUAUGUGAAACAAUCAUUGUGUUUGACUGUUUUCCCGUUCGUAGUGCAUGAACGUACAAGUCAUGACUUGUUUCAUUAUAAAAAAGAAAGAAAACGGUGUGCUGUGUAAACCACAUAAGCGAAAGUUUAUCCAUUUAAACUAUGAUACCAUUUGUUCUUUGUUAAUUUGUACACUACAACCUACAACAUGUCUUCCCCAUUCUCACCUGUCUGAAUUAGUCCAAACGCAUACUAGGGUUUUCAUAUAUUUAUCUUGUAAGUUUUAUCCGCAAGUCUUUUAUGAUUGUAAUUUAUUGCAUAGAAUAUGACGUUGAACUAACUCUUUAUUUAACGAUAUAUUAGUGACUCUAUCAGUUUUAACCCAAUCUCAUUAAACUUAUAAUUCAAAUACUUAACGGACUGUGUACGAUAUUAUCAAGUAUCUUGUUUUAUUAGAAAAAAAAAAAGUGUGCUGAGUUACUGAUCAGACAUGCAUUAUAAAACCACAAAAUGAAACAUUUAUUUAUUUUAAUUAUGACAUUAUUGUUGUUUGCUAAUUUGUACACUACAACCCACAGCAACAAGCUUCCCCAAUCUUACCUGUCCUCUUUUGGAUGAGUUCGUCCAAACGCAAACUAGGGUUUUCAGGUUUUAAACUGUUAGUUAGUUCUAUAAAACAAGUAUUUUGUAAUGCAUUGCAAAUUACGGACCGCGAGGCGCAAGAUGGCACGUCUGCAUGCAAGACUGGUAUGCUCAACCAAAUUAAAUUUUAUUUUCUAUAAGGUAUAAAAAUUCUGGUUAUAAAUUUCACAGACUUCAUGCAGCAUUUAUAAUUUAUCUGAGACAGACACAAACAGUUAUAUAUUGAAUUGAGAUCCUCUUCAAAUCUUUAAGAACUAAGAGAUUUGGGUUGUUAAACCGAAGAGGAAGAAAUUCGGAUCUUUAAUUUAUGUGAGUAUGAACCGGUAAAAUUGAUUAAUAAGAAUUGUAAAAUUUAAAAUAAGUUAUCUGAAUUUUCUGAUGCAUUAGUAUCGGAUAUAAAGAUCUGGAGAGAAAUGGGGACAAAUAUAAAGAAAAAAAUCAUUGAGAAAGAGAGGAUAAGAAUAUAAUAGGCAGUGGGGGGACCCAAUGAAAAAUUGAAAAUGCAUGAAAAGACAAGUGAGAUAGCGAUUGAUUUGCCAACCCACUACUAAAUAAUUGGAAAAAUGAGGUGGGAGGAGCCCUCAGUGGAUUAACACAGCCGGAGAUGAAAUUUUCAAACCAAAUUAAAUUAUACGUCACUAAAAUACAAGAAAAUCUAAUUUAUUUGACAAAAAAAUGAAAGAUAAAGUGAAGAGCAUCAAAUAAUAGUUGAUUAGAUUGCUUUAGAAAUAAUAGUUGAUUAGAUUGCUUUAGAAAUAAUAGUUGAUUAGAAAGCAACUACAAACAAAAUUGUUAGACAAAUAUAAGAUACAUGUCUAUCGACUUAAAUUCUUCAAUGUAUUUUCUUCUUCUUGUCUCAAGGUUCUACAAUUGCAGACUUGAGACUAUCAAAAAUUUCUUACACAGUACACAGAAUGGGCCGAAACCACUCUAGGCUCUUAGUGGCUUGACUCAUGCUAACUUAUUAAACGUCAGGAAAGGGAGGUAGAAUAAGUGAGAUCAAACCAGUACCAAGACUAUAAACAUUAUUACUUUUUACUACUAUAGUAAAAUGCCGUUUGCCUUUAAAAUGUAAUCAUAAAAACAAUAAAAUUACUUUCGGGUCUCCAACAUGAACUUUAAGAAUCCUCGCAAAAUUGAGGUAUUCACAAGAUUUUUUUUUUGGUGAACAGUAUUCACAAGAUCUUUGGCGUGUGCAAUAGGUACCGUUUGGUACGUAGGACGGGACGGAACAGAGUGGGACGAGGCGUUCCGUCCCACGUUUGGUGCGCCUAAAACGGGUGGAACGCGCUGUUCCACGGGAUGAAUUUUGGGUGAAUUUUCGUUCCGCCUCACCUUCUGGAACGACUUGUUCCACAUUUGUGGAACACAAAAUUAUAAUAUCUCCGUCUCCUUCUUCUUCCUCCUUGUUUCCAUCCAAGGGCAUCUUUACUCCCUCUUCGUUCUGUCCCGUCCCGUUCCGUUCCGUUCCGUCCCGUCCCGUCUGCAUGCCAAAGAUACCUAAUGGAACUGUCUUAACUCACUUCAAAAUGAUUUUUAUAAUGAUUUUUGUUAAACUAUACAAACCUGAUAAAAAUCAUGAGUUAUAUAAGGCUAUAGCGAAUCAGUGGCCAAAUUAAAAUUUUAGUUUAAGAAGGGCUUAAUGUCUCAAUCUGAAACUCUCUCCUUAUUUAUAAAAUUUAUUUUGCAUGUGAUAAGCAACCAACCAAUGUUAUUUGGUUUUGGUAUGUUGUUGUCUUCAUCAUUCUCUGUCUUAAACCUAAACCUCAAGCCUCUAUGACUUUCUUUUUCUCUCCAUCCAGUGAUCUCUAGACCAAAGUCUUACUCAAAGCUCACAAGCAAUAAAUUGUCUAAACUCGAUAAGAGCCACUCACCUCAAAUCAAACUUGAUGUAAGAAAUUAAAGUAAAAAUGUCGGAUUGGGAGCUUGAGCUUACGAAAAAUGUUAAAAAUCAUAAGCAUAACACUAAACUUUUUUAGCCAAAAUGGUCUUUAAGAUUUGCAAAACUCCUCACUUUGGUCCAUGAGAUUUCAAAUCAUUUGGCCCAUUGUUUAUUAAAUUGAUAGUGUUUUUAUCAUUUUGGUCCCUAUUUAAUAUAUUUUUUUAUGGAAUGAUAAAAUGAUUGAUGUUGGAUAAAUUCAAGAACCUUUUUUAUUGAUUUCAAUUCUCAAAGACUAAAAUGAUGAGUUAUGCAAAUCAUAUAUACCAUUUUGAUUAAAAAACCAAAAAUGUUAGAAUGGACAUGGGAGCUUCGUGAUCCAUUAAUUGCUUCGCCUCUGUGGCCAAUUCAAUAAGUAAAAAAAAAAAAUUAUUAAGAUUACCAAGACCGUCAGAUUUGUUUAGCAGUGAGCGUACCUUGACAAGCGCUAAACAAACCGUGCUUUGCCUACAUUUAAGCUAAACACAUGUGCGCAAUCAAAUCUAUGACUUUGAAUGCAUAAAAAAAUACGCUUAACAACUUAAGAUACAAAUAUCUUGCAUAGAUCUUAUUUAUAUGUAUUGUUUUUUAUUCUUUUUUUUUUUAUUUUUAAUUUUUUUAAUUUUUUUAAUUUUUAAUUUUUUUAAUUUUUUUAAUUUUUUAUAAAAGAACUUCCAGUAGUUUCGUGUCAACUAUACAAUAAUGAUACAUCAUCAUACAUGCAUGUAAGCUUAGCUUGGCUGUGGUAUUUGUGUGAUGUCACGGGUCAUGUUGUGUCAAAUUUGUUAUCUUAACAAGUGAUUUAAUAAUGAUUCGAUUCUUUACUUAGUCAUGUCGUUUCAUGUUAGAUUAAUAGGUCAUGCAAAAAAUUCUCACGCUUAAUGUUGGAAUUUGACAAAUGAUAUCUCAUUAGGUUCUUAACGAAUGAUGAUAGCCACCCGACAUGUCAACGGGUUAUCCAAUAACCACCCGACUAUUUAACAUGUUAACCUAAAACUCGUUAUUUUUGUAUUAUUUUGUGUCAAAUUAACGAGCCGUGUAAAACAUUGACAGCCAUGCAUGUAACAUUACCAACAGAAUUUCAAACUACAAAUGCAAAAAAGCCAAAGCAUUUGACGCAAUAAAAACAACCCAAACAGUCCCUAUGGAGUUGCCGCCACCACCACCACCACCUCUCGUCACACGGGGACCACACUUAUACAUCUCUUCCUGUUCGGUUUCCCUGUUCUAUAUUUACAGCUUUUACUUCUCUCCCUUCACUUGAAAACUCAAUUGCUUUGCCCACAAACAACAACAGCAACAUCCCACAAAAGUGCUUUUACAAUUUGGAUUCCUCCCCUUUCCCACAAAUGGUACUAACAAAGUGUAGCCACAGAUUCUUCAAGUUUCGUACCCCAUCUUCCACUACACCACAAUCUCUUUGAUUCUUCAAAACUUUUGACAAUUUCUCAAACUGCCCCUCCCAAAAACCCACCAACCAUUCCCUACUCCUCAAUUCCCCAAACAAACACAACUCUCCCUUUCCAAGUUUCAAACUUUCUUUCCAUUUGCCUCUGAAAUUUGACAUCUUUUUAAAACCCAAGUCCCAAAUGGUUGCCAACAAGUACGAGGGGGUCUCUCGCGCCGUGGUAGUGGGUAUGGGUUGGAUUAUGCUGAGGAUUGACUACUCGAGGCUCUUCUGGCUCUUGUUUGGUGUCUUCUCUUAUGAAAACCACGAGGGAAAGCCUCGGAUUUGAUUUCCCAAAUUUCUCAUUUAAUUUUCCCACCACACCCUUUUGAUAAUUUUUAGCAACCUUUAAUUUGUUUCUAGUAAUCACCUGCUCUCUGGUUUGUUCAUCAAGCAAAAGAAACAACGUUUGCUUGGGAAGUCAGUAGCUGGAAUCCUCGAACAUGUCGAUGGCAGAUAAGACUGGCUAUGUUGAAAUGGAUCCUACUGCGAGAUAUGGUCGGGUAUGUAAUACUAAUAUGCAUUUCACCAUUAUUAUUAUUAUUUUUUUUUUGAAAUUAUGGACGUUACCCAGUUGCCGGAAUUGAUUGUUUUUGUGGUGGCUCAAAGUGUACUACUUGCUUAUACAUUUUUUUUUUUAAAUUUAUUUAUUUUGUAUAUAUAUUAAAGUUGGUUACUAUUUGUUUCUUGAAAUUAUUUAAUUAAAUGAAUUUUGAGAACUAUCUGAAAAACCAUGGAAAUGCUUAAACUUUGGAAUCUCAGAUCAUCAGAUAUUUGAGUUUGAUCAAAUGGUUGGUUAGCAUGGAUUUCUUGCUCGCCAUGACUCAUGAGUAGGUGAUCAAUAUUGUAUUGUAUGUGUGUGUGUAUAUGUAUGCAUGCAUGCAUCCAUGUAUGUUCUUAUACACAAGUAGAAUAACAUUAAGUCUGGUUAUAGAAUUUAGAUAGUUUUGAAGGAUGGAAUAGUUUAUUUGGUCAAUCUUGUUUAGUGGGUGAGUCAUUGUCUAAUUCAUCAUUAAGUACUUUAGUUUAAGCUGGAGUAAUCGCCAUCCGGGUGAUCCCGAUGACCUUGAACUCUAACCCAUUAGUUCCCUAGUUUUUUAUUUAUUUAUUUAUUUUAAUUUAUUUUUUUAUGACAGUUGGUGUAAAGAAAGAUUGUUAAUUUAAUACAAGAUGCUAAAUCUUCUCUUAAAUAAUAUUGGUUUUCAAUUAUGUUAGGAGUUGAGAAAUUUUGGGAAAUAAAUUUGAUUGUUUAAUUUGGUGCCUCAUUAGUUUAGAUGUAAAACAAGCGUGGUGCUAUCCACACACCAACUUUUACCCCUUACACACUCCUCUUAAUUUCCAGCCGUCUGAUCGAAAGAACUGAACAAGAUCAAUGGACAAAAAUUAACAAGGGUGUGUUGGAAGUAAAAUGAGGUGUGUGAAUAGCACUCCCCUAAAACAAAAUCAAAAGGAUUUCUUGGCCAGCAAGCAUCUUGGUCGAAGUUUUAUUCAGUUGUGCUUAUGCUAUCUAUAUUAUCUCUUAAGGGACAACCUUGUAAUACUAUUAGAGUGAGAACUUCAAAUCCGAUUAUUCUCCGAAUAGUACUCUUUAACUAAAAGUCAGUUCCUGACUCCUGAGCAUAUGGUUAAUUAUAGAUUCAAGAGUAAUUAACCAUAUGUUGAAAAUUUCAGUGAUAAUAAUAGUCAAUGGAAAUUAAUAGAAUGUUGAGUCAAUUAAUUUGUUCUGGUUUAUGUAUGGAAAUAAAUAAACGGAAAUGAUAUUUUCGAUUGCUUUUUGAAGUGACAAUAGCAUUUUCUUUGUGUUAGUUUGAAGAAGUUCUUGGCAAAGGAGCAAUGAAAACAGUGUACAAGGCAAUUGAUGAGCUGCUUGGGAUGGAGGUGGCAUGGAAUCAGGUAAAACUUAAUCAAGUUCUUCGCUCACCAGAGGAUUUGCAACGGCUCUACUCAGAAGUUCACCUCCUAAGCACCCUCAACCACGACUCCAUAAUUCGGUUCUACACCUCCUGGAUCGACAUUGAGCACAGAACUUUUAACUUCAUUACUGAAAUGUUCACAUCGGGGACACUAAGAGAGUAAUCUUCUUUCCAACUCCAGUAUUGCUAACUCUAGUUCCUCAACUUGCAUAUCUUUUGAACUAGGUAAAACACUGGAAAAUGGAGAAAAUGUAACAAUAGACCCUAAUUGUAGCCUCUUCUCUCCAAAGUCGUCUCUUCGUUAAAUCUAUGUUAAUGAGAAGGACAAUGUGAUCAACAGAUUGGGAACCGUUGUCCUUGAUACUAAUUCUUAAGCAUGAAAUAGGAUUCCUUAUUCAAUGCAUUUGACUCAAUGUAUUGAUAAACUACUCUAUCUUUCAUAUGCAGGUAUAGGAAGAAAUAUAAUCAGGUAGACAUCCGAGCCAUAAAGAACUGGGCCCGCCAGAUCCUUCGGGGUCUUGUAUAUCUGCAUGGACAUGAUCCUCCAGUGAUCCAUAGAGAUCUUAAGUGUGACAACAUCUUUGCUAAUGGGCACCUUGGGCAAGUCAAAAUUGGUGAUUUAGGGCUUGCAGCAAUUCUCCGUGGUUCCCAAUCUGCUCACAGUGUUAUAGGUACUCGUUUAUCUCCAUUAUUAGCACAUAAAUUCUGGCACUUAUUUCCACUGGAAGAUAAUUAUCUGUCUCUAUACUUUUAGGCACUCCAGAGUUCAUGGCACCAGAACUAUAUGACGAAGAUUACAACGAACUAGUCGAUGUCUAUUCAUUUGGCAUGUGUGUAUUAGAGAUGCUUACAUCUGAAUACCCAUAUAGUGAGUGUGUCAACGCUGCACAAAUCUACAAGAAAGUGACAGCGGUAAGGUGAAGUUUCGUAGUCAAGAUUAAUAGGUAUCAGUGAACAGAACCUUACCCCUUGCUACUGUUUUUCUUCAGGGGAAGCUUCCAGGAGCAUUCUACCGGAUUGAAGACUUGGAAGCACAGCGAUUUGUUGGCAAAUGCUUGGUAAAUGCUUCAAAGAGAUUAUCAGCUAAAGAAUUAUUGCUUGAUCCAUUUCUCGACUGUGGUAAAGAUGAAUCAUUGCCUUUGGGAAAGCUUGGACGCCCAAAGCCAUUUUUAAACGACAAAGAAAUGGAGAAGCUGCAAUUGAGUGAUCAUCCAACCAGGACUGACAUGACAAUCACGGGGAAGCUAAAUUCUGAAGAUGAUACCAUCUUUCUCAAAGUUCAGAUCGCUGAUAAAGACGGUACUAUUUAACUUCCUCUGGCUGUUGUUGUCGCUCAAGUGAACUAGAGAUUCAAAUGGUGAACGUUUCUUCAACUGUUUUCUCAUGCAGGUUCUCUUAGGAACAUAUAUUUUCCUUUUGACGUAUUAAACGAUACACCAUUUGAUGUUGCAACGGAAAUGGUCAAGGAAUUGGAGAUCACUGAUUGGGAGCCAUUUGAAAUUGCUAAUAUGAUUGAAGGGGAGAUAUCUGCUCUGGUACCAGAUUGGAAACCUGAAGCCUACCACUCAUUUAAGUAUCAAGAUGAUGACAAAGAUGGACCUCACCGUCCUUCUAACUCUCACUCCUACUCAUCAUCUCGCUCGUCAUUAUCUGGCUUGAUCAAUUCUCGUGGCAUUAAUGGAAUGACAAAUGGCUGUGAUUUGCUCCAAGGUAUGAUUCAUAGAACUCACUAAGUUAAUUUGAACUGUGACUACUCACUAUUAUUUUUGGGCCUUUUACUCCUUGAACUUAAAAGCCUAAUGGCUUGACUUUAGCCGUCUUUUUCUGUAUGCUAGUCUUUCCUAGAAGGACAUUGCCUAUGGAGGCUAGUUGUAGUCCAUUAGAGAUCAAGGGGGCUAGUUGCAGUCCUGUUCCAUUUCUUAUAACACAUCCUUGGUGAAUAAAGGAUUUAAUCUGGAGUCUAUAAAUAUGUCAAGAAACUUUACCGAACUGACCAGAACAUAAAUCACAUGAUAAUAUGUUGAUUAUGAGCUCGGGUUCAUAAGUAACACCUGCAAAGGCUCAACUUUGCAAUAGAUAUGCCCUCCAGCUGAGGCUGAUUUUGGGCAUAUCAGAAUAUGUCUAAACCGCGACUAAAUCUAGUUGGAUGAAGGCUUGAACAUUGGGAUGGGUGUUUUGAGUGUGGGCCGGUUGACUAUUGUUGUGUGCUACUCCUGAAGUCUGAUCCACGUACAUAUAUGAUGCAUUUCUAACAAAGUUUUAUAGGCCAGGCCUUUAGGGCUGCAUUUUCCUGCUAAAAAUACUGACAUGGGGAUUAAGCAAAGCCCCGUCUUAAGAUUUUGAGUCUUACAUUUUAAUUGCAAAUGAUUGUAGUUGCAGAUGAUUUGCUUGACGAGACCAGCUCACAAAGCUCAUCACAUUCGGUAACAUCUCCCAACGUAAGUUUCAUUUCUGCCAAUGAGCAUGGGACUAAGAUGUUCCCCGCAGGAGGAGACAAACAUCCCAUAUCAAAAUGUCACAAGUCCACAAGGUUUUGUCCCGAAGAAACACGCAAUGCUGGGAAGUCUAUAGCGAAAAAAUAUUUCGAGAGAUGCAAAGCUUUUCUAGCAUCUGGUUCCAAGGAUAAAAGGAUCAUGGAUAGCCGAAAAUUGAUGAGGAAUAGGUCAUUAGGAGACACAAGAAGCCAACUACUACACCGGUCUGUGGUUGAAGAGGUGAAUAGGAAGCGCUUGUUUAAGACGGUGGGAGCUGUGGAAACUAUUGGGUUUCAAGCGCCUUGUGAGGUUUCAAAGAAGUUGUAGAACCCAUUAGGUGCUGUUUGUUUUGUUAUACAAGAACCACAAGAAAUGAGAAUGGUAAAUUACGCCAGUUCCUUUUUACAUUUCUCAUGAGCAGUAAACUCACUAAGGGAGGAGUGGAAAUUUUAUUUCCCAAUCUGGAGAUGCAAGAAAUGACAGUUUACUGUCUUGAUUGCUCCUGAUAUGGCGGGAAUAGUUGUCAAGCCACAAGCAAGGACAAAGUUAUACGAAUGAAUUUGUGGACCACUUCAAGAAUCUAGUGACUUGUAUGUUGUAAAAAAUUUUGUGCAGACAGAUUGUAAUUAUGCUUCCAUAAUGUCUUCGAUAUCAGGAUAAAUGGCUAGUGUUAGGUUCUUAAAUGUGUUGAUGCCCUUUUCUUUUAGUGUUUGCCAUAAAAUAAAUCCUAUUUAGUUUAGUCUUGACAACUGAUUAACGUUAAUAAAACACACUUAACGAAUCAAACUAUAUACACAGAAUUUCGUCACCUAUAGUACUACAACAGUUGGGUCUAGAUCAGGUGUUCUAAAAUGGAGUUUUGAGGGAUGUAAGGAAAAGUAAAGUGCAUGACAAUACAUGAUGGGUUUGCGAUAUUGCCACAACUAGUAUCCCGAUGUAGGUAAGUUUUUAUCGUUUGGAAGGAACUCAGUCCUAACCUUUACAGCUAGCAGGCUGCAAGUGCCAAAUAUGCCAUUUUGCAUUAUAAGAUGAUGGUGAACACAGAGACUGAUGUGUUUUUGGUAUGAGUAGUCCCUGCCAGUAUUAUCUAAUUCAUAGUAAACACAAAGAUUGAUAUGUUUUAGGUACGGGUUGUUUGGACGGGAACUUACACAAAUUACUUGUAUCCAUAAUGUUGAAUUAUUGAAGAUAGGGUUUGGUAAGGUAGCAGGUUUAGGAAAUGUUUCUUGAUGGAUGUGUUUUGCCAAUUUUGGAUACGUGAAGGCUGUAGACUUGUUGACAUAUGCAAAAUCCAAACAGUCUUUACCCGGGAAUCCUGGAUUGCACAUUUUUUGUGGGUUUGAUGAAUAAGAGUUUGAUCAUGUUCUAACUCACGAGUCCUUCUACCAUACAUCAAUGCGUAUAAUAUUAUCUUUUAGAUGGUUCGUGUCUAUCUGUUUAAUUCUUUUGAAUAAUUGAACAUACAUCUAGCAUUUGAAUUCAUCAAUGCAUGCCAUACAUUGUACUCCAAAAAUUUUGCUAACUUCAUGCCAAUUCACAUACAUUUGUUAGUUUUUAUCCAUUGAUUUUCUUUAAUUCAUUCGAUGCAAGUGCAACGGUUGAAUGCUAAGAGGGGUGUGUGAGAUAUAAAAGUAAGUGUGUGGAUAAGACCAUCCUUUCAAAUAUUGUAAUGAUUGGUCCCAUGUAAAAUAAGGCCAUGCCCUUAUAAUUAACUCCAUUCCAAAAUUACAUGAUUAAGAUCUUUUUCAUGCAACUAUAAUUAGGGACCCAAUUGGAGUAGGCAAUGAGUUGUAGUGAUGAGAGGAUUAGGUAGCAACAGCAUGCUGUAAUUGUUUGAUAAAUCAUCAUAUACUUACCGCCCCAUAUCAUGUUUUUAGUGAAUCCUAUGAAAUGAACUCUUACAAUACGAAAAAGAAAUAUUUAGCCAAUACUUUUUCUUCAACGAGUUAUUAGGAGUAAAAAAUUUAAACUUAAAACGUCUUCUAAUAUUAAAAUAAAAAAUACUAGAAAUUGUUUGAGUUGAAAGUAACAAAGGCCAAAGAGCAAUCUACUUUUUGAAAAAGGGUCGAUCAAGCGUGAGAUCAUGGGAUUCAUUCCCGGAGAUGAUUAUGACGGUCCUCUAAUGAGACUUCCUUCCUGAAUUUUUUGUGGUCCUGAUUGGAUUUUUUUUUGCUCAGUUUUCAAAUCUGGUACUUCUUUGUUCCUUCGUCCUCUUGCAUGUUACGAUGUGUCCAAAUUCGUUAUCUCGUCAUGUAAAGUUUGCUUGUCAUACUGCACAGUCGCAAUUGUUAGAAAUACCUUCUUUCUUAAAGUACGUAUUACUGAGUGGUUGUAUUGUAAAACUACGAGUUAAAUCUUGCAUAUGAUUUAAUGAAAGGAAAAUUAAUGAAAAUGACUUAAAAACUUUGAGUUUUAACGAUAAGGACAAAAUAAAAAGUAAAGUGAAUAGUAUCAUAAUUGACUUUUUAAUGUAAAAAUGUAGUUUUUCGUUAAAGUAAACAGUACCGAGAGUUUUUUGUUAAAGUUUCCCUUAAUGAAUCUUUACAUGGGUGAAAUUUUGUAUAGAAUUCGCACGAGUAAGUUGAACGUAGCAUUGUAGCCAGACCCAAAUAGAGAGAACCAAUAUUUGACAAAGUUAUUUUCUCGCUCGUAGCUAGCUUAAGAGUGAUUAGCAAUCUAAUGACUUCAUAUGUGGGUCGACUAGUUUUCCAAAAAGAGGAAUGCUAUCUACUUUUUCUUUGCCUUCCCCUAUUUAUUUUUUUCACUCAUCACUUGACAUGUGUAUUUCACUAACAAAUUAAAUUACAUAAUUAAUGCAUUAAAAGUGUAAAUUCUAAUUUUCGACCUUAAAAGCAUGAAUUAUGUACUUUAGUUUGUUAGUAGAAUACAUUGUCAAGUGAUGAAUGAAAAAGGUAGAUAGGGAAAGGCAAAUGAGGAAGGUAGCUACAUUCUUCUUCCGAAAAUGCUCUUUAGGUUAUGCUAGGUUAAUAAUUCGAUUUCAUUCUAGUAUUACCCAAAGUGAGUGCUAACAACAUUCUCACUUGCCUUCUCAUUUAAACCUUCUCACUUUUAUUCAUACUAUUACUACGUGUGUUACACUAGCAAGCAAAGCUAAACAUUUAAUUAUCCUAAAUGUCAUAUGAACUUAUACAUCUUUUUUAAGCAAUUUGUCAUAUCAAUUUUCCAAAAUAAUUAAUUUGUCAUCUCACUUUAACUCUGUUAUUCUUUCCAUCCAAAAUAAGCUACGUAGAUUGCACACUUAUUUACAAGGUUAUUUUGGACGUUUCAACUCCCCACUCCCCUUCAAGAUUAUUUCUAAAAUUUCAAAGUUAUUUUAGACAUUUUAGCUCCAUUUUUUUUAAUAGACAUGAAUGGCCACGUUGAAUUCUCAAAACUUGGAAUUAGUUAAAUUCAUGUUAGUGAACCUAAUGUCUUUUUUAGUAGUUAACAAUAAGUUUUUGAAACAAACCCGACAUGUUCUUUUUACCAGCCAAAUGUUUUUUGUUUGUACAAAAGAAAAGUAGAGAACUUGUAAAUAUGAGGUCAAAAGUCCUAAACUAAUUUAUUCCCACCCCAUAUCUAUGAAAAGGUCUCAAAAGUCCGAAAUAACCCUGAACACAAGUCAUGUGCAUUGUACAUGAUUUCUUUUGGAUGAAAAAGGUGAGAUGACAAAUUAAUGAUUUCAGAAAAUUGAUAUAACAAAUUGCUUUAAAAUUUAGUUCAUGUGACAAAUUAAAAAAAAAGUAUAAGUUCAUACGACAUUUCAAAAAAAAUUCCUUAUAUUAACAACAACAACAACAACAAAGCCUUUUCUUACUAAGUGAGGUUGACUAUAUGAAUCCUAUAACGACAUUCCCUUAUAUUAACAAAGGAAUAAAAAUAGUGGGACUUUGACAUGGUUAUAUUUUAGGUUUAAGUGCUAGUGGAGUACAUAUGGCAUGCAAAGAAGUGAGAAGGUAAGUGAGAAAUUCACCAUACAAGCACGGAUAAGAAAUUUACUUUUAUAAAUUGAUAACGCUAAAGAGAUCAAAUUUUUAAAUUAAAUUUGCAGACCAAAUAAUGCGUAACCAAGAGGAAAUAUGUAUGUUAAUCAACACUUAAGUAAUAAUUCAAUCAUCAACCACUAUAUUAUUUGAUUUAUAAAUUUGAUCUCCUUAGUAUUAUCUUUUAUAAAUAUAUACCUUUUUUACAAACAAAAUAUAAACAUUUUCUUUUUUUUAACUAUGAAGCUAUGUAUUUAUUUCCAAGAUUCAUAAUAAUUCAGUCUUUGGUGAAACAUUGGUGGUUCUAAAUUACCUGAUUACACCCUUAAAUAUCAACCUAUUAUCACUAUGAAACGAUGACGGUUGUUAUGUUUUGGGCAGAGUCCGUAGUCAUCGGGAAGAGAUCUCCUCCGGAUCUCUCACACCAAAGCCACACAAUCAAUUAAUCCGGACCCUUGAAAUUUGAUUCAACGGCUAAAAUUAUUAUAAGUUUUAAAUAGACCCUGUUUGUAGCCGUUGAAUCAAAUUUCAAGGAUCCAGAUUAAUUGAUUGUGUGGUUUUGGUGGAAGGGGAUCUCUUCCCGUAGUCCUCGACCUUGAUCUCCUCUGUCAUCAAGAAAACAGCACAGUAACCCCAAAUCUACGGAAAUUAGGUUGAAUUUAUAUCAACCCUCGUACUAUAUGCUUAAUUGUGUGUCAAAAUCAACAAGUCAAAUGCAUUCGGAAUGAUGAGUCCUUUUGCCAUUUCCACCUAAACCAUUCAUAUAUAGGCCAUAGGGAGCUGCCACACAAUUGCAACUUAAUGAGCAGUAACUGGUGGUCUGCAUCACUCUUGCAUUGCCCGCGGUACGUGGAAUGGCAUGUAGUCAUGUGGAAACCCUAGCUAUCACAAGUCUUGUGCGUUGUGACAACGUAGAACAUUGGUACUCUAUCUACAUAUUACGUCAUUAAACUAUUAAUUUAAAAUUGCUACUUAGUAUGAAUAUAUGUGUAUCUAAAUAUACAAGUUCUUUGAAGUCGCCCUUUAACCUUUAUUCUUAUGGAGAAGAGAUUCUAAUAACCCCAGAAGACAGAAAACUUCAACCAGACUUCUCUAUCACGUAAGAAGUUGAAUAGUGGGUAUUGUUCGAUUAACGGGUUGUCAUGUGUUAUAAUAUAUUAAUUAUUAAUAAAUACAUAGAAAGAGGUUUUAGCAUGAUGAUAUAUUUAACCUGUUACAUGGCAAGAUAGUCUAUGCAGAUAUACAGUUCCAUGACAACCACAUUGUUUAAGACUUUCAUUUAGUUCAAUUUUUUAAUAUGUACAAAAUAAUAUAUACAGCAAAGUUUUCUCAUCUGGCUUGUGCUUUUGUACAGUUUCUUUCCUUUGGAUUACACUACUGCAACUCAUGAUCUAGUACCAACUAGUUGAGCUUGUUUCCAGAAACAAAACCUGGGGGAACAGCAAUCUUUCUCAAAAUUAUCCAGACAAGAGCCAAGCCAAAGCCCUCAAACAGGAAUACAUGUUUAUACUCUUUUGACAUGGUAAGGCCUACCAUUUUUCAUGACGUUCGGACAUUCAACUUUAACAUUAUGUCAAAACACUGUAGUUAAAUUGAAACAAUUAAUAGUCUAGUAAAUUGUGGACAGAGCUAGAUGUGGCCUUUCAUUCCUUAGGGAGUGAGAAGACGGGGAAAGGGUGGGUGGCCCCUUUGUUUUGAGGUAGCGCCGUUGUCACACAGCAUGGGAAGGACGCGUGGCGCCGUUCUUAGUAGUAAUGUGCCGGCGCGCAAGCGGUUCUCCUUAAGAUAUUCCCCAAAGCAGAAUUUGUGCUCUACCUUUUGUAGGAUCUUAGUAGGAAGAACCAUCGGAUGAGAGAGGCACCAUCCAAGUGAAUGAAAAAAAAAAACCAAUCUACUUUGAUCCACUUUUUGUUUUGUAAAAAAUUAGUUAUUAGUUCAAUUUUUUUUGCAUAUUAGUGUCUCUUUGUUGUGAAUUUGGUGGGCACUAUAUAGACGAUAAGGGAACACAAAAUUGUGGCCUAUAUAAGAGCCUCAUUUUUUAUUUUUUUUUUAGAAAAUCUUGAUAAAUUUUAUUAAUAACAAAAAAAGAUGUACACCUAUUAAGGAAACAUAAACCUAACCUCUUAUAAUACAAGAAAGAAGGAUAAAAAAAUACAUAAAAAAGAAUGGGAAACAUAAUCCUUACCCUUCUAGAAACAAAAAAUAAAAAAAUAAAAAAACAAAGAAAAGAGGAAGCGACAUGAAACAUAACACCUCUAAAAUCAAACCUAAAUGUCUAAACAUGCAAAACAGAACAAUCCACGUCAUAAGGUUAAGAAGAUCAAAUCAUAAAAAUUAAUAAAGGAUGAGCAAAAAAGUAUGUGUGGAUAUAGUUAAAUAUUACCUUGCUAAAAAAAAUCAGUGAAUCCAGUUCUUUCAACAAGCAGUACAUGCAUGCAGCUUUUUUGAGGUAUCAAGAUAUUUUCUUAGAAACCCAGAAGUCAGAAAGUAGCCAUCGUAAUUUAAAUUAAGAUUAUAUACAUGCAUUGGCAUUUAACAAUCUAAGACAGUAAAAAAUGUUACAUUUUGAUGCGAGCCAUGUCAAACCAGAUUUGCUCAAAGGCCUUGACAAUGAGUUCAUGAUAUUCCUUUGAGUUGAGUGAGAGAUAGCAAGCAAGAAGGUCUUCCAAAUCCUUAGCUGCCCUGAUAUUGUUCUCCACAAUCAUCUCCAUCAUUGAAUCUCUGAAGUCCCUCUGUGGAUCAACUGAGGACUUCACAACCGCAAAACUCUCUGAAAGGUGCCUGUUCUUCGACUUCAAGCACGACGAUGGUGAUGAUGGCACACUCUUUCUACCACAUGGCUGAGCUUUCUUCUUGCUUCCAAGUCUUGGAGAGUUGCCUCUAAGUCUUAUGCCAGUUGAACUGGCAGAAGACUUUCGAACCGAAUUCCGGGCAACUUUCCUUUGGUUACCCUUCCUAAUGCUUUCCUCCUUGACAAUUUUGACAGUGAGAGACCUUUGUCCUUGUAUUUCCUUCACUUUUGAUGAACUUCUCUUGAACUUGGUGGCCUCAUCAAAUUUCAGUGGCUUUGUUAAAAUUGGAGGAAGCUCUACCUCUGAGAUCAGAUCAGAAUCAAACCCAUCAAGCUUCUGAUCAUGGAUUUUUCUUGUUGAGCCUUCAUUUUUCAUGUCAGGAAAUUUCAGGUCACAUUCAAAUUCUGAUGGGAUUAAUUCGUGAAAGUCAGGCUCACUAGAACUCUCACUAGAAGAGCCAAAGUAAUCGGGAGACCGAAUAUUUCUGUGGCGCUCAUCAGUCCAAACCGAAUUAAUCUGAGCAUGACAGUUGCAAUUUGAUGAGGACUUUGAGACAGAUUUGUUAGGAGAAGGCUUGUAAACAGCUUUUCUUUCGGAUCUUCUGGUGGAUAUUCUUCUGGGGUUUUCGGGAAAAUGUGUGUCUGAGGCUUUUGGGUGGAUAGGUGAAUUGGAGAACUUGUUUUCUAUGUUGGGUUGUGUAGAGAAGUAAUAGGAGUAUCUUCUUGUUUGAGAUAGGUGGGAUUUUUGGGGUGGUGAGAAUUUAUUUGAGGUUGAUUUCUUCUGAUCGGUGGAGUGAUGAUGGUGCUGGGAGGUGUUGUGGUUUUUGUUUCUGGUGCUGCUCAUGUCUUUGAGCUUGUAAAACCAAGCAUUUGGGAUCAUGUCUGAAAAUCUGAACUUGUAAUUCCCCAUCAAGAAUGAAACAGCUAGCUCCUCCCUCCCUCUCCCUCUCCCUCUCUCUCUCUCUCUCUCUCUCUCUCUCUCUCUCUCUCUCUCUCUCUCUCUCACUGACUCGUGUGUGUGUGUAUGGCUCUCACUCUUAAAAGAGCUGAAUGUUAUGGUCUACAUCGAAGGUUGAAAUUGGGGUCCAAUACUAGAAAAAUUUAGUACGAAAGCAACAUGUUACAAGUAAAAUGAAUAUAUAAUUAGCAAAUGGCCCUCUAACACAGUAGUGGAGAGGAGUAUUGUCCUCGCACUAUGGUGUGGAUUCGAAACCCUUAACUCUUAAAUUUAACAAAUCUUUCGUUUUACAAAAACAAAAAAAAAACAAAAGAAGAAGCUCUUCAUUGCUAUAACUAGUGAAAAGUUAAGUUCUAACAAGGAGAAACACUUUUAUGCAAAGAGUUUUAUAUUUAGCCCUAACUAGGGUUAAUUGUUUGGUUUGUAUUACUUGGCACAGUCCAAUUAGUUCACUGUUUAUGCAUGGUGAUAUCUUGCAAACACCAAGCAAUGAUCGCUGUGAUUAGGUAGUGCAUCUUAAGCUUGAAGGAGUCUAAUUUCUAUAUUAUUUAUACAUAGAAUAUAUGAUACGAUAUCGUUUUUACUCUUUACCAUAAACAAUGAAGAAUAUAAUUAGAGCUUGAUUUAUUUGAUGCUUUCAGGCUCCUGCAUAUAUAUAUAUAUACCCCAAAUGCGUUGUUGUCCCCUUCUUUUACAUUUUAUCUCAUCUGGAUCCUCCUCCUUUUGUUUACCUAAAGCAGCCAACAUUAAUCAUGAUUCUAGUAACAGCUAAGACCCAUCUGUCUACUAAGUGCUGUAUAUCUUCCCAUAAUUUCUUGCUUUACAAAUGAUGAUAUUCCACGCCUUUUCCAAAGUGCUUAAUUUCCACAAGGCCCGCAGGCUCUCAAAGCUAAGGCUGGAUAACCACUGGCUGCUAGUUAUGGCAUAAUUGUUUUCAGUAUUUAAACGUUUAAAAAAUUAUUGUAUGAUAUUGAAAUAUUGUUAUACGAUAAUAUCUAAUCUACGUACCUAAUAUAAAAUAGUAAACAGCAUGGAUAACCUAUGAGUUUAUACUAUAGGAUAUCAUGUCAAUCCAAUAUAAUUAUAAUACUGAUACAAUGUCAAUCCAAUAUAAAUAUGUUCAGUUGCUCACGUUUCAUGAGUUAUUUCUUACAGUUUAUGUUUGUGGAGGAGCUCACAAUAGACUAACGUUAACGGUAAGAAUUUGGGCUCGGUAUUGGCGAUUAUUUUCUUCUCGUCCUUGGUUUAGACUAAUGCUUCAAUCUCUUCUUUACACACUAGGGACCGCAAGCGUGUAAUUGAUAGAUAUGGAUUGAAACUGAACCUCAUAUAUUACAAGAGAAAAUGUUUAGAAUAAAUCUUCAAUUGAUAAAAGAAAAAACUUUGCAUGUGCUUAUAAGUAGUUGAGUUAUUUUCUAUAUUGUCAAUUGGUUUUAUGGAGGAACCUAACUUUCUUCACAAUGUUAGAGCAGGUUGUUUUACGUGUGAAGAACAAUGGUCACACGUGCUCCACGUCACCCGAGUUGUGUUGUCCACAUGUUAGACUCGAAAAUUCACCACAUAUGGAGGGCAUAUUGAGAAUGAAGCCCAAAUUGAUAAGAGGAGGGACGUUGCAUUUGCUUAUAAGUAAUUGAAUUGCUCCCCAUAUCGCCCAAUUGAUUUUAUGGUAAAACUCAACUUUCUUCAAAGAAGAAGAGUGAUGAAUUUCAUAUAUACAUAUGUGACAUAAACCCUAAAGUUACAUUUAAGAAAAGACCUAACAACUAACAUGAUAUCGACUAAUACGUGAAGAGUAAAAUGAAUGUGUGAGCAUUGGGAUAUUAAAUGAUAGAGACAAUGAAAUAGGAACAAAGUGACUUUGUGACAAGUGACAUUAGCUCAAGACAGAGAUAUGAAAAUAAGUCCCGACAGACAAACAUUAUUUUCAUCCCCAAAAUUGUAAGAUUAGUUUUUCCUUCAUGUCAAAUCCUCUCGAUUUGAAAAAUUAUUUAUGUAUACUUUCAACAUACUUUGAAUGUAGUUGUUUAUCCAUUUUAUCCAACCCCAAGAUAUCAAAUGAGAUUGUAAGAAGUCAUUCAUACUUGUUUGUAAAUUGUGCAAGUCGCAGUUUUACACGUACUGAUAUACAUAAACAUGUUACUAAAACCACAAACAUAAAAGUUUACACACACGUAUUAAACUUCAGUUAGUAUGUUAAAACGGCAAUUACUCCUUACAUGUAAAAAAUCGAAUUAAUUUUCGUACAUACCAAGAAAAACAGAAACAAUCGGGACCAGGAGGAUCAAUGGUCCCAACUUUUGAAUUAUGAGACACCUCUCGACAAACCAUUCUACUAUUUCUUUUUUCUUUUUCUUUCCCUCGUGGUCGUGGGUUUGUUAAUAGGCCCGUAAAAUGGGUCAGAUCUAGCCCAACUCAAUUAUUAGUCCUGAAAGGUCCAAAUUUACCUGGCUACCAUUUCAGCCCAUGGAUUAGUUGGGCUAGACCGGACUAUGCUAACACUAGGCACCCUAUUAUUGGCAGCCAAUAAUAUUUUUAUUUUUUUGUUAGUUUUUAAAAUUGGUUUGGGUCACAUUUUUGUCCAUUACUUUUUUGUAGCGAUAUUCAAACUCUAUUUUGUUAAAACAAUUCAUAUGUUCAAAUCUCGAACAAAACCGAAAAAAGAACUUAUCGUUGAGCAAAAUAGAGUACUCUUAUCAAACAAGACCAUGUCAAAUUUGAUCCACACAAGUGCUUGGCUUUUUGCUCUCCAAUUUUCUCACAAACUUUUAUAAAUAUUAGAGUCUAUCUCCGUCUCUUUAUCUCAAAUGUUGAGAUAUAAAUUUCACACGUAAAAAUUAUGUUUACAUCUCAUUUAUAUUUUAGUGAACAAUGAAUACAAAUUUUUCAAGAUUUGAAAGAGAUGAGCUAGCGACUAAUUACUAACCAGACUGAUAUUGUCUCACUUACAUACUAUCACAUGCAUAGCACGAUAUGUGUUCCCUAUCCUCAUAUACACCUUCGACUAAAGAUCACUCCUAAAAUUUCAAGGUCCAAAGACCACGCGUUAACCCAGCUGUUCACAUUGACACCCACUUAAAGAACUUUGGGGUUCGCUUCAUUUCCCAAUUUCAUGGUAUCCCACUUACUUUGACUCCAAUACGUGAACCCCAUCAACAUUAUUUAUCACCCAAUUAAGAGAAAGCACAGAACUCUCUCUCUCUCUCUCUCUCUCUCUCUCUCUCUCUCUCUCUAUAUAUAUAUAUAUAUAUAUAUAUAUAUAUAUAUAUAUAUGUAUGUAUGUUACACCAAACGUUAUUGCAACAGCAAAACUCUUAAAAGUGAUAAAAAGCAGCAAAGUCACCAUCCUGCACUAUCCCUAGCUUCAAUCACACUGCUUAUUCCAAUCAUUAGCUAUGAAGUUGAAAGCAUCAGUUGCCUUGAGAUCCAAGCUACUCAAACCAUGCAGAAAUUUCUUACAAAUCUUCAGAUUCAAGCUCAAAAAACCAUUCUUUUUAAGAGCUCUUCGUCUCCGUCGAUCUCCUUACACCCAAGUUAAAGACGAUAAAAAGUCUCUGAAGAAGAAGAGUCGGAUAACUUUGUUCCUAUCAUCUUUCUGUUCAACCAGGAAGCCGAAAGGAAUGGACAGACUAGCAGCACUCAAGAGCUUCUCCGAAAGAGGGGGUGACGGAAAUGGAAUAAUGCACUAUUCGUCACCAGUCACACCGGCUUAUUUGAAGGCUAUGUCCGGAGGAAGGGCGGCGGCUUCGGGUCAUGACGAGGUGCAAGAUGCGUGCAGGAGUUUUGAGAACUAUUUGGUGGAGAUGAUCAUUGAGGAAGGGAAAGUGGGGGACUUGAUGGAUGUGGAAGAGCUUCUGUAUUGCUGGAAGAACCUCAAGUGCCCUGUUUUCAUUGAUUUGGUUGGGAGAUUCUAUGGGGAGCUUUGCAAGGACUUGUUUUCCCCUACCAGUGAUCAAAGUUAGUGUGAUUUUGCAAAAAUUGAAUUCUUUGUUUUAAAUGCCAAGUCAUAUUUUUAUUUUUAUAAUAUAAGGUGUAAGUGCAAAAAAUGAUUCACUAGGCAUAAAAUCCUCUAAAUGGGGAACAAUUUGAUGACAGAGUUGGGUAUAAAUUUUCGGAAUGGAAAUGGAAUCUUGAAAUGUUAAAUCUAAAACAAUCAUCGCUAAUGACAUGUUUACUUACUUAGAAUGACGAUAAUUAUGAAUCGAGAAACUAGGAAACAUGGGAGAGAAGGAAUGAAAAUGGGAUCUUGAUUUUACAUGUACUGGAUUACUGAUCUCAUAGUAGGAGCCACAUGUUUUUUUGAUUCAGUACGAGAUAUCAAACAUGUGAAAAGUCAAAAAUCGAAAUAAUUCCAAUACACAUGUUAAUAAAUAGGGGUAAGGUUAGCCGACAUUCACCUCUCCCAGACCCUGCGUAAAGCGGAAGUCUUGUGUACUGGGUACGACCUUUACACAUGUUACCUCUCCCAGACCCUGCGUAAAGCGGAAGUCUUGUGCACUGGGUACGACCUUUACACAUGUUAGUAAACACAUGAAAAGUCAAGAAUCGAAAUAGUUCCAUUCCAAUCCAAGUAAACGAGAGAUAUUUUAAUAUACCAAGUACACGGUACAUCAAAUGUCAUAAUACAAGUGGUUGCCGAACGAGCAAUGUGUUCCCCAAGUUGCAGAACAGGGGCCAUGAUUAAAUUGUGGAAAGAAACAUUAACCAGAUUCAUGCAGUCUACAACAUACUCAUCUAGGAUUGGAAAACUCCAACAAUUGCUCUCGACAAAUUGAACUAUUAACAUUUUCAUAACAGAAGUUAGGUUCAGCUGAAUUACCAGUUAGCCAGUAAACUGUAAACAUUACCAAUCAAUGGUUACAUUUUUGAUUUCGAAACAUACACCCGAGACCUCACAAUUGUCUCUCCAAUUCUAAAUCCGGGCACGACCAUAAACCCCACCAGUCGUUCACCCCAGACAGCUGCGCCUUCCCCGUCUUCCUCCACGGACUCCAUAUGGACAUCCGAGAAUUUACUUCCUCUUUCGACAGCGAAUAUUUUUGCUUCAGAAUCUAUCAAAGGUGCAGUGCCACGUAACACCCAAACCGACCUUGCCAUUCUCGCGAAUAUUUGGUAGAAUGAAGUCCUCGGAUGCUUGCCACUCAAUACAAGAGUCCUGUGAUCCAGAUGCCCAAAAAACUUGGCUUCCAUCGUCGGAUGAACAACCAAGAGAUACUUUUCUCCACAGAAUCUUGCAAAAUCGGAAUCUGGGUUCUCCAUCAGGGCAUCGAUCGGGUCAUCAUAUCUCAUAAUACCAUCCACAUUAUGAGAUAUCAAUGACAUUCCAUAAAACAUUCUCCUAGCAAUGUAGGCUUCAAAUGCAUAUUUUUUGUGGGCCCUUUUUGAAUACACAGCUUCCACUUCCACUGUCUUUGCCGCAAGAUCCAAAUCCCAGCCUGAAGCUUUCAUCAAGCUAAUUAACGGCUUUGCAAAAUCAUGAAUAGAUUUCGACGCAGCUCUGAAAGCAUCCUGAAAUGUCGCAACGUUCCACACCCUUACAUUCUUCCUCUGCAAACUUACCUGCCUUACCUUUUCAGCCAGUGCCACAUUCACCAAAUCCAAAUCCCUGAGCUCUUUUUGCAAGCAGAGUAUAUCAGAGUUCUUAACUUCCAUUUGAAACUUCAACUCGUCCAGUAGCUUCUCAUUCAGUUCAACUUUCUUCUUCAAGAUAUCUGAACGAGAGGGAUCAGACUUCAACUUUAUACAUUGCUUCUCCUUAUGUGCGCGCUUCAUCUUGCAGAGCGCUUCAAGCUCAGUCAUAAAUUGUUCGUCCGCAGCUACAAUCUUCUUCGGGUUAUAGGGCAAAUGAGCUUGCUGAAGCUGAACGUAAGCUAAUUUCAGAGCUGAAACAAUGUCAAACAACUUGGAUAACUCUGCAUCCCCACACUUAUCACUUGCUCUAUUUACUUCCACGGGUUGGGGGUGGAUCUUCACCCCAUCACACUCCGUCUCCUCUGUCACAUCGCUGCUAUCCUCACCCAAAUGUGCAUUGCUAAUGUUGGGGUUGUUGGGUUGAUGGUUAUGAUCCGGGUUUUCGGACGAAAACACGCCAAUGGAUCUCAACUUGCAAACUUUGGCAAACUUGGAGACAAUAUCAGAUAUGUUUGAGGAGGGUUUAAGGGGUUUGGCAGUAGCAAAUUCCAUUUCCUUCCUUAAAGAUUCAAAAACCCUAAUCAGAAACUAGCACUGCAGAUCCAAUAAACAAUUUCACUAAAAGCACUUUUGCUUCCACAAAAUUAAAAAAACACGAAUCUGAUAUAACUUGUCUCUCAAAUUGGGCAGAGAAAAUCCAUGAAACCCGGCUUAGAAAAAGCCCACUAACACAAUAUUAUACUCAACAAAAACCCCAGCAGCCAGCAGAGACCCAAAAGCACUUUUGAGGAUCAAAAACCCCAAAUCAAACCAAACCCAUAUACCAAAAGUUCAACAGGAACAAACCCAAAAGCCCUUUUACAAAACCCAAAAGCCAGAAAUCAACAGAAGCGAUUCUACAGUAGAAGCAGGGCACAUGCAAAGCAAGAACAACAGCAUUUGGGAUUCACAGGAAACUUACAAGCCAAAGUGAAGCAGCUAGACGACGGCGUUUUGGCGUAGAGCUAUCUCCUUGUUCUGCAUUCUCCAAUGUCCAGUCUCAGCGAAAAAUGGGUUUUGGUGGAGAUGCCAAUGUAAUCAUAUUUUAACAUUUUCAUACCAGUACAAAUUUUUUAUUUUUUGAGAAAUUGUUUGGAAAAAUGUGAGGGCUAUAAAAUUUGGUGACUUUUUAAAUUAAUAUUAUUCAUUUUUCUGGGAAAUGUGCUAAAAACCCAGACCGCGAAUCUCUAUGGCUUCUGAAUAACCUCCUGCCACCACUUUGAAAUUCCUGCAUUUUUUACUUUUUCUGCUUUUUUUUUUUGGAAUUUAAAUUUAAAUUGUUUUUUAGUGUUUAAUUUUUGGGAUUUUUUUUUGUUUUUUAGAGAAAGAAGCUCCAAAAGAAGCGCACGUAGUUACCAGAAAGUUAAUUGUAAAAAAAAAAGAGAGGAUCGCACGCGAGUUUCUUUUAACGUCUAUGUCAGAGACUCAGAGGGACUCAGAGCGUCGACGCGCAUCCCGAGAUCUGCUCUGUAAUUUUACUGCUGGUUUGGGAUUUCCAGUUUGAAUCUGUACCGUUGAAAUACAUGCUGUGGAAUGUGGGAUCGCAACCGAAAAAGUAACGAUAGAGAAAUUAAAUUUAUACAUAAAGUUUUGAAAAUUAAAAUAUAUGACAGUUGAUGAUUGAUGUGUUUAUUUUUAUUUGUGACAUAUUAUUUAAUUUGUAAACGUAGCCUUUAAAUUUGACCUCUCAAAGCAUUACCCCAACUAAAAUAUAAGACACGAUGGACAUGUCACAGGCGUUUAGGGAAAUGGACUCGUGUGUAGAGAGAAAUUUUUACGUGCGCCGGAACACUCUUCAUAAAUGGCUGUUACAUAUUAUAGUUUUUUUUUUAGAAUAGUAAUAUCACAUAGUGUAUAAAAAAUCUCUAAUAGUUAAAUUAAUGUUGAGUACGCGCACUAGGUUGGACAUUUAAAAAGGAAAAACCCAAAAAAGCCGCAAUCAAUACGCUUUUCCUAAUUCUGGAUUUCCAUAAAGGAAGUACAAGUUACAUGCGAAAUUUUAUAGUUCCAAACAUGGUUCUUAUCUCUAAUAUUACCGAUAUGUUCUAACUUAACUACUUAUUAUUAUGUAUUGAAUUUUAUAAUAAAAAAUAUCGAAGAUAUUAAAAGUGAAAACUCUCAUUUGAUACUAGAUAUGGUACAAAUAUGAAAAAUCUCAGCUUCCCUUCUAGUUAACCCUAAGGCAAGGCGUUGGGGAAACCAAACUUAAUAGAACGAAGGGCUUAUUGUUUCAGAAACUGUCAAAGUGCAGAAUGUAACUGGAAGAGCAGUUGCCUUGUUGAUAUGGGGUGAACUGGAAAGCACAAUCACGUGAAGAAUCUAUCUGAACAGAUGAGUUGGUAAUAUGCAAGCUUAUAAGGGACAAGAAGUGAGUCCAAUAUUAAAAAGAUAGGGAGAGACACAAGCAAACACAAAAACCUGAAAAGUUUAAUACUAGAGACUUUGCAUGGAGCCAAGAUCGUGAAAACGACAUUCAAAUUGAGGAAGAAGAAUGGGGGACCGUUUUUUAAAUCGCAAAUAUAUUGAUCCCAGUCCCACUUGUAAUACUGUUAUACUACAUGAAAACAGUGACAAUACCAACCCCAAAUCUUUGCUACCAUAUUAAAUUCUACAUGUUAUUGUCCCCUUAAUUUGUUUCUUCUUGCUGUUUUCACAUAUGCUCAUAAAUAAUUAAUAGUUCUCAUGACAGUAUAUUACUGGAACAAAAUUAUAAGAUAAGGGAGAGUAAAGUGUUUCAAUCUUGCAAUGGGAUUAUUAUGGGCGUGAAACAUAAAACCUAGUUCAUUUGCGCUUAUCGCUUGUAUCCUUGCUCUCAACCAAAUCAGUGUACUUAACUAAAAGAAGUUGUAUGUGACCAAUAUGUCUGAGAUGUGAGAAAGACACAUAUAAGUUAUAUAUGACAUAUAAAACCUUGUCCGUUUGAUAUAAUUUUAAUGUUACAAGCACUACUCCUCCAAAAGAGUAGAAGAAACUUAUGAAAAGAUUGUAGUUUAAUUGUUUCCACAAACAACUAUAAGAAUGGACAAGUAUGGCAUGUUUGAAUUCAAACUACAAGCAUGGUAAAAAAACUAGUUUGUUUGAGUUACAUCUGAUUUAGCUUGGCUGCGUUUCUUGCGGUGAAUGAGUAGUUAGGGUUUCUAGGGUUUGUUCUGUUUUGGGCGUAUUUCCUUGUUUUAGUCCCUUUAUUUUGUUGUUUGGCUGGUCCAUAUUAUUUCUUGGUGUUUCGCUUUGUAUUUGGACCAUUCUAUGUACCUCUUUUUUUUAUUUUAUAUGAUAAUGAAUUAUAUUUCCAUAAAAAGUAGUAGUUAUAUGUCUUGGCAGACCUUAAAGGUCCUGUUUUCUAAUAGACAAGAUGGUGUACAGCUUUUUUCAAUCUAAUAUCAUGAACCGUUUGGAUCAAGAAGAGGAGACAUAACACAUAGAAGAAAAUAAAUAUGGAACCCUCAACCCUGUAAAUUUGUAUGGAGCUGAGAGUACAAACAAAAAAUAUCCGAAAUGCAAUUAUAUUUUGCACUCUUCUACAGUGUAUUGGAGUGCAUAAAGGGAGUAAGAAUAAUAUCCAUUAAUUUCAAAGUCCUAUUUGUUGUUGGGUUAAUCUAAAGAGAAUUUCUAAGCAUUCGUCCAUGCACAACAAGAUCUGACAAUUCUCAACAGUUGAUGCAAUGCAAUAUGGGCUUUACAUGCAUAUACGGAUGAGAUUGCAUCAACAAUUAAUAGUCACACGAUUGUAUGUUGGGAAAUUGUCCUAAGCACAACUUAUUCUAAGAAGUCGAUAGUUGAUACCUUUACCAUUGUGGACACGAAGCUUUUUAUCAUUGUUUAGUCAAUUAAUUGUAACAAAUAGAUAAACAGGUAAUCAUUCUGUUACCAUAUCCACCAUCUAUUUUUUUUAUUGUUCGAUGACUAAACGAUCUCAUAUGUAAAUUUUUUUUUUUUUAAGAUUAAGGAGGAGUUACUCCUCAAGAUACUCUGUAAAGAUCAUCUCUACCAAAAAAAAAAAUCAAUUAAAAAUAAGAUUGUUUAGUCAAUUAACUGUAACAAAUAGAUAAAUAGGUCAUCAUUCUUUUACCAUAUCCAUCCAUCUAUUUUUUUAGGGAACUUUAACGAAAAGCAACCGAUACUGUUCACUUUAACAAAAAACCACAUUUUUACACAAAAAAGUUAAUCCUAGUACUAUUCACUUUACUCUUUAUUUUGUCCUUAUCAUUAAAACUUAAAGUUUUCAAGCUCUUUUUCAUUAGUUUUCCUAUUUUUUUAUGGUUCGAUGACUAAACGAUCUCAUAUGUAAUUUUUUUUUUUUUUUGUAGAGAUGAUCUUUAAAAUAUGCAAUUUAUAAUAUGAACGGUUCUAAUCAUAAUCAUAAAAUUUUGUAAAUCAGCCACGUAAUAAAUUGAGGAGCUUAAUUACUUUACUAAAGUAUGUAUGAAAACAUAUCUUAGAUGUGAACCCUUACAAUUUUGGUAAUGUAUGUGUAUGAUACAUACCACACAAUAGGAUCGAAUCCUGACCAAAUAUCUUAUAUAGCCGCUAAAGUGUCCCUGAUAUGAGAAAGGCAGCCACAGCUAUCACAAACAAUUAUUUAUGAUCAUCAGAUCAAAAGAGAGCCCCAUCUGUCAAAAUCAAAAUCAAAAUAUAGAGUUGUCAGCUUUGUUCAAAAGAGAGUCCCACCCUCAUUUAACCUAAUGCAUUUCCCACACCUCUAUCAAACUCUAAACCUAGCUUUGGUGGGACAACGGUCAAAUUUAAUUCAAGAUUGAAAUGUUCACGUCUGGCUAAGUGGGUCGACAUCUGUAGAGAUGUAUAAUACACACACAUAUAUACAUGUGAGACAACGACUCUCUGGACUUGGUUUCUAUUAGCAAAGAGGAAGGCCAGGAGGAAAGCAAGGGGCAUCAGAACCCUAUCGAGCAGAAACAAAAGCAUGGAAACAAGAACAGGUUUGCAAUAUUUGCAGAGACUUGCAAUAAGUUAGUUUCCUUUUCUCCACAUCUGCACUUUUCCCAAAUGCCCACGCUUGCUCCAAACAACUUAUUCAUUGCUAGGGACGAUACGAGUAAUUAAGUCGAACAUGUGUUUCUGUACAUUUGGUUUUUCUGUGUCUUUACUUCAUGGCGCAAUAAUAUAUUCACUUUUAUCGUGUUUCAAAACCCCACUGUUUUAUCGUGAUUAAUGCCUAGGUGUUUGAAAAUUAAGAAAUGACGCCUAGACUUGUUGAGGCACUUGCCCAGACCGCCUAGGCACCCACCUAGCCCGCCCAAACCCACAUAUACACCUGCCUAGGUUGCAACUCACUUAAAUAGAAAAUAGAUAAUUUUCCUUUUACAUUUUAUUGUUUCCAAUAAAUUAUAAAAGACUUAUUGAACACUUAUAUAAACACAUAUUAUAUGUUUGGUCCUCAUAUUUUCACUAUGUUCCAAUACUUCAUAAUAUAUAUGUCAUUUUAUUUUCUAGUUUACAAUGAAAUUAUAUAUAUUUUAAGUAUAAACAGACACUUAUUUACACGAAAUACAAUAGAUUUACUUAAAUCCUUCUAGUCCGCCUAGGCGCCCGCCUAGCCGUCUAGACGCUAGGCCCCAGCCCGCCGCCCGACUAGCGCCUAGCGUUUUUUAGAACCUUGCAAAACCCUAAUGUGAUUAUAAUUCCGGACCCAUUUGCCCUCUUGGCAUUUUUUCAUCUCACCUAGGGCUGGUUUGGUAUUGCUGUGCUUUGAAAAAAAGCUGCUGUGAGAAUAAGCGGCUGUGCUGUGAGAAUAAGCAGCUGUGAAAUAAAGCCAGUAGAGUGUUUGGUAAACUUUUUUGUGAAAGUGCUUUUGGAAAAAAAAGCAGGAUGAUAGUGUGUCUUUUCAUUAAAGGAGCACUGUAGCUCCAUGUGCUUUGAAAAAACUGGCUUUUUUUCAAAGCAGCAAAUAGCAGCUUCAGCUUUUCCUUUGAUUUUCAGCUUAUUCUCACAGCAGCUUCCAAAAUAAGCCUUUUUUUUCAGUUUACCAAACACAAAAAUGACCCUCAGCUUUUUUUCACAGUGGCUUUUUUUAAAAUCACCUCAAUCCCAAACGGGGCCUAGCCAAGUGAUACGUUAGAAAUGUAAAUGCUUUCAGAUGGAAGGAUAGUAUGGUAAGAGUGCAAGGCGGGCUGCAGAUGAUUAGGUUAUAUGUUGAAUAAUUUGUUCAUGAUUUAUGUCGUUGUCUGUUGUCAAUUCAUGUUAGGAAAAAGAAAAACACAGAGGUCUGUCAUUUCACCAUCUCUUCCAAGAGUACAUAAGCUUAUUCUAUCAUUAAUUUCGUAAGCGUGAGAUGAAGGAUUUAGCUAGCAAAUAGCAAAUUUAUCUUUUUUUCCUGAUAGAGUAAAUGAUCAAAUUUAGCGAAAGCUAUUACUUCAUAAUGCUGCAAUUAUUUCUUUGUAAUGUCUCAUGGAUAAGCAAAAGUAACUUUAAUUUCCCCAUUCAUGUUUUAUUUUACUAUUAUUUUUAUAUCCAUGUUAUUUCUUGUUCAAGUCCGAAAUUAAAAAGAGCUUAUGAGAAGUAAAAAUGAGUGUGUGGAUAACACUACCCUUUUAAGUAAUGUAUUUAAAGAGGUUUACCUUUUCUGCUACAGUUAACAUUCUCUAAUUAUAAUGCACAACGAAAGAUUCAUUCCUACUUAUAUGUUAAUCACAAUUGUUCAGAGUUAAUUCUUGAAUUAUCGGGGAAGAGUGAGAUAUUGCAUAUGCGUAUAAGUAGUUGGACUAGCUACUCCCUCUAUAGCCAAUUGAUUUUAUGUGGAACAUCAAUUUUCCUCAUGGUAUAAUUAGGUUGUCUCUUGUAUGAAAGCCUAAAGGCUACACGUGUUCCACAUCACUCAAUUUGUAUUGUCCACAUGUUAGGCUUGAAAACACCACACGUGAAGGAACGUGUUGAGAGUUAAUCCCACAUUGGGAAAUGAGAGACUUUGCGUGUGCUUAUAAGUAAUUAAGUUGGACUCCCUAUAUAGCCAAUUGAUUUUAUGAGAUGAAACUUCAACUUUUCUCAACAAUAUGUAUACACAUAUUUAUUCAUUAGAAACAUGAAAGAAGAAGGAAUGAGUCCAUAUACGUAGGGAGUACUCAAACAUUUUCCUUCUAAUGCACUCCAUAUCAAUAAUUUGGCUCUUAAAUUGAUUCGUUCUCGGAGAUUUAGCUAUAUAGGAAGAUGACAUGAGAAAACCCUAUCAUGUAAAAUAGAACCUCUAAGGUAACACAACAGGGUUAGGUAAAAUUAGAGAUUAUAUGUGCAUUUUAUGAAAAUUGAACAAUGGUUUAAAGAUAUCCAUUAAACAAAGUCUUGCUUCAUUGUUAAUGUUUUUAUUAAUAUUUUUUUUUUUAAUUCAAGAAAAAGUUGUGUAUUGACACUAGGAAUAUUAAUCAUGGAUAGAAAGAUUAUGUACAUCUUGUCAAUGAUUUUUUUUAUAAAAUAAUCGGAGGUUACAUUAGGGCGCUUAACGGCCAAAGAUUAGAAUUGCUAUUGAUCUUAAAGAAAGAAACCACUAAGAAAUGAAACUACACAUAGAUUAAUAUUUAGAGUAGAACAUUCAGAAAAUCUUGAACUUAAUAAGAGAAGUAGAAAGUUAUAAGCCAUGUGAAAGAACAAGUAAACUGUCAAUUAUCCAUGCCCUACAUCGGGCAUUUCCAAACCCAUCACCAAACCCACCAUUUUCUUGCUGAUUUGUUUGGACAAUUUGUCCACACCUGAUUGCUUCGCGAAUCUCGAAGUUUUCAUUGCUUAGGUGGGUCCAGUGGAGUGGCCAGCCAAUUUGAUGGUCAGAUUCUGUGGCAUAUUGCCAUGACAUCCCAUCCUCUUGUGCCCGAAGUGUCACAUAUUAACGGCUUGGGGAUUGUUUCACGGCAGUUUGAUUAGAUGCUAACAGUUUAAUCUCACCAUAGACCAGAAAGAAAAUGCUUUCCUUUCAUCCCCAAAGGUCCACUGCUGCAUGUUACAGGCAGUGUGUACUUCUUGUUUUUCCCAAAAAUCCAAAGCAACAGGGUAAAAAGGGAGUUGUGAAUUGAACAAACACAUCUAAGCCUUGAAAGAUGGUUGGUGCAUAAUAAUGCUUCCCCGAUUUUUACAAGUUGCCAAUUUACUAUACACGACUCUAUACAAAUAAGUUUGUCGAUCAAAGCAGAUUUCGUAGUAAAAAGUACUGUUACAGAAAGAAAAACAAAUACUCAUACACUCAACUAUAUAUUAUUUCACCUGACUAUUGUUGUAUUAGAUAUUUAACCUCUGAUAGGUUUGUUUCUAAGAUGAUUCUUAAAGUGUUUUUUAACUAAUAUUCAGUAGUAUAUUUUGCAAUAUUCAACCGAAAGGCAAAGGAAAAAAAAUACAAACAGUCUAGUGAUAUUUCUCUUCACUUGUAAGUGAGAAGAUUUAAGCUUGAUUCUCGUUAAAUGUGAAUUUGAAUUACAUUAUUGGUAGCUCAUUGUGAGUCUAAGCCCAUCUCCUUCUUUUUAAUGUAGAUAAUAUCGUUUGUUAAAAAAUCACCUCUAUACUAACAUGGAUAUCACAUUUUUUAAUAAGAAAAGUAAACUUACUAGAGAAUCCCCAACGAAUAUAAAAUAACUACUCCCCAUGACCUAAACAUCCUUACAGUAUCAAUUAAGUCAGAUCAGAUUAUCAUCAUAUUCAAAGUCUCCAUUGAUAUUCUAUCAACUACAUCGAAUUUUAAUAACUCAUUCAAUUCACAGUCCAAUUGAAACAAAAAUGAUAAUAUACUUAAUUUAAGAGCUAUCUUAUUUAAUAAUGUAAUUAUUUUGGUACUGACAACCGCACACCCUUAUCCAAAGGAAAACUAAUGAAAAGGACUUGAAAACUUUGAGUUUUAAUGAUAAGGACAAAAUAAAGGGUAAAGUAAAUAGUACCAGGAUUGACUUUUUAGUGUAAAAAUGUGGUUUUUCGUUAAAGUGAACAGUACCGGGAGCUUUUCGUUAAAGUUCCCCUUAUCCAAUAGUAUGAGUUAAUACUAAUACAACACAUUUUAUACCGGCUUUAAAAACAAAUUAAUAACAAAUUAUUUAAUUGUUUUCAACCUAAUCAUAGAUAUAGGGUCCUAAGUAGUUAGGACCCAAGUAAAGUUCUUGUGGGAGCCAAAAAAAAGUAUAGUUCUUGUGAUAAUAAAAAUAUAUAUAUAUCUAAUGCAACGAUACGUGUUAAAGAGAUUUUUUAAUAUGUAUCGGUGUAUACUACAUUGAAAUUUGACUGUUAAAUUCCUAAUUAAUGUAUCUCUGGACACAUAUUUAACCUUUUAUUCAUUCAAUGCAUGAGAUACACUAUCUCACUAAGAGAUAGAAGUUUGGUUCUAAAAAUUUAAGAAGUGGAAAGAGAUGGCAGAGAAUAAAAAACAAAGAAGAUAUAGUUAAAGAAGGGUGGGGGAGUGAGUAAGAGUUGGCUGAGGGAAAAAAAGGAAAAAGAGGAGAGUGGAUUGUGGAUUGUGGAUUGUGGAAAAAAGGAGGAGGUGUAGAAGGUAGCAGAGCAAUAGUUGUUUUUACAUUUCUGGGUUUGGGAAUUGUUGAAAGACAGUAGAGGAAAAAAGCCUGCAAGAGUAUCAAACAACCAAACAUGGCAAUGCUUAGGAUGUGACGGCCCUCUUAGAUUCACACUUUCUUUUUUCCUCCCUCUCUCUCUCUCAAACUUGCUUAAAUAUACCAUCCCUCUUUUUCAACCUCCCACACAACCACCCUCACUUAAGGGCUGAGCUGACAGUUGCAACAAGGGAACCUAGUUAAUCUGAAAAAGGUCCAGAGAGAAAUAUAGCCAGAGAGAGAGAGAGAGAGAGAGAGAGCCCAGAAAAUAUCAGAUAAAGUUGCUGUUUUCUUCUGCCAUUGGUGGGUUUCUUGAGCUUCCAUCUUGCUGUCCAUGGAGUUGAAAAGACUUCACAGACUAAUAAGGUUCACCACCAUCGGCAUUUUCUCAAUUUAUGCACUUUUCACCACCAUCAGCUCCACUUCCACUACAUGUCCAGGUGAAUUUUUUAUGUUUUUUUUUUUAGAAAAAAAAAAUUUUGAAUUUUUCACUGAAUUAAUAUUCAUUUAAACCGAAUUUAAUUAUCUACUUGUUUCUAAAAUGCAGAUAACAACUGUGCCUUCACGGGCAAACUGGAUUCAUAUUUUCAGGUAGGUAGUUCCACUAUACCUAUCAUCUUUUAUGGACCGUGAUUUUAACACUCCUUUAGCUUCCUGCUGGCACUUACGAAGUGCCGGAAUUUAAAUAUAGAUCACUAACCAGGAGUGCCAAAAUCUCUACCUUAUCUGAUACUUCAACAUUCAAUGAGCACUAAUGCUUCUUUCUUAUGUUAUUUAUUGUUCUCCACAUCAUUCACAUCAAUCACAUAUUAUGACCUUACAGCAAGUCUCUAGUAGCUUUGACUAACUUUGACCCAAGCUGGGUUUUUGAUAAAGACUGCAUAUGCAUGUAUGAAAUUGAAAAGACAAAAUAGAACCAUAUUAUUAUUGUUAUUACUGAUCAAUCCACCAGCCACCAUGGUGCUUUGAUAAGUAGCACACACUGACUGAAGGACAGGGUGGUCCUGCUGCUGUUUACCGGGCCUGGUCCAUACUAAGAAAAAUGGUCUUGUAGUACGGCUCAGCCUGCCUAAUUAAGAAGCACACAGCACCACAGGCGUAGUUUAGCACAUAGCUUUGGGCUUGGAGGACACCUAUUUUUAUUUGGCUUUUCAGAAGCAAAAGAAAAAUUCUACUGCAUCUUGGUAACUUGCGCCUGCUGUGCUCAGCGCCCUACCCGCUCAAACCAUGUUGUAUAGUGUACUCCCGUGAGCUAAAAAUUGUUAUGGGGGCCGGCGAACAUUAGCAUUGGUAGGCGCACUUUAGCACUAAGGAUGUAUGUUGACAAGUCAGCAGACGUUAGCAAACUGUGUGCGCAGAGGGGUUGGUGGAUAAUUGUGUUAUAUAUAAUUGCUAAUUUUGGGGAGAUUAACUAACUUAAGUGGUGCAGGAAUUUGGGAAGCACAGCGACAAAAUGAGGGAGCAGAGGAUGAUGACUUUGAGCUUGGCUAGGAGGUACUUGAGUGGACCUGGAUCGUCGCCCCCUCGGUGCACAUCCAAGUGCGGCAGGUGCACCCCUUGCAAGCCGGUUCACGUGUUUGUGCCACCUGGGACGCCGGUGAUGGCGGAGUACUACCCGGAGGCUUGGAGGUGCAAAUGUGGCAACAAGUUGUACAUGCCGUGAAAAUAAAUGAAUAUGAUCAUCAUAUGCUUUAUGAUAUUUAUUUUGUUUGUGUUAGUGUCCCAAAAGUCUAGCUAUCUACUUUUCUAGCUAAUCAUAUGAUUAUUUAGUCAGAAAAAAGCAUAUUUACAGGACUUAAAUUUCUGUAGAAAUAUAUAUACACGUUAACGGAGAGUUAUAUAUGAUCAGUAUGGAGAAUAUAUAUUGUGUUAAAUAUUUGGAAAUUUAUGUUCAUAGUAAUUGAAUGGUUGUUUCCUUCCCUGUAAACCUUCUUGUCAACGACUACUAAUAUGAACUCAUUCCUCCCCCCACACCUUUUUUUUAGGGCCAACUGGAUAAUCAUGGAACUAGCUAAGCUAGGAAAUAGUAGCACCUGAACUCGUCGAGGUUCUCUACGCUUGGAAAGAUUCUUAUAUAUCCCGAUAAGUUAGGAAGAGAAACUCACAUGCACAUGCCACGGUUCCCCCUAAGUUUAAAGAAAGAGAAACUUCACUUGGCCCUCCUCCUCUUCACUUUCGGUAGACUCAUCAUAAUGACACACACACACACACACACACACACACAUAUACAUAUCUCUCUCUCUCACAAUAACACAAAAUCUCAAGCUAAUCCAUAAAGAACGAAGAAAGUAAUUGGCCUUUUUCUUUUUGGGUAGAGACAUUGACAAAUAGUGAACAACGAAACAGGCUCCGCCUCGCAUACAAUUUGAAAACUAGUUCCCCAUCAAACAUUGUUUUAAAAAUUACCGCCCAGUGCCACCUGGGCUCUAGGCGGCUGGUCACCGUCCCGAUUAGUCCUUAGACAUUUAUAAACUAAGAAAGGGAGCCUAGACCCGCUUUAGAGUCUGCCUAGCCCUCCUAGGCGUCCGCCUAGCCGCGUAAACCCGCCUAGGUCGCGACUCCCACUUUAGACAGAAAAUCGAUAACUUUCAUUUUGUAUUUUAUUUUUUCAAUAAAAUGUAAUAGACUUGUUGAAUACUUGAAUUAACACUCAUUAUAUGUUUGUUCUUCAUGUUUUCAAUAUAUUGUAAUACUUUAUAUAUGUAUAUAUAUAUAUGUCAUUUUAUUGUGCAAUUUAUGUAUCUCAAUAUAAUUAUGUGUUUGUUUCAAAAAAAAAAAAACUUACGUGUUUUUUUAAGUAUAAAUAGGCACUUAUUGAUACAAUAUGUAAUAAGUUUACUUAAAUCCGCCUAAUCCACAUAGGCCCCCGUCUAGUUCCCAUCUAGCCGCCUAGGCGCUAGGCCUCAACCGCCGCCCAACUAGCACCUAGUAUCUUUAGAAUCUUGCCAUCAAGUACUAUAAGAAUACAAAAGAAAACGUGUAAUCUGUUUUCUAUGAAUCAACAAUUAUUGUUUGAACUCAUGACGUCUUUUAUAGAAGCAGAAAUUAUGUGCCGCUAAAUCAAACAGCUAUUAGCAAUUGUGCACAUUGUCUAACUUGAAGCUUUGGCCACUACAUUCCUUUUCGUAAUAGUUGAUCAUGCCAUUAGCAUAUAACAAAUGAAUUUGAUUGUGAAAUAGAUGUUGCAUACAUACGUUGCCUGCCUAUACAUUAAUAAUGGAUAGAAUUGAACCAUAAACGUAUUUCAAUUCUAACUUAUUAUCGCACCCUCGUCAAUUAGACUUCUUAACAAAGUUAACAUUACAUUAAAUGUCUAACUUUUCAGUGAAGGAAGGCAUCUAAUUUCAAGUAAGAACAUUGUGGGCUUUUCAUGUCACAAAAGGUCAUUAUGGGCUUUGUCUAAUUUUAUUUUGUGAGCUCAAUAUCAAGUUCUACUUAACUUUAGGAUAAUGCUAGGGGAGUAAUUAUCGUUAAUAGUCAAAAUUUAACAUCAAAUUUCAUAAAUGUCAUUUUUUAUAAAAACUUUCAAAUAUAACAAAAAACUCACGUGAAUAGACCUAAUUACCCUCAAAAUUCACAUCCAUAGAAGAAAUUCAAGAAAGUUGGGAUUCAAGAUUGCAGUCAUUGUGUAUUCCUGAUGCCUGGAAUGAAUUGUUGUUUCUCCAUUUACUCCAUUAGCAUAUUUGCAUCAUGAACAAGCGCACCAAUUCUAGUUUGCAUGCCAAUGCAUCGUGUUUGUGCCAUACUCAGUGCAAAAAGGUGUUAAAACAAAUGGUAAUCAAUUUUUUUUCUACAUAAUGAUAACAAGAUAAGCGCUGAUUAAUACCCAAUUUUUUUCCCAAAAUUCCAAGGCUCGGUGUUGCUGUUCUCUCAUAGUUGAAGCAAGAUUGGGAUCCUGCAGUUCUGAAAGCUCCACCUAUAACAGAUAUGGAGCAGAAGCAAAGAUAAUCAUGAAUAAAUUAUCCAAAAUUUUUACAAGUUUUGAAACAAUGAAUAUUUAUGUUCUGUAAAUUAAUCUACCUCACUAGCUAGAAGCAGACUAGGGCAAUCAUCUGCAUUGGGUACGUAGAAAAACACCGUACAGCUGCCAAAAGUUAUCUUCCUUAUCAAAUGCGUAUAUAAGAAGGAUUGCUAACCUCAUAUCUCAAUCCAUCUGCCAUUGACUAUUUUUCCUCAUUGAAAAACUAUGUAGUUAGAAGAGGCCACAAUUCAGAAUUUUUUCAUUACAUUACCAACUACAUUCUUAUGUUUAUUUGGUUUUAAUUUUGAGGGUAUUUAAGUCUAUUUAAGUGGGUUUUAUGUUAUUUUUGAAAGAUUUUAGAAAAAGUGACAUUUAUGAAAUUAGGUGCUAAAUUUGUAAACCGAUGUCACCAAAUUCAGUUUAUUUAAUUAAAGACUUAUUUUAUAAUACCAGGGUUAAUAUAUAAUCAAAAUUAUUAUAUUAAUGCAUAGGAAAUGUUAGGGUGAUUCUCUCUAAGUGGGACUCUCUAUGGAGAUUCUGUCACCUUAUAAUUUAACGUUAAUUCUCAUGCAAACAAUAUAAAAUAUUGUACAAAAAACAUAAGGUAACAAAAAGUUUAUAAAAAAUCGCAUUAUGUAAUGAUAAGUGAUCAUCAUUGGUUUUGGAGUAUGAUUGAAGCCUCUGCCCCCUAACAGAUGCUCCUAAACUCCUCUUUGUACUUGCUCCCACCACCUACCAAGGCAUGGCCAAAAGCUUAUAUAAUAAUGCUUCAAGAUUAGUCGUCAAUUGUUACAUUAGUUUUCUGGAAGAUAUGUAAAUUAUAUUUGUGAGUCUGCAACAACUUGGAAGUAAAGACGAACGACUGGUUGGUGAACAUUAUUAUUCUCCAAAAUAUUGUGUUUUAUAAUUUGCUAGUGACAUAUUUGUUUGGUUCGGUUGUUAUUACCUAGCCAGACUAACAAAUUUGGAACAACUCAAAUUCCAACCUUAGCUUGGCCAUUCAUUCAAAUUCCAACCUUGGCCAUUGGCCAUUCAUCAUUUCUUUAGGUCCCAAGUAAUUGACCCCUUCAUAUAUAUAUGGUUGGUCUUACAAUUAUCAUUUAAUAUGCUGCUCUUGAGUAAAAAAACUGUUUGGUAAGAUUAUUGAUGUAGCACUUUACCUAAAAAAUGUCAGUUUUUGUUUGUCAUUGAAUAUAUGUUUUCAUUAUUGGCCAAAUUUCUAUAUUGAAAUUCGAAAUUUUGGACUAUACUCAAAGCCUCAAUGUAACCAUCUGUGCACUAUGUCAUUAUUUACCGGCAAACUCUAGAAAAAGUCUUAAUAAAUUAGCUAUUGUGUCAUAUGUAGGGGUGGGUUCGGUACGGUUACCGUACCAAAACCCUUGUACCAAUUACCGUACCAAACUUUCGGUUUGGUAAAAUCUAUUACCAUUACCGUACCAAACUUUCGGUAUACCAAAGUUCGGUAUUGCCAAAAGUUUGGUUGGCAUGGUAUGGCAAUGGUAAUUGCCAUUUUGUUUUGGGACAAAAUAUGUUUUUGUUUUUUUUAACCCAAUUCAAGGGCAAAACUUUUUUUUUGUACCUUUGUCUCAUACAUUAUAGAUUAAAUUCAUCUAUUAUUCAUCAUUCACAAUUCACACACAUAAUAAUUCAAAUGAAGCAUCAAGAUUCAUCAUGAAAAUUAAGUUUACAAUCCAAAUAGAAGUUACGAAUCAAAACAAAUAGAAGUUAACAAUCCAAAUAGAAAUUAAAGUUUCAAACCAAAUGAAAAUUGGAAGUAAACUUCAAGAAGGAGAAUUCAUUGAUCAGUUAUUCAAGCUUGAGAUGUCGAAGCUUUUGGAGGAGGCAUUGAACUUGUAGAAGAUUGAGUUUGUAUCAAGCUUACAUUACAAACAAAGAAAACAUAUUAAUUAGUAGCAAGAAGAAUUAAAGUUGAAAACUAUUUAAUAACAAAUUUACUAAAAAAAUUCAAGCAUAUCUUUCUUGUUUUCUCUUCUUCUAUUUCCUUGUAAAAUUGAAGCAUAUCUGCCGUUGGUCCUUGUAGAAGUUUACUUCACUUGCCCUAAGCCAACCACUAGUACACACUAGUGCCUCAAUUAUUUUAGGAGUCAAGAAUACCCUAAAAGGGUUCACAACCCUCCUCCCUAGACUAAAUGCAUUUUCACUAGCAACAGUAGAAGUGGGGGUUACAAAGAUAUUUUGGCUAUUUGUGAAAGAAUUAGGAACUCUUUUGUGUUUGAUUUCCACAAUUUUAAGAGAUCAAAGUCACCAACAACAUGCUAAUAUAAGUAGGGUUUUAUUUUCAAAUUAUUGGAAUAUUAUAAAUAUGUGUUAUAUAAUUAUGUAUUAUAUAAAUUAUAAAUUAUAAAUUAUAUUGUAUUUUCGGUAUGGUACGGUAAUACCGUGGUAAUGGUAUCCGUUACCAAUACCGUACCAUGAAAUUUUGGUACGGUACAAUACCGUACCAUUACCGAUUGGUACAAAAAAUUUGGCACAAAAUCGGUAUAGCACGGUUGGCAAUUCGGUUGGCACGGCAAUUUGGCAAAAAAAUCCACCCCUAGUCAUAUGAUAGAACAGCCUUCGCGUCCAACAUUAACAAACAGUCUAAUAAAUUAACUAUUGUGUGCAAUGUUGCCAACUUGCCACGGGUAAGAUUUUGGGACAAAAAUUGUCCGCCCUCUCACUUCUCGUGCCCUCCUAUACCCUUCUGUUUGUGUGGUCACGGUUAAGUCAUGUCAACACUUUAUAUUACUAUUCAUUUUUGUUUUAUUAUCUCUAUAAAAAAAUAAUAUAAAAUGUUGACGUGACUUAACCGUGACCACAAAAACAAGAAGGCACGGAAAGUGGGAGGGCAGACAAUCCUUGUCCAAGAUUUUGUCCCUCUAUUUCCCUGCUCUUUCCUCUCCUCGAGAGAAGCUCCUCUCAUCUCACACUCUUCAUUUUGUCUCUCUUUCUAAAAAAGUUAUCACAAGAGUUGACAUGACUUAAUUGUGACCGUUCAAAUAAAAUGAGAGGGAAGUGGAGGGAACAAAAAGAUAUUGAUGACGUGUUUAUGUAACGGUAAUGAAAAUAUGAGGAAUUGAAUUGAUGAUGAAUUGAAUUGAGAAGAAGUUGGAAUAAGGAGAAGUCAGAAUCGGAUUCCUGUUGAAGCUGUUUACUUAAAUGUUCUGAAAUCGAAAUAGAAUUCCAUAAAGCUGUUUACUAAUUCAGUAGAAUCGGAAUAUAAACUAGUAUGAUUACUAAAAUGCCUUUGUCCUAAAUCAAAUAUUUUAUAUACUGUAAUUGGUUUAUAAAUGAUAGUCUUGGAAAUAUAAAAAAUAAGUGAGGGCAUAAAAUGAACAAAAGUGUCAUUCCGAUUACCCAAACAAUCAGGAAUUGGAUUACCACCUAUAUCUAGGGGAUCCAAUUCCACCAAUACAAGGAAUUGAAUUCCAAAUUUUGUGUGGGCCCCACUGCUUUUUUGGUUCCUCUAUGUUUAGUAAACACUAGAGUACUCCGUAAUCGAAAUUCAAUUCCACAUUUUUAUUCCGAUUACGGAUACGUAAACACGCCGGAGAAUUGUAUUCCGCAAGUUUUAACUGAUGGUAACAAGAAUGGCAGACCUAGUUUAAUUUUAAACAGAAAUAUGAAAAGAGUUGCACAAUGAGGGCGACUUUAAGAUUUUUUGCCCCUGCUCCAUAACAGGUAAGAAGUUUUCUUCCACUUCAUUUAGGAUAGCUUAUGAUUCCUCCUUACGGAAUUAGAAACCAUACAAAUUCGCUAAAACGGCAACAUAAGCCCUAAGACUGUAUAUAUCUUGCUAGACUUAACAAAAAUAAACGAAUACAAAAGUCCUAUGUAUAAAGAAAACUACAAUAAACUCUAAUACUUAACGGGCAAUAAAUUCUGGAAAGAAGUGUUACAUAUAUGAUAAUCCAUAUAGUUCACAAAUCUAAUAACUAACCGGCAAUAUAUUCUAGAAAGAAGUGUUACAUAUAUAAUCCAUAUGGUUCAUAAAUCUAGCAACCUUUGAUUUGUCAAACAUCAAAGGUUCCUCUAUGUGGGAAUAUGACGAAUACGUAUAUACAUGUGGACGGUGUGUAAUCAACUGUUUAACAAAAUUUAUGCUCUCUGUAUACACACCGUCCAAUUGACGUCCAUGUUGAUUGUUAGUUUGCCAGUAAUGUUAUUGAAAACAGUUGAGAUUUUAUCAUAAAAUUAAUUGACAAUAUUAGGAGUAGCUCAACUAUUUAUAAGCACAAGUAAAGUCCCUCAUCUCAUUAAUGUAUGAUUCAUUCCCAACAUGUCUCCUCAUGUGUGGUGAAUUUUCAAGCCUAACACGUGGACAACACAACUCGAUUGUCGUGGAGGGCAUGUGGUCCUUGGGCUUCACACAUGAGACAAUCUGCUUUGAUACUAUAAAGAAAGUUGAAGUUCAACCAUAAAAUCAAUUGACAGUAUGAAAAAUAGUUUAACUACUUAUAAGCAUAUAAAAGAUUUUCCAUCUCGUCAAUGUGAGAUUUAUUCGUACCUAGGUAGACAAACAAAUUUGCAGCAGCCCUUGGCUCUUCAUCAUUUCUUUAGGGCCUAAAUAAUUGACCCCAUCGUAUAUUUUAAGGUUAGUGUUGCAAUAAUUUAAUAAGCGUGUGGUUUUUGUGUAAACUUAAUUAAUUGAUUGAAUAUAUCUCUAUAUAUAAAGCCAAGCUCAAAGUGAAUAGUAUUUUUGAGGUCACAAGCUUCAUCAAAAAAUAAGUUGAAAAAAAUGCCCCUAAAACAAAAAAGUUCAAAAGUUACCCAAAAUAAUGCAUCAAAUGUGGUAGGAGUAUUUUCGUCAUUUUAACAGUGUGUUUUUAAUAAUUAAUUUUUUUGUACAAUUUUAUUUUAUUUUUUCAAAUAAUUAGUACCUCACAAUAGGCUAACAAUAAUGUGAUUCAAUCAGUUGUUCAUUAAAUAUUAUUUUUUCAAUUUUGAAACAGUUCAAAACAUCUUAAGAGGCUGUAAUGCCGGUUAUAAAAAAGAUCAUUCUCAUGUGGAUAAUAAUGUGACUAAUUAGUUGUCAAAUGAUUGUUUAUUUUUUUUAACAAACGAUAUUAUCUACACUAAGGAUGAGGGGUGCGCUUAGCCUCACAAUGGGCUAGUAAUAAUGUAAUUCAAUCAGUUUUUUUUUAUUUUUUGAACAAACAAUAUUAUCUACACUAAGAGGGAGGGGAAUGGGCUUAGCCUCACAAUAGGCUAGCAAUAAUUUGAUUCAAUUAGUUGUUUAUUAAAUAUUAUUUUCUCUAUUCUUAAUAUAAAUUCAAUAGAGACUAAUUUUAUUAUAUGGAUUCAGCUGCUUUAAUUAAUUUAUGAGGGAUUUCUUCUAGCAUGAUCUAAUGUUAUUCAUUUACUUCAAAUAUUUGACUUUUCUUUUGUCAAUUUACGCAUAUAAAUACGUUGAAAACGUGUAAGUCACGUGUAGCAUACCGUGAUUCAAAAAAUAUCUUCUGCAGGCGCAUGAGUGCUUGCAUGAAGGCUAGUGAAUCAUAAACUAAACACAAUAGUUUAGGAUGUAGUUGGACGUGCGUGGGUGAUUGGUGAAUCAAGAAACUUUAUGGAUCUGUGAUACCCAACAGCCAACACGCAUACAAUAUAAAUUAGAAAUGAAGAAUGUCAUAUCAUUUGUCUAUACCAGAAGAUUUUUUGGCAUCUAGAGGAUUAUUCUUCCAUAGAAAUUUCAAACUAUGAGAAAGUUGAACUAAUCAAAUUUCAACAAGUUUGAAAAAUCAACUAUUUAUAUAUAUAUAUAUAUAUAUAUAUAUAUACACACACGAGGAUCCUAAUUGAUGUGUUACGUUGAUUUGAAUAACGAUUAUGGACAUUCAUUUAAAAUUAACAAAAAAACGUAAUAUUUAGAAAAAUGGUUGUCUAAAUGGUGGAGUACUCAUUGAGACAUGGUCUAAAAUAGUGGAAAAAUCAUACAGUUUACUUUUUAAGUCUUUAAGGAAUAAACGUGGCAGGUUCGAAGUUGGAAAAAUGCAAUUUUCAUCUUAAGAAGCUGUAAAGUCGAUCAUAAAAAAUGUAUUUCGCACGCGGAUAAUAAUGUGAUUAAAUUAGUUAUCAAAUGAUUGUUUGUAGUUUUUUUUUUUUAACAAACAAUAUUAUCUACAUUAAGGGGGAAGGGGUGGGCUUAGCCUCAUAAUGGUUUAGCACUAAUGUGAUUCAAUAGUUGUUUUUUUUUUUUUUUUGAACAAAUAAUAUUAUCUACACUAAGGGAUAGGGGAGUGGGCUUAGCCUCACAAUGGGCUAGCACUAAUGUGAUUCAAUCAGUUGUUUAUUAGAUAUUAUUUUCUCUAUUCUUAAUAUAAAUUCAAUAUAGACCGAUUUAUUAUGUGGAUUUAGCUGCUUUAAUUGAUUUAUGAGGGGUUUCUUCUAGCAUGAUCUAAGAUUAUUCAUUUACUUCAAAUAUUUGACUUUUCUUUUAUCAAUUUACGCAUAUAAAUAUAUUUAAAACGUGUAAGUCGCGUGUAGCAUGUCAUGAUUAAAAAAAUGCCUUCUGCACGCGCGUGAGUGCGUGCAUGAAGGUUAGUGAAUCAUAAACUAAACACAAUAGUUUGGGAUGUAGUUAGACAUGCGUGGGGGCUUGGUGAAUCAAGAAACUUCAUGGAUUUGGGAUACCCAAUUGUCAACACGCAUACAAUAUAAGUUAGGAAUGAAGAUUGUUGUAUCAGUUGGCUAUACCAAAAGAUUUUUUGGCAUCCGGAGGAUUAUUCUUCCAUAGAAAUUUCAAACUAUGAGAAAGUUGAACUAAUCAAAUUUCAACAAGUUUGAAAAAUCAACUAUAUAUAUAUAUAUAUAUAUAUAUGAGGAUCCUGAUUGAUAUGUUACGUUGAUUUGAAGAACGGUCUUGAAGUUAUGGAGUGAGACAUUCAUUUAAAAUUAACAAAAAAACGUAAUAAUUAGAAAAAUGGUUGUCUAAAUGGUGGAGUACUCAUUGAGACAUGACCUAAAAUAGUGGAAAGAUCACACAGUUUACUUUUUAAGUCUUUAAGAAACAAGAGUGGCAGGUUCCAAGGUUGAAUAAUACAAUUUUCAUCUUAAGAGGUUGUAAUGCCGGUUAUAAAAAAGGUCUUUCGUACACAGAUAAUAAUGUGUUUAAAUUAGUUGUCAAAUGAUUGUAUUUUUUUUUUUUUGAACAAACAAUAUUAUCUACACUAAAGGGGAGGGGGGUGGGUUUAGCCUUAUAAUGAGCUAGCAAUAAUGUGAUUCAAUCAGUUGUUUAUUUGGUUUUUCUUUUUUUUUGAACAAACUAUAUUAUCUACAUUAAGGGAGAGGGGGUGGGCUUAGCCUCACAAUGAGCUAGUAAUAAUGUGAUUCAAUCAGUUGUUUAUUAAAUAUUAUUUUCUUUAUUCUUAAUAUAAAUUCAAUAGAUACCGAUUUUAUUAUGUGAAUUUAGCUGCUUUAAUUGAUUUAUGAGGGAUUUCUUUUAGCAUGAUCUAAGAUUAUUCAUUUACUUCAGAUAUUUGACUUUUCUUUUAUCAAUUUACGUAUAUGAAUACAUUUAAAAUGUGUAAAUCACGCGUAGCAUGCUGUAAUUCAAAAAAUACAUUUUGCACGCGACGGAUGUCAUGAAGGCUAGUCAUUCAAUUAUUGCAUGCACCCCCUUUUCACGCUAUAAAAAGUUAAACCUACCGACGCUUGUUGUCUAUCAUACCAUCCUCCAUUUCACUUGUAUUGUAAUUUGUAUCCAAGAGACAAAUUAAACACUGUGAUUAGCUGAGUUGCAGGGAAUUGAAGGAAUGGCAGCUGAAGCUGUGGUUACUUUUGCUGCGGAGGGAAUACUGAAAAAGGUGCUUUCACUUGCUGAGAAAGAAUUCAGUCUUGCAUGGGGUUUCAAAGCUGAACUUCGAAAGCUUAAAGAGUCAUUCACUACCAUUGAACUUUUAUUGAAUGAUGUUGCCUACAAACCACAAGGUGGUAUAUAUUUUUUAGGGUUCUUUAGAGAAAGGUCCUUGAAAUUCCUAUUUUUCAAACAAAAACCCAAUUAAUAUUAAACAUUCAAAUAAAACCCAAAUUUCAAAUAGACUACCAUGUAGAUAAAUAUAUAACCAAUUAUUACAACAUAUUUACAAAUUAUGCCACAAAACCCUAAUUAUGUUAAUAAAUAUUAUUACUCACCCUAAUUAUGAUUAGCAAUUAACCCCACCUUUUUUGUUUCAUAAAUAUUAUUAACAUAUAUAUAUAUAUAUAUAUUAAUUUACCCAUAUUCAUAAACAAUUAUAGGCAUAUUUUUUGUAUAAAAAAAAAGGAUCCUUUGUAUAAUCAGUUAUUUUGCAUCAAAUAAUAUUGUUUGAUAAAUAAAAAAAACAAGAAUCAAUUAACAUUCUUUUAUUUUGUAGGUAAAUUAUUUUACACAGAUUAUUACAUACAUUAGCCAUUUUGAUUUGUUAUUAUAUAUGCGUAUCAAAAAUAUUUUAUCUAUAUUUAUAUGUAAAGUAUAAGUAAAUUAAUUUUUUAUAAGAAUUAAAUAAUAGGUAAAUUAUAUUGUAGGUACAAUAUGUUUUUUUUUAAGAAAAAUUGAAAUUUAUAAACAAAAAGUAGUACAUAUAUUAUAUUUUCAAUCAAAUUACAUUCCUUUAUUUUGUAGAUAAUUUUUUUUAAAGCAUUGUUACAUAUACCGGGCACAUUUUAGUACUAAUAUAUAUAUAUAUAUAUAUAUAUAUAUAUAUAUAUAUAUGUGCAAAUAUAUAUUAGUUUUAGUAGGAAUUAUAUAUUGUAGGUACAUUACAUUUGUACAAAAAAAAAAGGUAAAUUAAAAUUCAUAAAAAAAAGGUAGUAGAUAUAUAUAUUUUUUUAAUCAACUUACAUACCUUUAUUUUUGUAGGUAAAUAAUUUUACAUGCAUUAUUACAUAUAUUGGGCACAUUUGAGUAAUAUAUAUGUGCAAUUAUACUUUAUUAUAUCAAAUGUAGAUAAAUUAAUAUUGAAUCAAAUAACAUUUUUUUAUUUUGUAGAUAAAUUAUUUUGCAUGUAUUAUUACAUAUACUGGGAAUAUUUUAUUACUAACACAUAUGUCCAAAUAAUUUACCUAUAUUUUUAUGUAAAUUACUCCAUAGUUCUCUUUCAGUUUCCAUUUGGUAAGAAAAUGACAAGAUUAAGUUAAAAUUUGUUAUUUAUUUAUUUAUUUAAAGGAAAGUAUAACAUUAAUGUUUAUUUAUUUUUUGCCAGAAGCAUUAACAUACAAUUUGUUAUGAUAUAUUAAUAUACAAUGAAUUUAAACAUUAAUACAUUUUAUUUCAUUAAUCCCUCCCUUCAAAUCUGCAUAGAAUUAAAUGUAUACAUUAAAAUUGUAAUUAAGGGUAUUUUAGGCAUCUGAAAGAUGCAAAAUGUGUAAAGUCAAACAGAAUUAAUGAAUUUGCUUAUGUGGAGCCUAGUCAUUGGGUUUUAUUCAAGUAAAAAGACUAUGUCGGGUUUUAUGUAAAGAAACUUGAGUUUCAAGGGCUAAAAUCAUAUUUGCAGUAUUUUUUAAUUCUCUUAUAAUCUCGCACACACAUGCUACAAUGACAAGGUAUUUUAACUUGUUUUCAUUCUCUAACAGCUCCGCCGAUAGAGGAAUGGGUGAAGAAACUCAAAGGCGUAGCUCAUGAUGCUGAGGAUGUCUUGGAUGAAUUCAAGUACGAAGUUGAUCGGUGUAAAGUCGAAAUCCAAAACCAUAUGAACAAAAAGGUUCUUAACUUCUUUUCACUCUCCAAUCCACUUGCAUUUCGUCUUCAAAUGGCGCAUAAAAUUCAGAAGAUCAAUGCAUCCUUGGUGGAUCUUGAGAGGAAAGCAACUCCUCUUGGACUAGUUUCCAAGAAUAAUGAUGCAACCCCUCAGGAGAUUAGAUAGGACAGACAAACCCACUCACUAAUUGGCAAAGAUGAAAAAACUGUUGGAAGGGAAGAUGAUGUCGAAUAUAGUUAAAACAUUGACCGACUCCAAAACCAAUAACCAAGAAGAUCUUGCGGUUAUGGCCAUUGUAGGAAUGGGAGGCCUCGGAAAAACAACUUUGGCCAAGUCAGUAUACAAUCAGGAUUCGAUACGCAAAUUUUUUGAAAAGAGAAUAUGGGUUUGUGUAUCCAACACUUUCGACGUCACUCUCAUUCUUCGUCGGAUGUUAGAAUCUCUUAUCUUGACAAAAGCCCCUUCAAAAGGUAAUCAGGAUGCAAUUCUUAAAAAACUGCAAGAAGAGUUGAAAGGUAAAAGAUACUUACUCAUACUUGAUGACGUUUGGAACGAAGAUCUCGAAAAAUGGGAUAAUUUAAUGGAAUGUUUGUCAAAGCUUAAUUCUGCUGGGGAAUCCAAAAUUAUUAUCACCACUCGCAGUGACAAAGUCGCAUCAAUCCCGAAAAAGCUACUUCCACGAUAUGAAUUGGGAGAACUUUCUGUCGAUGAAUGUUGGUCCAUCAUGAAAGAUAGAGCUUUCCCAGUUAGCAGUGCUCCUGAGUUCGAAAGCAGUGCUCCUGCGUUCGAGGCAAUUGGAAGAGAGAUUGCUAAAAUUGUGGUGGUGUUCCAUUGAUAGCAAAGGUACGUACUAUUAUUAUGUAUCAUAGCAUGCAAUUAGCACCAUUUUAUUUUUACUUUUUUCACACGUUUUAAUUUAUAAAUUAGGACAAUACCUUCAUUUACCCCAUGAGGUUCACCACCUUACAAUUAGGACAAGGCCUUUUGACAAACGAAUUUUGAUCGUACAAGUUUCAUAAUUAAAACCAUUCAUUUUCGUACAUUAAUACAAAAUUUCAUUUCAAAUUAUAGAUAGUAACUAUAUGAUAUUUGUUGGAAAAUAAUAAGUUUAGGAUUUGAACCCAGCUCGUUAAAGAAUUAUAUUUUUGUUUAGAGAUUAAGGUUUAGUUUAUUAUAAAUAGUAUGCUUGUUAUUCACUUGUGUAUAAGUCGGUCACAAGUCUUUAAGUAUAGUCGUCUCGACAAUCUUGUUUCUUUUUUUCCACUAAUCAAAUAAUAUUCGCAGUUUGUAAUCUGUAUGUUUGUUAUGCGCACUAUGAUAUUCAACUUUGUAUCAGAGCAAGUUUAAUCCUUGUCGGAUUUGAUAUGCUUUGGUUGGUAUCUAGCUCUCUACCUAUAUCGUUGUCCGUGCUUUAUCAUAUGUCAAGCCCAUUAGUUUGAUUCAUCAAACCGCUACCUCUCCCCCUUCCUCCGGUGCUGGCUUUUGAUCUGGAGAAGUAGCACGAAAUACAAUUUUGAGUGUUUUUAGCUCAUAUAGAUUUCCAUAUGUACCUAGAUUCGCCAUUGGCUUCUCAUUUUACAAGUCAUCGUCAGAUUUUCCACAUAUUUUUAUUUAUAAUUUAUACUAAUAUUCUUUUUAGUUUUAUUUUGUAUCCAUAAUUUUGAAUUUUUAAUAUGCACCCAUUUUUUAAUUUAAUUUGUGCCCCUAUUUUUUUUGUGAAUGCACCAUGCUAAUUAUAUGUAUUUAUUUUAUGUUUUAAAUAUAUUAAUAGUUAUUUCUUAUUAUAUAUUGAUAAUUACAUGGCUACAUUAUUUUAUAGCUAGAGCUAUGGGUAGAAUAACAUUACUCUAUUAUGGAUUUCUUUGAAUUUUUAAGUAAUUGUCAUAUUGUAAAAAUAUUAUUUGACUGCCCGCUGCUUAACCGCCUUUGAACCUCCGUGCCCUGUCGAAGUCUGCUUGCUUCACGCCUGCAAUCGUGCCGUCGCCCCACCAUCUGCUGCCGCAUGAACCCUCCUUCAACCCCGAUCCAUCACCGUCUUGCUGACUGUCCUCAAACCCACAUCGCACUGUUCACUGUUGCCGCAAAACCCACUUUGUCUUCUGCCAGUAUUACUACUAUUUUUAUUUUUGAAAGUUGAAAAAGUAUUAAAAAGUUGCUUUUUGUUGGACCACUUUAUUGAAUUGGGACGAGAAAAUGAUCCCAGUAAUGAAGUUACUUCUGUUUGAACCAUUUGUUGCUAACGUUGGCCCGUGCCUGUGUAUGGAAUCUAUUGGUCUGACACAACGAUUGCAAGUAGAUUGGAGCCACUCACGUAACGUUGAGUACACGUACACGAUGUUAAGUUGGAUCGUCUUGUUUGGGAAAUUUUUGAAAAAUAGCCAAUUUUAAAAGCAUGAAUUGAAUUUUAACCAAAGUUUCUAAUUUUUUAUGAUUCUAACCAAAAAUCCAGAUAAAAAGUCUUAAUUACCCCUAACAAUCCAUAUCCUUUCCGUUUGGAGGUGUAGGCGAUAGUAUUACCUAGCCUGAUUUCUGUGUAUGCCACCCGGAAAACAGUCUUGGCUCCGACUUUGGCCUCUUAGGACUUUAUCAUCUUCUAAGUUGAUAAUUGGAGACUACUUAACUAAGAACAUGAAUGAAUGGUACCCAACACUACCUUUCGUGGUUGGUUUGCAAGAAAAUUAAGAAAUUUUGAAGGAGAUUUCAUAAGCCUCCUUUAUUUGGAAUUCUAUAUGAUCAUGUCUGUAUAUGUGUGAGUGUGUUACUUGCAGUUUGGAUUCGGGGUUUUCUUUUUUUGGGUUUUGUGAUGGGUUCUGCAUUGUGAAGUGACAGGGAAGAUUGCUUCGUUUAAAAUUGGACUUGGUGUGUGUUUCUGUGACUUCUUGUUUGGAUACAAGGUUUUCCUUUUCUAGAUUUUGUGUUGGGUGACUUGUUUGGAUACAAGGUUUCCUUUUAUGGGUUUUGUGUUGGGUUCUGUAAUGUGAAAUGAUAGAACAGGGUUUUCUCUAAAUUUGGGAAAUUUCUAUUAUUAGGGGUAAUUAAAACCUUUUACUUGAGUUUUUGGUUAAAAUUAUAAGAAGUUAGUAAGUGUGGUUAAAAUUCAAUUCAUGCCUCUAAAAUUGGCUAUUUUCAAGAUUUCCCUUAUCUAUUCGCAUAGCGAAACCUGCUUGUUUACAGCUAUGAGAUCAUGUAUCCACUUUUGUUUGCUGACAAACUCAUGUUGUUUACAGCUAUGAGUUUGACGGGGGCAUUGGAAAAUAAUAAGUUAAAGAUUUAGGCUCAAUCCGUUAGAAUUAGGCCUUUGUUUAGAUAUUAGGAUUUAGUAUACUAUAAAUGGAUGUUUGUUAUUCAUUUGUAUAUAAGUUGGUCAAAAUGAAGUCUCUAAGUGCAGGUUGUAAUUCGUUUGUUCUUCUGUUUGUUAUGUGCUCUACCAUGUUAAACAUGGAUAUUUUACUUGGUACCAACAUCAUCAAUUUGUUCAAUAUAUAUAGAUGACUAAACAAUCUCUAAUUUGGUUUAUAUUUAGUAGCAAACAAACUAUUCCAAGCCCAUUGAAUUUUAGUUAUAUUAUUUGCAAAAUGAUUGAAUUGUGUUCAAAUUCGGAAACCUCAAUUUACAUAGAUUGGUCUUCUAGAGGGGAAACACAUAUGAACCGGAUUCACAACUAUGUAGCAUUUUUUAUCUAAUAAUGUAUUGUCAUAUGCAAGUAUUUCUGCACAUAGCAAUGUAUUACUGGAUAGGGACACCAAGUGGUGGUGAACCUGUUUCAUGUAAGUUAUUCUCUUUCCAAAAAGUGUAAAAACGUCACCAAAAGGAACCAAUCUAGUUAUAAUCAAUUAAAUUACUUAAGCGGCUUCAGCCAAUUGCAUUAAGUUAAUCUAGUUACUAACUAUUCCUUUUUUCAUCUGAUAAAAAGGAUACGGUGGAGAUAUGUUGCAUUUCACAUAGAUCCAAAAAAUCGUUAUAGUCAUAAGUAAAUUGCUUAAUGAUAUUUGAUAGAAACUCUCUAAUCCAAUUAACAGGUUUUGGGAGGAAUCUUGAGCACUAAAAAAGGUAUUGAAGACUGGUUGUCAUUUAAAAAUAGUAGAACAUGGGACAACUUAUUAAAAGAAGAAGAUAGAAUUAGGCGAGUAUUGCGGUUGAGUUUUGACAAUUUAGGAUCAUCAUCACUGAAGCAAUGUUUUGCAUAUUGCUCAAUGUUCAAGAAAGAUUUUGAAAUUCAAAGAGAUAGCUUGGUUCAACUUUGGAUGGCUCAAGGACUACUCCACCCUUCACCUGGUGAAAGUAAAGAUAUGGAGGACAUAGGCAAUGAAUAUUUUGAUAUUCUAUUGCAGAGCUCCUUAUUUCAAGAUGCUACAAUGAAUUAUGAUGGCAUUGUUCGAGAAUGCAAGAUGCAUGAUCUUGUGCACGAUCUUGCAGAAUUUGUAUCCAAAUCUGAAAUCUUGACAAGUGACUUAAGUGGCAUAGAUAAUACACUUGAGAUUCGACAUGUUGCUUGGGUUUCUACUUCCGAACUAGAAAAGAUUCCAAAAAAAAGUGCUAGAAAAUUGCAGUCAUUGUUUUUGGACGACGGUGAAGUUCCUAAUAACAUUCAUCCAUGGUUCAAAACUUUACGCGUCUUAAAAUAUGGUAAUCCUAAUAUUGAAGAAUUUCCAGAUUCAAUUGGUAGGCUGAAACAUUUGAGGUAUCUUGACAUUUCCAAAACAAGAUUUAAAGCACUCCCCAAGUCUAUAGGCAAGCUCUAUAACCUUCAAACGUUAAGGGCAACGAAAUGUGCCCUUGAAGAGUUUCUAAAAGAACUGCUAAACUUGAUCAACCUGAGGCAUAUUCAUUUUGAUGAGAGUACGAAAUUCCCACAGGGGAUAAGGCAAUUGACUUGCCUUCAAACAUUACCUUACUUUUCAGUGGGUAAUGAGAUUGGUCAUCGAAUUGAAGAGUUGGCUAGCUUGAAUCAAUUGAAAGGUGAAUUAAUCAUUUGUGGUUUGGAGCACGUAAAGAACGGACAAGAAGCAAAGAAAGCUAAGCUAGAGGAAAAGACGAAAGCAUGCCACUUGACAUUCAGAUGGACGGGAUAUAGGUCAACGACUGACAACAACAAGGAGGACGAUGUCCUAGAAGGCCUCCGACCGCAUCCUGAGUUGGAGAGCUUACGUAUUGAAAACUUCAUGGGCGAUAAGUUUCCAUUGUGGAUGAUGAAUGGGUCAUUGCUGUUUGAGAACUUGAAGAGGAUUCAGUUACUUGGAUGGGACAAGUGUGAUGGAGUCCUACUGCUCGGUCAUCUACCCAAUCUUACGGAGCUUGAGAUUAUUGAAAUGGCUAACUUGAAAUGUGUUGACGGUGAGUUCUACAGUUCUCUUGAGAGAUUGGUUGUUCGAAAUUGUGGAAAGCUGAGGCAUUUGCCGGGUGGGAUACACACGUUCCAUCUCCUUAAGCACAUGUAUAUAUCAGAAUGUCCAAGUCUAAAGUUGAUUCCAAUUACACAGGGCCUUAAGUACAUGUAUAUAUCAAAAUGUCCUAGUGUAGAGUCGAUUCCAAUUACACAGGGCAUGGCAUCUCUACGUAAAUUAGAGAUUGGAGAUUGUGGACGAUUGUCACGCUUACCGAGUGGGUUAGAGAACUGCACAGUUCUUCAGAAUUUGAUUAUACGGAAUUGUGAUGAAUUAUCAGGCACAUUGAGCUUAUGGGCCUCUCUCCUAGAAGUGAGUUUAUGGAGUUGCAAUGGAUUAUCAGGCCCAUUGAGUGUAUGGUCCCCUCUCGUGGAAUUGGAUAUACAUUACUGCAGUAAUCCGACAUCAAUUGAAAUGAAAGGCAGCUUGUCCCUCACCGCCUCUCUUGAGAAAUUGACAAUCUGGAAUUGCCAUGAAUUAACAAGCUUACCUGCUCUUCCACAACAAUGUCCCUCUCUUCAGAAAUUGUGGAUAAGUGGAUGCCCAAAGGUAUCAUCGUUUGGUGUCAAAAGUAGCAGACUUGAGGAGGAAUGCAUUAGUCUACAAUCUACUUCAGACUUGCGAACCAUGACCUCCCUUCGACAUCUGAGUAUUGAAAGAUGUGAAAGAUUAGGAAGUUGGGUGAGCAGCCUGCAAUUCCCACUCUCUCUUGAGAC